AGGAAGCAGGGCAGGAUAUGAAAUGAGAAGCUCAUUGGUGGAAGUAUUGCCAGUAGCAGAACCCAAUGAAAAUGAAACUAUUUCAAGGCAGCAGUUGGCAGUUGCAAGUGAAUGGAGGCCCUUGACAAAAUUCUCAAGCGGUUGCAAUGCAAUUACGAUCAUCCUCAGCCUCAGGUAAUUUCUUCUCCUGCUUUGUAUUUAUUUGUUAUCUAAUUAGGAAGCGUAAAGUAUCUUGAAUCAUUUUCUGUAUCUGGAAUAUAUGCAAGAGUUUCUAAAAUUUUGAUAUGAGUGUAAUGAUGGUAAUUUCUGUUUUCUGUCUGUCAUCAAAUGUUAGAAAACUUUCAUUGAGACCCUUGAACCGAGUCAUUUUUGACAAGUGAAGGACAAUUGCUGAAGAGUGGGAAUGGUGCUAGAUUGGGGAAUAAAGACAAAGGAGGUAAAUUAUUUGCAGUUUAUUCAGCAUUAUUUGCUUUGGACCAGCGCCUGAUUCACAAGUCUCCAUAAUUUGGCUUUUGACCAGUUAAUAAAUUUUUAAUUCCAUUGGUGCUAAAUGUACACGUGAAGCAGGCAGAGCAGGACUGUGGAAAUGAGAAGGUUUUUAGUGAAAGCUUAAACUCAGGUAAUUCUAAAAAGUACAUGUUUUUGCUGAUUUAUCUAAAUCAGGAAAUUUUAUUUCCAUCUGUUACAAGAUAAAACAGAAACAGUCAAACAGAACACACAGAAAAAUAUUCUACUUCUUGUGGCAAUCUUGCCUUCAUUCAGACAAUGAAACCAUUUCCUUUCACCAAUUUCUUCCAAAAGUUUGAAUAAGUUUCAUGGUUGGACAUAGUUAGCUUCUUUUUCUUUUGGUGCAUUUAGGUCCUAUCAAGUGACAGCCAUAAGUAUGAUUGCAUUAUUGGAAAAUUUUAGGUUUGGAUGGUUCCCCAUGUUAUUGCCAAGAAAGUCCUCAUGUCAGAAGCUGCGGUUCUUUUCAUCAGCCUGAACCCGAACCUGUCGUUAUGGAUAACUCAGGUUUUUGUCGUCAACUAUAUCAUCUUUUUUACUGUUUUGAAACUCUUAAGAUUAAACUUCAGUAAAGUUGUUUCAGUUAUCCAUGUAAUCCGGCUAAGGAUAUUUAGCAGCUUAUUUAGGCAACUGCCAGAAUUCAGUUUGUUUGCUCGAAACUUGUAUGGUGACAAGGAUACUGGCAAGGAUAGUGAGAUAGUUUUUUGUGUGAGUGAAAUUUGAAAGCUUGGGUGUUCUGGGAUUUGCAAUUGCAAUCAUCCUCUGAGUCAGGUGAUUUCUUCUCCUGCUCUGUCUUGAUUUUCUCUCUAAUUGAAAGCAUAAAGUAUUUCAAUCAAAUUCUGUACCAGGAAUACGUAAAAGUUACUAAUAUUUUAUUUCCAUCUGUUUGCAUUGAUAACUCGGCCGCAUAUGUUCUAGUUAAAGAACAAACAGAAACAGAGUUCAGGAAAAAGUUUCUUCGGCCACCAUAUUUGAAAAUGAAACCAUUUCCAGGAAGCAGUUGGCAGCAAAUUCAUAUGGAGUGUAGACAAUGAUGAGCGAAAAGGUGAUUCGCAAUUUCUUUUUUUUUUUUAAGUGAAAUUAUUUGUUAGAUUGAAGCUGAUAUUGUAAGAAGGCCAUUGAGCUAACCUAUGUCGCCACUUGCCUAGAUUGCAGGGGGUCAAGACUCAAAAGAAGCACUGAAAUUUAAAAAGCAUGCAAUAGUUCUUUUGCCAUGUGUCAAUUAAUGCAAGUUUGAAUAAGUUUAUUGGCUGAACGAUGUUAGCUUCUUUUCCUUUCGUGCACUUUGGUAUGCUAUCAAGUGACAGCCGUAUGUAUGGCUUGCAUAUAGCUGCUGCUGGGAAAAUUGACGAUUUCAUGGCUGGCCGUGUUAUUGUCUUAAAUUAGUUGUGAUAAGCUGUUGCUUGGAGAUUCUGUUGCCAAGACUUUGCUCACAUCAGAAGCUGUGGAAUCUGAACCCUUCGUUAUGUAUCAUCUUUUUCAUUGUUUUAAAACUCUCAGGAUUAAACUUGAGCGAAUUUGUUCGGUUGUCUAUAUAAUCAUGUAUUGAGUAAACUCUCAGGAAACUGAACAUGCAAAUGUUAUAACUCGGGUUGUUAGCCAAAAACUUGUUGAAUAGGGAUUUGGAUUUGUUAGGAAGUUAUCAUUUUUUAUUUUUUAUUUUGUUUUAUUUUUUUAUUUUUUUAUUUUUAUCUUCUGGUGGUGCUAUAUUUUCAAACGACAGUCCGAUUCAAAACUUGAUAUUCCAAUUAUAUUCAUAAGCUUCUAUAGUUAUCUUCAAAAAGACAAAUGGAAGGCUUUGAACGGCUUGGGUCUGAGUAUUGUAGUUUGAUUUAUUUUGAUGAAAGAACCUUUUGACAUUAAGAUUCUUUCAUGAGUUAAACAUUCUUUUUAAAACCAACUUAUUAAAAAAAAGUAACGAACAUAUAUUAUUUUGUUAGUGCUUUUUAAAUCAAAUAUAAAAAAGAGAACUGUAAUUCUUAGCAACCAAUUUUUCACUGAGUACAGCUACAACAAACUAUUAAAAAAUAAAGUGAUAGAAAAUGCCUGAUUUUUCGUACUUUCUAAUUACUUUUGGUCCUAAAAUAUGGCGAUUUGUGUAAUAAUAAGUCCAUGUAUAUCUUUAUGCCAUUAGUUUGAUAAAUAGCUAUCAAGGAUAACUUAUUAAGCUAAAAAUAUUUGAAGGAUAAAAUGAUAAAACUAAAAGGGUGGAGUAAUAUAGUUAUUUAGGAUUACAUAGUAAGUCAACUAUAUUCAAGGGAUAAAAUAUUAAAACUUGAAUAGUGAUAUUAAAAAUAUCUCGGUUAUUAUACUAUUAAAUCAUAUGCCGUAAUAGUAUUUUUUUUCAAACUUUAAAAAAUUCAGGAUUUUAAAUUAAAACAUGGAUUUCUUUAAGAUGCUAUAUAUGUUUUUUAUAGUAUUGAUAUUGGGAUUAGUGUGGACCCUUAGAUGAAAGAGUUUUAAUCUGAAUCAUUCAUUUAAUAUAAUAGAUAAUUAAAUAAUUAAUUAAAAUAUAGCAGGUAACUUAUAGGUUGUAGGUAAAAAAUUAAUUUUUUAAUUUUAAAUUAAAAUUAAUUUGGAAAAAUACCAUCCACACCCCUAAAGUUUACUUAAAUGAUCAUAUAAAUCCCUUUAGUUUCUACAUAGUUAUACAGAGCCUCUUAAUUUCAUAAAUUAUUAUUAUACUUUUAAUUAAAACAACCUAAAUGAAUAUAAAUAUAGUAAUAGGAUAGAAAUAAUAAAUAAAUAUCAGAUGAAACAAAUAAAAUAUUACAAUAAAUACAAUUAAUUAAAUAAUAUGUAUGAUGAAAAUUUUAUUCAUAUUAAGUUAUUAUUAGUCUAUCCCGAUGGAUUUACUCAAAUCAAUUAAUCCAAAAUUUAAUUUUAAGAUUGAUAUUAAUAUGGACAUAAUUAAAUAAGAUGUUGUAAUAUAUACUACUUUGAAUGUUAAGUAUAAUUAUCUAAUAUUAUUAGUAUGUGAAAUAGAUUUUAAUAUUAUUAAAAGAAUAUGACAAUAUAUAAUUUUGAAAUAAAUUUUUUAGUAUUCAUAAUAUUUUAUAAAUUUUAUCUUAUUUUAUAUAUUAUAUUUUUUUAUUUUAAUGUAUUAUAUAUGAUCAUUUAAGCAAAUUUUGGAGGUGCGGUGGUCUUUUCCCUAUUAAUUUUAUAGCAUAUUUAAAGUGUUAUAUCAUACAUCAUACAUCGCACUUUUGUUAAAGUGUUAUGUUAUUAAAAAUUAAACUUUGCAUUUAUAAUAUACUACCAUUUUAAUGUAAAGGUAAUAGAAAAUAUGAAGAUAUUUUUAAGUAGUCAAUUGUAGUUUUCUUUUACAAAAUAGCAGUAUAGAAAUACACACACACACACACACACAUAUCAAGUACUUGUAUGUUCCCCUAACUUUUAUUAAUAGGAAGGAAAUUAAAUUCAUAAUUUUCCCGGUGAAUUAUGAAUUGAUAAAUGAAAUAUAAAUAUUAGAAAAAAUUAAUUUGUCGACUAAAGAAGUAAACCAUAUUUUAUGGGCAUUUAAUACAUUAAUUUAAGGUCAAAUGAGAUAUAUCACAUGAUAUUUGAUAUAGUAGUCCAAUUUUCAACAUUUGCAUAUAGUUUCUAAGCUAGUAAUCUAAUAAAAUAUACCAAAUGAGAAAUUGAAGGCUAUUAUUUAUAUUUCACCAUUGGACAAACACCAUACAUUAGAAUAAAAAAAUCUCACAGUAGAGACGGCAUCUGUUUGCAUGUUUUGAAAAUAGAUUUUGAAAUUAGUUUAAUUACAUGAUAAUUAAAUUAUAUUAUAAAAUUAAGAAUAUGAUUUAAGUACUAUUUUAGCAAUUUUGAGUCUCACAUUGAGUAUUGAAGUUAAUUAAAUGUUGAAACUCUUUUCUAUUUGGCUUGAAAUCACUACUUAAUAAAAUUACAAAAAGUCAAUAAUGAAUGAUGUAGGACACAUAUGUAAAAUAAAUUUUAAAGUGUAAUUAAACAUUCCUAUCAAUAUUAGUUUUGUAUACAUAUUCAUAUAUUUUACUGAAACCAUAUAUAAUUAAAUUUUGUGUAAUUAAGUAAAAUAUAUUAUUCAAGUGAAUUUAUGAGAAUAUGUAAAAUUGUAGGGGUGGUCACUGAAAUUUGCCAAACUUGAGCCAACCGUGCAUGAUCCAAACAGUUUAUUUUAAUAAUUCUCAAUAUGUUAGUCUGUUUGACUGUUGGCAAAAUGAAUUCCUAUCAGCAAUGCAACACAAUUCAAAAUCAUAUCUGCAUACAACGAACAAUAUCUCAUCAAAGAUCAAAUUAUACAUUUUUUACACCAAAGCAUAAAUAUCUAAAUUGUCCCUCUUCAACUCACCAAGCUCAUACCUAACAACAGCAAGAUUAAAUGUCAUUUGAUCCAUCUUUUUUAUUAAGCUUUAUCAAUUCUUCUCAUGGUUGCAAUUUUGAAAGCUCGCUUCGCUAUUUCCAUUUGCUUUUAUGCUUUGUUUGAGCUCCAUCUACAUUUUACACUGUAAAAAAAAUUUAAAAAAAAUUACAAAGCUUCUUAUACUAGAAUAUGAGCAACAAUAUAAAUAAUAAACAAUAAAGUUAUGAUAGCACAGCAUACUCAUUAAAGUGCUUCUUUUUUUUUUUCAGCAAGAAAUUACUACUGAAUUAAAGAAUUGGCUUUGCAUUAAGGUUUGCCUUCAAUAACUCAACUCCCCACUUGGGUUUUGUCGUUUUCUUAAAAUCUCUGCUCAAUCAAUUUAAAGAUCCAUUUUUUUUUUCUUUCCAAAGAUCUAAAAGCAAUGUCUUUUAUUGGUACCCAACAAAAAUGCAAGGUCUGUGAGAAGACAGUUUGUCCAGUUGAACAGUUAUCUACUGAUGGGGUUGUUUAUCACAAGUCUUGCUUCAAGUGCUCUCACUGCAAAGGCACACUCAAGCUAAGCAAUUACUCAUCCCUGGAAGGUGCUCUUUACUGUAAGCCUCACUUUGAGCAGCUUUUGAAGGAGUCGAGUAACUUCAACAAGAAUUUCCAAUUACCUGCAAAGUCAGCUGAGAAGUUAACUCCUGAGCUGAGAAGGUCGCCUAGCAAAGUUGCCAGCAUGUUCUCUGGGCCCAAUAAAAAUGUGCUUCUUGCAGUAAAACAGUGUGUCCGUGGGAGAACGUAGCAGCGGAAAACCAAGCCUCUCACAAGACAUGUUUCAAGUGCUCACAUGGUGGUUAUUCCAUUAGCCCGUCAAAUUACGCAGCCCUAGAAGGCAUCUUGUAUUGCAAACAUAAUUUCUCCCAAUUGUUCAAGGAAAAAGGCAGCUACAACCACCUUAUAUAAAAUCUGCUUCCAUGAAGCGUGCUGCAGUCUCUGUUCAAGAAGCUUGAACAUGUUAUGUUAUCUUCCAUAAAUCUUAUUUGGCGUGGGUUUUCUCUGGCUUGAGGGUGUGCUUUCUAUUUUGAUCCCUCUUGUUGUUUUUGCGGGGAACUACCAAACCUUCGGUUCCCUCUGCUUCUUUGGAUCAUCUUUGUUGGGACAAAUUUCAUGUAAUUAGAGAUACUGAUUUAUGGGAGGCAUAAUCCCAUGGUCGUAAAUUGACCAUUUUCUGGCAAUGUUCUUUUUAAAAAGAGAUGAGCAGUUGUUUAACAAAAAAAAUAGCUGGCCUUCAUCAUGGUAUGUUACCAAACUGCUAUGUAUAGCUGCUAACUAUGAGCAUCCGAAAAUAUGGUGCAUCGUGAUUCAUGUAGUGCAAUAUGGCUACCAACGCAUCCUAAAUGGAGUAUUACUCAGUUAGUCAGCAAAAUAAGACAACAUAACUGAUAUUAAAAAAAUAAAAAAACUACAUUAAUAAGUGGGCAAGAUCAUGCCAGUUUAACUUUUCGCGCGUCGCUGCUGGAGAUAAUCAAAUCGGGGCAGAGAAAAGGAGAAUGGAAUCAGAGGCUAAGAUUAAUAAGUGGGCUUCUGCUUGCUUUGCCCCUCUUUCUUAAACGAUUGGUAGACUGCUGCUUCCACCGAUUAACCGGGUCUUCAACCACUGCUUUUACUGCCUGCCAUCUUGUUGUUUGUCGAAGGGAUGAAUUCGAGUCGAAAAGAGAAAGCGCGCUGAAAAAGAUAAAUCACUAGUGGUUAACUGCUUACUCAGCCAAGUGUUGGCUUCACUUGAUUCACCGAUUGAGGUUAUUUUGUCUUCUAUCUAAUGCAGCGAAGAAGCUUUGCUGCUUAACAUGCUGCAAUGCAACUUUAUCCUUUGAAGUUCACACUUCAGGGCUGCGCACUUUAUGUAAUCCUAUGAGUAAAAAGAAUUUGUUUUCAAAUGUGAAAAAAGAAAAUGUAAGGUAGUAACUAAAUAUUUUAUAGCAUCAAAGCAAUAUUUGAUAUGAAUUUAGUACAACAAAGAACAUCAAAUCUGUGAUUCCUUGUCUAGUGUCACCAUCGAGCAACAAAUUUAAAAGCCUACCUAUCAAAUACACGAGGCAAUAAACGGAGAAAAAGUUGAAUUACAAGAACAAGUUUACAAUUCUUGUCAAUGGUUAAUGAUUUGUGAACUGAGACAGCUUUCAAGAAUCCAAUUUCAAUACAACAACGUAAAAGAUAAACAGAUGAUGAAUUCUAUGAGAUAAAGAAGGAGAUCGUGUUUUAUCGUAUCUCUAUUUUCUUUCUUUUUAAAUUUAAAAUAAGCUUUUCAACCGGUUUGUUAACCGGUUAUAAUAUUUUUUAAAAUAAUUAAAUAUUUUCAUUAUUAAAAAUAAUGUGUACCGUUGAUUACAUCUAACGGUAUAUAUUUCUUACACUACUAAUAUCGUAAAAAAAAAAUACAGCAUCAUAGAGGGACCCUUAAAACAUUUUCAUUUGAAAUUAUUUGGUGAAGUGAAAAAGUUAAGAAAGAAAUAGUUGUCCCUUUGGUCAUUUCACAAAAAUGAAAGCCCCAUAUAACAUGGACUUGAAUGGAAGCCCAAUUGUUGUGUUUGAUUUCAAGCUUUAUCGGACCUUUGGACCUGGAUACUUUACUGCGGCCUCUAAGCGCUACAAAUUUUUUUUUUGGGAUAAAAGGCGCUUCAAUGAAAAAGCACUUUAAAACUUUGGAUUUUGCCAAAACUUCAAAGCGGUUGGUCCGGUUACGGUGUUAUGCUAACGGGUUUAAAGGUUCUGAUCCAAUGAGUUAGGGUGGAAUAUGAAUAUAUAAAUUCCAUAGCAUGUGAGGACUAGGAUUUGUUUGUUCAUAUCAAGAAAAAAGAUCUGAAAAUUUGAUGAUCAGAAGAUAAAAACACUUAAACACGUUUAUUACAGAGAAACAAACGACAACACGAUACUAGUAGUAGUUAUUCUUUUCAUCCGAUAUAUUACAUGGUAAUAUCACCACUCGUUCCACUGGUUUCAUAUACACCAUCGACCAGCAACAUGAUAAUUUUGUGUCAGUUCAUUUUGUUUGUAGGAAAGAGCAGUAUCUUUUUUAGAACUUGAAAAUAAUAAAAAGAUUUUAAAAUAUAAAUUGCAUAUUUGUUUAUUGCUGUUGUUUGGUCUAAUUUCUUACGUAGAAUUGCUUGUCAUUCUUUGUACGUUAUUGAUUAUAUUUUUGUCAGACUUGGCGUAUAUAUUCACAUAUGUUUUAUUUUGUCAUUUUGUAGAACAUUUUUACAUGCCAUAUUAUCACGACUCUUCUGUGUCUGAAUAAGAAGAAAGCAUAAUGCGACCCUCCAACAGCUUAAUCUAUGGAAUUAUCGUGUUUUGUAAGUUGAGGUCCAAUGGCGUUUUGGCACAUCAUAUGAUAGACCACUAUAUUGCGUUGCUUUACAAAAGAUUAAUAUUUUUAAAAUUAUUAGGUAAGUUUAGGCUCAGUGGCACUUUAACUCAUGAUAUGAUAGUCCAGGUUUUCAUCAGCCUGAACAUGGACCUGUCGCCAUGGAUAACUCAGGUUUUUUUUUUUUUAAUCAACUACGUCAUCUUUUCCACUGUUUUGAAACUCUUAAGAUUAAACUUUAGUAAAGUUAUUUUAGUUAUCCAUGUAAUCAAGCUGAGGAUACUUAGCUGCCUAUUUAGGCAAAUGUCAGAAUUUAGUUUGUUCGCUGGGAACUGGUGUGGUGACAGCGUCCUGGCAAAGGAUGAUGAGAUAGUUUUUUGAUUGAGUAAAUUUUGGGAGCUUGAGUGUAUUGGGAUUUGCAAUUACAAUCAUCCUCUGCCUCAGGUGAUUUCUUCUCCUGCCCUGUCGUUGUUUGUUCUCUAAUUCAAAAUUAUAAAAUUUUUCAAUCAAAUUUUAUGCCAGGAAUAUGCAAAAGUUUCUAAUAUUUUAUUUCCAUCUGUUUGCCUUGAUAACUUUGCGGCAUAUGUACUAGUUAAAUCCCUCAAAACGUAAACAAAACUCUGUUGGUAUUGAUUCCUAAGGUGGACCAUCCUACCAGUUUAACGAUGUUUCGGCCUAUAAGUUUAUGCACUGUCGCCUAUAAGACAGUGACUAAAAUUAUUGCCACUCGUUUACAAGAACUAUUACCUGAGCUGAUCGGGCCUCAUCAGACAAGUUUUGUUCCCGGACGACACAUUGUGGACAACAUUGUUAUUGCUCAGGAAGUGGUUCACUCCAUGCGCAGAAAAACUGGUAAAAGAGGGCUUAUGGCUAUUAAGGUGGAUCUCGAGAAGGCAUAUGAUCGGCUGAACUGGUCGUUUAUUUUUGAAACUCUUCAAUUGACAGGGCUCCCGAUUCAAUUAUCUCGGCUCAUCAUGGAAUGUGUUAAAUCAGCUAGCAUGAAUAUUUUGUGGAAUGGCGAGGUAACUGAGGAGUUUUUUCCGGGAAGAGGUAUUCGGCAGGGUGACCCUCUAUCUCCGUAUAUUUUUGUGCUCUGCAUCGAGCGUUUGAGCCAUGGAAUAUCCCAAGCUGUGGGGGAUGGAAGUUGGAAGCCAAUUCGGCUGGCUAAACAUGGCACUCCCCUUACCCACCUUUUUUUUGCUGAUGAUUUGCUUUUAUUUGCAGAAGCUUCGAUUGAUCAAGCUCAUAUCAUUGAUGCGGUUUUGGAGAAUUUUUGUCGAAGUUCUGAAGUAAAGGUUAACAAAGUGAAAACUACAAUUUUCUUUUCGAAGAACGUUGCUGCAAGAGAGGCCAAGCUCAUUGGUGCUGCCUUGGGGGUUUCGAUUACUCAUGAUCUGGGAAGCUAUCUUGGAAUGCCGUUACUUCAUUCGAGGGUGAAUAAAGCUACGUAUCAAUCUAUUUUAGACAAGGUAGACAUAAGGCUCAGUGGCUGGAACGCGGCUCAUUUAUCCUUUGCUGGUCGUGUUACUUUGGCGCAAUCGGUGAUUCAAGCUAUGCCAAUUUAUGCAAUGCAAACGACCAUGCUUCCUGCUUCGGUGCGCCAUAGAAUUGAUAAGAGCUGCCGUAGAUUUAUUUGGGAUGGGAAGUCGAAGAGUCCUAAGAUGUGCAUGGUGGGCUGGGAUAAAAUCUGCUUGCCGAAAUCAAGUGGUGGCUUGGGGUUUAAGAACUUAGAGGUGAUGAAUCAUGCCCUGUUGAUGAAGAUUAGUUGGGGCAUUAUCUCCAACUCAGAUAAGUUAUGGGUGCGGGUUCUCUGUUCCAAAUAUGGAUUGGACCCAUGCAAUUUGCCGUCUUCCCUCCCUGACAAACAAGGUUCGCGUAUCUGGUCUGCUAUAAGAAAAACGUGGAAUGCAACCAUGCAUGGAGCUCGCUGGGCAGUGUGUGAUAGUGCUCGAAUUCGUUUCUGGCUGGACUGUUGGGUGACGAAAUAUGAGCCUUUGAUUCACCUAGCUCUCCAACCGAUCCCUCAGGCCUCUCUCAAUGCUACGGUUAGCGAAUUUACUAAUGAUUAUGGUGGCUGGAGAUGGGCGAGCUUUGAAUUCCUACUGCCCCCUUCUGUUCUUAUGCAGAUUGCCUCGAUCAUGCCACCUGCGCCGCAUCUUGGUCCUGAUAGACUAUAUUGGAGUUAUAAUCCAAGAGGGUUGUUCACAGUCCGAACUGCUUAUGAGUCUCUUUGCUACCAUAACUUAGACACUCAAGAUAAAGUAUGGAAAUUGCCAUGGUCUUGGAAAGGGCCCCAAUCUAUAAAGCUCUUUAUUUGGCAGACUUUGCAUGGCAAAUUGAAGACCCACAGUGAGCUUAAUAGGCGUAAUAUCCCCGUUUCUGAAGUUUGUGUUAGGUGUGGGGUUUCGGCUGAGGGCAUUCUUCAUGCUGUGAGAGAUUGUAGUUGCAUUAAGAAUCUAUGGCUUAGUCUUGUUCCAACCUGUCAUCAACUUGCUUUCUUCCAAUCCAACUUACGUGCAUGGGUUGCUGCCAACAUGCAAAAUACGUGGAAAAUUGAUUCGGAGCUUCCUUGGGAUUGUAUUUUUGGAGUGGCUAUUUGGAGAUUAUGGUUUUGGCGUAAUCAAUUUAUUAUGGCUGGGAAUUUGGUAGAUAGCAAGACAAUAUAUUCGGAUAUUAUGGCCAGAGCUAGUGAGAUCCAUAGAAUUAAUAACUCACAUCUCAGCCCACAACCAAGGCGUAAGGAGAUUUUUAUUGGUUGGUUGCCUCCUCCAUGGCCAUGGUGUAAGUUGAACACAGAUGGUUUCUGUAAACAUACAGGAGCAACUGCAGCGGGUGGGGUUAUUCGCGACUCCGUUGGUAACUGGGUCUCAGGCUUUAGUAUGAAUAUUGGGGAAAGCUCAGUGAUUAUGGCUGAACUUUGGGGCCUGUAUCAAGGAUUGUCCCUCGCCUGGAAUGUUGGAAUUAGACAUCUUUUGGUGGAAGUAGACAGCCUCUGUGUAACUCAGAUGAUUUCUCAACAGAUGGUUGUGCCUAAUGUCUCCUACGCUUUAGUGGUGGCAAUUCGUGAUUUUUUAAACAGAAAUUGGCAGAUUAAUAUCUCGCAUAUCUACCGUGAAGCGAACUCAGCUGCGGAUUUCAUGGCAAAUAUGGCCCAUUUAAUACCGCAUGGUCUACAGUUAUUCUCUAACCCGCCUGUGGGUAUUUAUUCUAUUCUUUCACAAGACAUGUAUGGGGUUUGUCAACCCCGCAUUAUUCCUAUCUAGCUCGCCUUGAUGAGCCCCUUUUAAUAAAAAAAAAAAGAAGAACAAAUCGAAACAGAGCUCAGUUAAAAGUUUCUUCUGCCGUCAUAUUUGAAAAAUGAAACCAUUUCCAGGAAGCAAUGGGCAGCAAAUUCAUAUAAAGCGUAGACAAUGAUGAGUAAAAAGGUAAUUCACAAUUUCACUUUUUUUUUAAUGAAAUUAAUUGUUUGGUUGGAGAGGAUAUUGUUAGAAGGCCAUUGAGCUAACCUAUGUCACUACUUGCCUAGAUUGCAGGGGGUCAAAACUCAAAAGAGGCAUUGAUUUUAAAAGGCAUCCAAUAAUUCUUGUGGCCAUAUAUCAAUUCAUGUAAGUUUGAUUGUAAUUAUUGGUGAAGGGGUUUCACUUCCCGUCUCUAAAUAAAAAUACUGAUUCUUUAAGGUACAUGCCACUAGGGAUUGCGAGAUUAACGAGUCUUUGGACAUUGGAAGAGCUCCUUGUGAGUGGAGGAGGAGGUGUUGAUGGUAGCAAAGCAUGUGGGCAGUGGGCUUGAAUCUCUUAAAAACUCGGAACUCCUCCAAGCGUAAGUAUACGUAUACUGGGAAAUGUGUUAGAUGUGGAUGAGGCUAAGAGAUUAGAGCUUGACAAAAUGAAAUACCUCUUUCAUUGAGACUUAAAUUUGAUGGGGAAGAAGAAAAAGAAGAGGGAAGGAGGAAGAAUGAGGAUAAUCAACUUGUUCUUGAAGCCUUGCAACCACCUCUGAAUUUGAAGGAAUUAGAGAUUUGGUCAUACAGAGGCAACAUUUGUUUUCAAAUGUGAAAAAAGAAAAUGUAAGGUAGUAAUUAAAUAUAUUAUAGCAUCAAAGCAAGAUUUGAUAUGAAUUUAAUACAACAAAGAACAUCAAAUCUGUGAUUCCUUGUCUAAUGUCACCAUCGAGCAACAAAUUUAAAAGCCUACCUAUCAAAUACACGAGGCAAUAAACGGAGAAAAAGUUGAAUUACAAGAACAAGUUUACAAUUCUUGUCAAUGGUUAAUGAUUCGUGAACUCGGACAGCAUUCAAGAGUCUAAUUUCAAUACAACAACGUAAAAGAUAAACAGAUGAUGAAUUUUAUGAGAUAAAGAAGGAGAUCGUGUUUUAUCGUAUCUCUAUUUUCUUUCUUUUUAAAUUUAAAAUAAGCUUUUCAACCGGUUUGUUAACCGGUUAUAAUAUUUUUUAAAAUAAUUAAAUAUUUUCAUUAUUAAAAAUAAUGUGUACCGUUGAUUACAUCUAACGGUAUAUAUUUCUUACACUACUAAUACCGUAAAAAAAAAAUACGGCAUCAUAGAGGGACCUUAAAACAUUUUCAUUUGAAAUUAUUUGGUGAAGUGAAAAAGUUAAGAAAGAAAUAGUUGUCCCUUUGGUCAUUUCACGAAAAUGAAAGCCCCAUAUAACAUGGACUUGAAUGGAAGCCCAAUUGUUGUGUUUGAUUUCAAGCUUUAUCGGACCUUUGGACCUGGAUACUUUACUGCGGCCUCUAAGCGCUAUAAAUUUUUUUUUGGGAUAAAAGGCGCUUCAAUGAAAAAGCACUUUAAAACUUUGGAUUUUGCCAAAACUUCAAAGCGGUUGGUCCAGUUACGGUGUUAUGCUAACGGUUUUAAAGGUUCGGAUCCAAUGAGUUAGGGUGGAAUAUGAAUAUAUAAAUUCCAUAGCAUGUAAGGACUAGGAUUUGUUUGUUCAUAUCAAGAAAAAAGAUCUGAAAAUUUGAUGAUCAGAAGAUAAAAACACUUAAACACGUUUAUUACUGAGAAACAAACGACAACACGAUACUAGUAGUAGUUAUUCUUUUCAUCCGAUAUAUUACAUGGUAAUAUCACUACUCGUUCCACUGGUUUCAUAUACACCAUCGACCAGCAACAUGAUAAUUUUGUGUCAGUUCAUUUUGUUUGUAGGAAAGAGCAGUGUAUUUCUUAGAGCUUGAAAAUAAUAAAAAGAUUUUAAAAUAUAAAUUGCAUAUUUGUUUAUUACUGUUGUUUGGUCUAAUUUCUUAUGUAGAAUUUUCAGAAUCUGUAGGACGUUAAUUUAUAACUUUGGUAAUUUAAUUAUUUUCUUUUUAUUAAUGUCCGGACAAAAAAUUAUUAUAAAAGGGUAAUAUUGUAAAAGUAAGCCAAAAUAAAUAACAAAUAACGAUAAGAGUAUCAAUAUUUUAAUAGCAGGGAUAUUUCGAGAUAUUUUUAAAAAUACAGAGACUAACUGGACAUUAAUCUUAAAAUAUAAGGACUAAAUGAGCUUUUACCCUUUUUAUAAUCCACACCAUCCUGAUAUAAUUAAACACCAUUAAUAAUGUACCAGCCUUUUAAUAGUAAUUAAUUUAUUUAGUUGGCCACCUAAAAGAAUCCUGCAGGAAAUACUAGUUAAAAAAUUUAUUAAAUUUGAUUACCUCUGUAUCAUUAUAUAUAUAAAGACUGAAAUCCAAAUGAAAUAUUUUAUCAUUCAUUCAGCAAACACUUAUAAAACACAAAUAGUGAAUCUAUGCAUUGACAAUGUGGAUUAAGAAUUAUAACACAUGAAUUCAAACAUACCCUCGUGAAGUUAAGAAUAAGUUCAUACUUCAAAUGAUUUUUUUAGCUAAUAAAGCAAUCACUUUCAUUAAACGACAGUGUUGAAGGAAUUGUGCAAUUUUUUACGUUCUUUUCUAGACAGACGUUACAGAGAUGGGGAAAGUAGAGGACUGGCCUCAGAUAUCUCACAAUUAUUAUUCUUUUUCAUUGUUAUAAUAAUAAUUUUUUUCUUUUGACAGUUCUGCAGGACAAGUGAUCAGAGCUCAAUGAAUAUAUCCGUGGAGGGUGAACUUAGGUUGAUGUCAAAAGAGGUAAAUGAAUUGGCCUGUUUAUAUAUAUAUAUAUAUAUAUAUAUAUAUAUAUAUAUAUAUAUAUAUAUAUAUAUAUAUAUAUAUAUAUAUAUAUAUCAUAUAUAUAUAUAUAGAGAGAAAUGUUCCAGUCAGGAAUUUUAAAGUGCAGGAAAGUACGGGAAACCUUUAAAACCGCAUGGUUUUAAAGGCUUAAAACUGUAAGCCUUUAAAGCNNNNNNNNNNNNNNNNNNNNNNNNNNNNNNNNNNNNNNNNNNNNNNNNNNNNNNNNNNNNNNNNNNNNNNNNNNNNNNNNNNNNNNNNNNNNNNNNNNNNAGAAUUUCUCUGUUAAUAUAUAUAUAUAUAUAUAUAUAUAUAUAUAUAUAUAUCAUAUGAUGCAGGCCACAGCAGAGCAGGAUUAUGAAAAAGAGAAGCUUAUUAAUAAGUGUUUACUUGCUUUUGAAAUAUAUAUAUAUAUAUAUAUAUAUAUUUCAAAUUCAAGUUUACUUGCUUUUAUAUAAUAAGUGUUUUGGCCGAUUUAUCUAAUUCACCAAAUGUCAUUUCCGGUACAUAUCUCCAUUGGUAUCAAGAAGAGGCAGAACCCAAAGAAACGUUUCUUGCAUCUUCAUAUUUAUGCGAAUUCAUCCUUUCAUUGAGAAUAACCAUUUCCAGCCGGCAGUUGGCAAUCAAUACGCACGUCGAUGCUAUUCAUAGAUAUUAAAGACAAUGAUGAACCAAAGGUGAUAAAUCAUAAAUGUAUAAUUACCAAACAUCCAUCCUUCUCUCAUUAUGAUUUGAUUUUAAAUGAAUUAUUGCUUGGUAACAUUAUUUCCAACCAUUGCAAGAUUAUUAUUAUUAUUUUUUUUUGGGAGAAAUUUCAAUUGAAAGUGAAACCUUUAGACAUUUACCUAAUGAAGUUAGUUACUCGGGAGGGUGGAAAAAAAAAAGUUGACGCAAGUCAAUACACAAUAAUUAAUUAAAUCCGGAGUGACUAAAACAGAGCCACUACUUUUUCAAAAAUAUCUGCAUUCAUCACUUUCUCCAGCAGCUAGUCAGCUACACACGAAUCAAUUUCUCUCCUCGUUUGUCAUCCAAAAUUAUUCACCAAUACCAUGGUUGAUGCCGUCGUUUCCACUAUCUUGGAGCAGCUGAUUUCCUUCGCUGCUGAAGAGAUAAAACAACAGGUGAUCGAAGUUACACCCCUCAUAUUACAAAUACUUCCAAUGAUUUUAAUAAAUUUUGUUUUUAUCAAAAACAUUAUAUAUUUUUGCUUUAUUUUAUUUAUCUGGUAAUUUUAGAUUUUGAAAUUUGAAUUGAAUUUAAUUAAAAGGUGAUGUAGUUAGUAACCACUUAUUUUUAUUUUAUUUCAUUUAUAUUCUCAAUAACUACUCAUAUUUUGGUAACUUACUAUAACUUUCAUAUCUAAGAAAUGAUCAAAACCCACAAUUUUAACUCAGCACGAAUAUUCAACGUUGAGUCAUUAAUUCUAAACUCAGCACUGAAUCCCAUAGCUAUUACUUAGACUCUAUGAAAAAUUUCAUAGUUUUCUUACGUUCUUUGAGUUUGGUAAGUGAUUUCGUAUAAUUUCUUUUCAAGUUAAAUUUUAAUUUGGUUUAUGAUAUAGUCUCUGUGCCGAAUUGUAUCUUUUAUGAUUCUUGGAUUUUGGGCUUCAACUUUUUAGGAUUUGAUAGUCAUAUAUUUAUGCCAUGCUCAGAUUGAUUUUCAUGAUUUUUAGUAGCCGUUAAGUGACUUACAAUUUGACGAAAGUUUGAAAGGAAAAAUGUUUCAGGAUUCUGUUUUAAUUUACCUUUUAGUAGAAAUAGGAUGCUUAUAACUUAAUGUGGAUGGUUCGUAAAAUCAUGAAAUUUGGAUAGGAUUCACUAGAAAUAUGUACAAGACUCUCCAUAAAGUUUCAUAAUUUUUCAUUCGGUAUGGGGUGGUACAGGUGAAACUUGUGGUUGGUGUUGAAAAAGAAGUGAAAAGCCUUACCAGCCACCUUGAAGCCAUUCAAGUUGUGCUCGAUGAUGCAGAGGAAAAGCAAGUGAAGGACAAAGCUGUUAGUCUUUGGCUGGGUAGGCUCAAGUACGCAUCCUACGACAUUGAAGAUGUGUUGGAUGAGUGGAUCACAGCAAGACGCAAAUUGCAAAUUGAGGGUGGCGUUGAUGAAAAUGCUCUUGUUGUUCCUCAUAAGAAAAAGAAGGUAUGUCUCUGCUUUCCCGGCUCUUGUUUUGGAUUCAAACAAGAAGAAUUUGGUUUCAAACAAGUCUUUCUCCGUCAUGACAUUGCCGACAAGAUCAAAGAAAUCAAUGAAGAGCUACAUGAUAUUGCCGCUCAAAAAGACAUGUUUGAUCUUGUUAAGAGUGGCAAUAAAAGUAGUGAAAGACCAAGGCGUGUACAGAGUACCUCCUUGAUUGAUGAGGAAGAGAUUUGUGGUAGAGUUGGUGAGAGGAAUGAACUCAUAAGCAAGCUGUUGCGUGAGAGUAGCGAGCAACAAAAAGGCCUCCAUAUCAUCUCAAUUGUUGGUAUGGGAGGCAUAGGGAAAACUACUCUUACACAACUAGCUUGUAAUCAUGAUGAGGUGAAGAGAAAGUUCGACAAAAUUCUGUGGGUGUGUGUAUCAGAAACUUUUGAGGAGUUUAUGGUAGCCAAAGCGAUCGUUGAAGUUUUGGAUGGUCGUGAAUCUCAUUUAGCUGAAUUCCAUUCUCUUCUUCAACAUAUUUAUGAAUCAAUUGCAGGGAAGAGCUUUCUUCUUGUCUUAGAUGAUGUGUGGGAUGGAAAUUACUUGAAAUGGGAACCAUUCUACCGUUGUCUAAAGAAUGGUCUCCAUGGAAGUAAAAUUUUAGUUACCACACGUAGUGGGUCUGUUGCAUCCACGAUGGGAUCCACAGAUAUUAUCUCCGUCAAGGAGUUAGCUGAAGAGGAAUGUUGGUUGUUGUUUAAAAAGAUAGCAUUUUUUGAUCGGUCCAUCGAGGAACGUGAAAAAUUAGAACAAAUUGGGCAAAGAAUUGUAGGCAAGUGCAAAGGUUUACCUCUUGCAGCAAAGACAAUAGGGAGUCUCAUGCGUUCUAAACAAACUGAAGAAGAGUGGAAAAGAAUUUUAAAUAGUGAUUUAUGGAAAGUAGAAGAGAUUGAGAAAGAUGUUUUGUCCUCUUUAUUGUUGAGUUAUAAUGAUUUGCCAUCUAGAGUAAAAAGAUGUUUUUCAUAUUGUGCUGUCUUUCCAAAAGACUACGAUAUAAAAAAAGACGAACUAAUCACAUUAUGGAUGGCUCAAGGUUAUCUUAGUGCGGAACAAGAUGAAGAGAUGGAGACAGUAGGUGAAGAGUAUUUUGGCAUCUUAGCUUCUCGCUUGUUUUUUCAAGAGUUUAAGAAAAGUUAUGAUAAUCGUAUUAUAGAGUGCAAGAUGCAUGGUAUGGUACAUGAUUUUGCCCGAUUUGUAAGUCAAAAUGAAUGUUUUUCGAUGGCAAUUAAUGGUAGUGAAGAACCAAACGCCACAAACUCUCUUGAUGAGAAGGUCCGUCAUUUAAUGUUAAUCUUUAGUAAAGGGGCUUCAUUACCUGUUUCCACUCGUAGAGUUAAAAGAAUGCGUACCCUCGUAAUUAACGAUAGUAGAUCAUUAAAUGGCGAGAUCCUAGAAGAAUUAUUUAGGGAAUUGACAAGUUUAAGGGCAUUAGAUUAUGGCGGAUCGCCCCACUCAAGGCCGUUGUUGACUGCGGAGGUUCCAAGAAACAUAGAAAAGCUGGUACAUUUGAGAUACCUUAAUUUGUCUUUUCAGAAAAUAGUGAAACUACCGGAGACAUUGUGCGAGUUGUAUAAUCUAGAAAAGUUAGAUAUUAGUUGUUGUUUGUAUCUUAGAGAAUUACCUGAAGGGAUUGGGAAGUUAAUAAACAUGAAGCAUUUACGAAAUAGAGGUACUAGUUCUUUAAGGUACAUGCCAGUAGGGACUGGGAGAUUAACGGGUCUUAGGACCUUGGGUCAGUUCCAGGUGAGUGCAGGAGGAGGUGUUGAUGGUAGGAAAGCAUGUAGGCUUGAAUCUCUUAAAAAAUUGGAACACCUUCAAGUAUGUGGUAUACGUAGACUGGGUGAUGUAUCAGAUGUGGGCGAGGCUAAGCGAUUAGAACUUGACAAAAAGAAAUACCUCUUCAGUUUGACCCUUGAGUUUGAUAAGAAGGAAAGAGGAGGAGAAACGAGGAAGAACGAGGACGAUCAACUUCUUCUUGAAGCCCUGCGACCACCUCUGGAUUUAAAGGAAUUAGUGAUACGGUACUACCGAGGCAACACUGUUUUCCCCAGCUGGAUGACGUCAUUAAUCAACUUAAAGAGUUUAGAUCUCUCUUCCUGCGAAAAUUGCGAGCAGCUGCCUCCUUUGGGAAAAUUGCCGUCCCUUGAAAAACUCGGCCUAUCGGACAUGAAGAGUGUGAAAAGAGUGGGUGAUGAAUUUUUGGGGAUAGAAAGUGAUCAUCAUGGCUCAUCUUCAUCUUCAUCGGUUAUUAUUGCCUUCCCCAAAUUGAAAUCACUCUCAAUUGAGUUUCUGCGCGAAUUGGAGGAGUGGGAUUAUGGGAUUACAAGAACGGGAAACACCGUCAUCAACAUCAUGCCACGUCUUUCUUCAUUGACAAUUGUUGAUUGCACCAAAUUAAAGGCACUGCCCAACCACAUUCAUCAAACGACAACGUUGAAGGAAUUGUGCAUUGUGGAUUGUGAGCUUCUGGAAGAACGUUACCGCAAGGGGGAAGGAGAAGACUGGCCUAAGAUAUCACACAUUCCCAACAUAGAUAUUUUUUAAGAAGGAUUUGCGCAUUCGAGAUUUGGCGUUGACAAGUAAUUUCUUCUCUUACUCUGAUUUGCUUUGUUGUUGUUUUUAAUCUAAUUAAGAAGCGUAAAUAGCAUUUUGAAUCAAACUCUAUAUCCGAAAUCUGCAAUACAUACUUUCUAAUAUUCUGAUUUUCAUAUCCUACCAUUUUUAAUUUGUGAGAUGGGUAACGUUACUGUAAAAGAUUAUUAAUGGAACAUGAGUAAUUCUUUUGCAGGACAAGUGACCUACAUUUAGUUUGGCUUUGGAGUUGAAUAAUAACCUUUCAAGGCCAGGACCCAAAAGCAGGAAAAACAAAAAAAGGAACGAAGCUUAAUUUUGCCACAGAUUACAUGUAUUGCCAUUAUUGACAAGUUUCUGGACAAGUGAUCAAGGGUGAGAGUGGUGCUACAACAUUGAAUAAAGCAGUCGUGACUGAAUUUAGGUUGUGUCAAAAGUGGUAAAUUAUUUGCAUGUGUAGCUAAUUUGACCAUUUCCUGAUCUAUAAGUCUAUAUUAAUUUUGAUUUUUAGUUGAGUGAUUACAUUUCAAGGUUUGCUUACUUAACAGGGCGACCAAUUUCUUUUAACUAAAUGUAUUAUAUGAUGCAGGAAGCAAGGCAGGAUAUGAAAUAAGAAGCUUAUUAAUGGCAGUUGGCAGUGAAUGGAGGCCCUUGACUAAAUUCUCAAGCGGUUGCACUGCAAUUACGCUUAUCCGUAGCCUCAGGUAAUUUCUUCUUCUGCAUUUUUGUAAUUUGUUAUCUAAUUAAGGGGCGUGAGCUAUUUUGAAUCAAAUUCUAUAUCAGGAAUAUAUGCAACAUUUUUUAAAAUUUUGAUAUGAGAGUAAUGAUGGUAAUUUCUCUUUUUUGUCUGUCAUCGAAUGUUAAAUAACAUUCACUAAGACUCUUGAGAGUCAUUUUUUGACAAUUGCAGGACAAGCGACGAAGAGUGAGAAUGGUGUUAGAUUGGGGAUUGAGGCAAAAGGAGGUAAAUUAUUGGCAGAGAAUUUGGGAGCUUGAGUGUACAGGGAUUUGCAAUUACAAUCUUACUCUGCCUUAGGUGAUUUCUUCUCCUGCUUUGUCAUUGGUUGUUCUCUAGUUGAAAAGCAUAAAGUAUUUCAAUCAAAUUCUAUACCAAGAAUAUGCAAAACUUUAUUUCCAUCUGUUUGCAUUGAUAACUUUGCGGCAUAUGCGCUAGUUAAAGAACAAACAGAAACAGAGGUCAGGAACAAGUUUCCUCUGCCGUCAUAUUUGAAAAUGCAACCAUUUCCGGGAAGUAGUUGGCAGCAAAUUCAUAUAAAGUGUAGACAAUAAUGAGCAAAAAGGUGAUUCACAAUUUUAUUUUUUUUAAAUUAAUUGUUAGGUUGGAGUUGUUAAAAGGCCAUUGAGCUAACCUAUGUCAUUAGUUACCUAGAUUGCAGGGGGUCCCGAGACUCCAAAGAAGCAUUGAAUUUUAAAAGGCAUGCAAUAAUUCUUGUGGGCGUAUGAGUUUGAUUUAGAAUCAAACUCUAGAUCAGAAAUCUGCAAUGCAUAUUUUCUAAUAUUCUGAUUUUCAUAUCCUACUAUUUUUAAUUUGUGAGAUGGGUAACGUUACUGUAAAAGAUUAUUAAUGUAAUAUGAGUAAUUCUUUUGCAGGACAAGUGACCUACAUUUAGUUUGGCUUUGGAGUUGAAUAAUAACCUUUCGAGGUCAGGACAACAAAAAAAUGAAUCUUAAUUUGCCACAGAUUGCACUUAUUGCCAUUAUUGACAAAUUUCUUCACAAGGGAUCAAGGGCGAGGAUGUUGAUAGAAUAUUGAAUAAAGCUGCCGUGACUGAACUUACGUUGAUGUCAAAAGAGGUAAAUUAUUGGCAUGCCUGACUAUUUUGACCAUUACAUGAACAUGAGUUUACAUUAAUUUUGAUUUUGAGUUGAGUGACUUUUUAAGGUUUGCUUACUUAACCGGGUGAUGUGAUGCAGGAAGCAGGGCAGGAUAUGAAAUGAGAAGCGUAUUAGUGGAAGUAUUGCCAGUAACAGAACCCAAAAAAAAGUGGAACCAUUUUAAGGCAGCAGUUGGCAGUUGGGAGUGAAUGGAGGCCCUUGACAAAAUUCUCAAGCAGUUGCAAUGCAAUUACGAUCAUCCUCAGCCUCAGGUAAUUUCUUCUCCUGCUUUGUUGUUAUUUGUUACCUAAUUAAGAAGCAUAAAGUAUCUUGAAUCAUUUUCUGUAUCUGGAAUAUAUGCAACAGUCUCUAAAAUUUUGAUGACUGUAAUGAUUGUAGUUUCUGCUUUCUGUCCGACAUCGAAUGUAAGACGACUUUAUUAAGACUCUUGAACCGAGACAUUUUUGACAAUUGAAGGGCAAGUGCUGAAGAGUGGGAAUGGUGCUAGAUUGGGGAAUAAAGCAAAAGGAGGUAAAUUAUUGGUAGUUUCUGCAGCCUUGUUUUCUUUGAAUCAGCACCUGAUUCACAAGACUCCAUUAAUUUGGCUUUUGAUGAGCUGAGUGAUAAAUUUUCAAUUUCUUUGGUGCUAAAUGUAUGUGUGAAGCAGGUAGCAGGGCAUGACUGUGGAAAAGAGAAGAUUUUAGUGAAAGCUGAAACUCAGAUAAUUCUACAUUUAUCUAAUUCACGAAAUUUUAUUUCCAUCUGUUACAAGAUCAAACUGAAGCAGAACUCAAAGAAAGUAAUCUACUUCUUGCGGCAAUCUUGCCUUCGCUCAGAUUAUGAAACCAUUUCCAUGCACCAAAUUCAUCCAAAAGUUUGAAUAAGUUUCAUGGUUGGACACUGUUGGCUUCUUUUUCUUUUGGGGUGCAUUUUGGUGCUACCAAGUGACAGCUGCAAGUAUGAUUGCACUAACCUGCUGCUGGGAAAUUUGAGGUUUUGAUGGCUGCCCAUGUUAUUGUCAAGAAACUCCUCAUGUAAGAAGCUGUGGUUCUUUUCAUCAGCUUGAACCUGAAACUGUUGCUAUGGAUAACUCACGUUUUUAUUCUCAACUAUAUCAUCUUUUUUAGUGUUUUGAAACUCUUAAGAUUAAACUUUGGUAAAAUGUUUUCAGUUAUCCAUGUAAUCAGGCUGAGGAUAAUUUAGUAAAGUUGUUUCCGCUAUUCAAAUGAAAAACCCCAUUGAUUUUAACCAUGAUAAAGCUAAUGUUCCCAAUGAUUACUGCAGGUGAGACUUGUGAAGAGGGUGAGUGAGGCAACUGCUAAAAUUCCUGGCUGGGAUACAGUAACUAGAGGCUGAGAUCAGGUGGUGGAAUUUUUUGUUCCGUGGAUGAUACCAGAAUUGUCCAGAAAAGAUUUGUUGAUACUAAUUACAGAUGAUAGAAAGAGGUAUAGGUGGAGAAGAGAAAUCUGCGAGUCAAAUUAGGGAUAAUUGAUUCUGAUACUAGUUAUAUUGAAAAUAAUAAUAACAAUUGCAUGAAGAUAGUCAAUAUUCUUCUCUAGAUAUAUUGUAUGGACUUCCUUGCUGCCUUUAUCUAUGUGCAUGUUGACUAAAGCUAAUCUAGAAUCAAUAGAGAGGGAUAUUUAUCUAUUUUGUUUAACAUAAGAGUGCUGUAUAAUUUUUCACUAAAUACACCUACAACAAACUAUUAAUAAUAAAGUGAUAGAAGAAUGCCUAAAAUAUAGGUAUUAAUGUCAUAAUAAGCCCAUGUGGAUCUCAGUGCCGCAAGUUCGAUAAAUGGCUAUCAAGGAUUGCUUAUUAAGUCAAAAUAUUCAAAGGACAAAAUGGUAAAACUAUAAGGGUGGAGUAAUAUGGCUAUCUUGGGUUACAUAGUAAGUCAACUACAUUCAAAGUAUAAAAUAUUAGAACCUGAACGGCGGAGUAGUCGUCGUUAGAACCUGAACGGCGGAGUAAUCGUCGUUAGAAUCUGAAUGAUAUGUCUAAGACGUUGCAUGCAUCUAGAAAAUUGCAGAUGAUUAGACCUUGCCAUCUAUGCGUUGUAUGAGGUUAUAGCAACUAUCUAUCUGGUCACCGUUUUCAAGUCUCAAUUGGUAGUCCAAACUCCAAAGAAAAGAAUGAUUCUACAAUAGCAUUAAGUGUUAAUUGGACACAAAAAGAAAUGUUUUAACCACUUUAAGGAAAGUAAAUGUAAUUUUGUGUCCUAAAGAAAAGGUAAAUGUAUGCACUGUCAAUUAAUCUUUGGUCGACCAGCAACAUCAUAAUUUUGUGUAGGUUCAUUUUUGUUUCUUAGAGUUUGUAAAAAGAAUGGGAAGAUUUUAAAAUAUAAAUUUCAUAUCUGUUUAUUACUGUUGUUUGGUCUAAUUUCUUAUGUAGAAUUUUCAGAAUCUGUAGGACAUUAGUUUAUAAUUUUGAGAUUUUGCAGCCAUAAAUGUUUUUUUUUUCUUUUUUCUUUCUUUUUUUUUUUGUUGGCAUUUUAUUUUGCUCCUUUAUCUAUGUGCAUGUUGACUGGCUGCAGUGAGUGAAAAUUUACCCAUAUAUGCUGGCUAUUCUUGGACAAUAUUAGAGAAAAUAAUCAUAUUAUUUCGCUUGAUGUGAACUUCCAUAACUUAUCAAUUGAAUUGCUGUAAAAUAUUAAAUAGUUUUAUUUUUCUUUUAUCGUGUAACUUGGACCAAAAAAGGAAAUGAGUUUAACACGACCCUCAUUCUGCUUCUUGCUUUGGUUUCAAACAAGUCUUUCUCCUUUAUGACAUUUAUUGUAAUUUCAUUUGGAGACAUAUAUCUGUCGUUCAAAUAUAUUUCAUACGUAAGCUGUUAAUAAUUCUGCUUGCAGAAAGCCUACAAAGCAGCUGUGUGAUGUAAUAGAAGACCAUAGUCUCGUCAAUUUUUCAACAUUAGAUAUUCAGGUCAUCAGCUUCUCAUGAAUUCUUUCCUGAGUUUCUUUGAAUUAUUUGUGAUGUAAUAACUUGUGCAUUUGAGAAACUGUUCUCAUGAAUUCUUUCCUGAGUUUCUUUGAAUUAUUUGUGAAUAAGUUCCUAAUCGGCUGCUUCUCCUCAGGAUAAGGAAAGUGUUGCAAACUGGUGAAGCAGCUGAUAGAUAAAAGCAAUGGGUACAUCUUUGCUGGCAUGGAUCGAUGCCAGUGCGGUUGAAUUCAGCAAGACUGCCGUUCGUGAUGUUGUUGAUUGGGAUUACAUUAAGGAUGAUGACAACAUUGAUUAAAAUGGGACGUGAAGAUAUAUGGUGUGCAAAUUAACCCAACCCAACCAAACCCGUACAUUUUAUCAACCCAACCCAACCCAACCCGUAAAAAAUCACACGGAUUAGGUUGGUUUCACGGAUUGGGCGGGUUAAUUCUAAUUUCUUUAUAAGUUUACCAAAAUUAGAUCUGCUUACCUUUGUUCAUUCAGCAACAACACUUACAAUUCACAGCUAGAGAAUCUAUCCAUUGACAAUUGUGGAUUAAAAUUAUAACACCUGAAUUCAAACAUAUCCUUAUGAAGUUAUGAAUUUGUUCAUACUUCAAAUGAUUUUUUUUUUCCAAGCUAAUAAAGCAACGACUUUGAUCAAACGACGACGUUGAAGGAAUUACGUAUUUUCAAUGUCCUUUGCCAGACAGACGCUGGAGAGAGGGAAAGGAGAAGACUGGCCUAAUUAAGAUAUCUCACAAAGAUUAUUAUUGAGUUAAAAUGUUAUUGUAAAAGAUGUUUAAUACAAUAAUAGUACUUCUUUUGCAUUGUUAUAAUGAGGCUGGCGGGUUUCCUCAGAGGAUGGAUCUGGCUCGCUAGUAUGCAUUUGGGAAGCUGCUAAUUAUCGGCCAUAAAAAGUCAGGGGGUUGUGGCUCGUCCGUCGCCCAGAAAUUCCUAAACUCAUAUAUCAAACUUCAGAUGAACUUGGGCAUUAUGUAAAUAUGUAUUUUUGAGAAUUAAACUAGUGCGUUAGAAAAAUUUUGAGCCAUUGUAAUCAUUUUAUUUUGCUAAGAGAAAAUUUUACUCUGUGUUUCGCUUUGCCUUUUGUUUUUUCUGUGAUAAUAUGAUUCAUACGAAUGUGAUUACACACUAUCAUGCAUCUAUUUUCAUUUGCUUGUCAUGAAUGAUCAACAUGCUCGAAAUAUUUAUUUAGGUUGGAAAUAUUUAAAUCUAUUAAAAUACUAUACACACCCAUUUAAAAAUAAAAAUAUGAUUAUCAUAAUGAUCGCGAAGAUAACACGAUAUCAUACAUAAAAUAAAAUAUUUCGCAAAAAAGAAAAGAUACACUUGAAUACAUUGGUAUAAAAAAUAUUUUAGUGGAUUCAAGUAGCACUAAUGCCCCCUUAUCAAAAAAUAUAUAAAGAUAACUAAUCUGAUUGGGUAUACCGUGUGUGUGUGUAAUAUUUUUUGAUAUUAUUAUAUAAUAUUUUUUAAAAAGAAGAGAGUGGGCAAAGUCCAAAUCAAUUUUCUAAUCCCUAUCUCCUUUAGGAUUUCUAGUCAAAGAGGCUAAAUUGCACGAAAUUGUGCUAGCUUAUUUGAUUUUAAAAUUUUCCAAUGCACUGUAACACACUCUCAUGCUUGUACAUAGCUCGAAAAUCUCUAGAAUUUACCAGAGUAGUGUACCAUGUAGCUUGUACAUAGGUUUUUCUGGAACACUCCAAGCGUUACUAAGCAUAAGAGCUUUGAGAACUCUCUAGACAUAAAACAUUCAAGGGUAGGCCUACCCUAAAAAUAGGGCAUGAUGAUUGCCAUUUGAGCAUACAAGAAGUAAGAACAAAUCAAGUAUAUUUGUAAGCUCCCAAACUCUCUCGUACACACUCUUGUGAAUAAUAUGCUUUCUCUUUGACUACAUUACUCUCUCUUCUCUCUAGUUUUUUUCGUAAGUAUCAUAGCUUAGCUAGUCGAAAAGUUCAAGUAGGAAUGAUAAUUUUUCCUGACAGGAUGUGGGAUCCCAUCUCAUUUGGGACGGGAUUGGGACACAUUUUUAUCCCACAAAAAAAUAUAGGGACGGGAGUAGAAAUUUUUUUAUCCCACUUGUAUAUAUGGGACAGGACUGAGAUUAACAAAUUCAGUCUCGUCCCGUCCCGUCUCAUUACCAACUAGGGAUGGAAAUUUUUCCAAUUGGGAUGGGCUCUCGCAGAAUCCCAUUUAUUUUGGGAUGCAAUUGAGACAUAUUUUUAUCCCAAAAAAAUAUAUCGAGAGUGAGACUUUUUUUUAUCCCACUUGCAUAUUCGGGACGAGACUGAGAUUAGUAAAUCUCACCCUAUCCCAUCCCAUUGCCAACCCUAAGUUCAAGGCUUACUUUGCAAUUAUCUCAUAAAAGUUGUUUUAAGUACCACAGGAGUUUGUUGUGCAAAAUACUCAUCCCGUGACAUUAGCUAAAUAAAAUUAUUUGAAAGCCACUUACCCAAACUAUUAAACAAAUAUUAUUCUUUUAAUAUGUAAUCUUUUAAUAUAAAACUUUUGUCUUAAUUUUCUAUCUCCUACAAUAAAUUUUAUGAUUUUAAAAAUUGAAAAAAUUAGUAACUUUUAGAUAGAGCAUUCCUUACUGUGAAAAGAAAUAUGAAUGGUAAUAUAAAACUUACUUAUUAUAGUAUAAUGCUUUUAGUUUUUUGAAAUAUAGGUUCUUAUUUUUUUCAAGAUAAAGUUCAAAGAAAACAAGUUAAAUGUUGUGGAAAAUCUUACGCACAUACAAUAAAUUAUGACAGCUAAAUGCAAACCUGGCUGAAGUAUUAGUUGUUUUAUUACAGAGACAAAAGGACAAUAUCACUAUCCAAGUCAAAAGCAACUCAAUGUGAGUCUUAGGGCACUCGCAGUGAAUCCCAAGAUAAACUAAUUUCACUAGCAAGUUGGAUACCAAAGAGUAAGGCUUCAGCCUCAAUUAUAUUAACAUUAGCUGAGUAAACAUUAAAUACCACAAUCAAUCUCAGAAAUCAUAAUUAAACUAUCAUGAUUAAAAAUAAAGUUUUUUUUUUAGAUAUCCGUUUGUAGUAUCUCUUUAGAUGACAAGUAGGAGAUAAAGUAAAUAAAUAUUGGUUGCGUAAAUAAAAAUAAAUAAAUUUUUUAACUGAAAAAAAAAUUCCUAAAAACUAAAUAGUUCAAACUUUUUUUAACAUGAAAUAAAUAUUUGAUGCGUAAAUAAAAAAAAUUUAACUGAAAAAAAUUCCCAAGAACUAAAUAGAUCAAACUUUUUGUUUAACAUCAUGGGUUUUGUAUAUUCAAUUGAACCGAACAACUAAAUUAAAUCGAAAUUACCAUGUUCGGUUCAAAUGAAUAGACGAAAACCGAACAGUUUAUAUUUUUAUGAACUGAUGGUGCGUUUACUUCAUGAAAUGAAAAUAUGGUGGAAUGAGAAUGUGUUAAAAUGAAAAUGAGGAAUGAGAAUGAGAUUCUAAUGUUUAUUUAGUAAAAAUAAAGGGAAAUGAGAAUGUGCUGGAAUGUCAUUGAUGUGUUUAUUUGACAAAAUAAAUGACAAAAGUAUCAAUUCGGAUCCUGCUAAUGAUAGUUUGCCAUAUCCUUUGUCAUUGAACUUUCUUACAAAUGCUGUGGUUUGUUGUAGUAUAAUUAGUUCAAUCAGAAACUUCCUUGAUGUUAAUAUAGAUAUGAGUGUGCUGUGAAUAUUGAGGACUUCAUUAGACUAAGUGAUGUGAUGAUGGAGCAUUCACUUGGUCCCAAUGGAGGUUAGUCAGCCCAUUGUUGUUUACUCUUUCUUGCUUUAUCACGCAAUGAUAUUCCUUUGCUUCACAACAAAUUUCAUGAAAUUAACUUCAAUCGAGUGGCUAUGUUCAUACGCUAUUGAGAUUUUAUGGACAAUGAUUUGGUAGACUUUAUAUGCCGUCUUCUUUCUUUUUGCAGUGAUAUGUUUGUAUGCAAUGCACUUGUACUUGUUCUAUGGUUUCUAAAGUAGGCGUUUUUAUGAUAAACUAGGUCUUGGGUAUUGUAUGGACUAUCUAGAGAAGAAUAUUGACUGGUUGCAGUCGAAAUUGGAACCACUUUUGAAAGGUAAGAAGUGGCCAUUUUCCUUCAUUCUAAUGCCAAUAAUGCUGUCAUGAGACUCAUAAAAAUUGUUAAAACGUUAAUGUUUUUGGUAUUUUGCAGAUCAUUAUCUUCUGUUUGAUUUUCCUGGCCAAGUUGAAUUAUUUUUUCUUCAUUCCAAUGCCAAGAAUGUUAUAAUGAGACUCAUAAAGAAGUUAAAUCUCAGGGUAUUGUUACAUCUUACGUCUAUGAAGGGACUCAAAGAGUUGAGAUGAAUUCAUCAUUAUUAUUUUGAUGCCAGAAUUGUGCAAUUCUCAGUUGCUUCCUUUCACAUGCAGUUGACUGCAGUGCAUCUAGUUGAUGCGCAUCUUUGCAGUGACCCCGGGAAGUAUGUUAGUGCUUUGCUUCUCUCGUUGUCGACGAUGCUACAUCUGGAAUUUCCCCCAUGUCAAUGUCUUGUCUAAGAUCGGCCUGAUUGAGAAUUAUGGAAAGCUAGGUGUGGUUUUAAGUGUAGCUCUCCUACUUGUUUGUUUAGAUUGAGAUAUCAGAUAUUGUCACAAGCUCCUAUCUGCUACAUUUCCUCACCAAUCAAUUACUUUGGGUAUGUUGCAGCUUUUAAUCUCGAGUACUAUACGGAUGUGCAAGAUUUGUCAUUUUUACAGCAUGCUCUGGGUCAGGACCCUCGUUCUGCUAAGUAUAGGUUUGAAUUCUAGCUGAAUCAAUGAUGCAAAUUAUGUCCAUUGCUAUUUCUGACUGUCGUUUCUAUCAUUUUCAAUUGUUACCUCCCCUUGCCAUCUACUGCCAUACUGCAAUGCCCACACAAAUGUUAUGAAAUUUGUCAAUGGAAAUGACAUUCUAUUUGUCCAGAGACAGCUCUUAGAUGCAAGUGAACAAUUUUUGGCUUUGGCCGUAGUACAGCCUUAGAUUUCAACUUGCCAUAUCUUGUCUCGGAAGUCAAAAGAAAGCAUAUAUGUUAGCCAAAUUUUAUUUGAAUUUCUUGUGUAACAAUGAAUGGGGAAAAAAAACAGUUCCUCUUUUGUUUUGAUCAGACUCAAUGAAUAAGUGGUUAAAAUGUGCCUGUACUAGAAAUAUAGAUGUGUGGUUUCAUAAAAUUUUCUUGAUCUUAAGAAAGAGUUAUCUUGAAAAGAAGAUAACAUGGGGAAUUGAACAACUAUACAGUCAUAUUGAUGUCUGUCAACUUGGGUCAUAUGGUGUCGUUUGGAUGGAGAUGUUAGGUCCCAGAUGGUAAACUUGUUAUCGAAUUCCAGUCUACUUCAUUCAUGCUUUGAUGACAUAUGUGGUGCAGCUUCUUAUCUAAGACCUGCAUAUGUUACAGUCAACAUUCUGUUCUGUAUUUGGCUGCCAUUCUUUUCAAUGAAUUCAAACCACUUUCUGAAUACUUGGAAAUUCAUCCAGUGUUGUCAUUGAGAUGCCAAUAUGAAAAGAAGCCAUAAUUGCCCUUGAUAGUAUGCUUAUUGAUUGCCUCUUGCCUCACUCAACCUCAGGAAUCUGCUUGUAUGGUGUUCUUCUAAUUUCAAUUGGAGAUAAAUAAUAUCUGUUGUUCAAAUAUAUUUUAUUUACAAGCUGUUAAUAAAUCUGCUUGCAGAAAGCUUACAAAGGAGCUGUGUGAUGUAAUAGAAGUCUACAGUCUGGUCAAUUUUUCAACCUUAGAUAUUCAGGUCACCAGUUUCUCUUGAAUUCUUUCUUGAGUUUCUUUGAAUUAUUUGUGAAUAAGAUCUUAGUUGACUGCUUCUCUUCAGGAUAAGGAAAGUGUGGCAAAACUUGUGAAGCUGAUAGGUAAAAGCAAUGGGUACAUCUUUGCUGGCAUGGAUGCCAGUGCAGUUGAAUUCAGCAAGAUUGCCGUUCGCGAUGUUGAUUGGGAUUAUUUCGGAUAUCCUUCUUUUCACCUAUUUUCAAUCUUGUUAUUCUCAUAUUCAUAAAACUUUUUGGUUAUUUAAUUAUGGUUCAUCAUAUGCAUCUGCAUCUUCUAACUUGUUCGUUUGAGAAACUAAUUUUGCCGUUAGGUAGGCUUCGAGCUUGAUGAGUUGAUUCAUGCUUUUUCAUAAAUGUACCAAAAUCAUGGAAACUUCUUUUUCCCAGAUAUUGUAUCCACACUUUUCCCAUAUAAUUGGGUCAGACAAGUUUUGCUUAACAAAGAUAUCUACAGUAGCCGAAGUGCAGGAGAAGUACAUUAAGGAUGAUGACGAUGUUAACUAAAAUGAGACGUGAAGAUAUGUGGUGUGCAAACCGUAAGCCUGCCUCUUAAUUUUGUGCAUGUUUACUUGCUUGUGAUUCACGUUUGUUAAUCUAUUUUGCUCUCUUGCAGGAGUUAUAAAGUUUUCAAUCAAUCAAACAUUUAACUCAAGUCCUUAGCUCUUCACGGCUUGAAUGGGUCAGAUAGGACAAGCGCCGAAGAGGUGGUUUUAAUCAAACCCCUCCUAAUUAUGAUGUAUGGUCCGAAUCUCGGACUUUUUGUACAAUAUCAAGCGAUUUUUUUUUGGUUGAAUCGGCUAGUGUACGCAAAUGUCGAUUAUUGAUUUUUCUCCAGUAUUGUUUGUAAUUACAAGAAACGAAGUAAUGAAAUUUAUCACUGCGUUCAUAGUUAUGCUUAAGCUCAAAGAUUACCGUCAAGAUCAUUUUGGGCCCUCAAAGAAACAUGAUGUUGACACAUGUAAAAUUAUGAAGCUUGUGAUUAAAAUACUUUUCACAUAUAUAUGUUAAGUUCUAUUAAUAAUUAAAUAUAUGAAUAAAUAUGGUCAAUGAGGAGAGGAUAAAAUAAAAUGGUUUCAUUUUUUGAAUUACCCAUCCGCUUCAAACUUCUAAGAAGUAGAUAUACAAUCAGUGGAAUACUGAAUUGAGUACGAGCUGCGGAUAACUUAUAAAAUUGGGAUACAAGCUUCAAGGAAAGUGUAUUGCUAUUCAAAUGUAGAUUUCAAAUUAAGAAGAUAUGCCAACAAAUUAUUCUAAAUGAUGAAAUGAGCUAUCUUGAUCAAAAGGUCAAGAACCUACCUUACUUCUCUUAGAGAUAACUUGCAUCAACCGUUGUGGUAUUGAUACUUGUCUUCAGCUAGUAAAAGUGAAAGUUUCACAAUUGAAAUAAAGCUAAGGGAAGAUGCUAUGCUCCAUUUAUUAUUAUUAUUAUUAUUGACGUGGUCGAGAAGUAAAGCCGUGCAUAUGAUGAAGUAUAAAUAAGAAUGCAAUAGCCCGGAAUUCAUUUACACAAACACUUCAAUAUCCUUUCGAUCACUUUUGCAAACAUCAAUUUGUCUCCUCUUGUAUUCACCAUGGUUGAUGCCAUCGUUUCCCCUCUCGUGGAGCAGCUGACUUCCUUCGCUGCUAAAGAGAUAAUACAACAGGUGAUCGAAGUUACACCCCCCAUAGUAUAAAUACUUCUAAUGAUUUUAAUUGGUUUUGUUUUUAUCGAAAACAUUAACUUUGCUUUAUUUUACGCAUUUAGGCAUUUUAAAUUUUGAAAUUUGAAUUGAAUUUAAUUAAAAUGUGAUUUAGUUAGUAACCACUUUUUUUUUUCAUUUAUAUUCUCAAUAACUACCCAUAUUUUGGUAACUUACUGUAACCCCCGUAUCUAAGAAAUUAUCAAAACCCACAAUUUUAACUCCACAUAAAUAUUCCAUGUUGAGCUAAGUUCGAUGUUGAGGUAAGUUUUUUGCAUAACAUUCAAAUUUGUCAAAUAGUCAUUAAUUUAAUGUUUAGUAAAAACUCAUCUCUGAAAAAUUUCAUAAUUUUCUUACAUUAUUUGAGUCUGGUAAGUGACUUCAUAUAAUUUCUUUUCAAUUUAAAUUUUAAUUUGGUUUCUGAUAUAGUCUCUUUACUGAAUUUAUAUCUUUUAUGAUUCUUGGAUUUUGGGCUCCAACUUUUUAGGAUUUGAUAGUCACAUUUUAUGGCAUGCUUAGAUUGAUGUUCAUGAUUUUUAGUACUCGUUAAGUGACUGAGAAUUUGACAAAAGUUUGAAAGGAAAUCCGUUUCACGAUUCUUAUGUGGAAGGUUCGUAAAAUCAUGAAAUUUGGAUAGGAUUCAUUAGCAAUAUGUACAAGACUGUCCAUAAAGUUUCAUAAUUUUUCAUUCGGUCGGGGGUGGUACAGGUGAAACUUGUGGUUGGUGUUGAAGAAGAAGUGAAAAGCCUUACCAGCCACCUUCAAGCCAUUCAAGCUGUGCUCAAUGAUGCAGAGGAAAAGCAAGUGAAGGACAAAGCUGUUAGACAUUGGCUGGGUAGGCUCAAGUAUGCAUCCUACGACAUUGAAGAUGUGUUGGAUGAGUGGAUCACAGCUAGACACAAAUUGCAAAUUGAGGGUGGCGUUGAUGACAAUGCUCUUGCUGCUCCUCAAAAGAAAAAGAAGGUAUGUUUCUGCUUUCCUGCCUCUUGUUUUGGAUUCAAACAAGAAGAAUUUGGUUUCAGACAAGUCUUUCUACGUUAUGACAUUGCCAACAAGAUCAAAGAAAUGAAUGAAGAGCUACAUGCUAUUGCUACUCAAAAAGACAUGUUUAAUCUUGUUAAGAGUGGCAAUAAAAGUGGUGAAAGACCAAGGCGUGUACAGAGUACCUCCUUGAUUGAUGAGGAAGAGAUUUGUGGUAGAGUUGGUGAGAAGAAUGAACUCAUAAGCAAGCUGUUGCGUGAGAGUAGCGAGCAACAAAAAGGCCUCCAUAUCAUCUCAAUUGUUGGUAUGGGAGGCAUAGGGAAAACUACUCUUGCACAACAAGCUUGUAAUGAUGACGAGGUGAAGAGAAAGUUUGACAAAAUUAUGUGGGUGUGUGUAUCAGAAACUUUUGAGGAGUUUAGGGUUGCCAAAGCAAUGGUUGAAGCUUUGGAUGGUCGUGAAUCUCAUUUAGGUGAAUUCCAAUCUCUUCUUAAACAUAUUGAUGAAUCCAUUGCAGGGAGGAGCUUUCUUCUUGUCUUGGAUGACGUAUGGGAUGGAAAUUACGUGAGAUGGGAACCAUUCUAUCGUUGUCUAAAGAAUGGUCUCCAUGGAAGUAAAAUUAUAGUUACCACACGUAGUGGGUCCGUUGCAUCCAUGAUGGGAUCCAUAGAUAUUAUUCCCAUUAAGGAAUUAGCUGAAGAGGAAUGUUGGUUGUUGUUUAACAAGAUAGCAUUUUUUGGUAGGCCUAUCGAGGAACGUGAAAAAUUCGAACGAAUUGGGCGAAGAAUUGCAGGCAAGUGCAAAGGUUUACCUCUUGCUGCAAAGAUAUUAGGGAGUCUUAUGCGCUCUAAACAAACUGAAGAAGAGUGGAAAAUAAUUUUAACUAGUGAUUUAUGGAAAGUAGAAGAGAUUGAGAAAGAUGUUUUGUCCUCUUUAUUGUUGAGUUACAAUGAUUUGCCAUCUAGAGUAAAAAGAUGUUUUUCAUAUUGUGCUGUCUUUCCAAAAGACUACAAUAUAAAAAAAGACAAACUAAUUACAUUGUGGAUGGCUCAAGGUUAUCUUAGUGCAGAAGAAGAUGAGGAGAUGGAGACUAUAGGUGAAGAGUAUUUUAGCAUCUUAGCUUCUCGCUCUUUCUUUCAAGAGUUUGAGAAAAGUUAUGAUAAUCGUAUUAUAGAGUGCAAGAUGCAUGAUAUGGUACAUGAUUUUGCCCGAUUUGUAAGUCAAAAUGAAUGUUUUUCGAUGGAAAUUAAUGGUAGUGAGGAACCAAACACCAUAAACUCUCUUGAUGAGAAGGUUCGUCAUUUAAUGUUAAUCUUUAGUAAAGGGGCUUCAUUACCUGUUUCCACUCUUAGAGUUAAAAGAAUGCGUACCCUCUUAAUUAACGAUAGUAGAUCUGAUCAUUCAUUAUUAAAUGGUGAGAUCCUAGAAGAAUUAUUUAGGGAAUUGACAAGUUUAAGGGCAUUAGAUUUUGGCGGAUCGUACACACAUUUUUCUUUGACUCUGGAGAUUCCAAGAAACAUAGAAAAGCUGGUACAUUUAAGAUACCUUAAUUUGUCUUGUCAGAAAAUAGUGGAGCUACCGGAGACAUUGUGCGAGUUAUAUAAUCUACAAAAGUUAGAUAUUAGUGAUUGUUUUAAUCUUAAAGAAUUACCUGAAGGGAUUGGGAAGUUAAUAAACAUGAAGCAUUUACGAAAUAGAAGUACUAGUUCUUUAAGGUACAUGCCAGUAGGGAUUGGGAGAUUAACGGGUCUUAGGACCUUGGGUGAGUUCCACGUGAGUGCAGGAGGAGGUGUUGAUGGUGGGAAAGCAUGUAGGCUUGAAUCUCUUAAAAACUUGGAACACCUUCAAGUAUGUGGUAUACGUAGACUGGGUGAUGUAUCAGAUGUGGGCGAGGCUAAGCGAUUAGAACUUGACAAAAAGAAAUACCUCAUCAGUUUGACCCUUGAGUUUGAAAAGAAGGAGGAAGGAGGAGGAAGGAGGAAGAACGAGGACGAUCAACUUCUUCUUGAAGCCCUACAACCACUUCUCAAUUUAAAGGAAUUAGAGAUACAGUACUACCGAGGCAACACUGUUUUCCCCAGCUGGAUGACGUCAUUAACCAACUUAAAGAGUUUAGAUCUCUCUUUGUGCCUAAAUUGCGAGCAGCUGCCUCCUUUGGGAAAAUUGCCGUCCCUUGAAAAACUCAGCAUAAUGUUUAUGCCUGUGAAAAGAGUGGGUGAUGAAUUUUUGGGGAUAGAAAGUGGUCAUCGUGACUCAUCUUCAUCUUCAUCGGUUAUUAUUGCCUUCCCCAAAUUGAAAUCACUUUCAAUUGAGUCUCUGGACGAAUUGGAGGAGUGGGAUUAUGGGAUUACAAGAACGGGAAACACCGUCAUCAACAUCAUGCCACGUCUUUCUUCAUUGGAAAUUAAUUACUGCCCCAAAUUAAAGGCACUGCCCGACCACAUUCAUCAAACGACAACAUUGAAGGAAUUGCGCAUUUGGGGGUGUGACCUUCUGGAAGAACGUUACCGCAAGGGAGAAGGAGAAGACUGGCCUAAGAUAUCACACAUUCCCAACCUCCAUAUUGGGCUUUGACAAGUAAUUUCUUCUCUUACUCUGAUUUGCUUUGUUGUUGUUUUUAAUCUAAUUAAGAAGCGUAAAUAGCAUUUUGAAUCAAACUCUAUAUCAGAAAUCUGCAAUACUUACUUUCUAAUAUUCUGAUUUUCAUAUCCUAUGAAUAUACGAUUUUUAAUUUGUGAGAUGGGUAACGUUACUGUAAAAGAUUAUUAAUGCAAUAUGAGUAAUUCUUUUGCAGGACAAGUGACCUACAUUUAGUUUGGCUUUGGAGUUGAAUAAUAACCUUUCGGGAACUGGUGUGGACUGGCAAAGGAUGAUGAGAUAGUUUUUUGAGUGAGUAAAUUUUGGGAGCUUGAGUGUAUUGGGAUUUGCAAUUACAAUCAUCCUCUGCUUCAGGUGAUUUCUUCUCUUGCUCUGUCAUUGUUUGUUCUCUAAUUCAAAAGCAUAAAAUAUUUCAAUCAAUUCUUAUACCACGAAUAUGCAAAAGUUUCUAAUAUUUUAUUUCCAUCUGUUACAAGAUCAAACUGAAGCAGAACUCAAACAAAAGUAUGCUACUUCUUGCGGAAAUCUUGCCUUUGUUCAGAUUAUGAAACCAUUUCCAUGCAGCAAAUUCAUCCAAAAGUUUGAAUAAGUUUCAUGGUCGGACACUGUUGGCUUCUUUUUCUUCUGGGGUGCAUUUAGGUGCUAUCAAGUGACAGCUGUAAGUAUGAUUGCACUAAGCUGCUGCUGGGAAAUUUGAGGUUUUGAUGGCUGCCCAUGUUAUUUUCAAGAAACUAUUGAUGUAAGAAGCUGUGGUUCUUUUCAUCAGCUUGAACCUGAAACUGUCGCUAUGGAUAACUCAGGUUUUUGUUAUCAACUAUAUCAUCUUUUUCACUAUUUUGAAACUCUUAAGAUUAAACGUUAGUAAAGUUGUUUCAGCUAUUCAAAUGAAAAACUCAUUGAUUUGAGACUUCCUUCAUUAUUGUUUCUAAUUACAAUGCUAACGAUCCAGAUAAGAUAAUAUUUAAUCGGCGAAGGUGUCCCUUGGAAGUACAUCCUUCUUUUUCUUUUAUUAUAUAAAUUCUUGCAAUGAGCUUAGUGAAGCUGUUGUGCUAAUCAUGCCACUGCAUAAUUUGGCCCCUAAUGUGGGUACUCUGUUACAUUGUUCUGCAAAUUCUCCAGAAGUUAAAAUCAAUAAAUUUUCUAUUAGCUCUAGUGCUUUGACCUAAAUGCUAUUCUAUAUUCUGAUUACAAUGUUUUAACCUUUAAAUUAACUACCCCUAGAUGUUGGAUUUUCUAGAACUUCAAAUUAUAUAUAACCUUUAAAUUAUAUAUUUCUGUGUCUCUAUUUAUAGAUGACAUUUAAGCAUCCAUAAACCGUCAGACAGAGGAAGGGGGUUCAGUGCAAAGAUUCUGUUGACCUAGGGUUGACUGCAUAUGUCACUUGUUCGCAAUCUAAUAUUUAUUUUAUAUUUUGAAAAAUUUAAUGGGUAAUCCUAAUUGUUUGUUUUGGCAGGUAUGUGUUGUUAUCUCCUUCUAUCUUACAGUCGUACCUAAAUAGCAUAGUUUCAUCUGUGUUACCAUGUGAUGUACAUAAUUUCACAUUUGCCUCAGAUUAAGCUUAAUUUCCCACAGAAUAGAGCUGUCGCGACUGGACUUAGUUUGAUGUCCAAAGAGGUAAAUUAUUGGCAUGCCUAGAUAAUUUGGCCAUUUCCUAAUUCAUAAGUCUACAUUAAUUUUGAUUUUGAGUUGACUGAUUUCUUUUCAAGGUCUGCUUCCUUAACGGAGUGACCAAUGUUUUUCAACUAAAUUUAUCAUAUGAUGCAGGAAGCAGGGCAGGAUAUGAAAUGAGAAGCUCAUUGGUGGAAGUAUUGCCAGUAGCAGAACCCAAUGAAAAUGAAACUAUUUCAAGGCAGCAGUUGGCAGUUGCAAGUGAAUGGAGGCCCUUGACAAAAUUCUCAAGCAGUUGCAAUGCAAUUACGAUCAUCCUCAGCCUCAGGUAAUUUCUUCUCCUGCUUUGUUUUUAUUUGUUAUCUAAUUAGGAAGCAUAAAGUAUCUUGAAUCAUUUUCUGUAUCUGGAAUAUAUGCAAGAGUUUCUAAAAUUUUGAUAUGAGUGUAAUGAUGGUAAUUUCUGUUUUCUGUCUGUCAUCAAAUGUUAGAAAACUUUCAUUGAGACCCUUGAACCGAGUCAUUUUUGACAAGUGAAGUGCCGAAGAGUGAAGAGUAAGAAUGGUGCUAGAUUGGGGAAUAAAGCAAAAGGAGGUAAAUUAUUGGCAGCUUCUUCAGCCUUAUUUUCUUUGGACCAGUGCCUAAUUCACAAGUCUCCAUAAUUCGGCUUUUGACCAGUUGAUAGAUAAAAUUUUAAUUUCAUUGGUGCUAAUGUACCCGUGAAGCAGGCAGAGAAGGACUGUGGAAAAGAGAAGGUUUUUAGUGAAAGCUUAAACGCAGGUAAUUCUAUAAAUUAUAUGUUUUUGCUGAUUUAUCUAAAUCAGGAAAUUUUAUUUCCAUCUGUUACAAUAAAACAGAAACAGAACACAAAGAAAAAUAGUCUACCUCUUGUGGCAAUCUUGCCUUCAUUCAGACUAUGAAACCAUUUCCUUUCACCAAUUUCUUCCAAAAGUUUGAACACGUUUCAUGGUUGGACAUAGUUAGCUUCUUUUUCUUUUGGUGCAUUUAGGUGCUAUCAAGUGACAGCCAUAAGUAUGAUUGCAUUAUUGGGAAAUUUUAGGUUUUGAUGGCUCCCCAUGUUAUUGCCAAGAAAUUUUAAGUCCUCAUGUCAGAAGCUGCGUUUCUUUUCAUCAGCCUGAACCCGAACUGAGGUUUUUGUCAUCAACUAUAUCAUCUUUUUCACUGUUUUGAAACUCUUAAGAUUAAACUUCAGUAAAGUUGUUUCAGUUAUCCAUGUAAUCAGGCUAAGGAUAUUUAGCAGCUUAUUUAGGCAACUGCCAGAAUUCAGUUUGUUUGCUCGAAACUUGUAUGGUGACAAGGAUACUGGCAAGGAUAGUGAGAUAGAUUUUUGUGUGAGUGAAUUUUGAAAGCUUGGGUGUUCUGGGAUUUGCAAUUGCAAUCAUCCUCUGCUUUAGGUGAUUUCUUCUCCUGUUCUGUCUUUAUUUUCUCUCUAAUUGAAAGCAUAAAGUAUUUCAAUCAAAUUCUGUACCAGGAAUACGAAAAACUUACUAAUAUUUUAUUUCCAUCUGUUUGCAUUGAUAACUUGGCCGCAUAUGUACUAGUUAAAGAACAAACAGAAGCAGAGUUCAGGAAAAAGUUUCUUCGGCCACCAUAUUUGAAAAUGAAACCAUUUCCAGGAAGCAGUUGGCAGCAAAUUCAUACAAAGUACAGACAAUGAUGAGCAAAAAGGUGAUUCGCAAUUUCAUUUUUUAAAAAUGAAAUUAUUUGUUAAGUUGGAGCUGAUAUUGUUAGAAGGCCAUUGAGCUAACCUAUGACACUACUUGCCUAGAUUGCAGGAGGUCAAGACUCAAAAGAUGCACUGAAUUUUAAAAGGCAUGCAAUAAUUCUUAUGGCCAUUUGUCAAUGGUGGAAUGCUUUUAGCUUCUUUUCCUUUCGUGCAUUUUGGGGUUCUAUCAAGCGACAGCCGUAUGCAUGGAUGGAUAUAGCCGCUGCGUUGAUUUCUAAUGCGUUGUAUGAUGUUAUAGCAACUAUCCAUCUGGUCAAUGUUUCAAAAGAAUAAAACACAGGGAAAAAGAGAAAGCAAGUGGCCAAUCAAGUAUUCAUGUCCCAAAGAAAAGAAUGAUUCGACAAUAGCAUUAAGGGUUAAUUGGACACAAGAGAAGUGUUUUAACCACUUCAAGGAAUGUAAAUGUAAUUUUCUAUUCUGAAGAAAAAGUAAAUAUAUGCACUGUCAAUUAAUCUUUGGUCAACCAGCAACAUUCAUAAUUUCGUGUAAGUUUCAUUUCUGUUUGUUGGAAAUAGCAGUGUAUUUCUUAGAGUUUGUAAAAAAUGGAAAGAUUUUAAAAUAUAAAUUUCACAUCUGUUUAUUACUGUUGUUUGAUCUAUUUUCUUAUGUAGAAUUUUCGGAAUCUGUAGGACAUUAAUUUAUAAUUUUGAGAUUUUGUAGCCAUAAAUGUUUUUGUUCUUUUUUUCUUUUUUUUGUUGGCAUUUUAUUUUGCUCCUUUAUCUAUAUGCAUGUUGACUAAAGCUAAUCUAGAAUCAAUAGAGAGGGAUAUUUAUCUAUUUUGUUUAACAUAAGAGUGCUGUAUAAUUUUUCACUAAAUACACCUACAACAAACUAUUAAUAAUAAAGUGAUAGAAGAAUGCCUAAUUUUUCGUACUUUUUAAUUUCUUUCAGCCCUAAAAUAUAGGUAUUAAUGUCAUAAUAAGCCCAUGUGGAUCUCAGUGCCGCAAGUUCGAUAAAUGGCUAUCAAGGAUUACUUAUUAAGUCAAAAGUAUUCAAAGGACAAAAUGGUAAAACUAUAAGGGUGGAGUAAGAUGGCUACCUUGGGUUACAUAGUAAGUCGACUACAUUCAAAGGAUAAAAUAUUAGAACCUGAACGGCGGAGUAGUCGUCGUUAGAACCUGAACGGCGGAGUAAUCGUCGUUAGAAUCUGAAUGAUAUGUCUAAGACGUUGCAUGCAUCAAGAAAAUUGCAGAUGAUUAAACCUUGCCAUCCAUGCGUUGUAUGAGGUUAUAGCAACUAUCUAUCUGGUCACCGUUUUAAAAGAAUAAGACAAAGGGAAAAAGAGAAAGAAAAGAAUGAUUCGACAAUGGCAUUAAAGUUCAACGUACCCCAAGAUCUUGUAAUAAUGCCAUUAAUCAUUCUCUAGCUAGGCUAGCCUUAGAGAAAAGUGAAACUGUUGCACAGGUAGAAUCACACCCCUCAGAGAUAAUGUAUUUAUUCAGCUCUUCGAAUGAAUGAAGUUUAUUUUCUCGUCAAAAAAAAAAACUGCUCGCUCCGCUGGUUUCAUACAAUGUCAACUAGAAACAUCAUACUUUCGUGUAAGUUCAUUUCAGAAUAUUUCUUAGAGUUUGUAUAAAAUGAAAAGAUUUUAAAAUAUAAAUUUAAUAUUUGUUUAUUACCGUUGUUUGGUCUAAUUUCCUCGGGAGAAUUUUCAGAAUUUAUAGGACAUUAGUUUAUAAUUUUGAAAUUUUGUAACCUAAAUGAUUUUUUUUUCGGUUACCAUUUUGUUUUCCUGCUUUAUCUACGUGUAUGUUGACUAAAACUAAUCUAUUUUGUUAAACCUUUACCACUCUAGACAUUGCACUAAAUAUGAGUUCGUGAUGCUUGCAUUUUAUUGAUGCUGAUGAUUCGUUGAAUGUUUUAUGUUUUUGAUUUUUAAGUAUUCCGGAUCGAAGUUUGUGUCUACGCGGAAAUUGUAAAGGCAGCAUAUAAAGUACUCGUCGUUCUUUAGAUUUUAUUGAGUACACUUUUGUCACAUUUAGCGUAUGCUAUACACUACUGAUUUGCGCAUUGACAUAUAUCUUUUUUUUUUAUGAGAGGGGGCUCGUCAAAACGAGCUAAACAGGAACAAACCGGGGGUUAGAAAUCCCAAACAAGUCUUGCGAAAUGAUAGAAUAAACACCCAUAGGAGGGUUAGAGAACACAUGGAGGCCAAGAGGAGCUGAAUGAGCCAUAUUAGCCAUGAAAUCCGCAGCUGAGUUUGCUUCGCGAUAAAUAUGGGUGAUAGCAGUCUGCCAAUUUCUACUUAGUAAUUCCCGGACAGCUGAUAAUAAAGCAGUGAACGCAUUAGGAACAACCACCUGCUUAGAAAUCAUUUGUGUAAUACAAAUACUAUCCACUUCCACCAACAACCGUUUUAUGCCUACAUCCCAAGCAAGAAUUAGGCCCUGAUACAGCCCCCAAAGCUCAGCCAUAAGCACUGACCUGUCCCCAAUUUUCAUACAAAAGCCGGAUACCCAAUGACCAACUGAGUCUCGAAUAACACCUCCCGCUCCUGCUUCCCAAGUAUUUUUACAGGAGCCAUCUGUAUUUAAUUUACACCAUGGCCAAGGCGACGGCAGCCAAUGAAUAUAAAUCUCCUGUCUCCUCGGCUGCUGGCUUAGGCAAGAAUUAUUUACUCUGCAAAUUUCUUUAGCUCUCGCCAUAACAUCCAUAUAGAUUGUUAGACUAUCCACCAGCUUUCCCUCAAAGAAAAAAUGGUUCCUCCAGAACCAUAGCCUCCAAACUACCACACCAAAGAUACAAUCCCAGGGGAGGGGAGACCCAAUCUUCCAUUUAUUUUGCAGGUUCCCAGCAAUCCAUUCUCGUAAGUUCGAAUUGAAGAAAGUGUUAUGACUGGCCAUCGGAACAAGCUUCCGCCAAACCUGCUUGAUACAGCUGCAGUCUCUCAAUGCAUGGAGGAUAUCUUCAACCGCACCCCCACACCUAUCACAAUCCUCAGGAACAUUAAUAUGGCGCCUAACAAGUUCAUCACGAGUCUUGAGUUUCCCAUGCAUAAGCUGCCAAAGAAAAAGGCGGAUGGAUUGAGGCCCCUUCCAACUCCAUGGAAGCUUCCAAUUUCUGUCAUGAACAGCAGCUUGAUGAUAGCAAAGUGAUUCAUAAGCUGACCGAACCGAAAACAUGCCGCUUGGAUCAAAGCCCCAGUAAAUAAUAUCAGCCCCAAGAUGAGGAGCCGGAGGCAAGACUGAAGCAAUCUGCAUGAGAAUACCAUGCGGCAGAAGAUGCUCAAAGCUCGACCAAUUCCAUCCCCCAUGCCCAUUCGUAAAGUCACUCACAGUGGCAUUGAUAAGCUCGUGAGGAAUCGGCAAGAUGGCAAGGCUGAUCAGAGGAUAUUUCGUAGCCCAACAAUCAACCCAGAAUCGAGUUCUAACACCAUCACGAACUGACCAGCGAGCUCCCUGCACUGUUGCCAACCACGUGCUACGAAUAGCCCUCCAAAUCUGAGAACCCGGUUUGUCUGAAAGAGACAUUGGUAGGUUGCGAGACUCCAAACCAUAUUUGGAGCAGAAGACUUGCACCCACAGUUUAUCCGAAUUGGAAACAACCUCCCAGCUCAAUUUCAUCAACAUCGCCUGAUUCAUUUCGUCCAUUUUUUUGAAUCCCAGGCCUCCAUGUUUUUUCGGCUUGCAAAUUUUGUCCCACCCCACCAUACUCAUCUUGUGACUCUUUGAAUUCCCAUCCCAAAUAAAUCUUCGACAAGCUUUGUCUAUUUUAUGUCUCACUGGAGAAGGAAGUAAGGUCGUUUGCAUGGCAUAAACAGGCAUUGCUUGCAGGACUGAUUGAGCCAGAGUGACGCGUCCAGCAAAAGAUAGAUGAGCCGCGUUCCAACCAGUUAACCGCUUAUCCACUUUAUCAAGGAUGGAUUGAUACGUGUAUUUAUUAACCCGCGAAUGGAUUAAGGGCAUUCCAAGAUAAUCACCCAAAUUAUUUGUGGCCGAAACUCCCAAAGUCGAGCCUAUGAUAUUGGCAUCCCGAGAAGCGACAUUUUUUGAGAAGAAAACUUUAGUUUUCAUUUUGUUGACUUUUGCUUCCGAACUCCUACAAUAAUUAUCCAGAACAGCAUCUACGACAUAAGCUUGAUCAAUUGAAGCUUCCGCAAAUAAAAGCAAAUCAUCUGCAAAAAAGAGAUGCGUUAAAGGAGUUCCAUAUUUGGCCAACCGGAUAAGCCUCCAUCUCCUCUCCAUCACCGCUUGGGUUAUACCAUGGCUUAACCGUUCAAUGCACAGAACAAAAAGAUAAGGCGAGAGGGGAUCGCCCUGACGGAUACCCCUUCCCGGAGUGAAAGCUUAUGUCGCCUCGCCAUUCCACAAAAUACGCAUACUAGCUGAAGUUACGCAUUCCAUGAUUAGUCUAGAUAAGUGAAUUGGAAUACCAGUCUGGUUAAGCGUAUCAAAAAUGAAAUCCCAACUGAGCCGGUCAUAAGCCUUCUCAAGGUCGACCUUAAUGGCCAUAAAUCCUUUCCUGCCAGUUUUUCUGCGCAUAGAGUGAACUACUUCCUGAGCCACUACAAUAUUAUCUACUAUAUGCCUCCCAGGAACAAAGCUCGUCUGAUUGGGGCUUAUUAGAUUGGGCAGCAGUGUUUGCAAUCGAGUGGCUAUAAUUUUAGUCACCGUCUUGUAGGCCACUGUGUAUAGGCUUAUGGGCCUAAACAUCUUUAAGCUAGUGGGGUGCUCCUCUUUAGGAAUCAAAACCAAGAGGGUAGUAUUUAUCUCUUGCGGCACCUUCCCCGUUGUAAAAAUAUCAUGAAUAAACCUGCAAAACGACGGACCAACCACAUGCCAUUGGGAUUGAUAAAAUAUAGCGUGCAAACCAUCCGUACCUGGGGCUUUCAGCGGCUUCAUGCUAAACACAACGUUCCGAAUUUCCUCCCUCAAAAUUGGGGCUGCAGCCCCAUCUACGUCAUGAGAAUCCAAGGCUGGGAAAAAGUUUGGAGCAUGGUAAUUCCGAUAAGUUGCAUUAUCACUUGUAAAUAGGUCAGAAAAAUACCCCACUACAUGCCUCCUUAUAUCCUCCUCAUCAUAUAGCCAAUUCCCCGAACAGUCUCGGAUGGCCUCAAUUCUAUUCCGCCGCCUUCGAGCAAUGGUUUUUUGGUGGAAAAAAUUCGUAUUUCUGUCCCCAUGCAGAAGCCAAUCCUUUCGAGAUUUCUGAAGCCAAAGAAUUUCCUCCGAUUCAUCACCAUUUCGAGCUCAUUUUGCAUGCGGGCUUAUAAGCGCAACAAACUGUUAGAGCUAUAAUUCUCUAGAGUAGCUUGAAUUCCAUUAAUCCGAGCCAUAAGCCGGCGUUUUCUCUGAAAGAUAUUCCCAAACACAUCUCGAUUCCAAGCUUGAACCUCCUGGACAAAAUGAGAGGCUGCUGCACUAUAAUGGAUUUGCGGAUUCCACACCCGCUUAAUAAAGUUAUGAAAAUGCUCGUGAGUUAACCAAGCAGCCAAAAAGCGGAAAGGCCUGUUCCUCCUGUGACCGGCCACAGCUCUCUCAAACCGAACCAGCACCGGCCUGUGAUCCGAGGCAACCUUCGGGAGGUGGAGGACAGAAUUAUUCGGAUACUUAUGUAGCCAAUCACUAUUGCACAGAGCUCUAUCAAGCCGUUUAAAGAGCAAUCCACGUGACCAAGUAAACCUUGGACCUUUAAACUUUAAAUCAAAAAUUUGGUGCCCAUCAAACCAUUUCCGAAACAGAUUACACACUCCUGGGUUCCUGGCCUCACCCCCCUGCUUUUCAGAGGCAUAUAAGAUAGAAUUGAAAUCCCCACCUAUCAGCCAAGGGCCUCGAAUUGAAGGCGCAAGGUUCUCCAUAUGGCUCCACAACUGUCUCCUUAGCAUUGGAUUUGGGCUGGCAUACACAGCCGUUACCCAAGACACAAAGGUCUUAUUCAUACAAAAUUUAAAGUGAAUGAACUGCCUAUGAUUAAUUAAGACUUCCACCUCUAUGGAAUUUCGCCAAAGAAGCCAAAUUCCUCCAGAAAAACCCACAGCUUCCACCCGGUGCGAAUACUCAAAUCCACUUUUCUUUAUAAAGUCAUCGGCUUUAGCACCACUAGUGCGAGGUUCCAUUAACACCACCAUCGAUGGAUUGUAGUUUUUAAUAAUUGUUUUAAACGAGCGCCUAAAUACCCCCGAGGCUGCCCCUUGUACAUUCCAGAACAUGAUACUAGCUGACAUAAUAAAAAUAACAGGAGAGAAACAAACGUCUACUGCUGCUGUCCAAGGACUUCCUCCAUCCACGCCAAUGGCGUUUCUUGAACCAUCUCAACUUCAUUCUCAACCAUCCCAUCGCCAUCAACACCAUUUAUAGGUACAACUGGAUGGUUAUGAGCACUGUCACCUUCAUUCACCCGAUGGAUGGUUUGAUCAUCUGGAGGGUCUGCUACUUGUUGUGGAUCCGGACCUUGCCUCUCUAUGUGUUCCGCGGUCACGUCCCUUUCAUCACCAUUAGGAAGGGUUUGGGAGGAGCAAACAAACACUGUGUGUUUAGAGGGGUCCAGGGUGGUUGCGAAUGGUGCCACGAGUUGAUUGCUAGAAGCUUUCUGAGGGAAAAUAUGGGGUUCAAAGCUUCGGUUUGCAUGAGGUAGGAUGGAUAUUUCCUUCUCUCUGGUGCUGAAGACACUAGGCUGGAGAGGGUUACAGGUAGGAGUUACUGGGACGUUUGGUUUCCUGCUCUGAUUCCUUGCUGCCACGGCCUUAUUUUGCGGCUUACGACGAGCCAUAGUCUUUGCUGAGGUAUCUGCUCUGGCUGUGAAAGUAUGGUUUGAUGCGGGCAUGAAAGGUUGCCGUGAGGUGGAAGGGAAGUCUGGGCAAGCCUCAUGCACAUGGUUUCCACCUUCAUCCGAGACUUUGGAUAAUAUGUGAAACCGUGAGGUACCAGCUCCAGUAAACUCCCUAUUACGGUUUGAGUCUCCAGUGUUCUCCUUACCAAUAUUCGGCUUCCUUCCUCUCCUAGUGGCAAUCAUCCAGGGUCCGAAUAGUUCCACAUUAUUAUCACCAUUACUACCUACAGCCUGCUGGCCAGGAGCCUCAUUUUCCGGCACUGCCUGUUGGGGUUGACCAGCAUCUUCAGGGCUUGUCGAACUCUUAGCAUCCUUACAGUUGCUGCUACUAUGCCCGUAAGAUUCCACACUUAUAACAAAUUACUGGCAAUCCCUCGUAUUCCACCUUCUGGAUCUUCCCAUCCAAUUCAAACUGAGAUACCAGCGGCCUUGUUAACGAGAUACUUACUGCAAGACGUGCAAAUCUUCCACGAGAUGAGGAGGCUGUAUUCGAAUCGAUUUUAAUCACGUUACCCACUAACUGACCCAGCUUCUGUAGAACUUUUCGAUUAUAAAGAUGAACCGCAAGGCCUGGUAAACAGAUCCAUACCGUGACUUGAUCAAGAUCCGCAUUUGUGAAAUCAAAAGAGGGUGUCCAUGGCUGCACAGUUAAAUAUUGACCCAUUAUAAGCCACGGUCCCUUAGUUAAAACAUCCAUAGCAUCCCCUACCGAUCUGAAACGAACCAGAUAAUAAUUGUUUUCCAAGUCAAUCACGGAAAAACCCAUGGCUGAUUUCCACAUGACAUUUAAUCUUGCACACAUAGCUCUAUAGCCAAUUGUGCGGCCAAGCAACUUCACAACCACCGAGUUCUUCCAAGGCUCACUUAACUUAGCAUGAACCCUAGCCGAAAAAGUGAUGGAUGGCAUGGGUCCCUCGUUAGUUUCAAUAAUGUCUCCUUCCUCAAAAUCCCAGUCCUCUAGUCCACCUCCAAUUCCUUGCUCCAUCGCUUGUGUUGCAUUCACUAGGGUUUCUUUGUACGAAAACUGUACAGUGGUAUCCCCAGCAUGUUCUUCAUCACGAAAUCUUGCUUUUUUAAUCGUUCUAGCCUCCCUAAACGGCGGGGGAAAAAUCCCUCCGGAGUUAGGGUUUCCUUCACGUCCGAGGUUUUCGGAGCCUUCCAUAUGGUGUUGAUCUUUUUAAGUCACUCGUUUCAAUAUUUCAUUUAUUUCCUUUUCAAGCUAACAAUUAAUGUAUAUGAAUGUGCGGAUGCAUUGACAUAUAUCUUAUUUUAUCAUUUUGAAUGAAUUGCACGGCGAGGCUUAUCAACUUUGGAUGAAUCCUCCAAUUGUCGCAGUCCAAGACUGGCUGCAGUGAGUGAAAAUUUACCCAUAUAUAUGCUGGCUAUUUUUAUUGGCGACGAAUUCGUUGUAGUUGGUCCAUCUUGCUAUUCUCGGACAAUAUUAGAGAAAAUAAUCAUAUUAUUUCGCGUGAUGUGACCUUCCAUAACGUAUCAAUUGAAUUACUGUAAAAUUAUUGUGUAAGUUUAGGCCCAAUGGCACUUUAGUUCAUCACAUGAUAGCCUGGAUUUAAAAGGAAAACUAUAUUGCAUUGCUUCAAAAAAAAAAUUUAAUGUUUUUAAUAUGAAUAUUUUUAACUAUAUUCAGUUAAAAUAAUAUAUUCUUAAUAUUAAUAUUCAUAGAUGAAAUUCUUUUGCGGAUUUAAGAAUAAAAUAUCAAAUAGUUUUAUUUUUCUUUUGUUGUGUAACUUGGACCGAAAAAGAAAAUGAGCUUAACAUGACCCUCCUUCCGGCACUAUGCAUGUUUUUCUUUUAUUUUUCUUGUAUUGAUGACAGUGCUCUUGGUGCUUCUCAUCUGCUUCUUGCUUUGGUUUCAAACAAGUCUUUCUCCGUCGAGACAUUUAUUGUAAUUUGAUUUGGAGACAUCUGUCGUUCAAAUAUAUUUCAUAUGCAAGCUGUUGAUAAUUCUGCUUGAGAAAGCCUUCAAAGCAGCUGUGUGAUGUAAUAGAAGACUAUAUAUGCAAGCGGGUACCGAGCUCGAAUUCUUUCUUGAGUUUCUUUGAAUUAUUUGUGAAUGAGUUCUUAAUCGGCUGCUGCUCUUCAGGAAAAGGAAAGUGUUGCAAACUGGUGAAGCUGAUCGAUAAAAGCAAUGUACCAUCUUUGCUGCCAUGGAUCGAUGCCAGUGAGUUUUUUAAUUUGUCAACCUUUUUAAUAAUGCAUAUGUGUUUCUUCAACUUGAAGCGGCAUUUAAGACGAAAGAAGUGAUCUUUAAAGCAUUCUAUAGCAUUAUCCUUUCCUAUUAUAUAUAUCCAAUUGCUCCAAAUUAUUUGUAAAUUACUGAACACGAAUGCUGAUGAAUAAACUGAUGGCUCUAUGUAUGUAUGCACAUGCAUGGAGAAAUUUUAAGUCAGACAUUCCCAUAUAUAACUCGUGCUACCAAAUCAUUAAAUAAUCUUGAAAUCAAAGUAAUAAUUAAAUACAAAUAAAUUGCUCGAAUUGUACAUAUAUCUGAAUCAUGUAGUGAAGAAAAUACAACAACAACAACCAAUGGCUCAAAUUCCCCAUCAACUUCUAAUCUCAACACUUUUGAGUGUCAGAAGCAUUACUCUGCUACCAGUUAACAAACAUAUAAUUAGUAAUUUGCCAUUCACUUCCCUUUUAGGCCUAACACAUUUUCUAUAAAGGAGCCACAGAGUGAACUCAGCAGGAAACACUCAAUUUCAACCUACGUAGGACCAGGAAUUUCAACCAAAAAAAAAGUGUGCAAUUGCUUAUCCUAUCCUAUUGCUACUAGAAAGAAAGUGAACAAUUAAUUUCAGUGAAUAAAUUAAAAAAAAUUACUUCUGCAGAUACUCAAGCUAAGAACACAUUAACCCAUUAAAGACUCCAAAUUGCAUCAAACAAAUUGUUGUUAAACAAGUAAAACAAAGAAAGAGAGUUAAGGAAGCUGACCUAGUAGUAGGGGAGCUGAAGAAAGACUGCCAGUGAAUGUAAGAGAAAAUAAAAUGCAAUAAAUGGUGAAGUGCAGCUUUUCAUGUCAACUUGAAAUUGUUUCUUCUGUUUUUUUUUUUUUUAAUCUUUUGGAUUUUUAAAACAAAGAAAAUGAGGAGCAACCAGGGAGAUAAAAAGGGCGCCAAGGCAACUGUGUGUUGGGUUUAGAGCCCAAAAAAAAAGGAGGAUAAGACAUCGUGUUCUUGUGGAGACCAGACCUAUUACGUAACGUCCCCUUCAAUACCACUUGUUCCGUAUCUGGUUUUUUCUUCGUCUUUUACAUAUUUAUCCUGUGAUUUUACAAUAACUAAAUAAUCCCCGCAUAGUUUGCAAUUUUAUUCAUUUGAGCCCUACAGAUUUCAGUAAUAGGUAGAGUUGGCAAAACGGGUCAUCGGGUCGUGUUCGUGUCAUGUCAAAUUUAAGUCGACCCAAACCCGACCCAUUUAAUAAUCGUGUCAAAAUAUUGAGACCUAAAUCCGACACGGAAAAAUAAUCGGGUUACCCAAUAACUCGUUUAAUAUCAAUAUAUUGAACAAAAGUUACAUCAAAUAUUUACACACUAUCAUACAUACAUACAUAAUUUAUCGAUAUUAUAAAAUAUAUAUAUCUACUAAUAUAUUACACAUUUACACUAUUGAGGUUUUAAUUAUAUAUAUAUAUAUAUAUAUACCUACGAUGAUUGUUUAAGCCGCGGUAAACGCUUCUAGAACGCCCUCUGGCAGGAAGGAAGGUACUCAAAGAAAGUGGAGAUGAGGGAAACUCCGCUGGAGUGAGGGGAUUUAUCGGAAUCUCGUUCAGAGUGAGGAGUCAAUGAGGGUUUGCUUGUACUUGUGGUUCUAUUGAUAGGUGUUUGCAAUGGGCUUUCGUCUCAGGUAGUUCAGUCUCCGGGGUUACGCUUAGUUUCAUAUAAAAUAAAUGAAGAAGACAGCUGGACUUCAGAGUGGGAUCCUCCUAUGUUGUCGGCUGUUUGUUUGUCCGCAGCUAUUACAGCUUGUGCUCGAAUAUAUAUGUAUCCAUAUAUUUCCAGAUAUUAUAUAUCAAUAUAUAUAUAUAUUAUUUAUCAAUAUUAUAAAAUCUACAUAUCUAUCAAUUUUUUCACAUUUACACUAUUGAAGCUCUAAAUGUAUUUAAAAUUUUAUAAAUAAAAUAUUAUGUUUAUAUUCACCCUUUUAAAGAAUAAAAAAGAAAAUCAUUACUAAUAUUUGAGUUUUAAUGAUAAGAAUAUGUAAAUUAUUUUAAAAUAGAAAAUAUAAUCGGGUCAUUGAUCGGGUAAAUGGGUCAAGAAUUUUAACUCUAACCCGACACGGAAAAAAAUCGUGUUGACCCGGACCCGACCCAUUUAAUAAUCGUGUUAAAUUUGACGACCCAUAUUCAUUUAUUUAUGUCGUGUUCGUGUCGAGUAAUCGGGUCGUGUCAAAUUUUGCCAGCUCUAGUAAUAGGAAUUAUUAAGGGACAAGAGCGCAAAACAAAAACUCUGUCCACUACUGAUGAUAUAACAACGAACCUUUGUUUUUUUCUUCUUUUUUUUUUACAAAAUAUCAUUAGAGAAAUGAAAAUAUUAACUAACAUCACCCUACUGAUGAUAUAACAACGAACCUUUGUAGUUUCUGCCUGUUAAUAUGAAUUGAUCAGGAGUGUUUCCUCACUUAAAAAUUACGAAUUUACAAAUAUGUAUGUAAGUAUGUAUGUAUGUACGUACGUACGUGAGUAUGUAUGUACAUAUAUGCAUACACCUAUGUAACAUUUACUUAUCCAUCCUUUUGAGUUUAAAACUUAAUACACAUUUUCAUGAAAUUUUUAUUUUAUUAAGUAUACAACUACAGUAAUGUAUAUAUUUUUUAUAUAAGACAUGCCGUCAUAUUAUUCAUAAGUAAAACAAUGUGUUGUAAAUAGUUUAAUUAUUAAAUAUCAUACAAUAUCUUUCAACAACCGGCAAUAGACCUUUACCCAUUUUUCUUUUUCGACCAUUAGAUUCAUUCAGUUUACAUCCAACGGCAGUUUAGGAUGGAGACAAAAAGUGUGGUACGUUACCACAGUGGUAACAUUGGAUUGGGAUUGUAUGUCGUGUUUAAUUUGAAUUGGUUGAUUCCUCUAAUGAAUUAUUUUGAUAAAUUUAGUAGCAGUAUUUGGCGGCAAAAGUAUCAUUAAUUUUUGGAAAUAUGAUUAUGUUAUUAAUUAUUUUAGCAUUCUAAAAAGUCAAUGGUUAUGUUGGAAAUACUCUAAGGUAGAAUAGAGUACAAAUCACAGUCACACAUACAAAAUGAUAAAUAAUAAAAAAUAUAUUAUAUUUUUGAUCAUAUGAUUAUGAAGACGUAUUUUACCUUAAAGAAGUUCUAAUAAGCGAAUUCUUCUAAAACAAUAUAAAAUUUCUUUUUUAUCAUACUCAACCGCUUCAAACUUCUAAGAAGUAGAUAUACAAUGAGUGGAAUACUGAAUUGAGUGCGAGCUGCGGAUAAUAUAUAAAAUUGGGAUACAAGCUUCAAGGAAAGUGUAUUGCUAUUCAAAUGUAGAUUUCAAAUUAAGAAGAUAUGCCAGCAAAUUGUAUAAAAAUGUAUAAAUUGAUCAGUAACAUUAAUUCCAAAUGAUGAAAUGAGUUAUCUUGAUCAAAAGGUCAAGAACCUACCUUACUUCUCUUAGAGAUAACUUGCAUCAACCGUUGUGGUAUUGAUACUUGUCUUCAGCUAGUAAAAGACUAAAAGUGAAAGUUUCACAAUUGAAAUAAAGCUAAGGGAAGAUGCUAUGCUCCAUUUAUUAUUAUUAUUAUUGAUGUGGUCGAGAAGUAAAGCCAUGCAUAUGAUGAAGUAUAAAUAAGAAUGCAAUAGCCCGGAAUUCAUUUACACAAACACUUCAAUAUCCUUUUGAUCACUUUUGCAAACAUCAGUUUGUCUCUUGUAUUCACCAUGGUUGAUGCCAUCGUUUCCUCUCUUGUGGAGCAGCUGACUUCCUUCGCUGCUAAAGAGAUAAUACAACAGGUGAUCGAAGUUACACCCCCCAUAUUAUAAAUACUUCUAAUGAUUUUAAUUGGUUUUGUUUUUAUCGGAAACAUUAACUUUGCUUUAUUUUAUUUAUUUAGGCAUUUUAAAUUUUAAAAUUUGAAUUGAAUUCAAUUAAAAUGUGAUGUAGCUAGUAACCACUUUUUUUAUUUCAUUUAUAUUCUCAAUAACUACCCAUAUUUUGGUAACUUACUGUAACCCCCGUAUCUAAGAAAUGAUUAAAACCCACAAUUUUAACUCCACAUAAAUAUUCCAUGUUGAGCUAAGUUUUUGCAUAACAUUCAAGUUUGUUAAAUAGUCAUUAAUUUAAUGUUUAGUAAAAACUUAUCUCUGAAAAUUUUCAUAAUUUUCUUACAUUCUUUGAGUUUGGUGAGUGACUUCAUAUAAUUUCUUUUCAAUUUAAAUUUUAAUUUGGUUUCUGAUAUAGUCUCUUUACUGAAUUUAUAUCUUUUAUGAUUCUUGGAUUUUGGGCUCCAACUUUUUAGGAUUUGAUAGUCACAUUUUAUGGCAUGCUUAGAUUGAUUUUCAUGAUUUGAGUACUCGUUAAGUGACUGAGAAUUUGACAAAAGUUUGAAAGGAAAUCCGUUUCACGAUUCUUAUGUGGAAGGUUCGUAAAAUCAUGAAAUUUGGAUAGGAUUCGCUAGCAAUAUGUACAAGACUCUUCAUGAAGUUUCAUAAUUUUUCGUUCGGUCUGGGGUGGUACAGGUGAAACUUGUGGUUGGUGUUAAAGAAGAAGUGAAAAGCCUUAUCAGCCACCUUCAAGCCAUUCAAGCUGUGCUCGAUGAUGCAGAGGAAAAGCAAGUGAAGGACAAAGCUGUUAGACAUUGGCUGGGCAGGCUCAAGUAUGCAUCCUACGACAUUGAAGAUGUGUUGGAUGAGUGGAUCACAGCUAGACACAAAUUGCAAAUUGAGGGUGGCGUUGAUGACAAUGCUCUUGCUGCUCCUCAAAAGAAAAAGAAGGUAUGUUUCUGCUUUCCUGCCUCUUGUUUUGGAUUCAAACAAGAAGAAUUUGGUUUCAGACAAGUCUUUCUACGUUAUGACAUUGCCAACAAGAUCAAAGAAAUGAAUAAAGAGCUACAUGAUAUUGCCACUCAAAAAGACAUGUUUAAUCUUGUUAAGAGUGGCAAUAAAAGUGGUGAAAGACCAAGGCGUGUACAGAGUACCUCCUUGAUUGAUGAGGAAGAGAUUUGUGGUAGAGUUGGUGAGAAGAAUGAACUCAUAAGCAAGCUGUUGCGUGAGAGUAGCGAGCAACAAAAAGGCCUCCAUAUGAUCUCAAUUGUUGGUAUGGGAGGCAUAGGGAAAACUACUCUUGCACAACUAGCUUGUAAUGAUGACGUGGUGAAGAGAAAGUUCGACAAAAUUCUGUGGGUGUGUGUAUCAGAAACUUUUGAGGAGUUUAGGGUUGCCAAAGCAAUCGUUGAAGCUUUGGAUGGUCGUGAAUCUCAUUUAGGUGAAUUCCAAUCUCUUCUUAAACAUAUUGAUGAAUCCAUUGCAGGGAAGAGCUUUCUUCUUGUCUUAGAUGACGUGUGGGAUGGAAAUUACUUGAAAUGGGAACCAUUCUAUCGUUGUCUAAAGAAUGGUCUCCAUGGAAGUAAAAUUUUAGUUACCACACGUAGUGGGUCCGUUGCAUCCACGAUGGGAUCCAUAGAUAUUAUUCCCAUUGAGAAAUUAGCUGAAGAGGAAUGUUGGUUGUUGUUUAACAAGAUAGCAUUUUUUGGUAGGCCUAUCGAGGAACGUGAAAAAUUCGAACGAAUUGGGCGAAGAAUUGCUGGCAAGUGCAAAGGUUUACCUCUUGCAACAAAGACAAUAGGUAGUCUCAUGCGUUCUAAACAAACUGAAGAAGAGUGGAAAAGAAUUUUAAAUAGUGAUUUAUGGAAAGUAGAAGAGAUUGAGAAAGAUGUUUUGUCCUCUUUAUUGUUGAGUUACAAUGAUUUGCCAUCUAGAGUAAAAAGAUGUUUUUCAUAUUGUGCUCUCUUUCCAAAAGACUACGAUAUAGAAAAAGACAAACUAAUCACAUUGUGGAUGGCUCAAGGUUAUCUUAGUGCAGAAGAAGAUGAGGAGAUGGAGACUAUAGGUGAAGAGUAUUUUAGCAUCUUAGCUUCUCGCUCUUUCUUUCAAGAGUUUAAGAAAAGUUAUGAUAAUCGGAUUAUAGAGUGUAAGAUGCAUGAUAUGGUACAUGAUUUUGCCCGAUUUGUAAGUCAAAAUGAAUGUUUUUCGAUGGCAAUUAAUGGUAGUGAAGAACCAAACGCCACAAACUCUGUUGAUGAGAAGGUCCGUCAUUUAAUGUUAAUCUUUAGUAUAGAGGCUUCAUUACCUGUUUCCACUCCUAGAGUUAAAAGAAUGCGUACCCUCUUAAUUAACGAUAGUAGAUCUGAUCAAUCAUUAUUAAAUGGUGAGAUCCUAGAAGAAUUGUUUAGGGAAUUGACAAGUUUAAGGGCAUUAGAUUUUGACAAAUUGUACCACUCAAUUUGGUCUUCGACUCUGGAGAUUCCGAGAAACAUAGAAAAGCUGGUACAUUUAAGAUACCUUAAUUUGUCUUCUCAGAAAAUAGUGGAGCUACCGGAGACAUUGUGCGAGUUAUAUAAUCUAGAAAAGUUAGAUAUUAGUUUUUGUUUUGAUCUUAGAGAAUUACCUGAAGGGAUUGGGAAGUUAAUAAACAUGAAGCAUUUACUAAAUUAUGAUACUGAUUCUUUAAGGUACAUGCCAGUAGGGAUUGGGAGAUUAACGGGUCUUAGGACCUUGGAUGAGUUCCACGUGAGUGCAGGAGGAGCUGUUGAUGGUAGGAAAGCAUGUAGGCUUGAAUCUCUUAAAAACUUGGAACACCUUCAAGUAUGUGGUAUACGUAGACUGGGUGAUGUAUCAGAUGUGGGCGAGGCUAAGCGAUUAGAACUUGACAAAAAGAAAUACCUCUUCAGUUUGACCCUUGAGUUUGAUAAGAAGGAGGAAGAAGAAGGAGAAAGAAGGAAGAACGAGGACGAUCAACUUCUUCUUGAAGCCCUGCGACCACCUCUGGAUUUAAAGGAAUUAGAGAUACGGUUCUACCGAGGCAACACUGUUUUCCCCAGCUGGAUGACGUCAUUAACCAACUUAAAGAGUUUAAAACUCUCUUUCUGCGAAAAUUGCGAGCAGCUGCCUCCUUUGGGAAAAUUGCCGUCCCUUGAACAGCUCUUCAUAUCGUACAUGUCGAGUGUGAAAAGAGUGGGUGAUGAAUUUUUGGGGAUAGAAAGUGAUCAUCAUGGCUCAUCUUCAUCUUCAUCGGUUAUUAUUGCCUUCCCCAAAUUGAAAUCACUUUCAAUUGAGUUUCUGUGCGAAUUGGAGGAGUGGGAUUAUGGGAUUACAAGAACGGGAAACACCGUCAUCAACAUCAUGCCACGUCUUUCUUCCUUGACAAUUGCUCUUUGCCCCAAAUUAAAGGCACUGCCCGACCACAUUCAUCAAACGACAACAUUGAAGGAAUUGCACAUUUGGGAUUGCAGGCUUCUGGAAGAACGUUAUUGCAAGGGGGAAGGAGAAGACUGGCCUAAGAUAUCACACAUUCCCAACCUCCAUAUUGGGCAUUGACAAGUAAUUUCUUCUCUUACUCUGAUUUGCUUUGUUGUUGUUUUUAAUCUAAUUAAGAAGCGUAAAUAGCAUUUUGAAUCAAACUCUAUAUCAGAAAUCUGCAAUACUUACUUUCUAAUAUUCUGAUUUUCAUAUCCUAUGAAUAUACGAUUUUUAAUUUGUGAGAUGGGUAACGUUACUGUAAAAGAUUAUUAAUGCAAUAUGAGUAAUUCUUUUGCAGGACAAGUGACCUACAUUUAGUUUGGCUUUGGAGUUGAAUAAUAACCUUUCGGGAACUGGUGUGGACUGGCAAAGGAUGAUGAGAUAGUUUUUUGAGUGAGUAAAUUUUGGGAGCUUGAGUGUAUUGGGAUUUGCAAUUACAAUCAUCGUCUGCCUCAGGUGAUUUCUUCUCCUGCUCUGUCAUUGUUUGUUCUCUAAUUCAAAAGCAUAAAAUAUUUCAAUCAAUUUUUAUGCCAGGAAUAUGCAAAAGUUUCUAAUAUUUUAUUUCCAUCUGUCACAAGAUCAAACUGAAGCAGAACUCAAACAAAAGUAUGCUACUUCUUGCGGAAAUCUUGCCUUCGUUCAAAUUAUGAAACCAUUUCCAUGCAGCAAAUUCAUCCAAAAGUUUGAAUAAGUUUCAUGGUUGGACACUGUUGGCUUCUUUUUCUUCUGGGGUGCAUUUAGGUGCUAUCAAGUGACAGCUGUAAGUAUGAUUGCACUAAGCUGCUGCUGGGAAAUUUGAGGUUUUGAUGGCUGCCCAUGUUAUUUUCAAGAAACUAUUGAUGUAAGAAGCCGUGGUUCUUUUCAUCAGCUUGAACCUGAAACUGUCGCUAUGGAUAACUCAGGUUUUUGUUAUCAACUAUAUCAUCUUUUUCACUAUUUUGAAACUCUUAAGAUUAAACGUUAGUAAAGUUGUUUCAGCUAUUCAAAUGAAAAACUCAUUGAUUUGAGACUUCCUUCAUUAUUGUUUCUAAUUACAAUGCUAACGAUCCAGAUAAAAUAAUAUUUAAUCGGCGAAGGUGUCCCUUGGAAGUACAUCCUUCUUUUUCUUUUAUUAUAUAAAUUCUUGCAAUGAGCUUAGUCAAGAUGUUGUGCUAAUCAUGCCACUGCAUAUAAAUUCUCCAGAAGUUAAAAUCAAUAAAUUUUCUAUUAGCUCUAGUGCUUUGACCUAAAUGCUAUUCUAUAUUCUGAUUACAAUGUUUUAACCUUUAAAUUAACUACCCCUAGGUGUUGGAUUUUCUAGAACUUCAAAAUGAUUAAUGGAGAAAGAUCCCAUUAUCGUUAUUGCUAUAAGAAAUUGAUUUAUGCAUCCAAAGAUACAUUAUAUAUUUCUGUGUCUCUAUUUAUAGAUGACAUUUAAGCAUCCAUAAACCGUCAGACAGAGGAAGGGGGUUCAGUGCAAAGAUUCUGUUGACCUAGGGUUGACUGCAUAAUGUCACUUGUUCGCAAUCUAUUAUUUAUUUUAUAUUUUGAAGAAUUUAAUGGGUAAUCCUAAUUGUUUGUUUUGGCAGGUAUGUGUUGUUUUCUCCUUCUAUCUAACAGUCGUACCUAAAUAGCAUAGUUUCAUCUGUGUUACCAUGUGAUGUACAUAAUUUCACAUUUGCCUCAGAUUAAGCUUAAUUUCCCACAGAAUAGAGCUGUCGCGACUGGACUUAGGUUGAUGUCCAAAGAGGUAAAUUAUUGGCAUGCCUAGAUAAUUUGGCCAUUUCCUAAUUCAUAAGUCUACAUUAAUUUUGAUUUUGAGUUGACUGAUUUCUUUUCAAGGUCUGCUUCCUUAACGGAGUGACCAAUGUUUUUCAACUAAAUUUAUCAUAUGAUGCAGGAAGCAGGGCAGGAUAUGAAAUGAGAAGCUCAUUGGUGGAAGUAUUGCCAGUAACAGAACCCAAAGAAAAUGAAACUAUUUCAAGGCAGCAGUUGGCAGUUGCAAGUGAAUGGAGGCCCUGACAAAAUUCUCAAGCGGUUGCAAUGCAAUUACGAUCAUCCUCAGCCUCAGGUAAUUUCUUCUCCUGCUCUGUUUUUAUUUGUUAUCUAAUUAAAAAGCAUAAAGUAUCUUGAAUCACUUUCUCUAUCUGGAAUAUAUGCAGCAGUUUCUAAAAUCUUCAUAUGAGUGUAAUGAUGGUAAUUUCUGUUUUUUGUCUGUCAUUGAAUGUUAGACAACUUUCAGUGAGACUCUUGAACCGAGACAUUUUUGACAACUGAAGGACAAUUGCUGAAGAGUCGGAAUGGUGCUAGAUUGGGGAAUAAAGACAAAGGAGGUAAAUUAUUUGCAGUUUAUUCAGCAUUAUUUGCUUUGGACCAGCGCCUGAUUCACAAGUCUCCAUAAUUUGGCUUUUGACCAGUUAAUAAAUUUUUAAUUCCAUUGGUGCUAAAUGUACACGUGAAGCAGGCAGAGCAGGACUGUGGAAAUGAGAAGGUUUUUAGUGAAAGCUUAAACUCAGGUAAUUCUAAAAAGUACAUGUUUUUGCUGAUUUAUCUAAAUCAGGAAAUUUUAUUUCCAUCUGUUACAAGAUAAAACAGAAACAGAACACAAAGAAAAAUAUUCUACUUCUUGUGGCAAUCUUGCCUUCAUUCAGACAAUGAAACCAUUUCCUUUCACCAAUUUCUUCCAAAAGUUUGAAUAAGUUUCAUGGGUGGACCUAGUUAGCUUCUUUUUCUUUUGGUGCAUUUAGGUCCUAUCAAGUGACAGCCAUAAGUAUGAUUGCAUUAUUGGGAAAUUUUAGGUUUGGAUGGCUCCCCAUGUUAUUGCCAAGAAAGUCCUCAUGUCAGAAGCUGCGGUUCUUUUCAUCAGCCUGAACCCGAACCUGUCGUUAUGGAUAACUCAGGUUUUUGUCAUCAACUAUAUCAUCUUUUUUACUGUUUUGAAACUCUUAAGAUUAAACUUCAGUAAAGUUGUUUCAGUUAUCCAUGUAAUCAGGCUAAGGAUAUUUAGCAGCUUAUUUAGGCAACUGCCAGAAUUCAGUUUGUUAGCUCGAAACUUGUAUGGUGACAAGGAUACUGGCAAGGAUAGUGAGAUAGUUUUUUGUGUGAGUGAAAUUUGAAAGCUUGGGUGUUCUGGGAUUUGCAAUUGCAAUCAUCCUCUGAGUCAGGUGAUUUCUUCACCUGCUCUGUCUUGAUUUUCUCUCUAAUUGAAAGCAUAAAGUAUUUCAAUCAAAUUCUGUACCAGGAAUACGUAAAAGUUACUAAUAUUUUAUUUCCAUCUGUUUGCAUUGAUAACUCGGCGGCAUAUGUUCUAGUUAAAGAACAAACAGAAACAGAGUUCAGGAAAAAGUUUCUUCGGCCACCAUAUUUGAAAAUGAAACCAUUUCCAGGAAGCAGUUGGCAGCAAAUUCAUAUGGAGUGUAGACAAUGAUGAGCAAAAAGGUGAUUCGCAAUUUCUUUUUUUUUUUAAGUGAAAUUAUUUGUUAGAUUGAAGCUGAUAUUGUAAGAAGGCCAUUGAGCUAACCUAUGUCGCCACUUGCCUAGAUUGCAGGGGGUCAAGACUCAAAAGAAGCACUGAAAUUUAAAAAGCAUGCAAUAGUUCUUUUGCCAUGUGUCAAUUAAUGCAAGUUUGAAUAAGUUUAUUGGCUGAACGAUGUUAGCUUCUUUUCCUUUCGUGCACUUUGGUAUGCUAUCAAGUGACAGCCGUAUGUAUGGCUUGCAUAUAGCUGCUGCUGGGAAAAUUGACGAUUUCAUGGCUGGCCGUGUUAUUGUCUUAAAUUAGUUGUGAUAAGCUGUUGCUUGGAGAUUCUGUUGCCAAGAAUUUGCUCACAUCAGAAGCUGUGGAAUCUGAACCCUUCGAUUCUGUUGCCAAGAAUUUGCUCACAUCAGAAGCUGUGGAAUCUGAACCCUUCGUUAUGUAUCAUCUUUUUCAUUGUUUUAAAACAGUAAACUCUCAGGACACUGAGCAGGCAAAUGUUAUAACUCGGUUUGUUAGCCAAAAACUUGUUGAAGAUUCUUGACAAAGCUGCGUCGAGUGAAUUGUCGGAGCUCUGAGGGUGAGAGAAAUUAGAGGGUGUAUAGGGAUUUGGAUUUGUUAGGAAGUUAUCAUUUUUAUUUGUCCGAUUCAAAACUUGAUAUUCCAAUUAUAUUCAUAAGCUUCUACAGUUAUCUUCAAAAAGACAUUCCAAUUAUAUUCAUAAGCUUCUACAGUUAUCUUCAAAAAGACAAAUGGAAGGCUUUGAACGGCUUGGGUCUGAGUAUUGUAGUUUGAUUUAUUUUGAUGAAAGAACCUUUUGACAUUAAGAUUCUUUCAUGAGUUAAACAUUCUUUUUAAAACCAACUUAUUAAAAAAAAAGUAACGAACAUAUAUUAUUUUGUUAGUGCUUUUUAAAUCAAAUAUAAAAAAGAGAACUGUAAUUCUUAGCAACCAAUUUUUCAUUGAGUACACCUACAACAAAUUAUUAAAAAAUAAAGCGAUAGAAAAUGCCUGAUUUUUCGUACUUUCUAAUUACUUUUGGUCCUAAAAUAUGGCGAUUUGUGUAAUAAUAAGCCCAUGUAUAUCUUUAUGCCAUUAGUUUGAUAAAUAACUAUCAAGGAUAACUUAUUAAGCUAAAAAUAUUUGAAGGAUAAAAUGGGAAAACUAAAAGGGUGGAGUAAUAAAGUUAUUUAAGAUUACAUAGUAAGUUAACUAUAUUCGAGGGAUAAAAUAUUAAAACUUGAAUAGUUAUAUUAAAAAUAUCUCGGCUAUUAUACUAUUAAACCAUAUGCCGUAAUAAUGUUUUUUUUCAAACUUUAAAAAAUUCAGGAUUUUAAAUUAAAACAUGGAUUUCUUUAAGAUGCUAUAUGUGUUUUUACAGUAUUGAUAGUGGGAUUAGUGUGUACCCUUAUAUGAAAGAGUUUUAAUCUGAAUCAUUCAUUUAAUAUAAUAGAUAAUUAAAUAAUUAAUUAAAAUAUAGCAGGUAACUUAUAGGUUGCAGGUAAAAAAUUAAUUUUUUAAUUUUAAAUUAAAAUUAAUUUGGAACAAAACCAUCCACACCCCUAAGGUUUACUUAAAUGAUCAUAUAAAUCCCUUUAGUUUCUACAUAGUUAUACAGACCCUCUUAAUUUCAUAAAUUAUUAUUAUACUUUUAAUUAAAACAACCUAAAUGAAUAUAAAUAUAGUAAUAGGAUAGAAAUAAUAAAUAAAUAUCAGAUGAAACAAAUAAAAUAUUACAAUAAAUACAAUUAAUUAAAUAACAUGUAUGAUGAAAAUUUUAUUCAUAUUAAGUUAUUAUUAGUCUAUCCCGAUGGAUUUACUCAAAUCAAUUAAUCCAAAAUUUAAUUUUAAGAUUGAUAUUAAUAUGGACAUAAUUAAAUAAGAUGUUGUAAUAUAUACUACUUUGAAUGUUAAGUAUAAUUAUCUAAUAUUAUUAGUAUGUGAAAUAGAUUUUAAUAUUAUUAAAGAAUAUGACAAUAUAUAAUUUUGAAUUAAAUUUUUUAGUAUUCAUGAUAUUUUAUAAAUUUUAUGUGAUUUUAUAUAUUAUAUUUUUUAAUUUUAAUGUAUUAUAUAUGAUCAUUUAAGCAAAUUUUGGAGGUGCGGUGGUCUUUUCCCUAUUAAUUUUGUAGCAUAUUUAAAGUGUUAUAUCAUACAUGAUACAUCACACUUUUGUUAAAGUGUUAUGUUAUUAAAAAUUAAACUUUGCAUUUAUAAUAUACUACCAUUUUAAUGUAAAGGUAAUAGAAAAUAUGAAGAUAUUUUUAAGUAGUCAAUUGUAGCUUUCUUUUACAAAAUAGCAGUAUAGAAAUACAAUUGGUAAAAUGUAAUAAAAAUGGUAUGGAAAAAAGUUAGUAGAGGCAAUUAUUCUUGUAGUUGCUAAAACAUAUGAAGUGACACACACACACACACACAUAUCAAGUACUUGUAUGUUCCCCUAACUUUUAUUAAUGGGAAGGAAAUUAAAUUCGUAAUUUUCCCGGUGAAUUAUGAAUUGAUAAAUGAAAUAUAAAUAUUAGUAAAAAUUAAUUUGUCGACUAAAGAAGUAAACCAUAUUUUAUGGGCAUUUAAUACAUUAAUUUAAGGUCAAAUGAGAUAAUAUCACAUGAUAUUUGAUACAAGAGUCCAAUUUUCAACAUUUGCAUAUAGUUUCUAAGCUAGUAAUCUAAUAAAAUAUACCAAAUGAGAAAUUGAAGGCUAUUAUUUAUAUUUCACCAUUGGACAAACACCAUACAUUAGAAUAAAAAAAUCUCACAGUAGAGACGGCAUCUGUUUGCAUGUUUUGAAAAUAGAUUUUGAAAUUAGUUUAAUUACAUGAUAAUUAAAUUAUAUUAUAAAAUUAAGAAUAUGAUUUAAGUACUAUUUUAGCAAUUUUGAGUCUCACAUUGAGUAUUCAAGUUAAUUAAAUGUUGAAACUCUUUUCUAUUUGGCUUGAAAUCACUACUAAAUAAAAUUACAAAAAGUCAAUAAUGAAUGAUGUAGGACACAUAUGUAAAAUAAAUUUUAAAGUGUAAUUAAACAUUCCUAUCAAUAUUAGUUUUGCAUACAUAUUCAUAUAUUUUACCGAAACCAUAUAUAAUUAAAUUUUGUGUAAUUAAGUAAAAUAUAUUAUUCAAGUGAAUUUAUGAGAAUAUUUAAAAUUGUAGGGGUCGUCACUGAAAUUUGCCAAACUUGAGCCAACCGUGCAUGAUCCAAACAGUUUAUUUUAAUAAUUCUCAAUAUGUUAGUCUGUUUGACUGUUGGCAAAAUAAAUUCCUAUCAGCAAUGCAACACAAUUCAAAAUCAUAUCUGCAUACAACGAACAAUAUCUCAUGAAAGAUCAAAUUAUACAUUUUUUACACCAAACCAUAAAUAUCUAAAUUGUCCCUCUUCAACUCACCAAGCUCAUACCUAACAACAGCAAGAUUAAAUGUCAUUUGAUCCAUCUUUUUUAUUAAGCUUUAUCAAUUCUUCUCAUGGUUGCAAUUUUGAAAGCUCGCUUCGCUAUUUCCAUUUGCUUUUAUGCUUUGUUUGAGCUCCAUCUUUUCUCUCCAUCUACAUUUUACACUGUAAAAAAAAUUUUAAAAAAAUUACAAAGCUUCUUAUGCUAGAAUAUGAGCAACAAUAUAAAUAAUAAACAAUAAAGUUAUGAUAGCACAGCAUGCUCAUUAAAGUGCUUCUUUUUUUUUUUUUUCAACAAGAAAUUACUACUGAAUUAAAGAUUUGGCUUUGCAUUAAGGUUUGCCUUCAAUAACUCAACUCCCCACUUGGGUUUUGUCGUUUUCUUAAAAUCUCUGCUCAAUCAAUUUAAAGAUCCUUUUUUUUUUCUUUCCAAAGAUCUAAAAGCAAUGUCUUUUAUUGGUACCCAACAAAAAUGCAAGGUCUGUGAGAAGACAGUUUGUCCAGUUGAGCAGUUAUCUACUGAUGGGGUUGUUUAUCACAAGUCUUGCUUCAAGUGCUCUCACUGCACUGCAAAGGCACACUCAAGCUAAGCAAUUACUCAUCCCUGGAAGGUGUUCUUUACUGUAAGCCUCACUUUGAGCAGCUUUUGAAGGAGUCGAGUAACUUCAACAAGAAUUUCCAAUUACCUGCAAAGUCAGCUGAGAAGUUAACUCCUGAGCUGAAAAGGUCGCCUAGCAAAGUUGACAGCAUGUUCUCUGGGCCCAAUAAAAAUGUGCUUCUUGCAGUAAAACAGUGUGUCCGUGGGAGAAGGUAGCAGCGGAAAACCAAGCCUCUCACAAGACAUGUUUCAAGUGCUCACAUGGUGGUAAUUCCAUUAGCCCGUCAAAUUACGCAGCCCUAGAAGGCAUCUUGUAUUGCAAACAUAAUUUCUCCCAAUUGUUCAAGGAAAAAGGCAGCUACAACCACCUUCUAUCAAAUCUGCUUCCAUGAAGCGUGCUGCAGUCUCUGUUCAAGAAGCUUGAACAUGUUAUGUUAUCUUCCAUAAAUCUUAUUUGGCGUGGGUUUUCUCUGGCUUGAGGGUGUGCUUUCUAUUUUGAUCCCUCUUGUUGUUUUUGCGGGGAACUACCAAACCUUCGGUUCCCUCUGCUUCUUUGGAUCAUCUUUGUUGGGACAAAUUUCAUGUAAUUAGAGAUACUGAUUUAUGGGAGGCAUAAUCCCAUGGUUGUAAAUUGACCAUUUUCUGGCAAUGUUCUUUUUAAAAAGAGAUGAGCAGUUGUUUAACAAAAAAAAUAGCUGGCCUUCAUCAUGGUAUGUUACCAAACUGCUAUGUAUAGCUGCUAACUAUGAGCAUCCGAAAAUAUGGUGCAUCGUGAUUCAUGUCGUGCAAUAUGGCUACCAACGCAUCCUAAAUGGAGUAUUACUCAGUUAGUCAGCAAAAUAAGACAACAGUAAGAUAUUAAAAAAAUAAAAACUACAUUAAUAAGUGGGCAAGAUCAUGCCAGUUUAACUUUUCGCGCGUCGCUGCUGGAGAUAAUCAAAUCGGGGCAGAGAAAAGGAGAAUGGAAUCAGAGGCUAAGAUUAAUAAGUGGGCUUCUGCUUGCUUUGCCCCUCUUUCUUAAACGAUUGGUAGACUGCUGCUUCCACCGAUUAACCGGGUCUUCAACCACUGCUUUUAUUGCCUGCCAUCUUGUUGUUUGUCGAAGGGAUGAAUUCGAGUCGAAAAGAGAAAGCGCGCUGAAAAAGACAAAUCACUAGUGGUUAACUACUGACUCAGCCAAGUGUUGGCUUCACUUGAUUCACCGAUUGAGGUUAUUUUGUCUUCUAUCUAAUGCAGCGAAGAAGCUUUACUGCUUAACAUGCUGCAAUGCAACUUUAUCUUUUGAAGUUCACACUUCAGGGCUGCGCACUUUAUGUAAUCCUAUGAGUAAAAAGAAUUUAUUUUCAAAUGUGAAAAAAGAAAAUGUAAGGUAGUAACUAAAUAUAUUAUAGCAUCAAAGUAAGAUUUGAUAUGAAUUUAGUACAACAAAGAACAUUAAAUCUGUGAUUCCUUGUCUAAUGUCACCAUCGAGCAACAAAUUUAAAAGCCUACCUAUCAAAUACACGAGGCAAUAAACGGAGAAAAAGUUGAAUUACAAGAACAAGUUUACAAUUCUUGUCAAUGGUUAAUGAUUCGUGAAUUGAGAUAGCAUUCAAGAAUCCAAUUUCAAUACAACAACGUAAAAGAUAAACAGAUGAUGAAUUUUAUGAGAUAAAGAAGGAGAUUGUGUUUUAUCGUAUCUCUAUUUUCUUUCCAUUUAAAUUUAAAAUAAGCUUUUCAACCGGUUAUAAUAUUUUUUGAAAUAAUUAAAUAUUUUUAUUAUUAAAAAUAAUGUGUACCGUUGAUUACAUCUAACGCUACAUAUUUCUUACACUAUUAAUACCGUAAAAAAAAUCAUAGAGGGACCCUUAAAACAUUUUCAUUUGAAAUUAUUUGGUGAAGUGAAAAAGUUAAGAAAGAAAUAGUUGUCCCUUUGGUCAUUUCACAAAAAUGAAAGCCCCAUAUAACAUGGACUUGAAUGGAAGCCCAAUUGUUGUGUUUGAUUUCAAGCUUUAUCGGACCUUUGGACCUGGAUACUUUACUGCGGCCUCUAAGCGCUACAAAUUUUUUUUUUGGGAUAAAAGGCGCUUCAAUGAAAAAGCACUUUAAAACUUUGGAUUUUGCCAAAACUUCAAAGCGGUUGGUCCAGUUACGGUGUUAUGCUAACGGGUUUAAAGGUUCCGAUCCAAUGAGUUAGGGUGGAAUAUGAAUAUAUAAAUCCUAGUCAUGUAAGGACUAGGAUUUGUUUGUUCAUAUCAAGAAAAAAAAUCUGAAAAUUUGAUGAUCAGAAGAUAAAAACACUUAAACACGUUUAUUACAGAGAAACAAACGACAACAUGAUGCUAGUAGUAAUUUUAUUUUUCUUUUAUUGUGUAACGUGGACCAAAAAAAAGGAAAUGAAUUUAAUAAAACCGUCAUUCCGCAAUAAUAAUGUACCAGCCUGGUUUUUAUAAUCCAUACCAUCCUGAUAUAAUUAAACACCAUUAAUAAUGUACCAGCCUUUAAAUAGUAAUUAAUUUAUUUAUCUAAUUCACCAAAUGUCAUUUCCGGUACAUAUCUCCUGGUAUCAAGAAGAGGCAGAACCCAAAGAAACGUUUCUUGUAUCUUCAUAUUUGUGCGAAUUCAUCCUUUCAUUGAGAAUAACCAUUUCCAGGCGGCAGUUGGCAAUCAAUUCAUGCGCAAGUCGAUGCUAUUCAUAGAUAUUAAAGACAAUGAUGAACCAAAGGUGAUAAAUCAUAAAUGCAUAAUUACCAAACCUCCAUCCUUCUCUCAUUAUGAUUUGAUUUUAAAUGAAUUAUUGCUUGGUAACAUUAUUUCCAACCAUUGCAAGAUUAUUAUUAUUUUUUUUUGGGGAGAAAUUUCAAUUGAAAGUGAAACCUUUAGACAUUUACCUAAUGAAGUUAGUUAAUGGGGAGGGUUGGAAAAAUUCCCAAGCCGUUGCACAGCAAUUACGAUCAUCCUCGGCCUCAGGUAAUUUCUUCUCCUGCAUUUUUGUUAUUUGCUAUCAAGUGACAUUCGUAAGUAUGAUUGUAUUAAGCUGCUGCUGGGAAAUAUAAGGUUUUGAUGGCUGCCCAUGCUAUUGUCAGAAGCUGCGGUUCUUUUCAUCAGCCUGAACCUGGACCUGUCGCCAUGGAUAACUGAGGUUUUUUUUUUUUUAAAUCAACUACGUCAUCUUUUCCACUGUUUUGAAACUCUUAAGAUUAAACUUUAGUAAAGUUGUUUUAGUUAUCCAUGUAAUCAGGCUGAGGAUACUUAGCUGCCUAUUUAGGCAAAUGUCAGACUUUAGUUUGUUCGCUGGGAACUGGUGUGGUGACAGCGUCCUGGCAAAGGAUGAUGAGAUAGUUUUUUGAUUGAGUAAAUUUUGGGGGCUUGAGUAUAUUGGGAUUUGCAAUUACAAUUAUCCUCUGCCUCAGGUGAUUUCUUCUCCUGCCCUGUCGUUGUUUGUUCUCUAAUUCAAAAUUAUAAAAUAUUUCAUCAAAUUUUAUGCCGGGAAUAUGCAAAAGUUUCUAAUAUUUUAUUUCCAUCUGUUUGUCUUGAUAACUUUGCAGCAUAUGUACUAGUUAAAGAACAAAUCGAAACAGAGUUCAGUUAAAAGUUUCUUCUGCCGUCAUAUUUGAAAAAUGAACCCAUUUCCAGGAAGCAAUGGGCAGCAAAUUCAUAUAAAGCGUAGACAAUGAUGAGCAAACAGGUGAUUCACAUUAAUGAAAUUAAUUGUUUGGUUGGAGCGGACAUUGUUAGAAGGCUAUUGAGCUAACCUAUGUCACUACUUGCCUAGAUUACAGGGGGUCAAAACUCAAAAGCGGCAUUGAAUUUUAAAAGGCAUCCAAUAAUUCUUGUGGCCAUAUAUCAAUUCAUGUAUGUUUGAAUGUAAUUAUUGGUGAAGGGGUUUCACUUCCCGUCUCUAAAUAAAAAUACUGAUUCUUUAAGGUACCUGCCACUAGGGAUUGCGAGAUUAAUGAGUCUUUGGACAUUGGAAGAGCUCCUUGUGAGUGGAGGAGGAGGUGUUGAUGGUAGCAAAGCAUGUGGGCAGUGGGCUUGAAUCUCUAAAAAACUUGGAACUCCUCCAAGCGUAAGUAUACGUAUACUGGGAAAUUUGUUAGAUGUGGAUGAGGCUAAGAGAUUAGAGCUUGACAAAAUGAAAUACCUCUUUCAUUGAGACUUAAAUUUGAUGGGGAAGAAGAAAAAGAAGAGGGAAGGAGGAAGAAUGAGGAUAAUCAACUUGUUCUUGAAGCCUUGCAACCACCUCUGAAUUUGAAGGAAUUAGAGAUUUGGUCAUACAGAGGCAACAUUGUUUCCCCCCGGAUGAUGCAAAAAUUGAAGGAAUUUACCAAUCUAAGGAGUUUGACACUCUUUAAAACUGCAAAAAUUGAGAGCAGUUGCCUCCUUUGGGAAAAUUGUGAUCCUUUGAAAAUCUCAGCAUAUUGUACAUGGAGAGUGUGAAAACAGUGGGUAAUGAAUUUCUGGGAAUAGAAAGUCAUCUUCAUGACUCAUCUCCAUCUUUAUCAGUUAUUAUUGCCUUCCCCAAAUUGAAAUCACUUUCAGUUGAGGGAUUGAUGGAAUUGGAGGAGUGGGAUUAUGGGAUUAAAAGAACAGGAAACACCUUCACCAACAUUAUGCCACGUCUUUCUUCCUUGGAAAUUAGUGUGGGGUUAUGGGAUCGCACAACCACGUUGAAGGUAUUGCAGAUUGUGGCAUGUGGUACUCUAAGAAGACGUUGCAGACAGGGGAGAGCAGAAGACUGGCCUAAGUUCUCUCACAUUCUAGACAUCAUGAUUGUGUGAAAAGAGGCCCUUGACAAAAUUCUCUAGGCGGCUACAUGGAGUACAAUCAUAAAAUGCUAAUGUGGCCACCCUGGUUCUUAAUUAAGGUUGUGAAAUAUUAUUGUAAAAGAUGAUUAAUUCAAUUUGAGUCAUUCGUUUGCUUUGAUAAUGAUAGUAAUUUUAUAUUUUGACAAUUUGCAAGGUGAGAAUGGUGCUGAUUGGUGAUACAGGAUACGGUUCAAACACCAUUGAAUAAAGCUACGGACAUGGUGGCUCAACUUAGCUAUUGCUGUCAAAAUUGGUAAGUUGGCUUGUCAAUGUAUUGAUGCUUUUGUUUUCUCUCAACCCUAAUUACCUUACCUUCAUUUAGUUUGGCUUUGGAGUUGAGUAAUAACUUUCAAGGUUCUCAAACAGAGCAGGACAACCGAAAAAAAAAGCUUAAUUUGCUACUGAUCACGUGUUACCAAUUAUUAAGGUAAUUCUCGUUUACUUGCUUCUACACUAUAGAGUACGUGUUCUGGCUGGUUUAUCUAAUUCAUCAAAUGUUAUUUCCUUAUUGUUCCAUUGAUAUAUUUGUUAGAAAGUGAAACCAUUUCCAGGCAGCAGUUGGCAGUGAAUUCAUGCAAAUGUUGAUGCCAUUCAUAGAUAUUGAAGACAAUGAUGAGCCAAAGGUGAUAAAUCAUUAAUGCAUAGUUACCAAAACCUCCAUCCUUCUCUCAUUGUAAUUUGAUUUGAAAUGAAUAAUUUCUAGGUAAUUGAAGCCAAUAUUGUUAGAAACGGUGUUGAGCUACCCAAGCUAAGAAGUUGGCUGCCAAAAAAUGCAGGGGAUCAAAAGAAGCAUUGCAUUUGAAAAGGAAUGAGAUUCUGGUUGCUACAUGUCAAUUCGUAGAAGUUUCAAUAAAUUUAAUGGUUCAAGAUUUUAGUUUCUGUUUAAAUUUGUGCUACUGCAGUGCUGCAGUGCUGCUACUGGGAAAUUUAAAUCCCAUAUUAGACUUUCCUCACAUAAGAAGCUGUGGAUCUUCGGACAUCAGGUUUUUUCACAGUUCUGAAACUCUCAGGAUUAAACUCUAUUAAAGUUGUUGUAGUUGUCUACGUUCUCAGGUCAAGGAUUCUAAGCUGCCGAUUAAGGCAAAAUGUCAGAAUUCCCCUAUUAUUUUUUUUUUCAUGUAAAAUUAUGUUGUUGUCUUCGCCCAUGAAUCUUAGCUAAAUUCUGAACCAAUUGUUUGCUAUUAUAAAUUUCAUUGUUAAAUAUUAAUUGUGAUGUUGGUGUUGAGUUUCUUUUAAAGUCAGAGAAGCCUGACGAUUGAGUUCCAUGGGAUUCUGAGAAGCAGUAAUAUUUUGAACAAGUGAAGGUUCUUCGUUUUUACAGUAUGUGCAGAUGUCUAAGAGGCAGGAUUUUUAUUUCUGUAAUGCUAAAUUUCGCAAAACAAUAAAAAUAAAUAAAUGCAUGACAGUGACUUCAAGAAUUUAGAUUAUUGAAUUUGGUCAUUUUAAAAUUGUUGGAAUGUUGAACUUAAGUAAUUUUUAUAAACCAGAGCUCAGAAAUGUAGAAUAUAAAUAUUGGAGAUUUGGACUUCAAUCAUUAGACUUGAAGCUAAAGAGGUAAGCCAUUAAUUAUAUCAAAGGAUUUGGAAAAUGGAGGGAUUGGAAAAAGGAAACAUUUUCAUAAACUUCAAGAGGAACGUCACAGAAAGGGGUAAAGAGAAGAGUAGCCUAAGAUAUUAAAGACAAUGUUGAGCCAAAGGAAACAUAAAUCCCAACCAUUGCAUGUGAACAUGAUCACAAUAAGGUCAAAAACCAUUUUUUUGAGAAUUUUCAAUUGAAAGUGAAACCUUUUGACAUUUACCUAGUAAAGUUAGUUAAACGAGAGAAAUAAAGGGGAAAAGAAAAGUUGACUCAAGUCAAUACAGAAUAAUUAGUUCAAUCUGGAGUAACUAAAACAGAGCCACUAUAUUUUCAAAAAUAUCUGCAUUCAUCACCUUCUCCUCCAGCUAGUGAGCUACACACGAAUCCUUUCCUUUUAGCAUUUUUGCAGCAUCAAUUUCUCCCCUCGUUUGUCAUCAAUUUCUCCCUUCGUUUCACCAAUACCAUGGCUGAUGCAAUCGUUUCCCCUCUCUUGGAGCAGCUGAUUAUCUUUGCUGCUGAAGAGUUGAAACAACAGGGGAAGCUGGUGAGUGUUGGAUGAGUGGAUCACAGCAUGCGCCAAAUCGCAAAAUAGAUCAAUGCUCUUGGUGCUCCUUAUCUGAAGAAGAAGGUGCAAAUUGGGAGCUGCAUUUCACUGUCAUAACAUUUAUUGUAAUUUCAUUUGGAGAUAUGUAAUAUCUGUUGUCCAGAUACAUAUCAUACACCAGUUGCUAUGUAAUUUCGUUUAGGUUCAUUUUUGUUUCUUAAGAGUUUGUAAAAAGAAUGGAAAGAUUUUAAAAUAUAAAUUUCAUAUCUGUUUAUUACUGUUGUUUGGUCUAAUUUCUUAUGUAGAAUUUUCAGAAUCUGUAGGACAUUAGUUUAUAAUUUUGAGAUUUUGCAGCCAUAAAAAAAAUUUUUUUUUUUUGCCAUUUUAUUUUGCUCCUUUAUCUAUGUGCAUGUUGACUGGCUGCAGUGAGUGAAAAUUUACCUAUAUAUGCUGGCUAUUCUUGGACAAUAUUAGAGAAAAUAAUCAUAUUAUUUCGCGUGAUGUGAACUUCCAUAACUUAUCAAUUGAAUUGCUGUAAAAUAUUAAAUAGUUUUAUUUUUCUUUUAUCGUGUAACUUGGACCAAAAAAGGAAAUGAGUUUAACACGACCCUCAAUAUAACCUCCAUUUCAGCACAAUACAUGUUAAUUGUUCCCCAAGGACUUCUCCUGUUUCCCAUUCCCACCUCCAUGCUCUCGAGAGGAAUUUAGCACCCAUCAAUUUUUAUUUUUGAAAACUCGUAAUGGUCUGAUAAAAUUAAACAACAUCAAUAAUGUUACCAGUCUUUAAAUAGUAAUUAAUUUAUUUAAUUUGCCACCUAAAAGAAUCCUGCUGGAAAUAGAGGUUAAAAAUUUUAUUAGAUCUGCUUACCUUUGUUCAUUCAGCAAAAACACUUACAAUUCACAGCUAGAGAAUCUAUCCAUUGACAAUUGUGGAUUAAAAUUAUAACACCUGAAUUCAAACAUAUCCUUAUGAAGUUAUGAAUUUGUUCAUACUUCAAAUGAUUUUUUUUUCCAAGCUAAUAAAGCAACCACUUUGAUCAAACGACGACGUUGAAGGAAUUACGUAUUUUCAAUGUCCUUUUCCAGACAGAUGUUGGAGAGAGGGAAAGGAGAAGACUGGCCUAAUUAAGAUAUCUCACAAAGAUUAUUGAGUUAAAAUGUUAUUGUAAAAGAUGUUUAAUACAAUAAUAGUAAUUCUUUUGCAUUGUUAUAAUGAGGCUGGUGGGUUUCCUCAGAGGAUGGAUAUGGCUCGCUAGCAUGCAUUUGGGAAGAUGCUAAUUAUCGGCCAUAAAAAGUCAGGGGGUUGUGGCUCUUCCGUCGCCCAGAAAUUCCUAAACUCAUAUAUCAAACUUCAGAUGAACUUGGGCAUUAUGUAAAUAUGUAUUUUUGAGAAUUAAACUAGUGCGUUCGAAAAAUUUUGAGCCAUUGUAAUCAUUUUAUUUUGCUAAGAGAAAAUUUUACUUUGUUUCGCUUUGCCUUUUGUUUUUUCUGUGAUAAUAUGAUUCAUACGAAUGUGAUUACACACUAUCAUGCAUCUAUUUUCAUUUGCUUGUCAUGAAUGGUCAACAUGCUCGAAAUAUUUACUUAGGUUGGAAAUAUUUGAAUCCACUAAAAUACUAUACAAACCCAUUUUAAAAUUAAAAAAAUGAUUAUCAUAAUACUCGUGAAGAUAACACGAUAUCAUACAUAAAAUAAAAUAUUUCGCAAAAAAGAUAAGAUACAAAUCUUGAGUAAAUAGGUACAAAAAAUAUUUUAGUGGGUUAAGUAGCACUAAUGCCCCCUUAUCAAAAAAUAAAUAAAAAUAACUAGUCUGAUUGGGUAUACCGUUUAUAUAUAUGUACAUAUUCUUGAUAAUGUGUAAUGUACAUUAUAGACAAAGAUUUUGAAAGCAAUAUUUUUUAAAAAGUCGAGAGAAUAGGAAAAGUCUAAAUCAAUUUUCUAAUCUCUACCUCCUUUAUGAUUUAAACUUUAGUGUUUAGUGUCGCGAGCCACUCAAAUUUUCUAAUCAAAGAGACUAAAUUGCACGAAAUUGUGCUAGCUUAUUUGAUUCUAGAAAUUUCUACUACACUGUAACACACUCUCACGUAGGGAUGGCAAUGGGGAGGGGAGGGGAGGGGACCAAUCUCCCCAUAUCCAUCCCCGAUAUUUUACAUAUGUCCCCGUCCCCGUCAGAAUUGCUUGAGAGAAUCCCCAUCCCCUCCUCGAAUAAUAACAGGGGAUCCCCGAGGGUCCCCGGUCCCCGAAUAACUAAUAAUCUAAUACAUUUUUUUAUUUUCGAUUUUAAAUUAAUCAUAUUAAAAUAAACUCAUACCGCUAUUGUAAGCUCGUAACCAAUUUUGACAGCACAUUAAGGCCUCCAAUGUGCUUGGAUGAAGUCUGUUAUGGUAUGGGCUCACAACUCUACCACUAGUGUUAAAAGCUGAUUCAGAAGCAACUGUUGUAAUUGGAAUUGCCAAAAUAUCUCUAGCAAUUCGAGCUAAUGUAGGAUACCUAUUAGCAUUUGUCUUCCACCAACUCAAAAUAUUAAAAUCUUCCAUCCGAGGUAUAACUUUCUCAUCCAAAUAUGAAUCUAAUUCAUCUGCAACAACUGCACAAUCUCCAUUGUUUACAUAAUCAUCAAAACCUAUCAUCCAUUUGGUUGCUUUCUUAUAAGAAUCCCCUGUAGAUCUAGUAGAAGAACUACUACCAGUAUAAUCAAAGCAAUAAACAGUUGGUGAAAACUUCAAUUAAUACUCUUCAACUAAUUCCCGGCAAAGGAUGACCACUUUCCCAACAUACAACUAUUUUGAUAUUUAUUAUUUUUAACAAUAUUUAUAAUUUUGUUAUUUAUUUAUUAGUAAUUUUAAAAAUAAAAAUAAAAUUAAAAAUUAAAAUGGGGAAAUGGGUAGGGGAUGGGGAUUCCACCUCAUCCCCGUCCCCUCCCCGAAUAAAAAAUUGGGUAAAAAAUUUUCCCCGUCCCCUCCCCGAAAAAAAAAUUGGGUAUAAAAUUAUCCCCGUACCCUCCCCGAAUGGGGAAAAUCCCCGAGGGUAUCCGUCCCCGUGGGGAUUUUUGCCAUCCCUACUCUCACGCUUGUACAUACCUCGAAAUUCUCUAGAAUUUACUAGAGUAGUGUUGCAUGUAGCUUGUACAUAGGUUUUUCUGGAACACUCCAGGCAUUACUAAGCAUGAGAGCCUUGAGAACUCUCUAGCCAUAAAACAUUCUAGGGUAAGCCUACCCUAAAAAUAGGGCAUGAUGCUUGCCACUUGAGCAUACAACAAGUAAGAACAAAUCAAGCAUACUUGUGAGCUCUCAAACUCUCUUAUACACACUUUUAUGAAUAAUAUAUUCUCUCUUUGGCUAUAUUGCUCUCUCUUCUCUCUAGUUUUUUUCGCAAGCAUCAAACCUUAGUUAGUCGAAAAAUUCAAGGCUUACUUUAUAGCUAUCUCGUAAAAGUUGUUUAAGUACCAUAGAGAUUUGCUGUGCAAAAUACUCAUCACAUGACAUUAGCUAAAUAAAAUUGUUUGAAAGCCACUUACCCAAACUAUUAAACGAAUAUUGACUUUUGUCUUAAUUUUCUAUCUCCUACGAUAAAUUUUAUAGUUAAAAAUUGAAAAAAAUUAAUAACUAUUAGAUAGAGCAUUCUUUAUUGUUAAAAGAAAUCUAUAUAGAUAGAUAGAUGGUAAUAUAAAAACUUACUUAUUGUAGUAUAAUGUUUUUAGUUUUUUGAAACACAGAUUCUCACUUUUUAAAGAUAAAAUUCAAAGAAAACAAGUUAAAUGUUGUAGAAAAUCUUCCAGCCAUACAAGAAAUUGUGAUGGCUAAAUGCAAACCUAACUAAAGUAUUAGUUGUUUUAUUACAAUCUCCAAAAAGAUGAGCAAUUCCAAAAUCUUUUUUUGUGACAAUAAACACUACACGUCAGUAAUUAUCCAGGUCAAAAGCAAGCUACUCUAUUAAAAAAAAAAAAAACUUGCAGUGAAUUCGAAGAUAAACCAAUUUUACUAGCAAGUUGGAUACAAAAGAGUAGGGCUUCGGCCUCAAUUACUCAGUGUACCAACAACUCAAUCUCGGUGAGUUAAAAUCAACUUCCAUCAGUCUUUUAUUUGUUGAUAGAUCGAUUAAGGUACCAAAAAGAAUAAUUAAAGAUGUAUUAGUUCAAGUUAAUAAAUUCAUAUAUCUUGUGGAUUUUAUUAUUUUGGAAACUGAACCAAUUGCUAAUGAAUGCAAACAAAUUCCUGUUACAUUGGGUCGUCCAUUUUUAACUACUGCUAAUACAUUGAUUAAUUGCUGGAAUGGAGUAAUGAAUUUAUCUUUCGGCAACAUGACAUUGGAACUUGAUGUGUUCAACAUAUGUAAACAACCUCACCACCAGGAAGAUGAUGAUAAUGAGAAUUAGGAGAUUGAUUUCAUCGAGCCAAUCAUUGAGGAACACAUUCAGAAUAAGAAUUUUACAAAUUCUGUGGAAAUUUAUUCUUCUUGUUCUUUUGAAUCGAGUAAAGAAUUAAAUUAUGAUACUGCUAACAUAUAACCUACAAUUGAUUCUAUGCAGGUACAUGCUGACAAUGGCCAAUCAAACUUUAAAGAUACAGAACAACCUGAAGAACCAAACGAAGAGCAAGUACCAGAGCUCAAAUUAAAGCCCUUACUGGAAGAAUUGAAGUAUGUCUAUCUUGGAGAACAACAGAUUUAUCCUGUGGUAAUUUUUUUCCCAACUCACGCUUGAUCAAGAAGGUAAGUUGUUGUCUGUACUAAAAAGGCAUAAAACUGCAUUUGGCUGGACUUUAAAAGACAUAAAAAACAAUAAUUCUUUAAUCUGCACACACCGAAUACACUUAGAGGAAAAUACCAAAACAACCCAUCAACAUCGACAUUAUAUGUGUAAACAUUAAAUACCAAAAUCAACCCCAAAAACUAUAAAUAAAAUAUCAUGAUUAAAAUGAAGUUUUUUUUUAGAUAUUCGUUGUAGUAUCUCUUUAGAUCGCAAACAAGAGAUAAAAUAAAUAAAUAUUUGCUAUGUAAAUAAAAAUAAAUAAUUUUUUUUAACUGAAAAAUAUUCUCAAAAACUAAAUAGUUCAAACUUUUUUUAACAUCAUGUGUUUCUAGGGUUGGGCAUUCAGUUCGGUUUUUACCGAACCGAACAACUAAAUUAAAUCGAAAUUACCUGUUCGGUUCAAUUGAAUAGACAAAAACCGAAGAGUUUAUAUUUUCAUGAACUGAAUGAUUUGUGUUUCAGUUGAGUUCGGUUCGAUUCUGGACCUGAACCGAACCGAACCGAUCCGUGAAUCGUAAACUGCCCACCCUUACGUAGUAGUUUCCGUUAACCGACGUUGUAUUGCUCGUAUAAAAUUGUUCAAAUGUUCAAAUCACAGUCUCCCGCUCUCAGCUCAGUCAGAGUUUCCAGGUCCAGAGACUUCCCGCUGACUGAGAACUUUUUCGUAGCAGGUCUACAAAUAAUGGAGUAGAGCUGAUUUUAUGAUUAAUUUAUUUCCUUUUUCAAUUUCUCUUGAUUGCGAUUUAAUCUGGAAAGUUAAACGUGAAUUGUUUAGUGCGGAUUAAAUGUUCGACGAAUUUCCCACAAGAGUAUUAAGUUCAAGAGAAAAAAAGAAAACAAUUGAGCGUGAGCGUGAGCGAGAAUGGUGUUUGGGCAAGUGGUGAUUGGUCCGCCCGGCUCGGGAAAGACCACUUACUGCAAUGGCAUGUCUCAGUUUCUCAGCCUUGUUGGCAGGUAACUUCGUUUCUUGAUUUCAAGCAGCUUUAUCUUCGAUGACCAAAAAUAUUGAUUUGGGCUUUGCCAUUAAAUGAAUGUAAGAGCAGUAGGGAAUAACUGAGUUAUAGGAUUAGCUUUAAGUGAACAUUGAUGGUAAUGUGAAGGUUGUAUGUGUUCAGUGGCAAGCUGUAUGCCAAUUUGGUCUAUAUGGUUGCUUAGGUAGUAACUUAUUAAUUUUUAGGCAGGAAGGUUGCAGUCAUCAAUUUAGUUCCUGCUAAUGAUAGUUUGCCGCAUCCUUUGUCAUUGAACUUUCUUACAAAUGCUGUGGUUUGUUGUAGUAUAAUUAGUUCAAUUGGAAAUUUCCUUGAUGUUAAUAUAGAAAUGAGUGUGCUGUGAAUAUUGAGGACCUCAUUAGACUAAGUGAUGUGAUGAUGGAGUAUUCACUUGGUCCCAAUGGAGGUUAGUCAGCCUAUUGUUGUUUACUCUUUCUUGCUUUAUCACGCAAUGAUAUUCCUUUGCUUUACAACAAAUUUCAUGAAAUUAACUUCAAUCAAGUGGCAAUGUUCAUACGCUGUUGAGAUUUUAUGGACAAUGAUUUGGUAGAAUUUAUAUGCCGUCUUCUUUCUUUUUGCAGUGAUAUGCUUGUAUUCAAUGAGCUUGUACUUAUUCUAUGGUUUCUAAAGUAGGUGUUUUUAUGAUAAACUAGGUCUUGUGUAUUGUAUGGACUAUCUAGAGAAGAAUAUUGACUGGCUGCAGUCGAAAUUGGAACUACUUUUGAAAGGUAAGUAGAGGCCAUUUUCCUUCAUUCUAAUGCCAAUAAUGCUGUCAUGAGACUCAUAAAAAUUGUUAAAACGUUAAUGUUUUUGGUAUUUUGCAGAUCGUUAUCUUCUGUUUGAUUUUCCUGGCCAAGUUGAAUUAUUUUUUCUUCAUUCCAAUGCCAAGACUGUUAUAAUGAGACUCAUAAAUAAGUUAAAUCUCAGGGUAUUGUUACAUCUUACAUCUAUGAAGGGACUCAAAGAGUUGAGAUGAAUUCAUCUUUGUUAUUUUGAUGCCAGAAUUGUGCAAUUCUCAGUUUGUUCCUUUCACAUGCAGUUGACUGCAGUGCAUCUAGUUGAUGUGCAUCUUUGCAGUGACCCCAGGAAGUAUGUUAGUGCUUUGCUUCUCUCAUUGUCUACGAUGCUACAUCUGGAACUUCCCCAUGUCAAUGUCUUGUCUAAUCGAUCUGAUUGAGAAUCAUGGAAAGCUAGGUGUGGUUUUAAGUGUAGCUCUCCUGCUUGUUUGUUUAGUUUGAAAUAUCAGAUAUUGUCACAAGAUCCUAUUUGCUACAUUUCCUCACCAAUCAAUUAUUUUGGGUCUGUUGCAGCUUUUAAUCUCGAGUACUAUACAGAUGUGCAAGAUUUGUCAUAUUUACAGCAUGCUCUCGGUCAGGACCCUCGUUCUGCUAAGUACAGGUUUGAAUUCUAGCUGAAUCAAUGAUGCAAAUUAUGUCCAUUGUUAUUUCUGCUGUUGUUUCUAUCAUUUUCAAUUGUUACUUCCCCUUUCCAUCUACUACCACACUACAAUACCCACACAAAUGUUGUGAAAUUUGUCAAUGGAAAAAAAACAGUUCCUCUUUUAUUUUGAUCAGACUCAAUGAAUAAGUGGUUAAAAUGUGCCUGUCCUAGAAAUAUAGAUGUGUGGUUUCGUAAAAUUUUCUUGAUCUUAAGAAAGAGUUAUCUCGAAAAGAAGAUAACAUGGAGAAUUCAACAACUAUACAGUCAUAUUGAUGUCUGUCAACUUGGGUCAUAUGGUGUCGUUUGGAUGGAGAUGUUAGGUCCCAGAUGGUAAACUUGUUAUCGAAUUCCAGUCUACUUCAUUCAUGCUUUGAUGACAUAUACGGUGCAGCUUCUUAUCUAAGACCUGCAUAUGUUCAAUCAUCAUUCUGUUCUGUAUUUGGCUGCCAUUCUUUUCAAUGAAUUCAAACCACUUCUGAAUACUUGCAAAUUCAUCCAGUGUUGUCAUUGAGAUGCCAAUAUGAAAGGAAGCCAUAAUUGCCCUUGAUAGUAUGCUUAUUGAUUGCCUCUUGCCUCACUCAGCCUCAUGAAUCUGCUUGUAUGGUGUUCUUGUAAUUUCAUUUGGAGAUUAGUAAUAUCUGUUGUUCAAAUGUAUUUUAUAUACCAGCAGUUAAUAAUUCUGCUUGCAGAAAGCUUACAAAGGAGCUGUGUGAUGUAAUUUUUCAACCUUAGAUAUCCAGGUCAUCAGUUUCUCUUGAAUUCUUUCUUGAAUUUCUUUGAAUUAUUUGUGAAUAAGAUCUUAGUUGGCUGCUUCUCUUCAGGAUAAGGAAAGUGUGGCAAAACUCGUGAAGCUGAUAUAUAAAAGCAAUGGGUACAUCUUUGCUGGCAUGGAUGCCAGUGCAGUUGAAUUCAGCAAGAUUGCCGUUCGCGAUGUUGAUUGGGAUUAUUUCGGAUAUCCUUCUUUUCACCUAUUUUCAAUGUUGUUAUUCUCAUAUUCAUAAAAUUUUUUGGUUAUUUAAUUAUGGUUCAUCAUAUGCAUCUGCAUCUUCUAACUUGUUCGUUUGAGAAACUAAUUUUGCCGUUAGGUAGGCUUCGAGCUUGAUGAGUUGAUUCAUGCUUUUUUCAUAAAUGUACCAAAAUCAUGGAAACUUCUUUUUCCCAGAUAUUGUAUCCACACUUUUUCCAUGUAAUUGGGUCAGACAAGUUUUGCUUAACAAAGAUAUCUACAGUAGCCGAAGUGCAGGAGAAGUACAUUAAGGAUGAUGAUGAUGUUAACUAAAAUGAGACGUGAAGAUAUGUGGUGUGCGAACCGUAAGCCUGCCUCUUAAUUUUGUGCAUGUUUACUUGCUUGUGAUUCACGUUUGUUAAUCUAUUUUGCUCUCUUGCAGGAGUUAUAAAGUUUUCAAUCAAUCAAACAUUUAACUUAAGUCCUUACCUCUUGCUGCAAAGACAAUGGGAAGUCUCAUGAGCUCUAAAAAAACUGAAGAAGAGUGGAAAAUAAUUUUAAAUAGUGAUUUAUGGAAGGUAAAAGAGAUCGAGAAAGGUGUUCUAACCCCUUUGUGGUUGAGUUAUAAUGAUUUGCCGUCCAGAGGAAAAAGAUGUUUCUCGUAUUGUGCUGUCUUUCCAAAAGACUACAAUAUAAAAAAAGACAAAUUAAUUACUUUGUGGAUGGCUCAAGGUUAUCUUAGUGCAGAAGCAGCAGAACAAGAUGAGGAGUUGGAGACUAUAGGUGAAGAGUAUUUUGGCAUCUUAGCUUCUCGCUCUUUCUUUCAAGAGUUUCAGAAACGUUAUGAUAAUCGUAUUAUAGCGUGCAAGAUGCAUGAUAUGGUACAUGAUUUUGCCCAAUUUGUUAGUCAAAAUGAAUGUUUUUCGUUGGAAGUUAAUGGUAGUGAGGAACUAACCGUCACAAACUCUACAAACUCUCUUGAUGAGAAGGUCCGUCAUUUAAUGUUAAUCUUUAGUAAAGGGACUUCAUUACCUGUUUCCACUCGUAGAGUUAAAAGAAUGCGUACCCUCUUAAUUAACGAUAGUAGAUCUGAUCAUUCAUUAUUAAAUGGUGAGAUCCUAGAAGAAUUAUUUAGGGAAUUGACAAGUUUAAGGGCAUUAGAUUUUGGCAAAUCGUAUAACUCAAGUUGGUCUUCGACUGUGGAGAUUCCGAGAACCAUAGAAAAGCUGGUACAUUUAAGAUACCUUAAUUUGUUUUAUCAGGGAAUAAAGAAACUACCGGAGACAUUAUGCGAGUUGUAUAAUCUAGAAAAGUUAGAUAUUAGUUUAUGUUUUAAUCUUAAAGAAUUACCUGAAGGGAUUGGGAAGUUAAUAAACAUGAAGCAUUUACGAAAUAGAGGUACUAGUUCUUUAAGGUACAUGCCAGUAGGGAUUGGGAGAUUAACGGGUCUCAGGACCUUGGAUGAGUUCCACGUGAGUGGAGGAAAGCGUGUAGGCUUGAAUCUCUUAAAAAAUUGGAACACCUUCAAGUAUGUGGUAUACGUAGACUGGGUGAUGUAUCAGAUGUGGGCGAGGCUAAGCGAUUAGAACUUGACAAAAAGAAAUACCUCUUCAGUUUGACCCUUGAGUUUGAUAAGAAGGAGGAAGAAGAAGGAGAAAGGAGGAAGAACGAGGACGAUCAAGUUCUUCUUGAAGCCCUACAACCACCUCUCAAUUUAAAGGAAUUAGAGAUAGAGUACUACCGAGGCAACACUGUUUUCCCCAGCUGGAUGACGUCAUUAACCAACUUAAAGAGUUUAGAUCUCUCUUCCUGCGAAAAUUGGGAGCAGCUGCCUCCUUUGGGAAAAUUGCCAUCCCUUGAAGCACUCAGCCUAUGGGACAUGAAGUGUGUGGAAAGAGUGGGUGAUGAAUUUUUGGGGAUAGAAAGUGAUCAUCAUGGCUCAUCUUCAUCGGUUAUUAUUGCCUUCCCCAAAUUGAAAUCACUUUCAAUUGAGGUUCUGCGCGAAUUGGAGGAGUGGGAUUAUGGGAUUACAAGAACGGGAAACACCGUCAUCAACAUCAUGCCACGUCUUUCUUCCUUGACAAUUGCACUUUGCCCCAAAUUAAAGGCACUGCCCGACCACUUUCAUCAAACGACAACAUUGAAGGAAUUGCACAUUUGGGAUUGCAGGCUUCUGGAAGAACGUUAUUGCAAGGGGGAAGGAGAAGACUGGCCUAAGAUAUCACACAUUCCCAACCUCCAUAUUGGGCUUUGACAAGUAAUUUCUUCUCUUACUCUGAUUUGCUUUGUUGUUGUUUUUAAUCUAAUUAAGAAGCGUAAAUAGCAUUUUGAAUCAAACUCUAUAUCAGAAAUCUGCAAUACUUACUUUCUAAUAUUCUGAUUUUCAUAUCCUAUGAAUAUACGAUUUUUAAUUUGUGAGAUGGGUAACGUUACUGUAAAAGAUUAUUAAUGCAAUAUGAGUAAUUCUUUUGCAGGACAAGUGACCUACAUUUAGUUUGGCUUUGGAGUUGAAUAAUAACCUUUCGAGGUCCCGACAACCAAAAAACGAAGCUUAAUUUGCCACAGAUUGCACGUAUUGCCAUUAUUGACAAUUUUCUGCACAAGCUUAGGUUGAUGUCAAAAGAGGUAAAUUAUUGGCAUGCCUGACUAUUUUGACCAUUACACGAUUCAUAAGUUUACAUUAAUUUUGAUUUUGAGUUGAGUGAUUAGUUUUCUAGGUUUGCUUACUUUAACUGGGUGACCAAUUUCUUGUAACUAAAUGUAUGAUGUGAAGCAGAACUCAAACAAAAGUAUGCUACUUCUUGCGGAAAUCUUGCCUUUGUUCAGAUUAUGAAACCAUUUCCAUGCAGCAAAUUCAUCCAAAAGUUUGAAUAAGUUUCACGGUUGGACACUGUUGGUUUCUUUUUCUUCUGGGGUGCAUUUAGGUGCUAUCAAGUGACAGCUGUAAGUAUGAUUGCACUAAGCUGCCGCUGGGAAAUUUGAGGUUUUGAUGGCUGCCCAUGUUAUUUUCAAGAAACUAUUGAUGUAAGAAGCUGUGGUUCUUUUCAUCAGCUUGAACCUGAAACUGUCGCUAUGGAUAACUCAGGUUUUUGUUAUCAACUAUAUCAUCUUUUUCACUAUUUUGAAACUCUUAAGAUUAAACUUUAGUAAAGUUGUUUCAGCUUUUCAAAUGAAAAACUCAUUGAUUUGAGACUUCCUUCAUUAUUGUUUCUAAUUACAAUGCUAACGAUCCAGAUAAGAUAAUAUUUAAUCGGCGAAGGUGUCCCUUGGAAGUACAUCCUUCUUUUUCUUUUAUUAUACAAAUUCUUGCAAUGAGCUUAGUGAAGCUGUUGUGCUAAUCAUGCCACUGCAUAAUUUGGCCCCUAAUGUGGGUACUCUGUUACAUUGUUCUGCAAAUUCUCCAGAAGUUAAAAUCAAUAAAUUUUCUAUUAGCUCUAGUGCUUUGACCUAAAUGCUAUUCUAUAUUCUGAUUACAAUGUUUUACCUUUAAAUUAACUACCCCUAGAUGUUGGAUUUUCUAGAACUUCAAAAUGAUUAAUGGAGAAAGAUCCCAUUAUCGUUAUUGCUAUAAAAAAUUGAUUUAUGCAUCCAAAGAUACAUUAUAUAUUUCUGUGUCUCUAUUUAUAGAUGACAUUUAAGCAUCCAUAAACCGUCAGACAGAGGAAGGGGGUUCAGUGCAAAGAUUCUGUUGACCUAGGGUUGACUGCAUAAUGUCACUUGUUCGCAAUCUAUUAUUCUUUUCAAGGUCUGCUUCCUUAACGGAGCGACCAAUGUUUUUCAACUAAAUUUAUCAUAUGAUGCAGGAAGCAGGGCAGGAUAUGAAAUGUGAAGCUCAUUGGUGGAAGUAUUGCCAGUAACAGAACCCAAAGAAAAUGAAACUAUUUCAAGGCAGCAGUUGGCAGUUGCAAGUGAAUGGAGGCCCUUGACAAAAUUCUCAAGCGGUUGCAAUGCAAUUACGAUCAUCCUCAGCCUCAGGUAAUUUCUUCUCCUGCUUUGUAUUUAUUUGUUAUCUAAUUAGGAACCGUAAAGUAUCUUGAAUCAUUUUCUGUAUCUGGAAUAUAUGCAAGAGUUUCUAAAAUUUUGAUAUGAGUGUAAUGAUGGUAAUUUCUGUUUUCUGUCUGUCAUCAAAUGUUAGAAAACUUUCAUUGAGACCCUUGAACCGAGUCAUUUUUGACAAGUGAAGUGCUGAAGAGUGAAGAGUAAGAAUGGUGCUAGAUUGGGGAAUAAAGCAAAAGGAGGUAAAUUAUUGGCAGCUUCUUCAACCUUAUUUUCUUUGGACCAGUGCCUAAUUCACAAGUCUCCAUAAUUCGGCUUUUGACCAGUUGAUAGAUAAAAUUUUAAUUUCAUUGGUGCUAAUGUACCCGUGAGGCAGGCAGAGAAGGACUGUGGAAAAGAGAAGGUUUUUAGUGAAAGCUUAAACUCAGGUAAUUCUAAAAAUUAUAUGUUUUGGCUGAUUUAUCUAAAUCAGGAAAUUUUAUUUCCAUCUGUUACAAUAAAACAGAAACAGAACACAAAGAAAAAUAUUCUACUUCUUGUGGCAAUCUUGCCUUCAUUCAGACUAUGAAACCAUUUCCUUUCACCAAUUUCUUCCAAAAGUUUGAACACAUUUCAUGGUUGGACAUAGUUAGCUUCUUUUUCUUUUGGUGCAUUUAGGUGCUAUCAAGUGACAGCCGUAAGUAUGAUUGCAUUAUUGGGAAAUUUUAGGUUUUGAUGGCUCCCCAUGUUAUUGCCAAGAAAUUUUAAGUCCUCGUGUCAGAAGCUGCGUUUCUUUUCAUCAGCCUGAACCCGAACCUGUCACUAUGGAUAACUGAGGUUUUUGUCAUCAACUAUAUCAUCUUUUUCACUGUUUUGAAACUCUUAAGAUUAAACUUCAGUAAAGUUGUUUCAGUUAUCCAUGUAAUCAGGCUAAGGAUAUUUAGCAGCUUAUUUAGGCAACUGCCAGAAUUCAGUUUGUUCGCUCGAAACUUGUAUGGUGACAAGGAUACUGGCAAGGAUAGUGAGAUAGUUUUUUGUGUGAGUGAAUUUUGAAAGCUUGGGUGUUCUGGGAUUUGCAAUUGCAAUCAUCCUCUGCUUUAGGUGAUUUCUUCUCCUGUUCUGUCUUUAUUUUCUCUCUAAUUGAAAGCAUUUCAAUCAAAUUCUGUACCAGGAAUACGAAAAAUUUACCAAUAUUUUAUUUCCAUCUGUUUGCAUUGAUAACUUGGCCGCAUAUGUACUAGUUAAAGAACAAACAGAAGCAGAGUUCAGGAAAAAGUUUCUUCGGCCACCAUAUUUGAAAAUGAAACCAUUUCCAGGAAGCAGUUGGCAGCAAAUUCAUACAAAGUAUAGACAAUGAUGAACAAAAAGGUGAUUCGCAAUUUCAUUUUUUUAAAAUGAAAUUAUUUGUUAAGUUGGAGCUGAUAUUGUUAGAAGGCCAUUGAGCUAACCUCUGACACUGCUUGCCUAGAUUGCAGGAGGUCAAGACUCAAAAGAUGCACUGAAUUUUAAAAGGCAUGCAAUAAUUCUUAUGGCCAUUUGUCAAUGGUGGAAUGCUUUUAGCUUCUUUUCCUUUUGUGCAUUUUGGGGUUCUAUCAAGCGACAGCCGUAUGUAUGGAUGGAUAUAGCUGCUGCGUUGAUUUCUAAUGCAUUGUAUGAUGUUAUAGCAACUAUCCAUCUGGUCAAUGUUUCAAAAGAAUAAGACAGGGAAAAAGAGAAAGCAAGUGGCCAAUCAAGUUGCAUCAACCAAAUUGUUGUUAAACAAGUAAAACAAAGAAAGAGAGUUAAGGAAGCUGACCUUGUAGUAGGGGAGCUGAAGAAAGGCUGCCAGUGAAUGUAAGAGAAAAUAAAAUGCAAGAAAUGGUGAAGUGCAGCUUUUCAUGUCAACUUGAAAUUGAUUUUUCUGUUUGUUUUUUUUUUUUUGUAAUCUUUUGGAUUUUUCAAACAAAGAAAAUGAGGAGCAACCAGGGAGAUAAAAAGGGCGCCAAGGCAACUGUGUGUUGGGUUUAGAGCCAAAAAUAAAUAAAUAAAUAAAUAAGACAUCGUGUUCUUGUGGAGACCAGACCUAUUACGUAACGUCCCCUUCAAUACCACUUGUUCCGUAUCUGGUUUUCUCUUCGUCGUUUACAUAUUUAUCCUGUGAUUUUACAAUAACUAAAUAAUCCCCGCAUAGUUUGCAAUUUUAUUCAUUUGGGCCCUACAGAUUUCAGUAAUAGGAAUUAUUAAGGGACAAGAGCGCAAAACAGAAACUCUGUCCACUACUGAUGAUAUAAUAACGAACCUUUGUUUUUUUUUUUUAAAAAAAAAAAGAGUAACAAAAUAUCAUUAGACAAAUGAAAAUAUUAUCUAACAUCACCUAUUCACCUUACUGAUGAUAUGAAAAUAUGUAUGUAUGUAUGUAUGUAUGUACAUAUAUACAUACACCUAUGUAACAUUUACUUAUACAUUCUUUUGAGUUUAAAUCUUAAUACAACUACAUACAACCACAUCAAUGUAUAUAUUUUUUACAUAAGACAUGCCGUCCUAUUAUUCAUAAGUAAACAAUGUGCCGUAAAUAGUAUUCUGUGUUUUCUCAAAGUUGACUUUUCGUCUUUUAUUUUCAGACGCAGACGCUAUGUCAUUUUGUAAUCGUCCGAACAUAUACAGAGCAGAAUUGGUGUUAUCUGAUUUUGUGAUGCAAUAAGAUUUGCACUUCCUGUGCAUUCAAUGGAAUCAUGCCACGCUAGUAGACAAUAUGCUAGUUUGAACAAACUUGUUUGAAUGGCAAAAACGACAUGACCUGCUGUAGUAUUAAUUCUUUCCCGAACCAACGGGUGAUUUGCUACGUUGGAUCAUGAAAAUUAACCAAAAUAAAAAUUCUUAAGGAAUUAGUUAGUUAAUUGAUUGAUCGAAUUUAAUCUAAAUUUGAAAAUGAUAAGAUAAAUUUAAAUUUAUUAUUAUUAUUAUUAUUAUUAUUUUAAAGUGGGUGGGUUUAUACAAUUUGAGCGGUGGAAAUAUCACUGCUGAAUUAUUAAAUAUACAGUGUAAAAUUUUGACCUUUAAAAUAUUCCCUUUUUUUUUUUAUUUAGCACUAUAAGUUUAAAAAUUUAACAUUUUACCUCAAUAAUUAAAUACUUUUAACUUUAAUCUUCAAAUAUUUACCCUACAACAUUUGGACCUAAAUUUUUAAUCCGACUCGGCCCCUGACCCAAGUGGGAAGAAGAUCAGGCUUAUAAGUUAUAACUAUCACCAACAUAACAUCUUCUGGAAAAUAAUAAGAUUACUCACCUGCAAUUAUGUGAUCAAACUAAUGGUAAGCAAAAUAGAACAGCGUUAUUUCAGUCCCCUUUCAGUUUCUUUAUCAUUUUUCUUUUCCUAUUUAUAAGCUUAAUUCGGUUCAAAAUCGGCUAAUUCACUUUGAUUUCACUUUUCUUUCUUUCGGUUCAAAAAAAUUGAACCCAUUGGCUGUCAAUUCAAUUUUGUUGAAAACCAACUUUGCCUGAAUUUAAGUAAUAAUAGAGGAAAAAAAAAGAGUACUUAGCAGAAGAGAUUUCUCAUUUUUUUCUCAUUCAAACUUCUAAAAUAAAAGAAAAAAAAACAAGAGUAAUUGUUAAUUAUCAAAAUUUUGUUUAUACUAUUCCACCAAGAAAAUUAUACAAAAAAAAAAAUUUUAAAAAUUGGAGAAGAAAUAUGAGGUGAAAUACGUGGAUGGCUUAGACUAAUAAUGUGAACAAAUUCCUCUUGGAAGCAUGUCAUUGUUCAUCCGGACAACACGCGGCGAUGAGAUUCGAGAAUAAAAGGAUAGGAAUCAACUGUAACCUCAUAAACAAAUGGCCUUGGAGUUGUAACCAAAGCUUUUAAUUAUUGAUCAUUAAGAUCGAUAUAAAGUAUCACGAAAUGAUGUGUACGACGACAAUAUCAAUAGCGUAGUGUGAAGACCUGGCUGUAAACACAAGGCUCGGCAGAUUAAUUAAACAAGAGUAUCCGAAUUUUCUAUGAUAAUCUCUAGGAAACGAUCAGCUAUAAUGUACGAAAUUAAAAUAUUGCAUAUAUUUUUGAAUUUUUGAACUCAUGCAUUAAUUUAAAAAAUUAUAUCGUAUUAUAAUUUAUUCACAAAAGAAAGAAAAAUUCACUAAUCAAGUGAAAUCGUAUUCUUAUUGAAAUGAAUUCCAGUAAUUGGAUAAAUAUAAGUAUUUCUUCCGUUGUAAUUUUUGUUUAACAGAAAAUCUAUUUGAGAUUUUGUGAGAAGAAACUCAACAAUAAAGUUUGAUAGACUUUGUGGAUAUUAAGAGUUUGACAAGUAAUUGAAAUCUGAAGUUUACUGAAAUUUACGAGCAAACAAACUGAAAUCCGAAGUUUACUGAAGUUUACUAUCAAGAGUUUCAAAACAGUGAAAAAGAUGAUAUAGUUGAUGACAAAAACCUGAGUUAUCCAUAGCGACAAGUAACAUACUGAAGUAAGCCGUUGGGAGCUGGCCUGUUCAUGGGCUAUUUUUCUCUGAUGAUCUGCAUUUUUCUUCCUUUUAAAGUGAACCUUGACUCGUAUCAAACCUGUCAAAAGAACAGUUCAUCAACUGAGCUGAGAUUUGCUUUCCUUUUUCAAAACCCACCUGAGAUAUUGUAAUUCCCAAAUUUCUCUCUCUCAGCUACACGAGCAAGCAGCCGCUUUUUCACUUCAUCGAAGAAGGUAAGCGAUUUAUCUAUUUCGUCCGAUUGAUUUCUUGUUUCGUUUUCAGUGUUCGGGUAAAUUAUUGGCAUGCCUGACUUUUUGACCAUUACAUGAUUCAUAAAUUUCUAUUAAUUUUGAUUUUGAGUUGACUGGUUACUUUUAUAGGUUUGUUUACUUUGACUAGGUGACCAAUUUCUUGUAACUAAAUUUAUGACGUGAUGCAGGAAGCUCGGCAGGAUAUGAAAUGAGAAUCUUAUUAGUGGAAGGAUUGCCAGUAACAGAACCCAAAGAAAAUGAAACCAUUUCAAGGCAGCAGUUGGCAGUUGGGAGUGGAUGGAGGCCCCUGACAAAACUUCAGUAAACUUCAGAUUUCAGUUUGUUUGCUCGAAACUUGCAUGGUGACAAGGAUACUGGCAAGGAUAAUGAGAUAGUUUUUGUGUGAAUGAAAUUACGAUCAUCCUCAGCCUUAGUUGUUAUUUGUUACCUAAUUAAGAAGCAUAAAGUAUCCUGAAUCAUUUUCGUUGUCUGGAACAUAUGAGUGUAAUGAUUGUAAUUUCUGUUUUCUGUCUGUCAUCGAAUGUAAGACAACUUUAUUAAGAUUCUUGAACCGAGUCAUUUUUGACAAUUGAAGGACAAGUGCUGAAGAGUGGGAAUGCAAAAAGUUUUGUUGUUUCUAGCCUUGUUUUCUUUGAACCAGCGCCUGAUGAUAUAACAGAAACAAGGCUAGAAACAACAAAAACUCUGUCCACUACUGAUGAUAUAACAACGAACCUUUGUUUUUUUCUUUUUUCUUUUUUUUUUUAAAAAAAGUAACAAAAUAUCAUUAGAGAAAUGAAAAUAUUAUCUAACAUCACCCUACUGAUGAUAUGAAAAUAUGUAUGUAUGUAUGUAUGUAUAUACGUAUGUAUGUACAUAUAUACAUACACCUAUGUAACAUUUAAUUAUACAUUCUUUUGAGUUUAAAUCUUAAUACACAUUUUCAUGAAAUUUUUAUUUUAUUAAGUAUACAACUACAUACAACUACAUUAAUGUAUAUAUUUUUUACAUAAGACAUGCCGUCCUAUUAUUCAUAAGUCAACAAUGUGUUGUAAAUAGUGUUCGUGUCUCAAAGUUGACUUUUCGUCUUUUAUUUUCAGACGCAGACGAUAUGUCAUUUUAUACACAGCAGAAUUGGUGUUAUCUGAUUUUGUGAUGCAAUAAGAUUUGCACUUCCUGUGCACUCAAUGGAAUCAUUUCUUUGUAACUAAUUGGGUGCUGGAAUGGUGGUCAAAUCUCGAACGAAGACAGAUCUAUCAAACUCCAGAAUUGGUGUUAUCUGAUUAAUUGAUUGAUCGAAUUUUAUCUAAAUUUGAAAAUGAUAAGAUAAUUUUGAAUUUAUUAUUAUAAUUAUUAUUUUAAAGUGGGGUGGGUUUAUACAAUUUGAGCGGUGGAAAUAUCACUACUGAAUUAUUAAAUAUACAGUGUAAAAUUUUGACCUUUAAAAUAUUCCCUUUUUUUUUUAUUUAGCAUCUAUAAAUUUAAAAAUUUAACAUUGUACCUCAAUAAUUAAAUACAUUUAACUUUAAUCUUCAAAUAGUUACCCUACAACAUUUGGACCUAAAUUUUUAAUCCGAUUCGGCCCCUGAUCCAAGUGGGAAGAAGAUCAGGCUUAUAACUAUCACCAACGUAACAUCUUCUGGAAAAUAAUAAGAUUAUUCACCUGCAAUUAUGUGAUCAAACUAACGGUAACCAAAAUAGAACAGCGUUAUUUGAGUCCCCUUUCAGUUUCUUUAUCAUUUUUCUUUUCCUAUUUAUAAGCUUAAUUCGGUUCAAAAUUGGCUAAUUCACUUUAAUAAGUUUAUUGGUUUGAACGCUGUUAGCUUCUUUUCCUUUCGUGCAUUUUGGUAUGCAACAGUUCUUGCCUAUGACACUGCUUGCCUAGAUUGCAGAAGGUCAAGGCUCAAAAGAAGCACUGAAUUUUAAAAGGCAUGCAACAGUUCUUGUGCCAUAUGUCAAUUCAUGCAAGUUUGAAUAAGUUUUUUGGUAUGCUAUCAAGUGACAGCCGUAUGUAUGGUUUGCAUAUAGCUGCUGCUGGGAAAUGUGAGGAUUUCAUGGCUGGCCGUGUUAUUGUCUUAAAUUAGAUGUGAUAAGCUGUUGCUUGGUGAUUCUGUUGCCAAGAAUUUGCUCACAUCAGAAGCUGUGGAACCUGAACCCUUCUCUAGAUAUCAUCUUUUUCAUUGUUUUAAAACUCUCAGGAUUAAACUUGAGUAAUUUUGUUCGGUUGUCUAUAUAAUCAUGUAUUGAGUAAACUCUCAGGAUACUGAGCAGGCAAAUGCCAUAACUCGGUUUGUUCUUCAAAAACUUGUUUAAGAUUCUUGACAAAGCUGCAUGAAGUGAAUCUUGGGAGCUUUGAGGGUGAGAGAAAUUAGAGGGUGUAUAGGGAUUUGGGCUUAUUAGGAAGUUAUAUAUGUAUUUCGUCACUUAUCAUUAUCAUUUUUUUUUUCACAGAAAACCUUCUGAUGGUGCUAAAUUUUCAAACACCGGUCCGAUUCAAAACUUCAUAUUCCAAUUAUAUUCAUAAGACAAAUGGAACACUUUGAACGGCUUGUGUCCGAGCAUUGUAGUUUGAUUUAUUUUGAUGACAGUACCUUUUGACAUUGAGAUUCUUUCAUGAUUUAAACAUUCUUUUAAAAACUAAAUUAUUAAAAAAAAAGUAACUAACAUAUAUUAUUUUAUUAGUGCUUUUUAAAUCAAAUAUACAUAGGAGAACUGUAAUUCUUAGCAAUCAAUUUUCCACUAAAUACACCUGCAACAAACUAUUAAUAGCAAAGUGAUAGAAAAUACCUGAUUUUUCAUACUUUCUAAUUUCUUUUGGUCCUAAAAUAUGGGCAUUUGUGUAAUAAUUAGCCCAUGUGGAUCUCUAUGCCAUGAGUUUGAUAAGUAGCUAUCAAGGAUCACUUAUUAAGCUAAAAAUAUUUGGAGGACAAAAUUGUAAAACUAAAAGGGUGGAGCAAAUAUGGCUAUCUAGGAUUAAAUAGUAAGUCAACUAUAUUUAAAGGAUAAAAUAUUAAAACUUGAAAUGUGAUAUUAAAAAUAUCUCAACUAUUAUGUUAUUAAACCAUAUGUUGUAAUAGUUUAUUUUUUAAGCUUCAAAAUGUUCAGGAUUUUAGAUUGAAACAUUUUCAUUUGAAAUUAUUUGGUGCAGUCACAAGUUAAGAAAGAAAAAGUUGUCCCAUUGGUCAUUUCACAAAAAUGAAAGCCCUGUAUAACAUGGGCUUGAAUGGAAGCCCAAUUGUUUGUGUUUGAUUAAUUGAUUUCAAGCUUUAUCGAACCUUUGUACCUGGAUACUUUACUGCGGCCUCUAAGCGCUAUAAAUUUUUUUGGGGAUAAACGGCGCUUCAAUGAGGUCAUCUCCGAUGCUUAACACCAUUUUGGUGUAAUACCAACAUUAAAAAUAUACAUUUUUCACACUAAAUUACUAUUUCAUCUCCAACCCAUUUACACCAAAAAAAAUAUUUUUCUUUUUAUUCUUUUAAUUCUCAAGAAUUAAUUCAAUUAACACAAUAAAUACUACUAUUAACAUAGAUAAUUAAGUAAUAAGUAAUUUUAUCGAUUAACAAAAAAAUAUAGAAAAUUAUUAAAUUUGCAUUUAAUUAACUAAAUUAGUACAUUAUGAAAAUUAAACAUUACAUUAAUAUAGAAAAAUACAAUAACAAUAAUAAUAAUUUUAUAUCUAAUAUUUUGAUGAUAUUGGAGGAUCUAAUAAUGAUCUUCCAGAUUAUUAAAUAAUUGUUCUAAUUUAUACUAGUAGUAGUAGCUUUUUUAAUUUGUGUUAAUUUAAUUUUGUAAUAUGUAAUAUAGUAAUUAAUGUUACUAGCAUUUUAUUAUUAUUAUUAAUUUUUGUGUUGAAUAUUUUUUAUUUAAAAUAUUAGUAUAAUAUUCAAAAAUUAAAAAAUGAAAUAAAAAUAAUAACAAAAAUAAUAAUAAUAAUAACUUAAAAUAUUAUAUAAAAUAGGACAUAUAUGUAAAUAAGAAAAAGUAAUAAAGAUAUUUAAGAGCUUUUUUUCCUAGCACCAAAUGAAUAGUGUUACACCAUAUUUGGUGCAAUACUAUUCACAACACCAUUUUGUUGUUGGUUUUGGUGUUACAUUGGAGAAGCAUUUUACACCAAAAAUAGUGUAAAAGGUGGUUUGGUGUUAGUUUUGGUGUCACAUUGGAGAUGGCCUGGAAAAGCACUUGAAAACUUUGGAUUUUUGGUUCGUCCAGUUACGGUGUUAUGCUAACGGGGUUAAAGGUUCCGAUCCAAUGAGUUAGGAUCCGAAGGUUACUGAAGUUUACUAUCAAGAGUUUCAAAACAGUGAAAAAGAUGAUAUAGUUGAUGACAAAAACCUGAGUUAUCCAUAGCGACAAGUAACAUACUGUUUAUUACAGAGAAACAAACGACAACAUGAUACUAGUAGUAGUUAUUCUUUUCAUCCGAUAUAUUACAUGGUAAUAUCACUACUCGUUCCACUAGUUUCAUGUACACUGUCGACCAGCAACAUGAUAAUUUCGUGCCAGUUCAUUUUGGUUUGUUGGAAAAAGCAGUGUAUUUCUUAGAACUUGAAAAUAAUAAAAAUAUUUUAAAAUAUAAAUUGCAUAUUUGUUUAUUACCAUUCUUUGGUCUAUUUCUUCUGUAGACUUUUCAGAAUCUGUAGGACGUUAGUUUAUAACUUUGGGAUUUUGUAGCCCUAAUUUUUUUUUUUGGCAUUUUAUUUUGCUGCUUUAUCUAUGUGCAUGUUAACUAAAUUAAGCUAAUCUAGAAUUAAUAGAGAGGGAUAUUUAUCUAUUUUGUUUAACCUUUACCACUCUAGGCAUUGUACUACAUGUGAGCUUGUGAUGCUUGCAUUUUAUUGAUGUUGAUGAUUCGUUGAAUGUUUUAUUUUUUGAUUUUUUAAGUUUUCCAGAGUCAUGUUUGUGUCUACGAAGAAAUUGUAAAGGCUGUGCACGAAGCACUUGUCAUUCUUUAGACUUUAUUGAUUAUAUUUUUGUCAGAUUUGCGUGUAUAUUCACAUAUGUUUUAUUUUUUCAUUUUGUAGGACAUUUUUACAUGCCAUAUUAUCACGACUCUUCUGUGUCUGAAUAAGAAGAAAGCAUAAUGCGACCCUCCAACAGCUUAAUCUAUGGAAUUAUCGUGUUUUGUAAGUUCUGGUCCAAUGGCGUUUUGGCACAUCAUAUGAUAGACCACUAUAUUGCGUUGCUUUACAAAAGAUUAAUAUUUUUAAAAUUAUUAACUCAUGAUAUGAUAGUCCAGGUUUUCGAGGACCACUAUAUUGUAUGGAUUUAAAAAAAAUUAAUAUUUUUUAAUAUUAAUAUUCUAAAUUAUAUUCAGUUAAAAUAUUAAAUAUUAAAUACAUUCUUAACAUUAAUAUUCUUAGAUGAAAUUCUUUUGCUGACUUAAGAAUAAAGUAUUAAAUAAUUUUAUUUUUCUUUUAUUUUGUAACGUGGACCCAAAAAAAAAAGGAAAUGAAUUUAAUAAAACCUUCAUUCCGCCAACAUGCAUGUUAAUUGUUUCCAAAUUCCAACCUCCGUACUCUCUUGAGGAGUUUCCCAUUCAUCAAUUAUUAUUUUUUAUAAUCCAUACCAUCCUGAUAUAAUUAAACACCAUUAAUAAUGUACCAGCCUUUAAAUAGUAAUUAAUUUAUUUAUCUAAUUCACCAAAUGUUUUUUUCCGGUACAUAUCUCCAUUGGUAUCAAGAAGAAGCAGAACCCAAAGAAAUGUUUCUUGCAUCUUCAUAUUUGUGCGAAUUCAUCCUUUCAUUGAGAAUAACCAUUUCCAGGCAGCAGUUGGCAAUCAAUUCAUGCGCAUGUCGAUGCUACUCAUAGAUAUUAAAGACAAUGAUGAACCAAAGGUAAUAAAUCAUAAAUGCAUAAUUACCAAACCUCCAUCCUUCUCUCAUUAUGACUUGAUUUUAAAUGAAUUAUUGCUUGGUAACAUUAUUUCCAACCAUUGCAAGAUUUUUUUUUGGAGAAAUUUCAAUUGAAAGUAAAACCUUUAGACAUUUACCUAAUGAAGUUAGUUAAUCGGGAGGGUGGAAAAAAAAAAGUUGACGCAAGUCAAUACACAAUAAUUAAUUAAAUCCGGAGUCACUAAAACAGAGCCACGACUUUUUCAAAAAUAUCUGCAUUCAUCACUUUCUCCAGCAACUAGUCAGCUACACACGAAUCAAUUUCUCUCCUCGUUUGUCAUCCAAAAUUAUUCACCAAUACCAUGGCUGAUGCAAUCGUUUCCCCGCUCUUGGAGCAGCUGAUUUCCUUCGCUGCUGAAGAGAUAAAACAACAGGUGAUCGAAGUUACACCCCUCAUAUUACAAAUACUUCCAAUGAUUUUAAUUGGUUUUGUUUUUAUCAAAAACAUUAUAUAUUUUUGCUUUUUUUUAUUUAUCUGAUAAUUUUAUAUUUUGAAAUUUGAAUUGAAUUUAAUUAAAAGGUGAUGUAGUAACCACUUAUUUUUAUUUUAUUUCAUUUAUAUUCUCAAUAACUACUCAUAUUUUGGUAACUUACUAUAACUUCCAUAUCUAAGAAAUGAUCCAAACCCACAAUUUUAACUAUGUAUAAAUAUUCAACGUUGAGCUAAGGUUUUGCAGAACAUUCAAGUUUAUCAAAUAGUCAUUAAUUUAAUGUUUUAGUAAAACCUCAACUCAUCACUGAAUCCCAUAGCUAUUACUUAGACACUAUGAAAAAUUUCAUAGUUUUCUUACAUUCUUUCAGUUUGGUAAGUGAUUUCAUAUAAUUUCUUUUCAAGUUAAAUUUUAAUUUGGUUUCUGAUAUAGUCUCUUUGCCGAAUUGUAUCUUUUAUGAUUCUUGGAUUUUGGGCUCCAACUUUUUAGGAUUUGAUAGUCACAUUUUAUGCCAUGCUCAGAUUGAUUUUCAUGAUUUUUAGUACCCGUUAAGUGACGUACAAUUUGACAAAAGUUUGAAAGGAAAUAUGUUUCAGAAUUCUGUUUUAAUUGACCUUUUAGUGGAAUUAGGAUGCUUAUAACUUAAUGUGGAUGGUUCGUAAAAUCAUGAAAUUUGGAUAGGAUUCACUAGCAAUAUGUACAAGACUCCCCAUAAAGUUUCAUAAUUUUUCAUUCGGUCUGGGGUGGUACAGGUGAAACUUGUGGUUGGUGUUGAAAAAGAAGUGAAAAGCCUUACCAGCCAUCUUCAAGCCAUUCAAGUUGUGCUCGAUGAUGCAGAGGAAAAGCAAGUGAAGGAAAAAGCUGUUAGUCUUUGGCUGGGUAGGCUCAAGUAUGCAUCCUACGACAUUGAAGAUGUGUUGGAUGAGUGGAUAACAACAAGACGCAAAUUGCAAAUUGAGGGUGGCGUUGAUGAAAAUGCUCUUGUUGUUCCUCAUAAGAAAAAGAAGGUAUGUCUCUGCUUUCCCGGCUCUUGUUUUGGAUUCAAACAAGAAGAAUUUGGUUUCAAACAGGUCUUUCUCCGUCAUGACAUUGCCGACAAGAUCAAAGAAAUCAAUGAAGAGCUACAUGAUAUUGCCGCUCAAAAAGACAUGUUUGAUCUUGUUAAGAGUGGCAAUAAAAGUAGUGAAAGACCAAGGCGUGUACAGAGUACCUCCUUGAUUGAUGAGGAAGAGAUUUGUGGCAGAGUUGGUGAGAGGAAUGAACUCUUAAGCAAGCUGUUGUGUGAGAGUAGCGAGCAACAAAAAGGCCUUCAUAUCAUCUCAAUCGUUGGUAUGGGAGGCAUAGGGAAAACAACUCUUGCACAACUAGCUUGUAAUCAUGACGAGGUGAAGAGAAAGUUCGACAAAAUUCUGUGGGUGUGUGUAUCAGAAACUUUUGAGGAGUUUAGGGUUGCCAAAGCGAUCGUUGAAGUUUUGGAUGGUCGUGAAUCUCAUUUAGCUGAAUUCCAUUCUCUUCUUCAACAUAUUUAUGAAUCCAUUGCAGGGAAGAGCUUUCUUCUUGUCUUAGAUGACGUGUGGGAUGGAAAUUACUUGAAAUGGGAACCAUUCUACCAUUGUCUAAAGAAUGGUCUCCAUGGAAGUAAAAUUUUAGUUACCACACGUAAAGGGUCAGUCGCAUCCAUGAUGGGAUCCAUAGAUAUUAUCUCCGUUAAGGAGUUAGCUGAAGAGGAAUGUUGGUUGUUGUUUAACAAGAUAGCAUUUUUUGAUCGGUCCAUCGAGGAACGUGAAAAAUUAGAACAAAUUGGGCAAAGAAUUGCAGGCAAGUGCAAAGGUUUACCUCUUGCAGCAAAGACAAUAGGGAGUCUCAUGCGUUCUAAACAAACUGAAGAAGAGUGGAAAAGAAUUUUAAAUAGUGAUUUAUGGAAAGUAGAAGAGAUUGAGAAAGAUGUUUUGUCCUCUUUAUUGUUGAGUUAUAAUGAUUUGCCAUCUAGAGUAAAAAGAUGUUUUUCAUAUUGUGCUGUCUUUCCAAAAGACUACAAUAUAGAAAAAGACAAACUAAUCACGUUAUGGAUGGCUCAAGGUUAUCUUAGUGCAGAAGAAGAUGAAGAGAUGGAGACAGUAGGUGAAGAGUAUUUUGGCAUCUUAGCUUCUCGCUCAUUUUUUCAAGAGUUUAAGAAAAGUUAUGAUAAUCGGAUUAUAGAGUGUAAGAUGCAUGAUAUGGUACAUGAUUUUGCCCGAUUUGUAAGUCAAAAUGAAUGUUUUUCGAUGGCAAUUAAUGGUAGUGAAGAACCAAACGCCACAAACUCUCUUGAUGAGAAGGUCCGUCAUUUAAUGUUAAUCUUUAGUAUAGAGGCUUCAUUACCUGUUUCCACUUGUAGAGUUAAAAGAAUUCGUAGCCUCUUAAUUAACGAUAGUAGAUCUGAUCAUUCAUUAUUAAAUGGUGAGAUCCUAGAAGAAUUAUUUAGGGAAUUGACAAGUUUAAGGGCAUUAGAUUUUUGCAAAUCGUAUAACGCAAGCUGGUCUUCGACUCUGGAGAUUCCGAGAAACAUAGAAAAGCUGGUACAUUUAAGAUACCUUAAUUUGUCUUAUCAGGGAAUAAAGAAACUACCGGAGACAUUAUGCGAGUUGUAUAAUCUAGAAAAGUUAGAUAUUAGUUAUUGUUAUAAGCUAGAAGAAGUACCUGAAGGGAUUGGGAAGUUAAUAAACAUGAAGCAUUUACGAAAUAGAGGUACUAGUUCUUUAAGGUACAUGCCGGUAGGGAUUGGGAGAUUAACGGGUCUUAGGACCUUGGGUGAGUUCCACGUGAGUGCAGGAGGAGGUGUUGAUGGUAGGAAAGCAUGUAGGCUUGAAUCUCUUUAAAACUUGGAACACCUUCAAGUAUGUGGUAUAUGUAGACUGGGUGAUGUAUCAGAUGUGGGCGAGGCUAAGCGAUUAGAACUUGACAAAAAGAAAUACCUCUUCAGUUUGACCCUUGAGUUUGAUAAGACGGAAAGAGGAGGAGAAAGGAGGAAGAACGAGGACGAUCAACUUCUUCUUGAAGCCUUGCGACCACCCCUGGAUUUAAAGGAAUUAGAGAUACGGUACUACCGAGGCAACACUGUUUUCCCCAGCUGGAUGGCGUCAUUAACCAACUUAAAGAGUUUACAUCUCCAUAGGUGCGAAAAUUGCGAGCAGCUGCCUCCUUUGGGAAAAUUGCCGUCCCUUGAAAAUCUCUACAUAUGGCGCAUGGAGAGUGUGAAGAGAGUGGGUGAUGAAUUUUUGGGGAUAGAAAGUGAUCAUCAUGACUCAUCGUCAUCUUCAUCAGUUACUAUUGCCUUCCCCAAAUUGAAAUCACUCACAAUUUAUUCGAUGCUGGAAUUGGAGGAGUGGGAUUAUGAGAUUACAAGAACAGGAAACACCGUCAUCAACAUCAUGCCACGUCUUUCUUCCUUGACAAUUGUUGAUUGCACCAAAUUAAAGGCACUGCCCGACCACAUUCAUCAAACGACAACGUUGAAGGAAUUGAGCAUUUUUAUGUGUUGGCUUCUGAACAAACGUUACCGCAAGGGGAAAGGAGAAGACUGGCCUAAAAUAUCACACAUUCCCAACCUCCAUAUUGGGCUUUGACAAGUAAUUUCUUCUCUCACUCUGAUUUGCUUUGUUGUUGUUUUUGUUGAAAAGUUAAAAAGUUUGGUUGGAAAAGAAAAGUGAGCCACAUGCAUUGCUUUUGUUUUUCAAAGUCGGCACCAAAUUGCAAACUGUAUUUGGCAUUUGACAAUCCUGCACCAAAUGAAGAAAAAUGCAAAAGUUAGCAAAAUUUGUCAAAUUGACAGAGAUGGAGAUUGAUAAAUUGCAGAGGGAUUAGGUGGAAUAGUGCAUGCUUGAAGCCUAUAAAUUGAAGCCAUUUCUUCAUUCUAAAUAAUCCCAAAAUUGUUAAACUUAUAAGUUUCUAAGCUUUUGAGAGAAGUGAGAGAAGUGUGUCUGUGGAAUUUAUUUUUCCUGCAGAGUGUGAGAGUACUUGGUAUAUUUGGGUUUCUGGGAAGUGAGAUUCGUUACUCAAAUAUUGUAUUCUAUUAAUUGUUAAAUAAACAAUUAUUCUUUCUUACCUCCGUGGAUGUAGGUUUAAUUACCGAACCACGUAAAAUCUUGUGUCCUUUAUUUUUCAGUAAUUAUUUGGUGCGCUUGAUUCCGCAUUCCGCGCACAACAGUUUUUAAUCUAAUUAAGAAGCGAAAAUAGCAUUUUGAAUCAAACUCUAUAUCAGAAAUCUGCAAUACUUACUUUCUAAUAUUCUGAUUUUCAUAUCCUAUGAAUAUACGAUUUUUAAUUUGUGAGAUGGGUAACGUUACUGUAAAAGAUUAUUAAUGCAAUAUGAGUAAUUCUUUUGCAGGACAAGUGACCUACAUUUAGUUUGGCUUUGGAGUUGAAUAAUAACCUUUCGAGGUCCCGACAACCAAAAAACAAAGCUUAAUUUGCCACAGAUUGAACGUAUUGCCAUUAUUGACAAUUUUCUGCACAAGUGUGACUGAACUUAGGUUGAUGUCAAAAGAGGUAAAUUAUUGGCAUGCCUCACUAUUUUGACCAUUACAUGAUUCAUAAGUUUACAUUAAUUUUGAUUUUGAGUUGAGUGAUUAGUUUUCUAGGUUUGCUUACUUUAACUGGGUGACCAAUUUCUUGUAACUAAAUGUAUGAUGUGAUGCAGGAAGCAGGGCAGGAUAUGAAAAGAGAAGCUUAUUAGAGGAAGGAUUGCCAGUAACAGAAUCCAAAGAAAAAGAAACCAUUUCGAGGCAGCUGUUGGCAGUUGGCAGUGAAUGGAGCCCCUUGAAAAAAUUCCCAAGCCGUUGCACUGCAAUUACGAUCAUCCUCGGCCUCAGGUAAUUUCUUCUCCUGCAUUUUUGUUAUUUGCUAUCAAGUGACUAUUUUAAGUAUGAUUGCAUUAAGCUGCUGCUGGGAAAUUUGAGGUUUUGAUGACUGCCCAUGCUAUUGUCAGAAGCUGCGGUUCUUUUCAUCAGCCUGAACCUGGACCUGCCGCUAUGGAUAACUCAGGUUUUUUUUUUUUUUUAAUCAACUGCCAUCUUUUCCACUGUUUAGAAACUCUUAAGAUUAAACUUUAGUAAAGUUGUUUUAGUUAUCCAUGUAAUCAGGCUGAGGAUACUUAGCUGCCUAUUUAAGCAAAUGUCAGAAUUUAGUUUGUUCGCUGGGAACUGGUGUGGACUGGCAAAGGAUGAUGAGAUAGUUUUUUGAGUGAGUAAAUUUUGGGAGCUUGAGUGUAUUGGGAUUUGCAAUUACAAUCAUCGUCUGCCUCAGGUGAUUUCUUCUCCUGCUCUAUCAUUGUUUGUUCUCUAAUUCAAAAGCAUAAAAUAUUUCAAUCAAUUUUUAUGCCAGGAAUAUGCAAAAGUUUCUAAUAUUUUAUUUCCAUCUGUUACAAGAUCAAACUGAAGUAGAACUCAAACAAAAGUAUGCUACUUCUUGCGGAAAUCUUGCCUUUGUUCAGAUUAUGAAACCAUUUCCAUGCAGCAAAUUCAUCCAAAAGUUUGAAUAAGUUUCAUGGUUGGACACUGUUGGCUUCUUUUUCUUCUGGGGUGCAUUUAGGUGCUAUCAAGUGACAGCUGUAAGUAUGAUUGCACUAAGCUGCCGCUGGGAAAUUUGAGGUUUUGAUGGCUGCCCAUGUUAUUUUCAAGAAACUAUUGAUGUAAGAAGCUGUGGUUCUUUUCAUCAGCUUGAACCUGAAACUGUCGCUAUGGAUAACUCAGGUUUUUGUUAUCAACUAUAUCAUCUUUUUCACUAUUUUGAAACUCUUAAGAUUAAACUUUAGUAAAGUUGUUUCAGCUAUUCAAAUGAAAAACUCAUUGAUUUGAGACUUCCUUCAUUAUUGUUUCUAAUUACAAUGCUAACGAUCUAGAUAAAAUAAUAUUUAAUCGGCGCAGGUGUCCCUUGGAAGUACAUCCAACUUUUUCUUUUAUUAUAUAAAUUCUUGCAAUGAGCUUAGUGAAGCUGUUGUGCUAAUCAUGCCACUGCAUAAUUUGGCCCCUAAUGUGGGUACUCUGUUACAUUGUUCUGCAAAUUCUCCAGAAGUUAAAAUCAAUAAAUUUUCUAUUAGCUCUAGUGCUUUGACCUAAAUGCUAUUCUAUAUUUUGAUUACAAUGUUUUAACCUUUAAAUUAACUACCCCUAGAUGUUGGAUUUUCUAGAACUUCAAAAUGAUUAAUGGAGAAAGAUCCCAUUAUCGUUAUUGCUAUAAGAAAUUGAUUUAUGCAUCCAAAGAUACAUUAUAUAUUUCUGUGUCUCUAUUUGUAGAUGACAUUUAAGCAUCCAUAAACCGUCAGACAGAGGAAGGGUGAUGGGUGUCGAAGCCAACAAAAAUAAAUUCCUACUCUAAAUAAAUUGUGUAUAGUGAUUGAGCAGGGUCGUGUCCACAGAGAUCGGUAAUUAAUUAAAUCCUUUUGAAACGUAAAACAUAAAAUGGGGGAAUUGUUGACAAUAAUAAAAAUCAAAUUAAAAUAACAAGAAUGCAAAUUAAAGUUGUAAUUCAAAUUAGAGAAAGCUCUGGUUGAAGGAAUUAACUCAGCUUGAUUCGACUACUGAUCAUUGAUUCAAAUAUAGAUUAUUAUUACUCAUGAAUAGACCGGUUAUAGCUACUGAGACCCUCUAAUAGCCAAUCUCUCCUUAACUAGUCGAUAACCAAGGUACGACCAUUGGUUAUUUCCCUAAUCAAUAGACAACCCUAGAUACGAUCAUAGAAUUUAAUCAAUUGACAGCCUGAAAAACCAGAGAGACCCAAAUCCUAAUCAACACAUAUGAUGAUUCAUUUAAAUUAGAUUGUUUAUUCUCACAACACAACUCUCUGCUAUGUUAUUUGUCACAAACAUUAAAUUCUUCAUACGAUGAAUCCUUUAAUUGACAAUAGAUUAAGUUGAUAAUUAAAUAGUGGCCAAUUACCUAAUUAACAAACAUAAUCAUGAAAAUAAUUCAGAGAAUAAACAAAUACCCAAAAAGUAAUAAAACAAUUAAAGCACAAGAAAGAUCUCACAGUAGUGAUGAAUCAAAGCUUCAUUAACCUUCAACCAGAAAAAUAGGUUUAGCUCUUCAUAGAGAGAAGAGAAAAAUUAGAUCUAGGGUUUCUUUCUUUUUCUCCAAUCCAAAAAUCCCCCUUUUUCACAAUAGAUUCCUCCCUUAAAUACUUUCUCUCUCUUCUCUUUUAGAAUUCUAUUUAAAAUAAAAUCCUAAUAUCUGAAAUAUUAAAUUCGUAAUUACAAAAAUAACCAAAAAUACAAAACACGUUAAACUAAAAACUGCAGGUCCGCAGUUGACAGCACGCGCCCACGCCUUAUCAACAAAGUUCUUCUGACGCUCAUAAUUUCUCCAAGAGAACAAUCAUCCUUAAACAUCAUCUUAUAGCUCAAUUUUAUCAUCAAUCAAUAGAAUUGCACCUACAAAAGUAAAACACAAGUAAAUCACUAUUAUUAAGUGCAAAACAUUGAUAUUAAGGGAAGUAAAUAAUGCAAAACUAGUGCAUAAAUUGCACUCUAACAAAGGGGGUUCAGUGCAAAGAUUCUGUUGACCUAGGGUUGACUGCAUAAUGUCACUUGUUCGCAAUCUAUUAUUUAUUUUAUAUUUUGAAGAAUUUAAUGGGUAAUCCUAAUUGUUUGUUUUGGCAGGUAUGUGUUGUUAUCUCCUUCUAUCUAACAGUCGUACCUAAAUAGCAUAGUUUCAUCUGUGUUACCAUGUGAUGUACAUAAUUUCACAUUUGCCUCAGAUUAAGCUUAAUUUCCCACAAAAUAGAGCUGUCGCGACUGGACUUAGGUUGAUGUCCAAAGAGGUAAAUUAUUGGCAUGCCUAGAUAAUUUGGCCAUUUCCUAAUUCAUAAGUCUACAUUAUUUUUGAUUUUGAGUUGACUGAUUUCUUUUCAAGGUCUGCUUCCUUAACGGAGUGACCAAUGUUUUUCAACUAAAUUUAUCAUAUGAUGCAGGAAGCAGGGCAGGAUAUGAAAUGAGAUCUCAUUGGUGGAAGUAUUGCCAGUAGCAGAACCCAAUGAAAAUGAAACUAUUUCAAGGCAGCAGUUGGCAGUUGCAAGUAAAUGGAGGCCCUUGACAAAAUUCUCAAGCGGUUGCAAUGCAAUUACGAUCAUCCUCAGCCUCAGGUAAUUUCUUCUCCUGCUUUGUAUUUAUUUGUUAUCUAAUUAGGAAGCGUAAAGUAUCUUGAAUCAUUUUCUGUAUCUGGAAUAUAUGCAAGAGUUUCUAAAAUUUUGAUAUGAGUGUAAUGAUGGUAAUUUCUGUUUUCUGUCUGUCAUCAAAUGUUAGAAAACUUUCAUUGAGACCCUUGAACCGAGUCAUUUUUGACAAGUGAAGGACAAUUGCUGAAGAGUGGGAAUGGUGCUAGAUUGGGGAAUAAAGACAAAGGAGGUAAAUUAUUUGCAGUUUAUUCAGCAUUAUUUGCUUUGGACCACCGCCUGAUUCACAAGUCUCCAUAAUUUGGCUUUUGAGCAGUUGUUAAUAAAUUUUUAAUUCCAUUGGUGCUAAAUGUGCACGUGAAGCAGGCAGAGCAGGACUGUGGAAAUGAGAAGGUUUUUAGUGAAAGCUUAAACUCAGGUAAUUCUAAAAAGUACAUGUUUUUGCUGAUUUAUCUAAAUCAGGAAGUUUUAUUUCCAUCUGUUACAAGAUAAAACAGAAACAGAACACAAAGAAAAAUAUUCUACUUCUUCUGGCAAUCUUGCCUUCAUUCAGACAAUGAAACCAUUUCCUUUCACCAAUUUCUUCCAAAAGUUUGAAUAAGUUUCAUGGUUGGACAUAGUUAGCUUCUUUUUCUUUUGGUGCAUUUAGGUCCUAUCAAGUGACAGCCAUAAGUAUGAUUGCAUUAUUGGGAAAUUUUAGGUUUGGAUGGCUCCCCAUGUUAUUGCCAAGAAAGUCCUCAUGUCAGAAGCUGCGGUUCUUUUCAUCAGCCUGAACCCGAACCUGUCGUUAUGGAUAACUCAGGUUUUUGUCAUCAACUAUAUCAUCUUUUUUACUGUUUUGAAACUCUUAAGAUUAAACUUCAGUAAAGUUGUUUCAGUUAUCCAUGUAAGCAGGCUAAGGAUAUUUAGCAGCUUAUUUAGGCAACUGCCAGAAUUGAGUUUGUUUGCUCGAAACUUGUAUGGUGACAAGGAUACUGGCAAGGAUAGUGAGAUAGUUUUUUGUGUGAGUGAAAUUUGAAAGCUUGGGUGUUCUGGGAUUUGCAAUUGCAAUCAUCCUCUGAGUCAGGUGAUUUCUUCUCCUGCUCUGUCUUGAUUUUCUCUCUAAUUGAAAGCAUAAAGUAUUUCAAUCAAAUUCUGUACCAGGAAUACGUAAAAGUUACUAAUAUUUUAUUUCCAUCUGUUCGCAUUGAUAACUCGGCGGCAUAUGUGUUGUGCGCGGAAUGCGGAAUCAAGCGCGCCAAAUAAUUAUAGAAAAAUAAAGGACACAAGAAUUACGUGGUUCGGUAAUUAAACCUACAUCCACGGAGGCAAGAAAGAAUAAUUGUUUAUUUAACAACUAAUAGAGUACAAUAUUUGAGUAACGAAUCUCACUUCCCAGAAACCCAAAUAUACCAAGUACUCUCACACUCUGCAGGAAAUAUAAAUUCCCCAGACACACUUCUCUCACUUCUCUCAAAAGCUUAGAAACUUAUAAGCUUAACAAUUUUGGGAUUAUUUCAAAUGAACAAUUUCCCUUCUAUAUAUAGGAACCGUAGCUCACCUACCACUUCCAAUUUGGCUACAACUUGCCGAAUUGAUAAAUUGAAUUUAGAAUGGAAAAUCAAUUUGGUGAGCAACAAAAUCAACAAGUUUGAAAAAUCAAUUGGCUUCUAGAAAAACAUCACAUUUUUCCUCCAUACAAUUUCAACAAAAUCGUCCCACCAACCAUGUCUUUUGAAAUUUGCAUGCCAUUCUUUGACUUGUUGUGCGCGGAAUGCGGAAUCAAGCUCACCAAAAAUUACUGCAAAAAUAAAGGACACAAGAAUUUACGUGGUUCGGUAAUUAAACCUACAUCCACGGAGGCAAGAAAGAAUAAUUGUUUAUUUAACAAUUAAUAGAAUACAAUAUUUGAGUAACGAAUCUCACUUCCCAGAAACCCAAAUAUACCCAGUACUCUCACACUCUGCAGGAAAGAUAAAUUCCCCAGACACACUUCUCUCACUUCUCUCAAAAGCUUAGAAACUUAUAAGCUUAACAAUUUUGCGAUUAUUUCAAAUGAACAAUUUCCCUUCUAUAUAUAGGAACCGUAGCUCACCUACCACUUCCAAUUUGGCUACAACUUGCCGAAUUGAUAAAUUGAAUUUAGAAUGGAAAAUCAAUUUGGUGAGCAACAAAAUCAACAAGUUUGAAAAAUCAAUUGGCUUCUAGAAAAACAUCACAUUUUUCCUCCAUACAAUUUCAACAAAAUCGUCCCACCAACCAUGUCUUUUGAAAUUUGCAUGCCAUUCUUUGACUUUUCAACAAUUCUCCACCUCGGCGAAAAUUUUCCAAAUCUGAGCCGACUACCAACUAACCAUCCCCAAAGUGAUCCUUCAAUAAGGAUCCAGAAUGGCUGUGUCGAUUCGACUGCCUACGUACCCAAACUGUCUUGAUUUUCUCUCUAAUUGAAAGCAUAAAGUAUUUCAAUCAAAUUCUGUACCAGGAAUACGUAAAAGUUACUAAUAUUUUAUUUCCAUCUGUUCGCAUUGAUAACUCGGCGGCAUAUGUGUUGUGCGCGGAAUGCGGAAUCAAGCGCGCCAAAUAAUUAUAGAAAAAUAAAGGACACAAGAAUUACGUGGUUCGGGAAGCAGUUGGCAGCAAAUUCAUAUGGAGUGUAGACAAUGAUGAGCAAAAAGGUGAUUCUCAAUUUCUUUUUUUUUUAAAGUGAAAUUAUUUGUUAGAUUGAAGCUGAUAUUGUAAGAAGGCCAUUGAGCUAACCUAUGUCGCCACUUGCCUAGAUUGCAGGGGGUCAAGACUCAAAAGAAGCACUGAAAUUUAAAAAGCAUGCAAUAGUUCUUUUGCCAUGUAUCAAUUAAUGCAAGUUUGAAUAAAAUUAACAUAUAUCAAGACACAACUAGAAACAUCAUACUUUCGUGUAAGUUCAUUUCAGAAUAUUUCUUAGAGUUUGUAUAAAAUGAAAAGAUUUUAAAAUAUAAAUUUAAUAUUUGUUUAUUACCGUUGUUUGGUCUAAUUUCCUCGGGAGAAUUUUCAGAAUUUAUAGGACAUUAGUUUAUAAUUUUGAAAUUUUGUAACCUAAAUGUUUUUUUUUUUCGGUUACCAUUUUGUUUUCCUGCUUUAUCUACGUGUAUGUUGACUAAAACUAAUCUAUUUUGUUAAACCUUUACCACUUUAGACAUUGCACUAAAUAUGAGUUCGUGAUGCUUGCAUUUUAUUGAUGCUGAUGAUUCGUUGAAUGUUUUAUGUUUUUGAUUUUUAAGUAUUCCGGAUCGAAGUUUGUGUCUACGCGGAAAUUGUAAAGGCAGCAUAUAAAGUACUCGUCGUUCUUUAGAUUUUAUUGAGUACACUUUUUUCACAUUUAGCGUAUGCUAUACACUACUGAUUUGCGCAUUGACAUAUAACUUAUUUUAUCAUUUUGAAUGAAUUGCACGGCGAGGCUUAUCAACUUUGGAUGAAUCCUCCAAUUGUCACAGUCCAAGACUGGCUGCAGUGAGUGAAAAUUUACCCAUAUAUAUGCUGGCUAUUUUUAUUGGCGACGAAUUCGUUGUAGUUGGUCCAUCUUGCUAUUCUCGGACAAUAUUAGAGAAAAUAAUCAUAUUAUUUCGCGUGAUGUGACCUUCCAUAACUUAUCAAUUGAAUUACUGUAAAAUUAUUGUGUAAGUUUAGGCCCAAUGGCACUUUAGUUCAUCACAUGAUAGCCUGGAUUUAAAUGGAAAACUAUAUUGCAUUGCUUCAAAAAAAUAAAUUAAUGUUUUUAAUAUGAAUAUUUUUAACUAUAUUCAGUUAAAAUAAUAUAUUCUUAAUAUUAAUAUUCAUAGAUGAAAUUCUUUUGCGGAUUUAAGAAUAAAAUAUCAAAUAGUUUUAUUUUUCUUUUGUUGUGUAACUUGGACCGAAAAAGAAAAUGAGCUUAACAUGACCCUCCUUCCGGCACUAUGCAUGUUUUUCUUGUAUUGAUGACAGUGCUCUUGGUGCUUCUCAUCUGCUUCUUGCUUUGGUUUCAAACAAGUCUUUCUCCGUCAAGACAUUUAUUGUAAUUUCAUUUGGAGACAUCUGUCGUUCAAAUAUAUUUCAUAUUCAAGCUGUUGAUAAUUCUGCUUGAGAAAGCCUACAAAGCAGCUGUGUGAUGUAAUGGAAGACUAUAUAUGCAAGCGGUCAUCAGUUUCUCUUGAAUUCUUUCUUGAGUUUCUUUGAAUUAUUUGUGAAUGAGUUCUUAAUCGGCUGCUGCUCUUCAGGAAAAGGAAAGUUUUGCAAACUGGUGAAGCUGAUCGAUAAAAGCAAUGUACCAUCUUUGCUGGCAUGGAUCGAUGCCAGUGAGUAGCUCAUUGGUGGAAGUAUUGCCAGUAACAGAACCCAAAGCAAAUGAAACUAUUUCAAGGCAGCAGUUGGCGCUUGCAAGUGAAUGGAGGCCAUUGACAAAAUUCUCAAGUGGUUGCGAUGCAAUUACGAUCAUCCUCAGCCUCAUGUAAAUUCUUCUCCUGCUUUGUUUUUAUUUGUUAUCUAAUUAAGAAGCACAAAGUAUCUUCAAUCAUUUUCUGUAUCUGGAAUAUAUGCAACAGUUUCUAAAAUUUUGAAACGAGUGUAAGGAUGGUAAUUUCUGUUUUCUGCCUGUCAUCCAAUGUUAGACAACUUUCAUUGAGACUCUUGAACAGAGUCAUCUUUGCUGGCAUGGAUCGAUGCCAGUGAGUUUUUUUAUUUGUCAACCUUUUUAAUAAUGCAUAUGUGUUUCUUCAACUUGAAGCGGCAUAUAAGACGAAAGAAGUGAUCUUUAUCCAAUUGCUCCAAAUUAUUUGCAAAUUACUGAACACGAAUGCUGAUGAAUAAACUGAUGGCUCUAUGUAUGUAUGCACAUGCAUGGAGAAAUUUUAAGUCAGACAUUGACUCGUGGUACCAAAUCAUUAAAUAAUCUUGAAAUCAAAGUAAUAAUUAAAUACAAAUAAAUUGCUCGAAUUGUACAUAUAUCUGAAUCAUGUAGUGAAGAAAAUACAACAACAACAGCCAAUGGCUCAAAUUCCCUAUCAACUUCUAGUCUCAACACUUUUGAGUGUCAGAAGCAUUACUCUGCUACUAGUUAACAAACAUAUAAUUAGUAAUUUGCCAUUCACUUCCCUUUUAGGCCUAACACAUUUUCUAUAAAAGAGCCACAGAGUGAACUCAGCAGGAAACACUCAAUUUCAACCUACGUAGGACCAGGAAUUUCAACCAAAAAAAAAGUGUGCAAUUGCUUAUCCUAUCCUAUUGCUACUAGAAAGAAAGUGAACAAUUAAUUUCAGUGAAUAAAUUAAAAAAAAAAUUACUUCUGCAGAUACUCAAGCUAAGAACACAUUAACCCAUUAAAGACUCCAAAUUGCAUCAAACAAAUUGUUGUUAAACAAGUAAAACAAAGAAAGAGAGUUAAGGAAGCUGACCAAGUAGUAGGGGAGCUGAAGAAAGACUGCCAGUGAAUGUAAGAGAAAAUAAAAUGCAAGAAAUGGUGAAGUGCAGCUUUUCAUGUCAACUUGAAAUUGAGUUUUCUGUUUUUUUUUUUUUUUUUAAUCUUUUGGAUUUUUCAAACAAAGAAAAUGAGGAGCAACCAGGGAGAUAAAAAGGGCGCCAAGGCAACUGUGUGUUGGGUUUAGAGCCAAAAAAAAAAAGAAUAAGACAUCGUGUUCUUGUGGAGACCAGACCUAUUACGUAACGUCCCCUUCAAUACCACUAGUUCCGUAUCUGGUUUUUUCUUCGUCUUUUACAUAGUUUGCAAUUUUAUUCAUUUGAGCCCUACAGAUGAUAUAAGGGACAAGAGCGCAAAACAGAAACUCUGUCCACUACUGAUGAUAUAACAACGAACCGGGGUUUUUAAUUAAAUACCCUUUAAUAGUUUCAAAAUUAUUUAAAUACCUCCUCCCUUUUUAGUUUUCAUGGAUACCCUAACAAAAUUAUUUAAAAAUGGUUCAAUUUUAUUCUACUCUCAGGAAUUAAGUGUUGGAUAGACUAGAAAAUUCUGAGUACAAAGCAUCGCUUGUUUUCGUUGGUUUUUUUUUUGCAUUCCAGUAGAAAGGUUGUGUACAAUUGAAUCUGAUAACUAUGGCAGGAGGUAAGUUUUCUAACUUGCGCAUGAUGAAUAUAGUCUUUUAUUUCUUCCAUUGUAAUUUUUGUUUAAUAGAAAAUCUAUUUGAGAUUUUGUGAGAAGAAACUCAACAAUAAAGUUUGAUAGACUUUGUGGAUAUUAAGAGUUUGACAAGUAAUUGAAAUCUGAAGUUUACUGAAGUUUACGAGCAAACAAACUGAAAUCCGAAGUUUACUGAAGUUUACUAUCAAGAGUUUCAAAACAGUGAAAAAGAUGAUAUGGUUGAUGACAAAAACCUGAGUUAUCCAUAGCGACAAGUAACAUACUGAAGUAAGCCGUGGGGAGCUGGCCUGUUCAUGGGCUAUUUUUCUCUGAUGAUCUGCAUUUUUCUUCCUUUUAAGUGAACCUUGACUCGUAUCAAACCUGUCAAAAGAACAGUUCAUCAACUGAGCUGAGAUUUGCUUUCCUUUUUCAAAACCCACCUGAGAUAUUGUAAUUCCCAAAUUUCUCUCUCUCAGCUACACGAGCAAGCAGCCGCUUUUUCACUUCAUCGACGAAGGUAAGCGAUAAUAUCUAUUUCGUCCGAUUGAUUUCUUGUUUCCUUUUCAGUGUUCGGGUAAAUUAUUGGCAUGCCUGACUUUUUGACCAUUACAUGAUUCAUAAAUUUAUAUUAAUUUUGAUUUUGAGUUGACCGGUUACUUUUAUUGGUUUGCUUACUUUGACUAGGUGACCGAUUUCUUGUAACUAAAUUUAUGACGUGAUGCAGGAAGCUGGGCAGGAUAUGAAAUGAGAAUCUUAUUAGUGGAAGGAUUGCCAGUAACAGAACCCAAAGAAAAUGAAACCAUUUCAAGGCAGCAGUUGGCAGUUGGGAGUGAAUGGAGGCCCCUGACAAAACUUCAGUAAACUUCAGAUUUCAGUUUGUUUGCUCGAAACUUGCAUGGUGACAAGGAUACUGGCAAGGAUAAUGAGAUAGUUUUUGUGUGAAUGAAAUUACGAUCAUCCUCAGACUCAGGUAAUUUCUUCUCCUGCUUAGUUGUUAUUUGUUACCUAAUUAAGAAGCAUAAAGUAUCUUGAAUCAUUUUCGUUGUCUGGAAUAUAUGCAACAGUUUUUAAAAUUUUGAUAUCAGUGUAAUGAUUGUAAUUUCUGUUUUCUGUCUGUCAUCGAAUGUAAGACAACUUUAUUAAGAUUCUUGAACCGAGUCAUUUUUGACAAUUGAAGAACAAGUGCUGAAGAGUGGGAAUGCAAAAAGUUUUGUUGUUUUUAGCCUUGUUUUCUUUGAACCAGCGCCUGAUUCACAAGAGUUCAUUAAUUUGGCUUUUGAUCAGCUGAUUGAUAAAUGUUCAAUUUCUUUGGUGAUAAAUGUAUAUGUGAAGCAGGCAGCAGGGCAUGACUGUGGAAAAGAGAAGAUUUUAGUGAAAGCUGAGACUCAGAUAAUUCUACGCGUUUUGGCUGAUUUAUAUAAUUCGUGAAAUUUUAUUUCCAUCUGUUACAAGAUCAAACUGCAAUUAGCAAUUUAACAUUCCCUUAAAACCACUAGCUACAUUUCAUCUUUGCACAAUUACACUUAAAAUUCCACUAAAAGAAACUCUUGAGUUGCUCGCAAGCUAUAUGUCAUUAUCCAUUGAAUUCUUACCACAUACAUCUCACCUUUCAAUCAAUCACAUAAUAAUCAAUAUACAUAUUGUAAGAAUUCAACAAAUGGAGAACAUAAUAUACUAUAAAAGCAUCCAAAAUUUUUCCAUCUCAAAUUAUUACUAAACUUCUUGAACAAGUUGAAGAUUGGGGGGAAAAAGUGCAAGAAGGAAAAGCAUUAUUCUACUAGUUUCUAGGUUUCUCAUUUGAACAGAAAGAUUAAAUAAGAUAUUUGUGUAUGGCUGUAGUACUACACGGUAUCUGCUAGAAAGCAAAAUACCUUCUGCUGAUUGCACAUUGGAAUGGGAAUAAGUUGGUAAAUAUAUAAGUUACAUAAAUUAUUUUGGAUAAUUCUGCUGGUGAAUUAAUUAUCUUAAAAUCACCCUUUUAUUUUUUAAAAAAUCUUAAGUUAUUUUUCAUAUAUCUUAGGAAGACAAACAAACUUUCAUCAACUCUCCUUUUUUAGCUUUUCCCUUCAAUAAUGUUAGAAAUUCUAACAUUUGAGUCCUGCUUGAGCUUAAUACUAUUUAUCACUCAUUUAUUAGAUGAUGAAUUUUUUAAAUUAUAAAGUUAUUUGACUACCAUUCAAUGAAUGAAUGUCACAUCAUUUAAAACUCAAAGAAAAGUAUUCUACUUCUUGCGGCAAUCAUGCCUUCAUUCAGACUAUGAACCAUUUCCUUUCACCAAAUUCUUCAUAAACAUUGAAUAAGUUUCAUGGUUGGACAUAGUUAGCUUCUGUUUCUUUUGGUGCAUUUAGGUGCUAUCAAGUGACGGCCGUAAGUAUGAUUGCAUUAUUGGGAAUUUUACGAUUUGAUGGUUCCCCACGUUAUUGCCAAGAAAGUUCUCAUGUCGGAAGCAGCGGUUCUUUUCAUCAGCCUGAACCCGAACCUGUCGCUAUGGAUAACUCAGGUUUUUGUCAUCAACUAUAUCAUCUUUUUCACUGUUUUGAAACUCUUAAUAUUAAACUUACAGUAAACUUCAGAUUUCAGUUUGUUUGCUCGAAACUUGUAUGGUGACAAGGAUACUGGCAAGGAUAAUAAGGUAGUUUUUUGUGUGAGUGGAUUUUGAGAGCUUGUGUGUAUAGGGAUUUGCAAUUACAAUCAUCCUCUGCCUCAGGUGAUUUCUUCUCCUGCUCUGUCUUUAUUUGCUCUCUAAUUGAAAAGCAUAAAGUAUUUCAAUCAAAUUCUGUACCAGGAAUAUGUAAAAGUUCCUAAUAUUUUAUUUUCAUUUGUUUGCAUUGAUAACUUGACGGCAUAUGUACUAGUUAAAGAACAAACAGAAUCAGAGCUCAAGAAAAAGUUUUUUCUGCCAUCAUAUUUGAAAAUGAAGUCAUUUGCAGGAAGCGGUUGGCAGCAAAUUCAUACAAAGUGUAGACAAUGAUGAGCAAAAAAGGUGAUUCACAGUUUGAUUUUUUUUUAAUAAUGAAAAUAAUUUGGUAGGUUGAAGCUGAUAUUGUAAGAGGGCCAUUGAGCUAACCUAUGUCGCUACUUGCCAAGAUUGCAGGGCGUUAAGACUCAAAAGAAGCACUGAAUUUUAAAAGGCAUGCAAUAGUUCUUGUGCCAUAUGUCAAUUCAUGCAAGUUGGAAUAAGUUUAUUGGUUUGAACGCUGUUAGCUCCUUUUCCUUUCGUGCAUUUUGGUAUGCUAUCAAGUGACAGCCGUAUGUAUGGUUUGCAUAUAGCUGCUGCUGGGAAAUGUGAGGAUUUCAUGGCUGGCCGUGUUAUUGUUUUAAAUUAGAUGUGAUAAGCUGUUGCUUGGAGAUUCUGUUGCCAAGACUUUGCUCACAUCAGAAGCUGUGGAACCUCAACCCUUCUCUAGAUAUCAUCUUUUUCAUUGUUUUAAAACUCUCAGGAUUAAACUUGAGUAAAUUUGUUCGGUUGUCUAUAUAAUCAUGUAUUGAGUAAACUCUCAGGAUACCGAGCAGGCAAAUGCCAUAACUCGGUUUGUUCUUCAAAAACUUGUUUAAGAUUCUUGACAAAGCUGCAUGAAGUGAAUCUUGGGAGCUUUGAGGGUGAGAGAAAUUAGAGGGUGUAUAGGGAUUUGGGUUUAUUAGUAAGUUAUAUAUGUAUUUCGUCACUUAUCAUUAUCAUUUUUAUUUUCACAGAAAACCUUCUGAUGGUGCUAAAUUUUCAAACACCGGUCCGAUUCAAAACUUCAUAUUCCAAUUAUAUUCAUAAGACAAAUGGAACACUUUGAACGGCUAGUGUCCGAGCAUUGUAGUUUGAUUUAUUUUGAUGAAAGUACCUUUUGACAUUGAGAUUCUUUCAUGAUUUAAACAUUCUUUUUUAAACCAAAUUAUUAAAAAAAGUAACUAACAUAUAUUAUUUUAUUAGUGCUUUUUAAAUCAAAUAUACAUAGGAGAACUGUAAUUCUUAGCAAUCAAUUUUUCACUAAAUACACCUGCAAUAAACUAUUAAUAACAAAGUGAUAGAAAAUACCUGAUUUUUCAUACUUUCUAAUUUCUUGUGGUCCUAAAAUAUGGGCAUUUGUGUAAUAAUUAGCCCAUGUGGAUCUCUAUGCCAUGAGUUUGAUAAAUAGCUAUCAAGGAUCACUUAUUAAGCUGAAAAUAUUUGGAGGACAAAAUUGUAAAACUAAAAGGGUAGAGCAAAUAUGGCUAUCUAGGAUUAAAUAGUAAGUCAACUAUAUUUAAAGGAUAAAAUGUUAAAACUUGAACUGUGAUAUUAAAAAUAUCUCAACUAUUACAUUAUUAAACCAUAUGUUCUAAUAGUUUUUUUUUAAGCUUCAAAAUGUUCAGGAUUUUAGAUUGAAACAUUUUCAUUUGAAAUUAUUUGGUGCAGUCACAAGUUAAGAAAGAAAAAGUUGUCCCAUUGGUCAUUUCACAAAAAUGAAAGCCCUGUAUAACAUGGACUUGAAUGGAAGCCCAAUUGUUUGUGUUUGAUUAAUUGAUUUCAAGCUUUAUCGGAUCUUUGGACCUGGAUACUUUACCGCGGCCUCUAAGCGCUAUAAUUUUUUUUUUUUUGGGAUAAACGGCGCUUCAAUGAGGGCAUUUCCAAUACUUAACACUAUUUUGGUGUAACACCAACACUAAAAAUGUACAUUUUUCACACUAAAUUACUAUUUAAUCUCCAACCCAUUUGAUCUACCAUGAUUGUGACUCCCACUGGGGCCACGUUCUGUUGAUCACCCUCUCGUCACCGAUAGCGCCUCCGCUUGUGGCGAACUUGCUUGUCUAUUUUCCCUAUUUUUCCGCUUACUCUCCUCAUUUAAUACGGAGGCUGCAACAUCAUCGAAAACUAGACUGUCCACUGAAUUGUAGUUUGUCAGGUUGACGAUGAGUUGUUCAUACGAAUCUUAUAGACUUUGAAGUAGAAGCUCUGCAUGUACAUUAUCCUCUAUAUUAUGACCCAACGUUGUGAGUUGUGAAAAUAGAGUCUUCAAGGUGUUGAUGUGGUCGGUCACCAUUGUAGAUUCCACCAUUCGAAGAGUAUAAAGUCUCCUCUUCAAAAAGAUUUUGUUGUGUAGUGACUUGGCCUCGUACAAUUUUGUAAGAGUAUCUCAUAUUUCCUUUGCUGUAUUUUUCUCUGCCACACUGGAUAAUACUCCAUCCGCAAGUGCCAAGUGUAGAUCAGAAAUAGCGUUGCCAUCUAUCUCAUUCCACUUGUCAUCAGUUAUCUCCAUGGGCCUUUCUCCAAUUGCUGCCAAACAAUUAUUUUUCCUCAAUACAACUUUCAUCUUCAUUUUCCACAAUGAAAAAUUAUUUCCGUUAAACUUCUCAAUUUCAUAUUUUGCUGCCAUUUUUUUGAUAAAUACCGCACACAAGUUAGUGUAUCACCUUGAAUAGUUGUCGGUAUGUGUGAGAAUGCACACCAGGAAAGUUCCCAGGAAAGACUGGAGGGGUCACACUGGUCCACUUAAAACUCAGACUCCUUAAGCACUUAUCGCGUUUGUAACAGAACUUUCCUAGACAUGUACAAAACCACACAGUUGCUUUUACUUACACCACUAUUUCCUACUUUGCAGUGCAAAAGUUCUUGGAUCGCUCCCAUCGUUUCUCGUGAACAGUACCAUAUACGUGAACAGUGCCACAUACAUGAAUAGUACCGUAUACGUGAACAGUACCGUAUACGUGAAUACUACCCUUUACGUGAACAGUACUUGACUCCAAAAAAUUCAACCAAUAGCUUUGAUACCACUGUUAGGAAAUUGGUAGGUGAAGCAGACACGCAGCUAAAAUAAAAUUGGAAGAAAAUAAAGAACAAGUACAAAGUGGACACCAAGAAAUUACGUGGUUCGGCUUUUAGCCUACGUUCACGGGCGAAGAUAGAAGGAAAAUAUUAUACUAGUGAUAUGAAGAUUACAAGUAUUGUAAUAUUUUGGCUCACUAUCCAAAACCCCAAUACACUCAAUCUCUCACUCAAUAAACUCUCAGGAGCUUUAUUAUUUUAAGCUCUUAAAAUCUCUCAAGCUUUCUCCUUAUUAUUCUCUCACAAAUUGUAUGCUAAAAUUAGGGUGGGAAGCCCUCUUUAUAUAUCCAAGAUUUUGGCUCUUUUUUUUUUAUAUAACAAGUCAACACGGCACCAUUAAGAAUGGCGAGCCAUGUUGAAUGGCAUGGCACCGCCCAUCUAGAUGGCCGGUGCCAACCAUGACUUUAACAUUCUAUCACUUGGAGAUUUGAUUGAGAAUCAAUCAAUCUCCACAUCAUCCUUUCUACUUCGCCAUAAUCAUGUUGCCUACGUUUUUACUAGGCCACAAGAGGAUCUACUCCAGUUAAACUUAUCAAUAUUGAUUGGCUUAGUCAAAACAUCUGCUAGGUUCUCCUUCGUAUGGAUUUUUGCAAAUUGACACUUCCAUCUUCCACUACUUCUCGAACGAAGUGAUACUGAACUCCUAUGUGCUUUGUCUUGGAAUGAAAGGCUGGAUUCCUUGCAAUGUGCAAGGCACUCUGACUGUCACAAAACACAGGAAUUUUCUGUUGUUUGUGCCCGAGCUCCUCCAAUAAUCUUUGUAUCCAAAUAGCUUCCUUGCAAGCUUGUAUAGCUGCCAUGUAUUCUGCUUCUGUUGUAGAUAAAGCCAGAACGGUCUGCAGUUUCCAAACCCAACUUACAACUCCUCAUGCAAAUGUAAACACAUAACUAGUAGUGGAUUUCCUUUUAUCAAGGUCUCCUGCAAAAUCUGAAUCCACAUAGCCCCUGACAGUAAACUCUGAUCCUCAAUAACAUAAUACAACAUCUGAGGUUCCUCUUAUGUAUCUCAGAAUCCUCUUCACAGCUAUCCAAUGCUGUCCACCAGGAUUCACCAUGUAUCGACUGAUUGCUCCCACUGCUUGUGCAAUGUCUGAUCUUGUACAUAUCAUAGCGAACAUCAAACUUCCCACUGCUGAUGCAUACGGUACUUGAGACAUCUCCUUCCUCUCUGCUUCAUUGCUAGGACACAUACUUGAGGAUAAUUUGAAAUUAACAGGAAGUGGGGUAGAAAUUGACUUACAAUCUUGCAUGUUGAAGCGCCACAAGAUUUUCUUCAAGUAGUUAUUCUCAGAAAGCCAAAUCUUUCUGUUAUUUCUGUCUCAGUGAAUUUGCAUCCCUAGAAUCUUGUUUGCUGGUCCCAAGUCCUUCAUUUCAAACUCCCUAGCCAACAGUGCCUUCACUUCUUGGAUUCGAUCUUUGUCGGGGCCUGCUACCAACAUGUCAUCCACAUAUAACAACAAAAUAAUGAAAUCAUUAUCUUCAAACCUUUUGUAAUAUGCACAAUGGUCUGAACUGAGUCUGUUAUAUCCAAGACUCAUGAUGAAGGAAUCAAAUCUCUUAUACCAACACCUCGGCGCCUGUUUGACACCGUAUAGAGAUUUGUUCAACCUACAAACCAAGUUUUCCUUUUCUGUUUCUGCAAAACCUUCUGGUUUGAGCAUAUAAAUUUUCUCUUCAAGUUCUCCAUGAAGAAAUACAGUUUUCACAUCUAACUGCUCUAGAUGUAGGUCAAAUAUAGCACACAUUGCCAAGACUACUCUGACUGUUGUGAGUCGAACCACCGGAGAAAAUAUCUCGUUGAAGUCAAUACCUUCUUUCUGAGCAUAUCCUUUCACCACCAAUCUUGCACGAUACCGCUCCACUUGAUCAUUGCCAUCACGUUUGAUCUUGUAGACCCAUUUGUUUCCAAUGACUUUUCUUCCAUGUGGUAGUGGUACAAGUUCCCAUGUCUUAUUUUUAUGUAGAGCUUCAAUUUCUUCCUGCAUUGCUGUCAUCCACAAAGCAACAUUUGAACUUUCUAAAGCUUCAUGGAAAGUUGAUGGCUCUCCAUCCUCUGUUAGAAGACAGUAUGCAACAUGGAUCUCUGUGACAUACUCCGAGUGCCACGCUGGCGAUCGUCUCUCACCAAUUGACCAAAGAACUUCUGGAGUCUCAGACUCGACUGGUUCUUGUUCCUCGUGCUCUGGUGCUGCUUUAGAAGAAUCUGAAUCUUCUAGAUUAUUUCCACAUAUACCGGCACAGUUUCUGACUUUUCUUUUACAGUGUCAUCAUCUCCAUCUUUCCUUUACAGUUGAUCUUCUACAAAAAUAACAUCUCUGUUGAUGACGAUCUUGUGGGCAGUGGGGUCCCACAAACGAUACCCCUUUACUCCAUUAGCAUAUCCCAAGAAGAUACAUCUUCUAGAUUUUGGAUCCAGCUUUGUUCUUUCUUACGGAUUGUACAUCACAUACACAGGACAUCCAAAUGCAUGUAAGUAGGAAUAAUCAGCUGGCUUUCCAGUCCACAUCUCCACGUUGUCUUCAGCCCAAUAGCUGUAGAUGACGACUGAUUUACUAUAUAACAAGCAGUUUUGGCUGCUUCUUCCCAAAAUGAAUUGGGUAGACCAGCAGUCCUCAACAUAGCUCUUAUUCUUUUGUAAGAGUUUUGUUCAUCUACUCCGCCACUCCAUUUUGUUGAGGAGUGUAUGCUACCGUGAACUGUCUAUGAAUACCUUCUUACUUACAGAAAGCAAGAAACUCACCGUCUGUAUACUCUCCACCAUUAUCUGUCCUCAAGCACUUGACCCUUUUACCAGAUUCAAGUUCCACCCGCGCUUUGUAUUCUUUAAAUACUGGAAAUAUAAUUGACUUUUUCAUAAUUGGAUACACCCAACAUCUCCUGGAAUAAUCAUCAAUGAAAGUCACCAUAUACUUUGCACCUCCCAUGGAUAUAUCCAGUGAUUCCCAAACAUCAGAAUGAAUCAAGUCUAAAAUGCAUUUACUUCUAGCAAUAGAUUUACUGAAUUUUAAUCUAUGCUGCUUACUUGUAACACAAUGCUCGCAAAAUGGUAAACUUACCGAUUUAAGCCCCGGAAGUAAUUUUCACUCAGAGAGAAUCUUCAAACAUUCUGACAUGUGACCAAAUUUGAGAUGCCACAUCAUCGUUGACUCUUCUCCAUUUGAUACGAGACACGCAUUAGCCUCCUAUAGUGUUUCUCCUUUAAGCAUGAAUAGAUUAGCACCGAUCUUUUCUGCCUUCAUCAAUACAAGCGCUCUUUUAACAAUUUUCGUAAUUUCAUUCUCCAUAUGAGUUUUAUACCCAUGACUAUCCAUUUGUCCCAAAGACAAUAGAUUUUUAUUCAGGUCAUUGACAUGUCGUACCUCCCCAAUUGUGCGAAUUGUACCAUCAAAAUUUUUAUUUUGAUAGUGUCAAUACCAGCGAUCUCCAAGGUAUGAUCAUUACCCAUAUAUAUAGAUCCUCCUGAGAUAUGUUCAUAUGUGUGGAACCAUUCUCUCCGAGAGGUCAUGUGCCAGGUAGCUCCUGAGUCUAUAAUCCAGACAUCAGAUAGUCGUUUUCUACCUUCUAAAACAGUUGUUGCCUCGCUUUAGAGAAUUUCACCAUUAUCUGAAGUACUUGCUACACACCCUUGAGCAUUUGAUGACUCAGGUUAUUUGCCCUCUCUUCUCUUCUGGUUACUCCAACACUUUUUCUUGACGUGCCCUUUCUUGCCACAGUUGUAGCAUUUAACAUUCUUCUUACUUCUGGAUUUUGAUCUACCAUGAUUAUGACUUCUACUGGGGUCACGUUCUGUUGAUCUCCCUCUCGUCACCAAUAGCGUCUCCGCUUGCUGCGAACUUGCUUGUCUGCUUUCAUUAUUUUUCCGCUUACUCUCCUCAUUUAAUACGGAGGUUGCAACAUCGUCGAAAACUAGACCGUCCGCUGGAUUGUUGUUUGUUAGGUUGAUGAUGAGUUGAUCAUACGAAUCUGGUAGACUUUGAAGUAGAAGCUCUGCAUGUACAUUAUCCUCUAUAUUAUGAUCCAACGUUGUGAGUUGCGAAAAUAGAGUCUUCAAGGUGUUGAUGUGGUCGGUCACCAUUGUAGAUUCCACCAUUCGAAGAGUAUAAAGUCUCUUCUUCAAGAAGAUUUUGUUGUGUAGUGACUUGGCCUCGUACAAUUUUGUAAGAGUAUCUCAUAUUUCCUUCGCUGUAUUUUUUUCUGCCAUACUGGAUAAUACUCCAUCCGCAAGUGCCAAGUGUAGAUAAAAAAUAGCGUUGCCAUCUAUCUCAUUCCAUUUGUCAUCAGUUAUCUCCAUGGGCUUUUCUCCAAUUGCUGCAAAACAAUUAUUUUUCCUCAAUACAGCUUUCAUCUUCAUUUUCCACAACAAAAAAUUAUUUCCGUUAAACUUUUCAAUUCCAUACUUUGCCGUCAUUUUGUUCAUAAAUACCGCACACAAGUUAGUGUACCACCUUGAAUAGUUGUCAGUAUGUGUGAGAAUGCACACUAGGAAAGUUCUCAGGAAAGACUGGAGGGGUCACACUGGUCCCACUUAAAACCCAAACUCCUUAAGCUCUUAUCGCCUUUGUGACAGAACUUUCCUAGACAUGUACAGAAUCACACAGUUGCUUUACUCACACCACUAUUCCCUGCUUUGCACCGCAAAAUUCUUGGAUCGCUUCCACCGUUUCUCGUGAACAGUAUCGUAUACGUGAACAAUGUCGUACAUGUGAAUAGUAUCAUACAUGUGAAUAGUAUCGUAUACGUGAACAGUACCGUAUACAUGAAUACUACCCUUUACGUUAAGAAAUUGGUGGGUGAAGCAGACACGCAGCUAAAAUAAAAUUGGAAGAAAAUAAAGAACAAGCACAAAGUGGACACCAAGAAAUUACGUGGUUCGACUUUUAACCUACGUCCACGGGCGAAGACGGAAGAAAAAUAUGAUACUAGUGAUAUGAAUAUUACAAGUAUUGUAAUAUUUUAAUUUACUACCCAGAACCCCAAUACACUCAAUCUCUCACUCACUAGACUCUCAGGAGCUUUAUUAUUUUAAGCUCUUAAAAUCUCUCAAGCUCUCCUUAUUAUUCUCUCACAAAUUGGAUGCUAAAAUGAGGUGGGAAGCCCUCUUUAUAUAGCCAAAAUUUUGGCUCCUUUUUUUUUUUUAUAACAAGUCAACACGGCACCACCAAGAAUGGUGGGCCGUGUUGAAUGGCAUGGCACCGCCCAUCUAGAUGGCCGGUGCCAACCAUGACUUUAACAUUAUAGUCCAAGUUUUCGAGGACCACUAUAUUGUAUUGAUUUAAAAAAAACUAAUAUUUUUAAUAUUAAUAUUCUAAAUUAUAUUCAGUUAAAAUAUUAAAUAUUAAAAACAUUCUUAAUAUUAAUAUUCUUAGAUGAAAUUAUUUUGCUGACUUAAGAAUAAAAUAUUAAAUAAUUUUAUUUUUCUUUUAUUGUGUAACGUGGACCAAAAAAAAGGAAAUGAAUUUAAUAAAACCUUCAUUCAAAACCUUCAUUCCGCCACCAUGCAUGCAUGUUAAUUGUUUCCAAAUUCCAACCUCCGUACUCUCUUGAGGAGUUUCCCAUUCAUCAAUUAUUAUUUUUUAUAAUCCAUACCAUCCUGAUAUAAUUAAACACCAUUAAUAAUGUACCAGCCUUUAAAUAGUAAUUAAUUUAUUUAGUUGGCCACCUAAAAGAAUCCUGCAGGAAAUAGAGGUUAAAAAUUUUAUUAAAUUUGCUUACCGCUGUAUCAUUAUAUAUAUAAAGAGUGAAAUCUAAAUGAAAUUUUUUAUCAUCCAUUCAGCAAACACUUAUAAUUCACAAAUAGUGAAUCUAUGCAUUGACAAUGUGGAUUAAGAAUUAUAACACAUGAAUUCAAACAUACCCUUGUGAAGUUAAGAAUAAGUUCAUACUUCAAAUGAUUUUUUAGCUAAUAAAGCAAUCAGUUUCAUUAAACGACAGCGUUGAAGGAAUUGUGCAAUUUUUUACGUUCUUUUCUAGACAGACGUUACAGAAAUGGGGUAAGUAGAGGGCUGGCCUCAGAUAUCUCACAAUUGUUAGUGAGAUAAAAUGUUAUUGUAAAAGGCGUUUAAUAGAAUAAUAUUAAUUCUUUUGCAUUGUUAUAAAAAUAUUUUUUUCUUUUGACAGUUCUGCAGGACAAGUGAUCAGAGCUCAAUGAAUAUAGCCGUGGAGGCACAGCAGAGCAGGAUUAUGAAAAAGAGAAGCUUAUUACAGGUCAUUCAAGUUUACUUGCUUUUAUAUAAUAAGUGUUUUGGCCGAUUUAUCUAAUUCACCAAAUGUUUUUUCCGGUACAUAUCUCCAUUGGUAUCAAGAAGAGGCAGAACCCAAAGAAACGUUUCUUGCAUCUUCAUAUUUGUGCGCAUUCAUCCUUUCAUUGAGAAUAACCAUUUCCAGGCAGCAGUUGCCAAUCAAUUCGCACGUCGAUGCUAUUCAUAGAUAUUAAAGACAAUGAUGAACCAAAGGUGAUAAAUCAUAAAUGCAUAAUUACCAAACCUCCAUCCUUCUCUCAUUAUGAUUUGAUUUUAAAUGAAUUAUUGCUUGGUAACAUUAUUUCCAACCAUUGCAAGACCUUUUUUUUUUUUUGGGAGAAAUUUCAAUUGAAAGUGAAACCUUUAGACAUUUACCUAAUGAAGUUAGUUAAUCGGGAGGGUGGAAAAAAAAAAGUUGACGCAAGUCAAUACACAAUAAUGAUUAAUUAAAUCCGGAGUGACUAAAACAGAGCCACUACUUUUUCAAAAAUAUCUGCAUUCAUCACUUUCUCCAGCAGCUAGUCAGCUACACACGAAUCAAUUUCUCUCCUCGUUUGUCAUCCAAAAUUAUUCACCAAUACCAUGGCUGAUGCAAUCGUUUCCACUAUCUUGGAGCAGCUGAUUUCCUUCGCUGCUGAAGAGAUAAAACAACAGGUGAUCGAAGUUACACCCCUCAUAUUACAAAUACUUCCAAUGAUUUUAAUUGGUUUUGUUUUUAUCAAAAACAUUAUAUAUUUUUGCUUUUUUUUAUUUAUCUGAUAAUUUUAUAUUUUGAAAUUUGAAUUGAAUUUAAUUAAAAGGUGAUGUAGUAACCACUCAUUUUUAUUUUAUUUCAUUUAUAUUCUCGAUAACUAACCAUAUUUUGGUAACUUAAUAUAACUCUCGUACAUAAGAAAUGAUCCAAACCCACAAUUUUAACUCUGUAUAAAUAUUCAACGUUGAGUCAUUAAUUCUCAACUCAGCACUGAAUCCCAUAGCUAUUACUUAGACUCUAUGAAAAAUUUCAUAGUUUUCUUACAUUCUUUGAGUUUGGUAAGUGAUUUCGUAUAAUUUCUUUUCAAGUUAAAUUUUAAUUUGGUUUAUGAUAUAGUCUCUGUGCCGAAUUGUAUCUUUUAUGAUUCUUGGAUUUUGGGCUCCAACUUUUUAGGAUUUGAUAGUCACAUUUUAUGCCAUGCUCAGAUUGAUUUUCAUGAUUUUAACUACCCGUUAAGUGGCUUACAAUUUGACAAAAGUUUGAAAGGAAAUAUGUUUCAGGAUUCUGUUUUAAUUGACCUUUAAGUAGAAAUAGGAUGCUUAUAACUUAAUGUGGAUGGUUUGUAAAAUCAUGAAAUUCGGAUAGGAUUCACUAGAAAUAUGUACAAGACUCUCCAUAAAGUUUCAUAAUUUUUCAUUCGGUAUGGGGUGGUACAGGUGAAACUUGUGGUUGGUGUUGAAAAAGAAGUGAAAAGCAAGUUGUGCUCGAUGAUGCAGAGGAAAAGCAAGUGAAGGACAAAGCUGUUAGUCUUUGGCUGGGUAGACUCAAGUACGCAUCCUACGACAUUGAAGAUGUGUUGGAUGAGUGGAUCACAGCAAGACGCAAAUUGCAAAUUGAGGGUGGCGUUGAUGAAAAUGCUCUUGUUGUUCCUCAUAAGAAAAAGAAGGUAUGUCUCUACUUUCCCGGCUCUUGUUUUGGAUUCAAACAAGAAGAAUUUGGUUUCAAACAAGUCUUUCUCCGUCAUGACAUUGCCGACAAGAUCAAAGAAAUCAAUGAAGAGCUACAUGAUAUUGCCGCUCAAAAAGACAUGUUUGAUCUUGUUAAGAGUGGCAAUAAAAGUAGUGAAAGACCAAGGCGUGUACAGAGUACCUCCUUGAUUGAUGAAGAAGAGAUUUGUGGCAGAGUUGGUGAGAGGAAUGAACUCUUAAGCAAGCUGUUGUGUGAGAGUAGCGAGCAACAAAAAGGCCUUCAUAUCAUCUCAAUCGUUGGUAUGGGAGGCAUAGGGAAAACAACUCUUGCACAACUAGCUUGUAAUCAUGACGAGGUGAAGAGAAAGUUCGACAAAAUUCUGUGGGUGUGUGUAUCAGAAACUUUUGAGGAGUUUAGGGUUGCCAAAGCGAUCGUUGAAGUUUUGGAUGGUCGUGAAUCUCAUUUAGCUGAAUUCCAUUCUCUUCUUAUAAGUAUUGAUAAAUCUAUUGCGGGAAAGAGAUUUCUUCUUGUCUUAGAUGACGUAUGGGACGGAGAUUACAUUAAGUGGGAACCGUUCUACCGUUCCCUAAAGAAUGGUCUCCAAGGAAGUAAAAUUUUGGUUACUACACGUAAGGAGUCAAUUGCGUUUAUGAUGGGAUCCAUUGAUAUUAUCUCUAUCAAGGGAUUGGCCGAAGAAGAAUGUUGGUCGUUGUUUAAGCGGUUAGCAUUUUUCGGUCGAUCCAUUGAGGAAUGUGGAAGAUUGGAACAAAUUGGACAAAGAAUUGCAGGAAAGUGUAAAGGCUUACCUCUUGCAGCAAAGGUAAUAGGGAGUCUCAUGCGUUCUAAAAAAACUGAAGAAGAGUGGCAAAGAAUCUUAAAUAGUGAGCUAUGGAAAAUAGAAGAGAUCGAGAAAGGUGUUCUAACUCCUUUGUGGUUGAGUUAUAACGAUUUGUCAUCUCGAGUAAAAAGAUGUUUUUUAUAUUGUGCUGUCUUUCCAAAAGACUACAAUAUAAAAAAAGACAAACUAAUUACAUUAUGGAUGGCUCAAGGUUAUCUUAAUGCAGAACAAAAUGAAGAGAUGAAGACAAUAGGUGAAGAGUAUUUUGGCAUCUUAGCUUCUCGCUCUUUCUUUCAGGAGUUUACGAAAAGUUAUGAUAAUCGUAUUAUAUGGUGCAAGAUGCAUGAUAUGGUGCAUGAUUUUGCCCGAUUUGUAAGUCAAAAUGAAUGUUUUUCGAUGGAAAUUAACGGCAGUGAGGAACCAAACGCCACAAACUCUCCUCAUGGGAAGCUUCGUCAUUUAAUGUUAAUCAUUGGUGAAGGGGCUUCAUUUCCUGUCUCCACUUGUAGAGUCAAAAGAAUGCGAAGCCUCUUAAUUGAUAGUAGCAGAUUUGAUUAUCAGUCGUUAAAUGGUGAGAUCCUAGAAGAAUUAUUGAGGGAAUUGACAAGUUUAAGGGCAUUCGAUUUUUGCAGAUCGGACCACACACGAUUGGGUUUCACUCUAGAGAUUCCAAGAAAUAUAAAAAAGCUGAUACAUUUAAGAUACCUUAAUUUGUCUGGUCAGAAAAUAGAGAAGCUACCGGAGGCAUUGUGCGAGCUAUAUAAUCUAGAGAAGUUAGAUAUUUGUGGUUGUUGGUGUCUUAAAGAAUUACCUGAAGGGAUUGGGAAGUUAAUAAACAUGAAGCAUUUACUAAAUAGAAAUACCGAUUCUGUAAGGUACAUGCCAGUAGGGAUUGCGAGAUUAAAGAGUCUUCAGACAUUGGAAGAGGUCAGUGUGAGUGGAAGAGGAUGUCUUGAUGGUAGGAAAGCAUGUAGGCUCGAAUCUCUUAAAAACUUGGAACACCUUCAAAUAUGCGGUAUACGUGGACUGGGUGAUGUAUCAGACGUGGGCGAGGCUAAGCGAUUAGAACUUGACAAAAAUAAAUACCUCUUCAGUUUGACCCUUUGGUUUGAUAAGAAGGAGGAAGAAGGAGAAAGGAGGAAGAACGAGGACGAUCAACUUCUUCUUGAAGCCCUGCAACCACCUCUGGAUUUAAAGAAAUUAACGAUAUGGUCAUACAGAGGCAACACUGUUUUCCCCAGCUGGAUGAUGUCAUUAACCAAUUUAAGGAGUUUAGGUCUCUGUUACUGCAAAAAUUGUGAGCAGCUGCCUCCUUUGGGAAAAUUGCCAUCCCUUGAAACGCUCCACAUAUUGGGCAUGAAUAGUGUGAAAAGAGCGGGUAAUGAAUUUUGGGGUAUAGAAAGUAAUCACCAUGACUCAUCUUCAUCUUCAUUUUCAUCAGUUAUUAUUGCCUACCCCAAAUUAAUAUCACUUUCAAUUCAUUGUCUGACGGAAUUGGAGGAGUGGGAUUAUGGGAUUACUAGAACGGGAAACACGUUCAUCAACAUCAUGCCACGUCUUUCUUCCUUGCGAAUUACUAUGUGCCCCAAACUAAAGGCACUGCCCGACCACAUUCAUCAAACGACAACACUGAAGGACUUGACCGUUGGGUGGAACUCUGAUCUUCUGCAAGAACGUUACAGCGAGGGUAUAGGAGAAGACUGGCCUAAGAUAUCUCACAUUCCCAACGUCAGGAUUUGGCAAGACGUAAUUUCUUCUCCUACUCUGAUUUGCUUUGUUGUUGUUUUUAAUCUAAUUAAGACGCAUAAAUAGCAUUUUGAUUUUGAGUUGACAAUUUUCUGGACCAGUGAUCAAGGGUGAGAAUGGCGCUAGGAUAUUGAAUAAGGCACUGAACUUAGGCUGAUGUCAAAAGAGGUAAAUUAUUGACAUGUGUAGCUAAUUUGACCGUUUCCUGAUUCAUAAGUCUACAUUAAUUUUGAUUUUGAGUUGAGUGAUUACAUUUUAAGGUUUGCUUACUUAACAGGGCCAGGACAUGAAAUGAGAAGCUUAUUAGUGGCAGUUGGCAGUGAAUGGAGGACCUUGACUAAAUUCUCAAGCGGUUGCACUGCAGUUACGCUCAUCCUAAGCCUCCUGUAAUUUCUUCUCCUGCAUUUUUGUAAUUUGCUAUCUAAUUAAGGAGCGUAAACUAUUUUGAAUCGACUUCUAUAUCAGGAAUAUAUGCAACAUUUUCUAAAAGUUUGAUAUGAGUGUAAUGAUGGUAAUUUCUCUUUUUUGUCUGUCAUCGAAAUGUAAGAUAACAUUCAUUAAGACUCUUGAGAGUCGUUUUUGGCAAUUGCAGGACAAGUGAUGAAGAGUGAGAAUGGUGCUAGAUUGGGGAUUAAAGCAAAAGGAGGUAAAUUAUUGGCAGAGAAUUGUGAGAGCUUGAGUGUACUGGGAUUUGCAAUUACAAUCAUCCUCUGCUUCAGGUGAUUUCUUCUCCUGCUCUGUCGUUGUUUGUAUCUCAAUCAAAUUCUAUAACUGGAAUAUGCAAAAGUUUCGAAUUUUUUAUUUCUAUCUGCUUGCAUUGAUAACAUCACGGCAUAUGCACUAGUUAAAGAACAAACAGAAACAGAGCUCCGGAAAAAGUUUCUUCUGCCAUCACAUUUGAAAAUUCAUGUAAAAUGUAGACAGUAAUCAGCAAAAAGGUGAUUCACAAUUUCAUUUUUUUUAUGAAAUUGAUUGUUAGGUUGGAGUUGCUAAAAGGCCAUUGGGCUAACCUAUGUCGUUACUUACCUAGAUCAAGACUCAAAACAAGCAUUGAAUUUUAAAAGGCAUGCAAUAAUUUUUGUGGCCAUAUGUCAAGUCAGGUAAGUUUGAAUAUAAUUAUUGUUGAAGGGGUUUUAUUUUCGGUGUCCAAAUAGAGAUACUGAUUCUUUAAGGUAAUGCCAGUAGGAAUUGCAAGAUUAACAAGUCUUCGGACAUUGCGAGAGUUCCAUUGAGUGGUGGAUGAGGUGUUGAUGGUAGCAAAGCAUGUGGUAUGCGUAGACUGGAAAACAUGUAAGAUGUGGGCGAGGCUAAGAGAUUAGAGAUUGACCAAAUGAAAUACCUCUUUAGUUUGAGGCUUAAAUUUGAUGGUGAAGAAGAAGGAAGGAGGAAGAAUGAGGAUGAUCAACAUCAGCUUGUUCUUGAAACCUUGCAACCACCUCUGACUUUGAAGGAAUUAGAGAUAUGGUCAUACAGAGGCAACACUGUUUCUGCAAGUAGUCCUCUCUUUUCUUUUUAUUAUAUUUUAUUUAGUUAUUAUUUAUUAUUUAUUUUUUGGUUUACUCUGCUUCUUCUUUUUACGUUUCUCAAAUUUUGAAUUUCAUUACUUUUGAACAUACGACAGUCUGUUAUGUGGCGACCCUGGUUUUUAAUUAAGGUUGUAAAAUAUUAUUGUAAAAGAUGAUUUAUUCAAUUUGAGUAAUUCGUUUGCUUUGAUAAUGAUAGCAAUUUUUUAUUUUGACAAUUUGCAAGGUGAGAAUGGUGCUGAUUGGUGAUUCAGGAUAUGGUUCAAACACCAUUGAAUAAAGCUAUGGACAUGGUGGCUCAACUUAGCUAGAUUGGUAUCAAAAUUGGUAAGUUGGCUUGUCAAUGUACCGAUGCUUUUGUUUUCUCUCAACCCUAAUUACCUUAACUUCAUUUAGUUUGGCUUUGGAGUUGAGUAAUAACUUAUUGUUCAAAUGUUAUUUCCUUAUUGUUCUAAUUCAUCAAAUGUUAUUUCCUUAUUGUUCCAUUGAUAUAUUUGUUGCAUAUCAAGCAGAAACAGAACCCAAAGAAAAUGAAACCAUUUCCAGGCAGCAGUUGGCAGUGAAUUCAUGCAAAUGUUGAUGCCAUUCAUAGAUGUUGAAGACAAUGUUGAGCCAAAGGCGAUAAAUCAUUAAUGCAUAAUUCCCAAAACCUCCAUCCUUCUCUCAUUGUAAUUUGAUUUGAAAUGAAUAAUUGCUAGGUAAUUGAAGCCAAUGUUGUUAAAGACCGUGUUGAGCUACCCAAGCUAAGAAGUUACUUGCCAAAAAAUGCAGGGGAUCAAAAGAAGCAUUGCAUUUGAAAAGGCAUGAGAUUCUGGUGGCUACAUGUCAACUCAUAUAUGUUUGAAUAAGUUUGAUCGUUCAAGAUUGUUAGCUUCUGUUUAAAUUUGUGCUACUGCGGUGCUACAAUGCUGCUACUGGGAAAUUUGAAUCCCAUAUUAGACUUUCCUCACAUCAGAAGCUGUGGAUCUUCGGACAUCAGGUUUUUUCACAGUUCUGAAACACUCAGGAUUAAACUCUAUUAAAGUGUUGUAGUUAUCUUGUUGUCAGAAUUCCCAUAUUAUUAUCUUUUUCAUGUAAAAUUAUCUUGUUGUCUUCGCCCAUGAAUCUAAGCUAAAAUUUGAACCAAUUGUUUGCCAUUAUAAAUUUCAUUGUUAAAUGUUAAUUAUGAUGUUGGCGUUGAGUUUCUUUUAAAGUCAUAGAAGCCUGACGAUUGAGUUCCAUGGGAUUCUGAGAAGCAGUAAUAUUUGAACAAGUGAAGGUUCUUCUCUUUUAAUUAUGUUCUGCACUUUUACAGUUUGGCUUUGGAGUUGAGUAAUAACCUUUCGAGGUCGCGGCUAUAAAAAGGCGAUGCUCAAUUUGCCACAGAUUACAUGUAUUGCCAUCAUUGACAAUUUUCUGGAUAAGUGAUGAAGGGUGAGAGUGGUGCUAGACUUCAGCCCUCCAGAAUAUUGAAUAAAGCUGUCAAAAGAGGUAAAUUAUUGGCAUGCCUGUUAGUGAAUUGGAUAAAGCUGGAGCAGAGCAUGAUGUUGCUGUAUAGCUGGAGCAGAGCAUGUUGUUGCUGUGUAGCUGGUUGUAGCAGAUCAACUCACUGAGCUGACCUGUCAAAGCUGGAGCAGAGCAGAGCAGAGCGGAUAAAGCUGGAGCAGAGCAGAGCGGAUAAAGCUGGAGCAGAGCAGAGCAUGAUGUUGCUGUAUAGCUGGAGCAGAGCAUGCUGUUGCUGUGUAGCUGGAGCAGAGCAUGCUGUUGCUGUGUAGCUGGUUGUAGCAGAUCAACUCACUGAGCUGACCUGUCAAAGUUAGUUAGCUGGUUGAGCUGAUGUGUAAAGUUAGUUAUGCAGCAAAUGGUUAUGUGAUGUAACAAACUCGUGUGUGUAGUGAAGAUUGUAGCUUAGUAUAAAUGUCAAUCAGUAUUCAUUAAGUUGAAAUAUCUGAGGAUAAUAAAAAGGUUCUUUAGAGUUCUCUUUCAUUUUCUUUUACUUUCUUGCUUGCCAAACAAUAUAGAACUAAGUUUCUUUCAUGGUAUCAGAGCCAUAAAUGGCAAAUACAGUUCAAAACAACAACUCUUUUAGUUUUGUUACGCCUGUAAAGCUAGAUCAAAACAACUAUAUUUUGUGGCGCACACAAAUUCUAGCUUCGAUCAAAGGAAAUGGUUUGGAAGGUUUUAUCAAUGGUGAUCGAGAAUGUCCUGAGCAGUUUCUUUCUUCUGGCAACAACAAUGGAGCUGAAAUCUUAACUGAAUCUGGAUCCAGAUCUGUUACUGAAUCUGGAUCCAGAUCUGUUACUGAAUCUGGAUCCAGAUCUGUUAAUCCAGAGUUCGUAGCUUGGAUGAAGGCUGAUCAACUUCUGCUGAGUUGGAUGAUGUCAUCGAUACAACAAAAUCUGCUUGCUACUAUGAUUGACUCAACAACCUCAAAACAGCUUUGGGAGACUCUUGCUAGUAUGUUUAUCUCUCAAUCACAGGCUAGAAUUCAAACACUUAGAAUGCAGAUUCAAACUAUUAAGAAAGGUGCAAUGCAUAUGUCUGAUUACUUUGUAAAAGUAAAACGUAUAGCUGAUACUUUAGCUCUAGCUGGAAAACCUGUUGAGUUAAAUGAUCUUGUGAUGCAUGUAUUAACUGGUCUUGAUUCAUCAGAUUAUGAAUCUUUAGUCACUGCUGUGUUAGCUCGAGGUGAAAAGAUAACAUUAGAUGAACUAUAUUCUUUGCUGUUAAAUCAUGAAAAUAGAGUUGAGCAAAAGAAAGGAAAAAUUGCUGGUGAUGUGAUGCAUAACAUGACAGCAAAUAUUGUUCAGAAGAACUCAUAUGCUAGAAAGAAUAAUGGAAAUUUUCAGAAACAGUAUGGAAAUAACUCUGGAGGUGGUAAUAAUUCUGGAUAUGGAUAUGGUCAGUUUAAUAAUAAUAGUAAUUUCUCUGAAGUUGUUUGCCAAAUUUGCUUCAUACCUGGUCAUGCAGCCUAUAAAUGCAGAAAUAGGUACAACUCAUCUUUUGUUCCACAUAGGAACCAUGGUAGAGGUAAUAUGAAUGGUGGCGGAGGUUUUAAUCAAGGGCAAUAUGGUCGAGGAAGAGCCUUUAAUGGUAAUAGUGGAAGAGGUUUUGGAGGUUUUGGUUCAAAUGCUGGUUUUGGACAAAAUGUUGGUUUUGGUAAUGCCCCCAGGGGUUUUGGCUAUCAAGGAAAUAUAGUAUAUCCAGAGAGCAACCCAUCUGCUUAUUUCUCAUUCAACCCUGGAUCAUCUAAUUUUGUUUCUGGUCUAGGACAUAAUAAUCUGGAACAGUCAAGUGCUUCCUCCUCCUCUGCUAUGUCUUCUUCACUUCCACCUGAACACAUUGAAGAUCCUUCCUGGUAUAUUGAUAGUGGAGCAACAAAUCAUAUUACCAACGAUCUAGGUAAGCUUCUGGAUUCAAAAGUUUACACUGGUACUGAAAGGUUAUUUGUUGGAGAUGGAAAUGCAUUAGCUAUUACACAUGUAGGGUCAGUUGUGCUAAAUACUUCAGCUUCUCAAUCCUUAUUUCUUAACCAUGUUCUUCAUGUCCCUUUUAUUACUAAGAAUUUGCUUAGCAUCUCAAAAUUGUUGGCUGACAAUCCAGUUACUGUUGAAUUUCUUGGUGAUUUGUGUUUUAUAAAGGCCAAGAACACAGGGAAAAUUUUACUUGAAGGUGUUGCUAAAGGUGGGCUUGUAUAGAGUCUCUUCUCAUGCUGCUGUUCAUUCAGUCUUUCUCAGUUCAGUUGGUCAAAACAAAAUUCAGUCUCUUUUUGCUUGUUCUCCUGUUUUUAAUUCUGCUCAGCUCUCUACUGUUAGCUCUUAUGAGUUGAAUAAAACGUCAUGUCUGUCAGUUGUUGCAAAGGGUUCUAUUGAUGUAAAUCUUCUUCAUAGAAGAUUAGGACACCCAGCAUCUUAUACUCUCAAAACCAUUCUCAAAGCUUGUAACAACUCUACUGCUUUUAAUAAAGUUGACAGUUUGAAAUUUUGUUCAGCAUGCCAAUAUGGUAAAAAUCACAUGCUGCAUUUUGAUUCAGUAGAAACAAAAACUUCAGCACCUUUACAACUGAUAUAUGCAGAUCUUUGGGACCCUUCUCAUGUUUGUUCUACCCAAGGAUAUAAUUACUACUUGUCAAUCCUAGAUGAUUACAGUAGGUUUACCUGGAUUUUUCCCUUAUCAGCAAAAUCUGAUGCUCUUGAAGUUUUUACCAAUUUCAAAAUAUUCAUUGAGAAGCAUCUUCAACUUUCCAUCAAAACUGUACAAACUGACUGGGGAGGGGAGUUCAGAACAUUUUCAUCGUUACUCACUACUUCUGGCAUCCAUUUUCGACAUCCUUGCCCCCACAUUCAUCAUCAAAAUGGAAAAAUUGAGAGGAAACAUAGACACAUAGUUGAUGUAGGACUGACUUUAUUAGCUCAAGCACAUUUACCACUCAAAUUUUGGUGGAAUACAUUCCAUACAGCUGUCUACUUGAUAAACAGACUUCCAACUCCAGUUCUAAACAGCAUUUCUCCUUUUCAAAAGUUGUUUAAUUCCCAACCAGAUUAUUCAACACUUAAAAUUUUCGGCUGUGCUUGUUAUCCAACACUCAGACCAUACAAUAGACAUAAGUUUGAUUUCAGAACAGCUAGAUGUAUAUUCAUUGGCUACAGUUCACGACACAAGGGAUAUCAGUGUCUUCACUCUUCUGGGAGGGUCUAUAUUUCAAAUCAUGUAACCUUUGAUGAAAGUUCUUUUCCUUAUGAGUCAGGAACAGAUUUUUCUUCAGUUUCUUCAAACUGUCAGUCAUCAACUCAUUCUGAGUCUUCUUUUAAUUCUUCUACUCCUUUUGUUACUCAGUUACAAGCACCUUUAGCAGCAUCAUCAGAAUAUCAUCUUAAUGAUUCUCAGUCACAUGCUUCUAUUUCCUUCCCAAAUUCUACUCCAGUUUACUUUUCUGAUAAUUUCAAUUCCACUUCUUCUUCUCCUUCUUCACCAUCCCAUCAUUCACCUCCACAUACCUUGUCACAACCUGCAUCAUCUGGUCAUCCAAUGAUAACCAGGUCAAAAGCAGGUAUCUUCAAGCCCAAGAUCUACUUGUCAGCUUUACUAGCUCAGAAAUCAGAACCAACCUCUGUUUCCAAAGCACUUUCUGAUCCUAUGUGGUAUAAAGCUAUGCAAGAAGAGUAUCUAGCUCUUAAAACCAAUCACACCUGGGAUUUAGUCUUACCUGCUACUCCAGUGAAGAUAGUUGGCAACAAGUGGGUAUUUCGAGUAAAGUAUAACUCAGAUGGUUCAGUUUCAAGGUAUAAAGCCAGGCUUGUGGCUAAAGGGUUUCAUCAGACACAUGGGAUUGACUACACAGAAACCUUCAGUCCAGUGGUUAAGUCCUCCACUGUUAGAGUUAUUCUUAGCUUAGCAGUAUUGAGUCACUGGGUUGUAAGGCAGGUGGAUGUUAACAAUGCCUUUCUAAAUGGCAUUUUAAUUGAAGAUGUGUACAUGGCUCAACCUCAAGGUUUUGUUGAUUCAACUAAACCUAAUCAUAUCUGCAAGCUAAAUAAGGCUUUGUAUGGCUUAAAACAGGCUCCUAGAGCCUGGUUUGAUAGGUUUAAGGAUGCAAUGAUCUCCAAGUGGCAUUUUUAGCAUUCCAGGUCUGAUAACUCUCUCUUUUAUGCCUGGAACAGUGGUCAUCUAACUGUUGUUUUGGUCUAUGUUGAUGAUAUUAUCAUCACUGGUUCCAGUCCAUCCAUAAUUCAACAAGUUAUCCAGAAUAUGCAUCAAGCUUUUGCUUUAAAAGACCUGGGGGAACUUCACUAUUUUCUGGGGAUUGAAGUCAGCAAAUCUUCACAAGGGGUUUCCUUGACACAAGCAAAGUACAUUGCUGAUAUUCUGGAUAAACAUGGCAUGACAGACUGCAGUCCUGUGCCAACUCCAAUGUCUACAGGCUUUUAUCUCACCAAAGACUCAGGAGAGCCACUUGAUAAUGUUUCUCAAUAUCGAAGUGUUAUAGGAGCUCUUCAAUAUGUUACUCUUACCAGACCUGACAUUGCCUUCUCUGUAAACAAGUUAAGUCAGUUCCUUUCCAGUCCUAGAACUCAACAUUGGGAAGCAUGUAAAAGGUUAUUGAGGUACUUAAAAGGCAUUAUCCAUCUGGGGCUGCAUUUCUACAAUCAAGGAGCUCUGCAAUUACAUUGUUUUUCAGAUUCUGAUUGGGCUUGUGAUCAUGAUGAUAGGAAGUCAGUGGCUGGCUUUGCUGUUUAUCUAGGUCCUAAUCUUGUUUCCUGGUCGUCAAAGAAACAAGCUGUUGUUUCCAGAUCCAGCACAGAAGCUGAGUAUAGAUCUCUUGCUCAUGCUGCUUCAGAAGUUACCUGGAUUAAAUCCUUACUUGGUGAACUUAGUAUCACAUUAAGCUCCACUCCUAUGAUGUGGUGUGAUAAUCAAGGAGCAAUUGCUUUAGCUUAUAAUCCAGUUUAUCAUGCUAAGACUAAGCAUGUUGAAUUGGAUAUACAUUUUAUCCGAGAUAAGGUCACUGCUAAAGAGGUUGCAGUAUGCUAUGUGCCUAGUCCAGAUCAAACAGCAGAUGUGUUGACUAAGGCUCUUACUUUCAAACAAUUCAGUUACUUCAGAAGCAAGCUGAAUGUUCAUCCUAAACAUUUCAGCUUGAGGGGGGAUGUUAGUGAAUUGGAUAAAGCUGGAGCAGAGCAUGAUGUUGCUGUAUAGCUGGAGCAGAGCAUGUUGUUGCUGUGUAGCUGGUUGUAGCCAAAGCUGGAGCAGAGCAGAGCAGAGCGGAUAAAGCUGGAGCAGAGCAGAGCGGAUAAAGCUGGAGCAGAGCAGAGCAUGAUGUUGCUGUAUAGCUGGAGCAGAGCAUGCUGUUGCUGUGUAGCUGGUUGUAGCAGAUCAACUCACUGAGCUGACCUGUCAAAGUUAGUUAGCUGGUUGAGCUGAUGUGUAAAGUUAGUUAUGCAGCAAAUGGUUAUGUGAUGUAACAAACUCGUGUGUGUAGUGAAGAUUGUAGCUUAGUAUAAAUGUCAAUCAGUAUUCAUUAAGUUGAAAUAUCUGAGGAUAAUAAAAAGGUUCUUUAGAGUUCUCUUUCAUUUUCUUUUACUUUCUUGCUUGCCAAACAAUAUAGAACUAAGUUUCUUUCAAUGCCUAGCUAAUUUGACCACUACCUGAUUCAUAAGCCUACAUCAAUUUUGAUUUUGAGUUAAGUGAUUAAUUUUCAAGGUUUGCUUACUUAACCGGCGACUAAUUUCUUGUAACUAAAUGUAUCAUAUGAUGCAGGAAGCAGGGCAAGAUAUGAAAUGAGAAGCUUAUUAGUGGAAGGAUUGCCAGAAACAGAACCCAAAGAAAAUGAAAACAUUUCAAGGCAGCAGUUGGCAGCUGGCAAUGAAUGGAGGCCCUUGAAAAAAUUCCCAAGCCGUUGCACUGCAAUUACGAUCAUCCUCGGCCUCAGGUAAUUUCUUCUCCUGCAUUUUUGUUAUUUGCUAUCAAGUGACAUUCGUAAGUAUGAUUGCAUUAAGCUGCUGCUGGGAAAUUUGAGGUUUUGAUGGCUGCCCAUGCUAUUGUCAGAAGCUGCAGUUCUUUUCAUCAGCCUGAACCUGGACCUGUCGCCAUGGAUAACUCAGGUUUUUUUUUUUUUUAAUCAACUACGGCAUCUUUUCCACUGUUUUGAAACUCUUAAGAUUAAACUUUAGUAAUGUUGUUUUAGUUAUCCAUGUAAUCAGGCUGAGGAUACUUAGCAGCCUAUUUAGGCAAAUGUCAGAAUUUAGUUUGUUCGCUGGGAAUUGGUGUGGACUGGCAAAGGAUGAUGAGAUAGUUUUUUGAGUGAGUAAAUUUUGGGAGCUUGAGUGUAUUGGGAUUUGCAAUUACAAUCAUCGUCUGCCUCAGGUGAUUUCUUCUCCUGCUCUGUCAUUGUUUGUUCUCUAAUUCAAAAGCAUAAAAUAUUUCAAUCAAAUUGUAUGCCAGGAAUAUGCAAAAGUUUCUAAUAUUUUAUUUCCAUCUGUUUGCCUUGAUAACUUUGCUGCAUAUGUACUAGUUAAAGAACAAAUCGAAACAGAGCUCAGUUAAAAGUUUCUUCUGCCGUCAUAUUUGAAAAAUGAAACCAUUUCCAGGAAGCAAUGGGCAGCAAAUUCAUAUAAAGCAUAGACAAUGAUGAGCAAAAAGGUGAUUCACAAUUUCACUUUUUUUAAUGAAAUUAAUUGUUUGGUUGGAGCGGAUAUUGUUAGAAGGCCAUUGAGCUAACCUAUGUCACUACUUGCCUAGAUUACAGGGGGUCAAAUAAGGCAUCCAAUAAUUCUUGUGGCCAUAUAUCAAUUCAUGUAAGUUCGAAUGUAAUUAUUGGUGAAGGGGUUUCACUUCCCGUCUCUAAAUAAAAAUACUGAUUCUUUAAGGUACAUGCCACUAGGGAUUGCGAGAUUAACGAGUCUUUGGACAUUGGAAGAGCUCCUUGUAGUGGAGGAGGAGGUGUUGAUGGUAGCAAAGCAUGUGGGCAGUGGGCUUGAAUCUCUUAAAAACUUGGAACUCCUCCAAGCGUAAGUAUACGUAUACUGGGAAAUGUGUUAGAUGUGGAUGAGGCUAAGAGAUUAGAGCUUGACAAAAUGAAAUAACUCUUUCAUUGAGACUUAAAUUUGAUGGGGAAGAAGAAAAAGAAGAGGGAAGGAGGAAGAAUGAGGAUAAUCAACUUGUUCUUGAAGCCUUGCAACCACCUCUGAAUUUGAAGGAAUUAGAGAUUUGGUCAUACGGAGGCAACAUUGUUUCCCCCCGGAUGAUGCAAAAAUUGAAGGAAUUUACCAAUCUAAGGAGUUUGACACUCUUUAAAACUGCAAAAAUUGAGAAAAGUUGCCUCCUUUGGGAAAAUUGUGAUCCUUUGAAAAUCUCAGCAUAUUGUACAUGGAGAGUGUGAAAACAGUGGGUAAUGAAUUUCUGGGAAUAGAAAGUGAUCUUCAUGACUCAUCUUCAUCUUCAUCAGUGAUUAUUGCCUUCCCCAAAUUGAAAUCACUUUCAGUUGAGGGAUUGAUGGAAUUGGAGGAGUGGGAUUAUGGGAUUAAAAGAACAGGAAACACCUCCACCAACAUUAUGCCACGUCUUUCUUCCUUGGAAAUUAGUGUGGGGUUAUGGGAUCGCACAACGACGUUGAAGGUAUUGCAGAUUGUGGCAUGUGGUACUCUAAGAAGACGUUACAGACAGGGGAGAGCAGAAGACUGGCCUAAGAUCUCUCACAUUCCAGACAUCAUGAUUGUGUGAAAAGAUGCCCGUGACAAAAUUCUCUAGGCGGCUACAUGGAGUACAAUCAUAAAAUGCUAAUGUGGCCACCCUGGUUCUUAAUUAAGGUUGUGAAAUAUUAUUGUAAAAGAUGAUUAAUUCAAUUUGAGUUAUUCGUUUGCUUUGAUAAUGAUAGUAAUUUUAUAUUUUGACAAUUUGCAGGGUGAGAAUGGUGCUGAUUGGUGAUACAGGAUAUGGUUCAAACACCAUUGAAUAAAGCUACGGACAUGGUGGCUCAACUUAGCUAGAUUGCUGUCAAAAUUGGUAAGUUGGCUUGUCAAUGUAUUGAUGCUUUUGUUUUCUCUCAACCCUAAUUACCUUAACUUCAUUUAGUUUGGCUUUGGAGUUGAGUAAAUUCUGGCCUCUUCCGAAAAAAAAAGCUUAAUUUGCUACUGAUCACGUGUUACCAAUUAUUUAAGGUAAUUCUCGCUUACUUGCUUCUGCACUAUAGAGUACGUGUUCUGGCUGGUUUAUCUAAUUCAUCAAAUGUUAUUUCCUUAUUGUUCCAUUGAUAUAUUUGUUAGAAAGUGAAACCAUUUCCAGGCAGCAGUUGGCAGUGAAUUCAUGCAAAUGUUGGUGCCAUUCAUAGAUAUUGAAGACAAUGAUGAGCCAAAGGUGAUAAAUCAUUAAUGCAUAGUUACCAAAACCUCCAUCCUUCUCUCAUUGUAAUUUGAUUUUAAAUGAAUAAUUGCUAGGUAAUUGAAGCCAAUAUUGUUAGAAACGGUGUUGAGCUACCCAAGCUAAGAAGUUAGCUGCCAAAAAAUGCAGGGGAUUAAAAGAAGCAUUGCAUUUGAAAAGGAAUGAGAUUCUGGUUGCUACAUGUCAAUUCGUAGAAGUUUCAAUAAAUUUAAUGGUUCAAGAUUGUUAGUUUCUGUUUAAAUUUGUGCUACUGCAGUGCUACAACGCUGCUACUGGGAAAUUUGAAUCCCAUAUUAGACUUUCCUCACAUCAGAAGCUGUGGAUCUUGAGACAUCAGGUUUUUUCACAGUUCUGAAACUCUCAGGAUUAAACUCUAUUAAAGUUGUUGUAGUUGUCUACGUUCUCAGGUCAAGGAUUCUAAGCUGCCGAUUAAGCAUUGCGCAUUUUCAUUUGUCCGAUUCAAGAGGAACGUCACAGAAAGGGGUAAAGAAAAGAGUAGCCUAAGAUAUUAAAGACAAUGUUGAGCCAAAGGAAACAUAAAUCCCAACCAUUGCAUGUGAACAUGAUCACAAUAAGGUCAAGAACCUACCAAACCAUUUUUUUGAGAAUUUUCAAUUGAAAGUGAAACCUUUUGAUAUUUACCUAAUAAAGUUAGUUAAACGAGAGAAAUAAAGGGGGAAAGAAAAGUUGACUCUAAGUCAAUACAGAAUAAUUAGUUCAAUACAGAAUAAUUGCUGUAAAAUAUUAAAUAGUUUUAUUUUUCUUUUAUCGUUUAACUUGGACCAAAAAAGGAAAUGAGUUUAACACGACCCUCAUUCUGCUUCUUGCUUUGGUUUCAAACAAGUCUUUCUCCUUUAUGACAUUUAUUGUAAUUUCAUUUGGAGACAUAUGUCUGUCGUUCAAAUAUAUUUCAUACGCAAGCUGUUAAUAAUUCUGCUUGCAGAAAGCCUACAAAGCAGCUGUGUGAUGUAAUAGAAGACCAUAGAUAGUCUCGUCAAUUUUUCAACAUUAGAUAUUCAGGUCAUCAGCUUCUCAUGAAUUCUUUCCUGAGUUUCUUUGAAUUAUUUGUGAUGUAAUAACUUGUGCAUUUGAGAAACUGUUCUCUUGAAUUCUUUCUUGAGUUUCUUUGAAUUAUUUGUGAAUAAGUUGUUAAUCGGCUGCUUCUCUUCAGGAUAAGGAAAGUGUUGCAAACUGGUGAAGCAGCUGAUAGAUAAAAGCAAUGGGUACAUCUUUGCUGGCAUGGAUCGAUGCCAGUGCGGCUGAAUUCAGCAAGACUGCCGUUCGUGAUGUUGUUGAUUGGGAUUACAUUAAGGAUGAUGACAACAUUGAUUAAAAUGGGACGUGAAGAUAUAUGGUGUGCAAAUUAACCCAACCCAACCAAACCCGUACAUUUUAUCAACCCAACCCAACCUGUAAAAAAUCACACGGGUUAGGUUAGUUUCACGGAUUGGGAGGUUGGUGCCCACCCCUAAAUAUAACCUCCAUUUCAGCACAAUGCAUGUUAAUUGUUCCCCAAGGACUUCUCCUGAUUCCCAUUCCCAACCUCCAUGCUCUUGAGAGGAAUUUAGCACCCAUCAAUUUUUAUUUUUGAAAACUCGUAAUGGUCUGAUAAAAUUAAACAACAUCAAUAAUGUUACCAGUCUUUAAAUAGUAAUUAAUUUAUUUAAUUUGCCACCUAAAAGAAUCCUGCUGGAAAUAGAGGUUAAAAAUUUUAUUAGAUCUGCUUACCUUUGUUCAUUCAGCAAAAACACUUACAAUUCACAGCUAGAGAAUCUAUCCAUUGACAAUUGUGGAUUAAAAUUAUAACACCUGAAUUCCAACAUAUCCUUAUGAAGUUAUGAAUUUGUUCAUACUUCAAAUGAUUUUUUUUUCCCAAGCUAAUAAAGCUACCACUUUGAUCAAACGACGACGUUGAAGGAAUUGCGUAUUUUCAAUGUCCUUUUCCAGACAGACGUUCGAGAGAGAGAAAGGAGAAGACUGGCCUAAUUAAGAUAUCUCACAAAGAUUAUUAUUGAGUUAAAAUGUUAUUGUAAAAGAUGUAUAAUACAAUAAUAGUAAUUCUUUUGCAUUGUUAUAAUGAGGCUGGUGGGUUUCCUCAGAGGAUGGAUCUUGCUCGCUAGUAUGCAUUUGGGAAGCUGCUAAUUAUUGGCCAUAAAAAGUCAGGGGGUUGUGGCUCUUCCGUCGCCCAGAAAUUCCUCAACUCAUAUCUCAAACUUCAGAUGAACUUGGGCAUUAUGUAAAUAUGUAUUUUGAGAAUUAAACUAGUGCCUUAGAAAAAAUUUGAGCCAUUGUAAUCAUUUUAUUUUGCUAAGGGAAAAUUUUACUUUGUGUUUCGCUUUGACUUUUUUUUUUUUGCCUUGUGAUAAUAAGAUUCAUACGAAAGUGAUUACACGCCUAUCAUGCAUCUAUUUUCAUUUGCUUGUCAUGAGAGAUCAACAUGCUCGAAAUAAUUACUUAGGUUGGAAAUAUUUGAAUCCACUAAAAUACUAUACAAACCCAUUUUAAAAUUAAAAAAAUGAUUAUCAUAAUACUUGUGAAGAUAACACGAUAUCAUACAUAAAAUAAAAUAUUUCGCAAAAAAGAUACGAUACAAAUCUUGAGUAAACAGGUACAAAAAAUAUUUUUUUUUGGUUAAACCACGAGGUACAAAAAAUAUUUUAGUGGGUUAAGUAGCACUAAUGCCCCCUUAUCAAAAAAUAUAGAAAAAUAACUAGUUUGAUUGGGUAUACCGUUUAUAUAUAUGUACAUAUUCUUGAUAAUGUGUAAUGUAUAUUAUAGACAAAGAUUUUGAAAGCAAUAUUUUUUGGUAUUAUUAUAUAAUAUUUUUUAAAAAGUUGAGAGAAUAGGCAAAGUCCAAAUCAACUUUCUAAUCCCUACCUCCUUUAUGAUUUAAACUUUAGCGUUUAGUGUCGCGAGCCACUCAAAUUUUCUAAUCAAAGAGACUAAAUUGCACGAAAUUGUGCUAGCUUAUUUGAUUCUAGAAAUUUCCAGUACACUGUAACACACUCUCAGGCUUGUACAUACCUCGAAAUUCUCUAGAAUUAAUUUACUAGAGUAGUGUUGCAUGUAGCUUGUACAUAGGUUUUUCUGGAACACUUCAGGUAUUACUAAGCAUGAGAGCUUUGAGAACUCUCUAGCCAUAAAACAUUCUAGGGUAUGUCUACCCUAAAAAUUGGGCAUGAUGCUUGCCACUUGAGCAUACAACAAGUAAGAACAAAUCAAGCAUACUUGUAAGCUCUCAAACUCUCUUAUACACACUUUUAUGAAUAAUAUACUUUCUCUUUGGCUAUAUUGCUCUCUCUUCUCUCUAGUUUUUUCGCAAGCAUCAUACCUUAGUUAGUCGAAAAGUUCAAGGCUUACUUUAUAGCUAUCUCACAAAAGUUGUUUAAGUACCACAUGGAUUUGCUGUGUAAAAUACUCAUCACAUGACAUUAGCUAAAUAGAUUUGUUUGAAAGCCACUUACCCAAACUAUUAAACGAAUAUUAACUUUUGUCUUAAUUUUCUAUCACCUAUGAUAAAAUUUAUAAUUAAAAAUUGAAAAAAUUAAUAACUAUUAGAUAGAGCAUUCUUUACUGUUAAAAGAAAUCUAUAUAGAUAGAUAGAUGGUAAUAUAAAAACUUACUUAUUGUAGUAUAAUGUUUUUAGUUUUUUGAAACAUAGAUUCUUACUUUUUUAAGAUAAAAUUCAAAGAAAACAAGUUAAAUGUUGUGGAAAAUCUUCCAGCCAUACAAGAAAUUGUGAUAGCUAAAUGCAAACCUAACUAAAGUAUUAGUUGUUUUAUUACAAUCUCCAAAAAGAUGAGCAAUUCCAAAAUAUUUUUUUGUAACAAUAAACACUAUAGGUCAGCAAUUAUCCAAGUCAAAAGCAAGCUACUCUAUUAAAAAAAAAAAAAACUUGUAGUGAAUCUGAAGAUAAACCAAUUUUACUAGCAAGUUGGAUACCAAAGAGUAGGGCUUCAGCCUCAAUUACUCAAUGUACCAACAACACAGUCUCGGUGAGUUAAAAUCAACUUCUACCACUCUUUUACUUGCUGAUAGAUCGAUUAAGGUACCAAAAGGAAUAAUCGAAGAUGUAUUAGUUCGAGUUGAUAAAUUCAUAUAUCCUGUGGAUUUUAUUGUUUUGGAAACUGAACCAAUUGCUAAUGAAUGCAAACAAAUUCCUGUUACAUUGGGUCGUCCAUUUUUAGCUACUGCUAAUGCAUUGAUUAAUUGCUGGAAUGGAGUAAUGAGUUUAUCUUUCGGCAACAUGACAUUGGAACUCAAUGUGUUCAACAUAUGUAAACAACCUCACCACCAGGAAGAUGAUGAUAAUGAGAAUGAGGAGAUUGAUUUCAUCGAGCCAAUCAUUGAUGAACACAUUCAGAAUAAGAAUUUUACAAACUCAGUGGAAAUUUAUUCUGCUCGUUCUUUUGAAUCGAGUAAGAAAUUAGAUUACGAUACUGAUAACAUAUACCCUACACUUGAUUCUAUGCAGGUACUUGCUGACGGUGACCAAUCAAACUUUAAAAAUACAGAACAAUCUAAAGAACCAAACGAAGAGGAAGUACCAGAGCUCGAAUUAAAGCCCUUACCGGAAGAAUUGAAGUAUGCCUAUCUUGGAGAAUAACAAACUUAUCCGGUGGUAAUUUCUUCCCAACUCACGCAUGAUCAAGAAGGUAAGUUGUUGUCUGUACUAAAAAGGCAUAAAACUGCAUUUGGUUGGACCUUAAAAGACAUAAAAAGUAUUAAUCCUUUAAUCUGCACACACCGAAUACACUUAAAGGAAAAUACCAGAACAACCCGUUAACAUCGACAUUAUCAGUGUAAACAUUAAAUACCAAAAUCAACCCCAAAAACUAUAACUAAACUAUCAUGACUAAAAUAAAGUUUUUUUUUUUUAGAUAUUCGUUGUAGUAUCUCUUUAGAUGACAAACAAGAGAUAAAAUACAUAAAUAUUUGCUGUGUAAAUAAAAAUAAAUAAUUUUUUUGAACUGAAAAAUAUUCUCAAAAACUAAAUAGUUCAAACUUUUUUUAACAUUAUCGGUUCUGGACCUGAACCGAACCGUGAACCGUAAACUGCCCACCCUUACGUAGUUGUUUCCGUUAACCGAUGUUGUAUUGCUGGUAUAAAAUUGUUCAAAUGUUCAAAUCACAGUCUCCCGCUCUCAGCUCAGUCAGAGUUUCAGGUCCAGAGACUUCCCGCUGACUGAGAGCUUUUUUGUAGCAGUUCUACAAAUAAUGGAGUAGAGCUGAUUUUAUGAUUAAUUUAUUUCCUUUUUCAAUUUCUUAUGAUUGCGAUUUAAUCUGGAAAGUUAAACGUGAAUUGUUUAGUGCGGAUUAAAUGUUCGACGAAUUUCCCGCAAGAGUAUUAAGUUAAAGAGAAAAAAGAAAACAAUUGAGCGUGAGCGUGAGCGUGAGCGAGAAUGGUGUUUGGGCAAGUGGUGAUUGGUCCGCCCGGCUCGGGAAAGACCACUUACUGCAAUGGCAUAACUCAGUUUCUCAGCCUUGUUGGCAGGUAACUUCGUUUCUUGAUUUCAAGCAGCUUUAUCUUUGAUGACCAAAAAAAUUGAUUUGGGCUUUGCCCAUUAAAUGAAUGUAAGAGCGGUAGGGAAUAACUGAGUUAUAGGAUUAGCUUUAAGUGAACAUUGAUGGUAACAUGCGCGUGAAGGUUGUAUGUGUUCAGUGGCAAGCUGUAUGCCAAUUUGGUCUAUAUGGUUGCUUAGGUAGUAACUUAUUAAUUUUUACGCAGGAAGGUUGCAGUCAUCAAUUUAGAUCCUGCUAAUGAUAGUUUGCCGCAUACUUUGUCAUUGAACUUUCUUACAAAUGCUGUGGUUUGUUGUAGUAUAAUUAGUUCAAUUGGAAACUUCCUUGAUGUUAAUAUAGAAAUGAGUGUGCUGUGAAUAUUGAGGACCUCAUUAGACUAAGUGAUGUGAUGAUGGAGUAUUCACUUGGUCCCAAUGGAGGUUAGUCAGCCUAUUGUUGUUUACUCUUUCUUGCUUUAUCACGCAAUGAUAUUCCUUUGCUUUACAACAAAUUUCGUGAAAUUAACUUCAAUCAAGUGGCAAUGUUCAUAUGCUGUUGAGAUUUUAUGGACAAUGAUUGGUAGACUUUAUAUGCCGUCUUCUUUCUUUUUGCAGUGAUAUGCUUGUAUUCAAUGAGCAUGUACUUAUUCUAUGGUUUCUAAAGUAGGUGUUUUUAUGAUAAACUAGGUCUUGUGUAUUGUAUGGACUAUCUAGAGAAGAAUAUUGACUGGCUGCAGUCGAAAUUAGAACCACUUUUGAAAGGUAAGAAGAGGCCAUUUUCCUUCAUUCUAAUGCCAAUAAUGCUGUCAUGAGACUCAUAAAAAUGUUAAAACGUUAAUGUUUUUGGUAUUUUGCAGAUCAUUAUCUUCUGUUUGAUUUUCCUGGCCAAGUUGAAUUAUUUUUUCUUCAUUCCAAUGCCAAGACUGUUAUAAUGAGACUCAUAAAGAAGUUAAAUCUCAGGGUAUUGUUACAUCUUACAUCUAUGAAGGGACUCAAAGAGUUGAGAUGAAUUCAUCUUUGUUAUUUUGAUGCCAGAAUUGUGCAAUUCUCAGUUGGUUCCUUGCACAUGCAGUUGACUGCAGUGCAUCUAGUUGAUGUGCAUCUUUGCAGUGACCCCGGGAAGUAUGUUAGUGCUUUGCUUCUCUCAUUGUCUACGAUGCUACAUCUGGAACUUCCCCAUGUCAAUGUCUUGUCUAAUCGAUCUGAUUGAGAAUCAUGGAAAGCUAGGUGUGGUUUUAAGUGUAUCUCUCCUACUUGUUUGUUUAGUUUGAAAUAUCAGAUAUUGUCACAAGCUCCUAUUUGCUACAUUUCCUCACCAAUCAAUUACUUUGGGUAUGUUGCAGCUUUUAAUCUCGAGUACUAUACAGAUGUGCAAGAUUUGUCAUAUUUACAGCAUGCUCUCGGUCAGGACCCUCAUUCUGCUAAGUACAGGUUUGAAUUCUAGCUGAAUCAAUGAUGCAAAUUAUGUUCAUUGCUAUUUCUGCUGUUGUUUCUAUCAUUUUCAAUUGUUACCUCCCCUUGCCAUCUACUGCCACACUGCAAUGCCUACACAAAUGUUAUGAAAUUUGUCAAUGGCAAUGCCAUCCUGUUUGUCCAGAGACAGCUCUUAGAUGCAAGUGAACAAUUUUUGGCUUUGGCCGUAGUACAGCCUUAGAUUUCAACUUGCCAUAUCUUGUCUCGGAAGUCAAAAGAAAGCGUAUAUGUUAGCCAAAUUUUAUUUGAAUUUAUUAAGUAACAAUGAAUGGGUCAGAAAAACAGUUCCUCUUUUGUUUUGAUCAGACUCAAUGAAUAAGUGUUUAAAAUGUGCCUGUCCUAAAAAUAUAGAUGUGUGGUUUCACAAAAUUUUCUUGAUCUUAAGAAAGAGUUAUCUUGAAAAGAAGAUAACAUGGAGAAUUCAGCAACUAUACAGUCAUAUUGAUGUCUGUCAACUUGGGUCAGAUGGUGUCGUUUGGAUGGAGAUGUUAGGUCCCAGAUGGUAUGCUUGUUAUCAAAUUCCAGUCUAAUUCAUUCAUGCUUUGAUGACAUAUGCGGUGCAGCUUCUUAUCUAAGACCUGUAUAUGUUCAGUCAUCAUUCAGUUCUGUAUUUGGCUGUCAUUCUUUCAAUGAAUUCAAACCACUUUCUGAAUACUUGCAAGGGAAAUUAUCAUUCGUAUACCCUAUAUUUACUCUGUUAUCAAAAAUACUACAACACUUUGAGGGUGUAUCAAUCGUCCACCAUAAGUUGACAAAAUGUAUCAACCGACCACCAAACCGUUAAUUGUCGUUUGAAAGUUAACGGAAUUACAGUGAAUUGACGAUUUUACCCUUGAAAAUUAUCACUUGUAUACCCAUAAAAUUCUCUUUUUAGCACUUGUAUACCCUUAAAUUAUCACUUGUAUCAUAUGAAAAGACCAAAUUACCCUUCUGAUGUUAUCAUAUUUAAACGGCAACUAACGGUUUGGUGGUCGGCUGAUACAUUUUGUCAACUUAGGGUGGACGAUUGAUACACCCUCAAAGUGUUGUAGUAUUUUUGAUAAUUGAGUAAACUAAGGGUAUACAAGUGAUAAUUUCCCUACUUGCAAAUUCAUCCAGUGUUGUCAUUGAGAUGCCAAUAUGUAAAGGAGCAAUAGUUGCCCUUGAUAGUAUGCUUAUUGAUUGCCUCUUGCCUCACUCAGCCUAAGGAAUCUGGUUGUAUGGUGUUCUUGUAAUUUCAUUUGGAGAUAAGUAAUAUCUGUUGUUCAAAUGUAUUUUAUAUACAACCAGUUCAUAAUUCUGCUUGCAGAAAGCUUACAAAGGAGCUGUGUGAUGUAAUAGAAGACUACAGUCUGGUCAAUUUUUCAACUUUAGAUAUUCAGGUCAUCAGUUUCUCUUGAAUUCUUUCUUGAGUUUCUUUGAAUUAUUUGUGAAUAAGAUCUUAGUUGGCUGCUCCUCUUCAGGAUAAGGAAAGUGUGGCAAAACUCGUGAAGCUGAUAGAUGAAAGCAAUGGGUACAUCUAUGCUGGCAUGGAUGCCAGGGCAGUUGAAUUCAGCAAGAUUGCCGUUCGCGAUGUUGAUUGGGAUUAUUUCGGAUAUCCUUCUUUUCACCUAUUUUCAAUCUUGUUAUUCUCAUAUUCAUAAAACAUUUUGGUUAUUUAAUUAUGGUUCAUCAUAUGCAUCUGCAUCUUCUAACUUGUUCGUUUGAGAAACUAAUUUUGCCGUUAGGUAGGCUUCAAGCUUGAUUCAUGCUUUUUUCAAAAAUGUACCAAAAUCAUGGAAACUUCUUUUUCCCAGAUAUUGUAUCCACACUUUUCCCAUAUAAUUGGGUCAGACAAGUUUUGCUUAACAAAGAUAUCUACAGUAGCCGAAGUGCAGGAGAAGUACAUUAAGGAUGAUGACGAUGUUAACUAAAAUGGGACGUGAAGAUAUGUGGUGUGCAAACCGUAAGCCUGCCUCUUAUUUUUGUGCAUGUUUACUUGCUUGUGAUUCACGUUUGUUAAUCUAUUUUGCUCUCUUGCAGGAGUUAUAAAGUUUUCAAUCAAUCAAACAUUUAACUCAAGUCCUUAGCUCUUCACGGCUUGAAUGGGUCAGAUAGGACAAGCGCCGAAGAGGUGGUUUUAAUCAAACCCCUCCUAAUUAUGAUGUAUGGUCCAAAUCUCGGACUUUCUGUACAAUAUCGAGCGAUUCGGACCUUUCAAGUCGAAUAUUGAUUUUUCUCCAGUAUUGUUUGUAAUUACAAGAAACGAAGUAAUGAAAUUUAUCACUGCGUUCAUAGUUAUGCUUAAGCUCAAAGAUUACCGUCAAGAUCAUUUUGGGCCCUCAAAGAAACAUGAUGUUGACACAUGUAAAAUUAUGAAGCUUGUGAUUAAAAUACUUUUGACAUAUAUAUGUUAAGUACUAUUAAUAAUUAAACAUAUGAAUAAAUAUGGUCAAUGAGGAGAGGAUAAAAUAAAAUGGUUUCAUUUUUUGAAUUACUCAACCGCUUCAAACUUCUAAGAAGUAGAUAUACAAUGAGUGGAAUACUGAAUUGAGUGCGAGCUGCGGAUAACUUAUAAAAUUGGGAUGCAAGCUUCAAGGAAAGUGUAUUGCUAUUCAAAUGUAGAUUUCAAAUUAGGAAGAUAUGCCAGCAAAUUGUAUAAAAAUGUAUAAAUUGAUCAGUAACAUUAAUUCCAAAUGAUGAAAUGAGUUAUCUUGAUCAAAAGGUCAAGAACCUACCUUACUUCUCUUAGAGAUAACUUGCAUCAACCGUUGUGGUAUUCAUACUUGUCUUCAGCUAGUAAAAGUGAAAGUUUCACAAUUGAAAUAAAGCUAAGGGAAGAUGCUAUGCUGCAUUUAUUAUUAUUAUUAUUGAUGUGGUCGAGAAGUAAAGCCAUGCAUAUGAUGAAGUAUAAAUAAGAAUGCAAUAGCCCGGAAUUCAUUUUCACAAACACUUCAAUAUCCUUUUGAUCACUUUUGCAAACAUCAAUUUGUCUCCUCUUGUAUUCACCAUGGUUGAUGCCGUCAUUUCCCCUCUCGUGGAGCAGCUGACUUCCUUCGCUGCUAAAGAGAUAAUACAACAGGUGAUCGAAGUUAAACCCCCCAUAUUAUAAAUACUUCUAAUGAUUUUAAUUGGUUUUGUUUUUAUCGAAAACAUUAACUUUGCUUUAUUUUACUUAUUUAGGCAUUUUAAAUUUUGAAAUUUGAAUUGAAUUUAAUUAAAAUGUGAUGUAGUUAGUAACCACUUUUUUUUAUUUCAUUUAAAUUCUCAAUAACUACCUAUAUUUUGGUAACUUACUGUAACCCCCGUAUCUAAGAAAUGAUCAAAACCCACAAUUUUAACUCCACAUAAAUAUUCCAUGUUGAGCUAAGUUCGAUGUUGAGGUAAGUUUUUGCAUAACAUUCAAGUUUGUCAAAUAGUCAUUAAUUAAAUGUUUAGUAAAAACUUAUCUCUGAAAAAUUUCAUAAUUUUCUUACAUUCUUUGAGUUUGGUAAGUGACUUCAUAUAAUUUCCUUUCAAUUUAAAUUUUAAUUUGGUUUCUGAUAUAGUCUCUUUACUGAAUUUAUAUCUUUUAUGAUUCUUGGAUUUGGGGCUCCAACUUUUUAGGAUUUGAUAGUCACAUUUUAUGGCAUGCUUAGAUUGAUUUUCAUGAUUUUUAGUACUCGUUAAGUGACUGAGAAUUUGACAAAAGUUUGAAAGGAAAUCCGUUUCACGAUUCUUAUGUGGAAGGUUCAUAAAAUCAUUAAAUUUGGAUAGGAUUCAUUAGCAAUAUGUACAAGACUCUCCAUGAAGUUUCGUAAUUUUUCAUUCGGUCUGGGGUGGUACAGGUAAAGCUUGUGGUUGGUGUUGAAAAAGAAGUGAAAAGCCUUACCAGCCACCUUCAAGCCAUUCAAGCUGUUAGCGAUGAUGCAGAGGAAAAGCAAGUGAAGGACAAAGCUAUUAGACUUUGGCUGGGUAGGCUCAAGUACGCAUCCUACGACAUUGAAGAUGUGUUGGAUGAAUGGAUCACGGCAAGAGGCAAAUUGCAAAUUAAGGGUGGCGCUGAUAAGAAAAAGAAGGUUUGUUUCUGCUUUCCCGCCUCUUGUUUUGGAUUCAAACAAGUCUUUCUACGUCAUGACAUUGCCAACAAGAUCAAAGAAGUCAGUGAAGAGCUACAUGAUAUUGCCACCCAAAAAGACAUGUUUAAAUUUGAGAGUAGCAGUAAAAGUAGUGAAAGACCAAGGCGUGUGCAGAGUACCUCCUUGAUUGAUGAGGAAGAGAUUUGUGGUAGAGUUGGUGAGAGGAAUGCACUCUUAAGCAUGCUGUUGUGUGAGAGCAGUGAGCAACAAAAAGGCCUUCAUAUCAUCUCAAUUGUUGGUAUGGGAGGCAUCGGGAAAACAACUCUUGCACAACUAGCAUGUAAUCAUGUUGAGGUAAAGAGAGAGUUUGACAAAAUUUUAUGGGUGUGUGUAUCAGAAACUUUUGACGAGUUUAGGAUUGCCAAAGCGAUGCUUGAAGCUUUGACUGGUUCAACUUCUAAUUUAGAUGCAUUGCAAUCUCUUCUUAUAAGUAUUGAUGAAUCUAUUGCGGGAAAGAGAUUUCUUCUUGUCUUAGAUGACGUGUGGGACGGAGAUUACAUUAAAUGGGAACCAUUCUACCGUUGCCUAAAGAAAGGUCUCCAUGGAAGUAAAAUUUUAAUUACGACACGUAAGGAGUCAAUUGUGAGCAUGAUGAGAUCCACAGAUAUUAUCUCUAUCAAGGAAUUGGCUGAAGAAGAAUGUUGGGCAUUGUUUAAGCGGUUAGCAUUUUUCGGUCGUUCCACUGAGGAGUGUGAAAAAUUGGAACAAACUGGUCAAAGAAUUGCAAGAAAGUGUAAAGGUUUACCUCUUGCUGCAAAGACAAUGGGAAGUCUCAUGAGCUCUAAAAAAAUUGAAGAAGAGUGGAAAAGAAUUUUAAAUAGUGAUUUAUGGAAGGUAGAAGAGAUCGAGAAAGGUGUUCUAACCCCUUUGUGGUUGAGUUAUAACGAUUUGCCAUCUAGAGUAAAAAGAUGUUUCUCGUAUUGUGCUGUCUUUCCAAAAGACUACAAUAUAGAAAAAGACAAACUAAUUACUUUGUGGAUGGCUCAAGGUUAUCUUAGUGCAGAAGCAGCAGAACAAGAUGAGGAGUUGGAGACUAUAGGUGAAGAGUAUUUUGGCAUCUUAGCUUCUCGCUCUUUCUUUCAAGAGUUUGAGAAACGUUAUGAUAAUCGUAUUAUAGCGUGCAAGAUGCAUGAUAUGGUACAUGAUUUUGCCCAAUUUGUUAGUCAAAAUGAAUGUUUUUCGUUGGAAGUUAAUGGUAGUGAGGAACUAAACGUCACAAACUCUACAAACUCUCUUGAUGAGAAGGUCCGUCAUUUAAUGUUAAUCUUUAGUAAAGGGGCUUCAUUACCGGUUUCCACUCUUAGAGUUAAAAGAAUGCGUACCCUCUUAAUUAACGAUAGUAGAUCUGAUCAUUCAUUAUUAAAUGGUGAGAUCCUAGAAGAAUUAUUUAGGGAGUUGACAAGUUUAAGGGCAUUAGAUUUUGGCAAAUCGUAUAACUCAAGUUGGUAUUCGACUCUGGAGAUUCCGAGAAACAUAGAAAAGCUGGUACAUUUAAGAUACCUUAAUUUGUUUUAUCAGGGAAUAAAGAAACUACCGGAGACAUUAUGCGAGUUGUAUAAUCUAGAAAAGUUAGAUAUUAGUUUAUGUUUUAAUCUUAAAGAAUUACCUGAAGGGAUUGGGAAGUUAAUAAACAUGAAGCAUUUACGAAAUAGAGGUACUAGUUCUUUAAGGUACAUGCCAGUAGGGAUUGGGAGAUUAACGGGUCUCAGGACCUUGGAUGAGUUCCACGUGAGUGGAGGAGGAGGUGUUGAUUGUAGGAAAGCAUGUAGGCUUGAAUCUCUCAAAAACUUGGAAAACCUUCGAGUGUGUGGUAUAUGUAGACUGGGUGAUGUAUCAGAAGUGGGCGAGGCUAAGCGAUUAGAACUUGACAAAAAGAAAUACCUCUCUUGUUUGAGACUUCGGUUUGAUAAGAAGAAAGAAGAAGGAGAAAGGAGGAAGAACGAGUACGAUCAACUUCUUCUUGAAGCCCUACAACCACCUCUCAAUUUAAAGGAAUUAGAGAUAGAGUACUACCGAGGCAACACUGUUUUCCCCAGCUGGAUGACGUCAUUAACCAACUUAAAGAGUUUAGAUCUCUCUUCCUGUGAAAAUUGCGAGCAGCUGCCUCCUUUGGGAAAAUUGCCAUCCCUUGAAAAUCUCCACAUAUAUCGCAUGGAGAGUGUGAAAAGAGUGGGUGAUGAAUUUUUGGGGAUAGAAAGUGAUCAUCAUGGCUCAUCUUCAUCGGUUAUUAUUGCCUUCCCCAAAUUGAAAUCACUCACAAUUUCUUUGAUGCUGGAAUUGGAGGAGUGGGAUUAUGGGAUUACAAGAACGGGAAACACCGUCAUCAUCAUCAUGCCACGUCUUUCUUCCUUGACAAUUGGGAAUAGUCCCAAAUUAAAGGCACUGCCCAACCACAUUCAUCAAACGACAACAUUGAAGACAUUGCGCAUUUGGAGGUGUGACCUUCUGGAAGAACGUUACCGCAAGGGGGAAGGAGAAGACUGGCCUAAGAUAUCACACAUUCCCAAUCUCCAUUUUGGGCUUUGACAAGUAAUUUCUUCUCUUACUCUGAUUUGCUUUGUUGUUGUUUUUAAUCUAAUUAAGAAGCGUAAAUAGCAUUUUGAAUCAAACUCUAUAUCAGAAAUCUGCAAUACUUACUUUCUAAUAUUCUGAUUUUCAUAUCCUAUGAAUAUACGAUUUUUAAUUUGUGGGAUGGGUAACGUUACUGUAAAAGAUUAUUAAUGCAAUAUGAGUAAUUCUUUUGCAGGACAAGUGGCCUACAUUUAGUUUGGCUUUGGAGUUGAAUAAUAACCUUUCGAGGUCCCGACAACCAAAAAACGAAACUUAAUUUGCCACAGAUUGCACGUAUUGCCAUUAUUGACAAUUUUCUGCACAAGCUUAGGUUGAUGUCAAAAGAGGUAAAUUAUUGGCAUGCCUGACUAUUUUGACCAUUACAUGAUUCAUAAGUUUACAUUAAUUUUGAUUUUGAGUUGAGUGAUUAAUUUUCUAGGUUUGCUUACUUUAACUGGGUGACCAAUUUCUUGUAACCAAAUGUAUGAUGUGAUGCAGGAAGCAGGGCAGGACAUGAAAAGAGAAGCUUAUUAGAGGAAGGAUUGCCAGUAACAGAAUCCAAAGAAAAAGAAACCAUUUCGAGGCAGCAGUUGGCAGUUGGCAGUGAAUGGAGCCCCUUGAAAAAACCCCCAAGCGGUUGCACUGCAAUUACGAUCAUCCUCGGCCUCAGGUAAUUUCUUCUCCUGCAUUUUUGUUAUUUGCUAUCAAGUGACUAUUUUAAGUAUGAUUGCAUUAAGCUGCUGCUGGGAAAUUUGAGGUUUUGAUGACUGCCCAUGCUAUUGUAAGAAGCUGCGGUUCUUUUCAUCAGCCUGAACCUGGACCUGCCGCUAUGGAUAACUCAGUUUUUCUUUUUUUUAAUCAACUGCCAUCUUUUCCACUGUUUAGAAACUCUUUAAGAUUAAACUUUAGUAAAGUUGUUUUAGUUAUUCAUGUAAUCAGGCUGAGGAUACUUAGCUGCCUAUUUAGGCAAAUGUCAGAAUUUAGUUUGUUCGCUGGGUACUGGUGGGGACUGGCAAAGGAUGAUGAGAUAGUUUUUUGAGUGAGUAAAUUUUGGGAGCUUGAGUGUAUUGGGAUUUGCAAUUACAAUCAUCGUCUGCCUCAGGUGAUUCUUUUUCCUGCUCUGUCAUUGUUUGUUCUCUAAUUCAAAAGCAUAAAAUAUUUCAAUCAAUUUUUAUGCCAGGAAUAUGCAAAAGUUUCUAAUAUUUUAUUUCCAUCUGUUACAAGAUCAAACUGAAGCAGAACUCAAACAAAAGUAUGCUACUUCUUGCGGAAAUCUUGCCUUUGUUCAGAUUAUGAAACCAUUUCCAUGCAGCAAAUUCAUCCAAAAGUUUGAAUAAGUUUCACGGUUGGACACUGUUGGCUUCUUUUUCUUCUGGGGUGCAUUUAGGUGCUAUCAAGUGACAGCUGUAAGUAUGAUUGCACUAAGCUGCUGCUGGGAAAUUUGAGGUUUUGAUGGCUGCCCAUGUUAUUUUCAAUAAACUAUUGAUGUAAGAAGCUGUGGUUCUUUUCAUCAGCUUGAACCUGAAACUGUCGCUAUGGAUAACUCAGGUUUUUGUUAUCAACUAUAUCAUCUUUUUCACUAUUUUGAAACUCUUAAGAUUAAACUUUAGUAAAGUUGUUUCAGCUAUUCAAAUGAAAAACUCAUUGAUUUGAGAAUUCCUUCAUUAUUGUUUCUAAUUACAAUGCUAACGAUCCAGAUAAAAUAAUAUUUAAUCGGCGAAGGUGUCCCUUGGAAGUACAUCCUUCUUUUUCUUUUAUUAUAUCAAUUCUUGCAAUGAGCUUAGUGAAGCUGUUGUGCUAAUCAUGCCACUGCAUAAUUUGGCCCCUAAUGUGGGUACUCUGUUACAUUGUUCUGCAAAUUCUCCAGAAGUUAAAAUCAAUAAAUUUUCUAUUAGCUCUAGUGCUUUGACCUAAAUGCUAUUCUAUAUUCUGAUUACAAUGUUUUAACCUUUAAAUUAACUACCCCUAGAUGUUGGAUUUUCUAGAACUUCAAAAUGAUUAAUGGAGAAAGAUCCCAUUAUCGUUAUUGCUAUAAGAAAUUGAUUUAUGCAUCCAAAGAUACAUUAUAUAUUUCUGUGUCUCUAUUUAUAGAUGACAUUUAAGCAUCCAUAAACCGUCAGACAGAGGAAGGGGGUUCAGUGCAAAGAUUCUGUUGACCUAGGGUUGACUGCAUAUGUCACUUGUUCGCAAUCUAUUAUUUAUUUUAUAUUUUGAAGAAUUUAAUGGGUAAUCCUAAUUGUUUGUUUUGGCAGGUAUGUGUUGUUAUCUCCUUCUAUCUAACAGUCGUACCUAAAUAGCAUAGUUUCAUCUGUGUUACCAUGUGAUGUACAUAAUUUCACAUUUGCCUCAGAUUAAGCUUAAUUUCCCACAGAAUAGAGCUGUCGCGACUGGACUUAGGUUGAUGUCCAAAGAGGUAAAUUAUUGGUAUGCCUAGAUAAUUUGGCCAUUUCCUAAUUCAUAAGUCUACAUUAAUUUUGAUUUUGAGUUGACUGAUUUCUUUUCAAGGUCUGCUUCCUUAACGGAGUGACCAAUGUUUUUCAACUAAAUUUAUCAUAUGAUGCAGGAAGCAGGGCAGGAUAUGCAAUGAGAAUCUCAUUGGUGGAAGUAUUGCCAGUAACAGAACCCAAAGAAAAUGAAACUGUUUCAAGGCAGCAGUUGGCAGUUGCAAGUGAAUGGAGGCCCUUGACAAAAUUCUCAAGCGGUUGCAAUGCAAUUACGAUCAUCCUCAGCCUCAGGUAAUUUCUUCUCCUGCUUUGUAUUUAUUUGUUAUCUAAUUAGGAAGCGUAAAGUAUCUUGAAUCAUUUUCUGUAUCUGGAAUAUAUGCAAGAGUUUCUAAAAUUUUGAUAUGAGUGUGAUGAUGGUAAUUUCUGUUUUCUGUCUGUCUUCAAAUGUUAGAAAACUUUCAUUGAGACGCUUGAACCGAGUCAUUUUUGACAAGUGAAGUGCUGAAGAGUGAAGAGUAAGAAUGGUGCUAGAUUGGGGAAUAAAGCAAAAGGAGGUAAAUUAUUGGCAGCUUCUUCAGCCUUAUUUUCUUUGGACCAGUGCCUAACUCACAAGUCUCCAUAAUUCGGCUUUUGACCAGUUGAUAGAUAAAAUUUUAAUUUCAUUGGUGCUAAUGUACCCGUGAAGCAGGCAGAGAAGGACUGUGGAAAAGAGAAGGUUUUUAGUGAAAGCUUAAACUCAGGUAAUUCUAAAAAUUAUAUGUUUUGGCUGAUUUAUCUAAAUCAGGAAAUUUUAUUUCCAUCUGUUACAAUAAAACAGAAACAGAACACAAAGAAAAAUAUUCUACUUCUUGUGGCAAUCUUGCCUUCAUUCAGACUAUGAAACCAUUUCCUUUCACCAAUUUCUUCCAAAAUUUUGAACACGUUUCAUGGUUGGACAUAGUUAUCUUCUUUUUCUUUUGGUGCAUUUAGGUACUAUCAAGUGACAGCCAUAAGUAUGAUUGCAUUGUUGGGAAAUUUUAGGUUUUGAUGGCUCCCCAUGUUAUUGCCAAGAAAUUUUAAGUCCUCAUGUCAGAAGCUGCGUUUCUUUUCAUCAGCCUGAACCCGAACCUGUCACUAUGGAUAACUGAGGUUUUUGUCAUCAACUAUAUCAUCUUUUUCACUGUUUUGAAACUCUUAAGAUUAAACUGUUGAGAAGUCAAUAUUAGCCCAAAUAAGUCCACACCUAAAUUAAUUUGAUGUCAUUGCUUACAUCAAUUUAGUUAGGUGAAUAUUAGCCCAAAUAAGUCCACACCUAAAUUAAUUUGAUGUCAUUGCUUACAUCAAUUUAGUUAGGUGAAAAUUAGGUAUUUUUCCCAUGUUUAAUUUCAAUGGUUUAAAUUAGUUUGUGGUUAUUUUAAUGAGUGGUUUAGAUUGUUUCUUGUAACCUAUAAAUACCUCAUUUGUAUUUGAGUUUUAUUAUUCAACAAUAAAAAGCUUUAUUAUAAGCAUUUGAAAGCUUUCUUAAGAGUUCUUCUCUUUUUGCAAUUUUGUGAGAUUAUUCUAAAGAGAGUUUUUCUUCUUCUUGAUCAAUUAGAGUUUUUACUCUAUUUUGAUUCAACAUUUGGUAUCAGAGCAUUGGUUGUAAAGUCUCUUGAAAUUCCGAGUAUGCUCUGUGGUUGCAGUUUUGACUGAUCUUCCACAUCAGAAAAGAUUUCUUGAGAUUAUUGCUGGGGUUAUCACAAACCUUGAGAGGGAGCUUCUUUGUGUCAAGAGUAGUGUAUUAUUCUGCACGGUAGUCACUCAAGAUUGUUCGGUGUAGUCAAAGUCUUGUCGAUACGAUGGGUGAUCUUCAAGUUGUUGGAGGAAUCAAGAAGCUCAACAACCAAAACUAUAACACGUGGGCAACGUGUAUAGAAUCUUACCUUCAAGGUCAAGACUUGUGGGAGGUUGUCGGUGGUAGUGAAGUUACACAACCGGCAGCGGAAGAUGCUAACGGCGUCUUGCGGAAGUGGAAAAUUAAAGCAGGCAAAGCAAUGUUUGCUUUAAAGACCACAAUAGAAGAAGAAAUGUUGGAGCACAUUCGGGAUGCUAAAUCACCGAAGGAAGCGUGGGACACCUUCGCUACACUCUUUUCGAAGAGGAACGAUACAAAAUUGCAACUUCUCGAGAAUGAACUUCUAUCAAUGGUGCAACGCGACAUGGCGGUUGCCCAAUACUUUCACAAGGUGAAGUCGAUAUGCCGUGAAAUUUCAGAAUUAGAUCCGACAGCUGCUAUUGGGGAAGCCAGGAUAAAAAGAAUAAUUGUCCAUGGCUUGAGACCCGAAUACCGAAGCUUUGUAGCCGCUGUACAAGGAUGGCCGACACAACCAUCACUUGUUGAGUUUGAAAAUUUGCUGACAGGCCAAGAAACUAUGGCCAAGAAAAUGGGAGGAGUCUCACUAAAGGGUGAAGAGGAAGCGCUUUACACCAACCAAAGCAGAGGUGGUUCAAGACAGCACAACAAAGGCGGAUCUAGAAAGACUGGUGAACAGACAAAAAGUCAUCAGGGAGGGAAUGGCUCUCGUCCAGGGGGAGCUUCGAAGAAUCGUGACAGUAAUAGAAAGUUCGAUGGCGAAUGUUACAAUUGCGGGAAGAAGGGCCACAUGAAGAGAGAUUGUUGGUCCAAAAAGAAGUCUACCGAAAGCAAUAUUGCUACUUCUAGUUCUAAAGAAGAUAGUGAAGAUAGCUGGGAUGCCGAAGCAUUACUCGCUAUGGAGGAAGAAGAAUUAGCUCUCACGGUAACAACACCAGAAAAGAUUAACUACGAGAAUGAUUGGAUCGUAGACUCAGGCUGCUCAAAUCACAUGACGGGUGAUAGACAGAAGUUGCAAAACUGUUCUGAGUACAAGGGAAAUCGUGUGGUGGUAACAGCUGACAACUCAAGGUUACCGAUAGCUCACAUCGGUAAAGCGAUCGUUACACCUCGAUAUAGUCCCAACCAAGUGCCACUUCAAGAUGUCUACCAUGUUCCAGGAAUGAAGAAAAAUUUGCUAUCCGUAGCUCAAUUGACAUCAUCAGGCCACUAUGUCUUGUUUGGUCCACAAAAUGUGAAGGUAUUUCGAGACCUGAAGAUCUCAGAAAACCCUACGAUGGAGGGACGACGAUUGGAGUCAGUUUAUGUGAUGUCAGCUGAGUCUGCAUACGUAGACAAGACAAGAAGGAAUGAGACGGCAGAUCUGUGGCACAUGCGGCUAGGUCAUGUUAGUUAUUCCAAGCUAAGUGUGAUGGUGAAGAAGUCGAUGCUUAAGGGACUUCCACAACUUGACGUGAGAACAAAUACUGUUUGCGCGGGAUGUCAAUAUGGUAAAGCACAUCAAUUGCCAUACGAGGAGUCGAAGUUUAAAGCAAAGAAACCAUUAGAGUUAAUUCACUCUGAUGUGUUUGGACCAGUUAAGCAACCAUCAAUUGGCGGAAUGCGGUAUAUGGUUACGUUCAUUGAUGAUUUCUCCAGAUAUGUAUGGGCUUUCUUCAUGAAAGAAAAAUCUGAAGCAUUCUCAAAGUUCAAAGAGUUCAAAGAGAUAGUCGAAGGAGAAGUGGAGCAAAAGAUUCGUUGCUUGCGCACAGACAACGGGGGUGAGUAUAGCUCGAGAGAGUUUUCUCAAUACCUACGGGAAUGCCAAAUACGUCAUCAGUAUACUUGUGCCAAUACGCCACAACAAAAUGGUGUAGCAGAGAGGAAGAAUCGGCACCUUGCUGAAAUUUGCCGGAGUAUGCUACAUGCGAAGAAUGUACCUGGAAGAUUUUGGGCCGAAGGUAUGAGAACUGCAGCUCAUGUCAUCAACAAGCUUCCUCAACCAAGGUUGGAGUUUGUUUCACCCUUUGAGAAAUUGUGGAACAAGAAACCUACAGUUAGCUAUUUUCGAGUAUUCGGUUGUGUAUGCUAUGUAUUUGUUCCUGACCAUCUACGUAGCAAGAUCGAUAAGAAAGCAGUCAGAUGUAUCUUUGUGGGAUACGACAAUCAGCGAAAAGGGUGGAAGUGUUGUGAUCCAGUAGAUGGAAGGUGCUACACAUCACGAGAUGUGGUGUUUGAUGAAGCAUCCUCAUGGUGGACCUCAGAAAAAGAAGUGCUGCCAGACUCGAAAGAAUUCGGAGACAUGCUACAACAAAAGAUGGGGGAGCAUACUGUCCAAAUUCAUCUAAGCUCAGCUGGGGAUCUAUGCGAUAGUGAUAGCGAACGAAGAGUAACUCUAAAUCCUUGGCAAUCUGGGGUGUAUCGACAACCAGAUGAAGAAGGUGUGCCUAGUGAAACAGAAGAAUCAACUCCAUUACGAAGGUCAACAAGAACCCGAAGGCCAAAUCCCAAAUACGCUAAUGCAGCCAUAGUUGAAGAAGCAACUGGAAUAGAACCUGAGACGUUCGAAGAAGCGUCACAGAGUUCUGAGUGGAUGACAGCUAUGAAAGACGAGAUCACUGCACUUGAGCAAAAUCAGACCUGGGAACUCGUGCCAAAGCCAAAAGAUGUGAAACCCAUAUCCUGCAGAUGGGUUUACAAAAUAAAGCACUGUCCAGAUGGGUCAAUCGAGAGGUACAAGGCUCGAUUGGUAGCUCGUGGUUUCUCUCAACAAUAUGGACUAGAUUAUGACGAAACGUUUAGUCCAGUGGCAAAACUUACAACCGUCCGAGUCUUACUUGCACUUGCAGCCAACAAAAGCUGGAACUUGUGGCAGAUGGACGUGAAGAAUGCCUUUCUCCAUGGAGAGCUGGAUAGAGAGAUCUACAUGAUUCAACCGAUGGGUUUUCAGAACCGAGGUCACCCUGAGUAUGUGUGUAAACUGCGAAAGGCUCUCUACGGACUAAAACAAGCACCCAGGGCGUGGUAUGGCAAGAUUGCUGAAUUUCUAACUCAAAGUGGGUAUUCAGUAACAUCUGCAGACUCCAGCUUGUUUGCUAAAGCUAAUGGAGAAAGGAUAGCUAUUGUGCUCGUGUACGUAGAUGAUCUAAUCAUCACUGGAGAUGAUGUUGAAGAAAUUUUCCGAACAAAGGAGAACUUGUCAGUUCGUUUUCAAAUGAAAGAACUUGGACAACUUAAGCAUUUCCUUGGGCUAGAGGUUGAUCAGACGAAAGAAGGGAUAUUUCUUUGUCAACAGAAAUAUGCCAAAGAUUUGUUGAAGAAGUUUGGGAUGCUAGAAUGUAAGCCGAUCUCAACACCGAUGGAACCAAAUGCCAAGAUGUGUGCACAUGAAGGCAAAGACCUGGAAGAUGCAUCGAUGUAUCGACAAUUAGUGGGUAGUCUAAUCUACUUAACCUUGACUCGACCUGACAUUUCUUAUGCAGUUGGCGUGAUGAGUCGAUACAUGCAAAAUCCGAAGAAGUCUCAUUUAGAAGCGGUUCGGCGAGUACUCAGAUAUGUGAAGAGUACAAUAGACUAUGGUCUUUUAUACAAGAAAGGUGGAAAUUGCAAACUAGUUGGCUACUGUGAUGCUGACUAUGCAGGAGAUCACGAUACUCGCAGAUCAACUACUGGGUAUAUGUUUACCCUUGGAUCUGGAACGAUUUCUUGGUGUAGCAAGAGACAACCGACUGUGUCCAUGUCAACUACGGAAGCAGAGUAUCGAGCAGCAGCAAUGGCAGCUCAAGAAAGCACGUGGCUGAUACAACUAAUGAAUGAUCUACAUCAACCACUAGAUUAUACAGUUCUGUUGUACUGUGACAACCAAUCGGCAAUUCGGCUGGCGGAGAAUCCUGUUUUUCAUGCAAGAACUAAACAUGUGGAAGUGCAUUACCACUUUGUUAGGGAAAAAGUUCUGCAAGAAGAGAUUGAGAUGAGGCAAGUCAAGACAGAUGAACAAAUUGCUGACUUGUUUACAAAAAGCUUGAGUGUUGGAAAGUUUGAACAUUUCCGUCGUCAGCUUGGCAUGAUUCAAAGAAUGGGGGCUAACAUUGAGGGGGAGUGUUGAGAAGUCAAUAUUAGCCCAAAUAAGUCCACACCUAAAUUAAUUUGAUGUCAUUGCUUACAUCAAUUUAGUUAGGUGAAUAUUAGCCCAAAUAAGUCCACACCUAAAUUAAUUUGAUGUCAUUGCUUACAUCAAUUUAGUUAGGUGAAAAUUAGGUAUUUUUCCCAUGUUUAAUUUCAAUGGUUUAAAUUAGUUUGUGGUUAUUUUAAUGAGUGGUUUAGAUUGUUUCUUGUAACCUAUAAAUACCUCAUUUGUAUUUGAGUUUUAUUAUUCAACAAUAAAAAGCUUUAUUAUAAGCAUUUGAAAGCUUUCUUAAGAGUUCUUCUCUUUUUGCAAUUUUGUGAGAUUAUUCUAAAGAGAGUUUUUCUUCUUCUUGAUCAAUUAGAGUUUUUACUCUAUUUUGAUUCAACAUAAACUUCAGUAAAGUUGUUUCAGUUAUCUAUGUAAUCAGGCUAAGGAUAUUUAGCAGCUUAUUUAGGCAACUGCCAGAAUUCAGUUUGUUCGCUCGAAACUUGUAUGGUGACAAGGAUACUGGCAAGGAUAGUGAGAUAGUUUUUUGUGCGAGUGAAUUUUGAAAGCUUGGGUGUUCUGGGAUUUGCAAUUGCAAUCAUCCUCUGCUUUAGGUGAUUUCUUCUCCUCUUCUGUCUUUAUUUUCUCUCUAAUUGAAAGCAUAAAGUAUUUCAAUCAAAUUCUGUACCAGGAAUACGAAAAAUUUACUAAUAUUUUAUUUCCAUCUGUUUGCAUUGAUAACUUGGCCGCUUAUGUACUAGUUAAAGAACAAACAGAAGCAGAGUUCAGGAAAAAGUUUCUUCGGCCACCAUAUUUUAAAAUGAAACCAUUUCCAGGAAGCAGUUGGCAGCAAAUUCAUAGAAAGUAUAGACAAUGAUGAGCAAAAAGGUGAUUCGCAAUUUCAUUUUUUUAAAAUGAAAUUAUUUGUUAAGUUGGAGCUGAUAUUGUUAGAAGGCCAUUGAGCUAACCUAUGACACUGCUUGCCUAGAUUGCAGGAGGUCAAGACUCAAAAGAUGCACUGAAUUUUAAAAGGCAUGCAAUAAUUCUUAUGGCCAUUUGUCAAUGGUGGAAUGCUUUUAGCUUCUUUUCCUUUCGUGCAUUUUGGGGUUCUAUCAAGCGACAGCCGUAUGUAUGGACGGAUAUAGCUGCUGCGUUGAUUUCUAAUGCGUUGUAUGAUGUUAUAGCAACUAUCUAUCUGGUCAAUGUUUCAAAAGAAUAAGACACAGGGAAAAAGAGAAAGCAAGUGGCCAAUCAAGUAUUCAUGUCCCAAAGAAAAGAAUGAUUCGACAAUAGCAUUAAGGGUUAAUUGGACACAACAGAAGUGUUUUAACCACUUCAAGGAAUGUAAAUGUAAUUUUCCAUUCUAAAGAAAAAGUAAAUAUAUGCACUGUCAAUUAAUCUUUGGUCAACCAGCAACAUUCAUAAUUUCGUGUAAGUUUCAUUUCUGUUUGUUGGAAAUAGCAGUGUAUUUCUGAGAGUUUGUUCAAAAUGGAAAGAUUUUAAAAUAUAAAUUUCACAUCUGUUUAUUACUGUUGUUUGGUCUAAUUUCUUAUGUAGAAUUUUCAGAAUCUGUCGGACAUUAGUUUAUAAUUUUGAGAUUUUGCAGCCAUAAAUUUUUUUUUUUUUUGGUUGCCAUUUUAUUUUGCUCCUUUAUCUAUGUGCAUGUUGACUGGCUGCAGUGAGUGAAAAUUUACCCAUAUUUGCUGGCUAUUCUUGGACAAUAUUAGAGAAAAUAAUCAUAUUAUUUCGCGUGAAGUGAACUUCCAUAACUUAUCAAUUGAAUUGCUGUAAAAUAUUAAAUAGUUUUAUUUUUCUUUUAUCGUGUAACUUGGACCAAAAAAGGAAAUGAGUUUAACAUGACCCUCAUUCCGGCACUAUGCAUGUUUUUCUUGUAUUGAUGACAGUGCUCUUGGUGCUUCUCAUCUGCUUCUUGCUUUGGUUUCAAACAAGUCUUUCUCCGUCGAGACAUUUAUUGUAAUUUCAUUUGGAGACAUAUAUCUGUCGUUCAAAUAUAUUUCAUAUGCAAGCUGUUAAUAAUUCUGCUUGCAGAAAGCCUACAAAGCAGCUGUGUGAUGUAAUAGAAGACCAUAGUCUGGUCAAUUUUUCAGCAUUAGAUAUUCAGGUCAUCAGCUUCUCAUGAAUUCUUUCCUGAGUUUCUUUGAAUUAUUUGUGAUGUAAUAACUUGUGCAUUUGAGAAACUGUUCUCUUGAAUUCUUUCUUGAGUUUCUUUGAAUUAUUUGUGAAUAAGUUGUUAAUCGGCUGCUUCUCUUCAGGAUAAGGAAAGUGUUGCAAACUGGUGAAGCAGCUGAUAGAUAAAAGCAAUGGGUACAUCUUUGCUGGCAUGGAUCGAUGCCAGUGCGGUUGAAUUCAGCAAGACUGCCGUUCGUGAUGUUGUUGAUUGGGAUUAUUUUCAACCUUAUGAUUCUCAUAUCCAUAGAACCUUUUGGUUAUUUAAUCAUAUUUCAUCGUAUGCAUCCGCAUCUUCAUGUGCGUUUGAGAAACUGUUUUGCGGUUAGGCAGGUUUCAAUCUUGAUUCAUGCGUCUUUCAUAAAUGUACAAAAUUAUGGAAACUUCUUUUUCCCAGAUAUUAUAUCUGCACUUAUUCCCAUGUAAUCGAGUCAGACAAGUUUUGCUUAACAAAGAUGUCUACAGUCGCUGAAGUGCAGGAGGAGUACAUUAAGGGUGAUGACAACAUUGAUUAACCCAACCCAACCUGUAAAAAAUCACACCGGUUAGGUUGGUUUCACGGAUUGGGCGGGUUGGUGCCCACCCAUAAAUAUAACCUCCAUUUCAGUACAAUGCAUGUUAAUUGUUCUCCAAGGACUUCUCUUGUUUCCCAUUCCCAACCUCCAUGCUCUCGAGAGGAAUUUGGCACCCAUCAAUUUUUAUUUUUGAAAACUCGUAAUGGUCUGAUAAAAUUAAACAACAUCAAUAACGUUACCAGUCUUUAAAUAGUAAUUAAUUUAUUUAAUUUGCCACCUAAAAGAAUCCUGCUGGAAAUAGAGGUUAAAAAUUUUAUUAGAUCUGCUUACCUUUGUUCAUUCAGCAAAAACACUUACAAUUCAUAGCUAGAGAAUCUAUCCAUUGACAAUUGUGGAUUAAAAUUAUAACACCUGAAUUCAAACAUAUCCUUAUGAAGUUAUGAAUUUGUUCAUACUUCAAAUGAUUUUUUUUUCCCCAAGCUAAUAAAGCGACCACUUUGAUCAAACAACGAUGUUGAAGGAAUUGCGUAUUUUCAAUGUCCUUUUCCAGACAGACGUUCGAGAGAGGGAAAGGAGAAGACUGGCCUAAUUAAGAUAUCUCACAAAGAUUAUUAUUGAGUUAAAAUGUUAUUGUAAAAGAUGUUUAAUACAAUAAUAGUACUUCUUUUGCAUUGUUAUAAUGAGGCUGGUGGGUUUCCUCAGAGGAUGGAUCUGGCUCGCUAGUAUGCAUUUGGGAAGCUGCUAAUUAUCGGCCAUAAAAAGUCAGGGGGUUGUGGCUGUUCCGUCGCCCAGAAAUUCCUAAACUCAUAUAUCAAAUUUCGGAUGAACUUGGGCAUUAUGUAAAUAUGUAUUUUUGAGAAUUAAACUAGUGCGUUAGAAAAAUUUUGAGCCACUGUAAUCAUUUGAUUUUGCUAAGAGAAAAUUUUACUCUGUGUUUCGCUUUGCCUUUUGUUUUUUCUGUGAUAAUAUGAUUCAUACGAAUGUGAUUACACACUAUCAUGCAUCUAUUUUCAUUUGCUUGUCAUGAAUGAUCAACAUGCUCGAAAUAUUUAUAUAGGUUGGAAAUAUUUAAAUCUAUUAAAAUACUAUACACACCCAUUUUAAAAUAAAAAUAUGAUUAUUAUAAUGAUCGCGAAGGUAACACGAUAUCAUAAAUAAAAUAAAAUAUUUCGCAAAAAAGAUAAGAUACGCUUGAAUACAUUGGUAUAAAAAAUAUUUUAGUGGAUUCAAGUAGCACUAAUGCUCCCUUAUCAAAAAAUAUAUAAAGAUAACUAAUCUGAUUGGGUAUACCGUGUGUGUGUGUGUAAUAUUUUUUGAUAUUAUUAUAUAAUAUUUUUUAAAAAGAAGAGAGAGUGGGCAAAGUUCAAAUCAAUUUUCUAAUCCCUAUCUCCUUUAGGAUUUAAACUUCGGUGUUUAGUGUCACGGGUCGCUCAAAUUUUCUAGUCAAAGAGGCUAAAUUGCACGAAAUUGUGCUAGCUUAUUUGAUUUUAAAAUUUUCCAAUGCACUGUAACACACUCUCAUGCUUGUACAUAGCUCGAAAAUCUCUAGAAUUUACCAGAGUAGUGUAGCAUGUAGCUUGUACAUAGGUUUUUCUGGAACACUCCAAGCAUUACUAAGCAUAAGAGCUUUGAGAACUCUCUAGACAUAAAACAUUCAAGGGUAGGCCUGCCCUAAAAAUAGGGCAUGAUGAUUGCCAUUUGAGCAUACAAGAAGUAAGAACAAAUCAAGUAUAUUUGUAAGCUCCCAAACUCUCUCGUACACACUCCUGUGAAUAUUAUGCUUUCUCUUUGACUAUAUUACUCUCUCUUCUCUCUAGUUUUUUUUCGCAAGUAUCAUAUCUUAGCUAGUCGAAAAGUUCAAGUAAGAAUGAUAAUUUUUCCUGAUGGGAUGGGAUGGGAUGGGAUCCUGUGGGAUCCCAUCUCAUUUAGGACGGGAUUGGGAUACAUUUUUAUCCCAUAAAAAAAUAUAGGGACGGGAGUAGAACUUUUUUUAUCCCACUUGUAUCUAUGGGACAGGACUGAGAUUAACAAAUCCAGUCUCGUCACGUCUCGUCUCAUUGCCAACUAGGGAUGGAAAUUUUUCCAAUUGAGAUGGGCUCUCACAGAAUCCCAUUUUUUUGGGGAUGCGAUUGAGACAUAUUUUUAUCCCAAAAAAAUAUAUCGACAGUGACACUUUUUUUUAUCCCACUUGCAUAUUCGGGACGAGACUGAGAUUAGUAAAUCCCACUCUAUCCCAUCACAUUGCCAACCCUAAGUUCAAGGCUUACUUUGCAACUAUCUCAUAAAAGUUGUUUUAAGUACCACAGGAGUUUGUUGUGCAAAAUACUCAUCCCGUGACAUUAGCUAAAUAAAAUUGUUUGAAAGCCACUUACCCAAACUAUUAAACAAAUAUUAUUCUUUUAAUAUGCAAUCUUUUAAUAUAAACUUUUGUCUUAAUUUUCUAUCUCCUACAAUAAAUUUUAUGAUUUUAAAAAUUGAAAAAAUUAAUAACUUUUAGAUAGAGCAUUCCUUACUGUUAAAAGAAAUAUGAAUGGUAAUAUAAAACUUACUUAUUAUAGUAUAAUGCUUUUAGUUUUUUGAAAUAAGGUUCUUAUUUUUUUCAAGAUAAAAUUCAAAGAAAACAAGUUAAAUGUUGUGGAAAAUCUUACGCCCAUACAAUAAAUUAUGACAGCUAAAUGCAAACCUGGCUGAAGUAUUAGUUGUUUUAUUACAAUCUCCAAAAAGAUGAGCACUUCCAAAAUCUUUCUUUGUAACAAUAAACACUACUGGUCAGCAACUAUCCAAGUCAAAAGUAACUCAAUGUGAGUCUUAGUGCACUUGCAGUGAAUCCCAAGAUAAACUAAUUUCACUAGCAAGUUGGAUACCAAAGAGUAAGGCUUCAGCCUCAAUUAUAUUAAAAUCUGAGUAAACAUUAAAUACCACAAUCAAACUCAGAAAUCAUAAUUAAACUAUCAUGAUUAAAAAUAAAGUUUUUUUUUUAGAUAUCCGUUUGUAGUAUCUCUUUAGAUGACAAAUAGGAGAUAAAAUAAAUAAAUAUUGGUUGCGUAAAUAAAAUAAAUAAUUUUUUUAACUGAAAAAAAUUCCUAAAAACUAAAUAGUUCAAACUUUUUUUAACAUGAAAUAAAUAUUAGAUGCGUAAAUAUAAAAAAAUUAACUGAAAAAAUUUCCCAAGAACUAAAUAGUUCAAACUUUUUGUUUAACAUCAUGGGUUUUGUAUAUUCAAUUGAACCGAACAACUAAAUUAAAUCGAAAUUACCCUGUUCGGUUCAAAUGAAUAGACGAAAACCGAACAGUUCAUAUUUUUUGAACUGAUGGUGCGUUUACUUCAUGAAAUGAAAAUAUGGUGGAAUGAGAAUGGGCUGGAAAUGAGAAUGUGUUGAAAUGAGAAUGAAGAAUGAGAAUGAGAUUCUAAUGUUUACUUAAUAAAAAUAAAGGGAAAUGAGAAUGUGCUGGAAUGUCAUUGAUGUGUUUAUUUGACAAAAUAAAUGGGAAUAAAGAAUGAGAAUGAGAAUUAAUUUACCAAAAUACCCAUAGUAUUAAAUAAUAUAAUUUUUAUUUUACUAGAUACAUGUAUAAAUAUUAUUAUAAAAAUAAUAUUAAUUAAAAUAAUAAAUGUUAAGAAUGAUAAUAUUAAUAAAAAUAAUAAUAACAAUAAUUAAUAAUAACUAAAAUAAUAAAGUUAAUAAAAAUAACAACAACAAUAAUAAUAAUAAUAAUAAAUGUUAAUGAUGAUGAUGAUGAUAAAUGUUAAUAAUGAUAAUAUUAGUAAAAAAAUAAUAACAGUAAUUAAUAAUAACUAAAAUAAUAAAGUUAAUAAUAAUAAUAAUAACAUUUAAAAUAAUAAAAUUAAUUGUGAUUUGAAUCAGAGUAAUUCGAAAAAUAUAAAAAAAUUAAAAUGAUACAAAAAUAAACAUAAAUUUUAUCCCCGUUCCCUCAUUUUCAUUCUCAAUUCCCCAUGAAAAUAGAAUUCCCAUUUCUUAUUUUCAAAUUACGGAAUCCCCAUAUUUUAUUAUCAUUCCCAAAUUAUAUUUUACCAAAUAAAUAUAAAUUUUAUUCAUAUUUUUUCAUUUCCAUUCUUUAAACCUUCAAGUAAACACAAUUUUCUUUUAAUUCGGGUUCUGGGCCUGAACCGAACCGUACCGUAAACUGCCCACCCUUACAGUAGUUUUCGGGGUUUUUAAUUAAAUAUGCCUUAAAAGUAGUGUAUUUAGUUAAAUAUACCCAUGUUUGAAAAUUAUCUAAGUAUGCCUUUUUAUGUGGUACAUUGUCUAAAAUAUCCCUAAAGAAAAAUAUAAAACACACACACAACUCACAACACUCUUUGCUUCUCACGUAUUUAUCAUCUAUACAAAAACUCACACCACACUCAAAAUCACUCACAAACAGCUAAUGCACUGAGUUUGUUUGCAGUUGGGUGUAUUAUUCAUCCCAUGAAUAAGGUAUUUGAAACUUUUUUUAUUUUAUUUUGGGCUAUCUAUUCAAUUUGUUGACAUUAUAUUAUUUUUAGGGUUUUGUUUGGUUUGUGAUAAACACUAAAGCAACUCAUAUUUUCAUUACAUUUGCAUCAUAUGACUGUUAUUUGAUGGAUUUUAUAACUACAUUCGUUAAAAUCUGAAGUUGUUGUCAAAUUUUUUUCUGCACCCGACAUACACGACAGCAGUCGUGUAUGUAUGUAUUUACAUGACUGUAGUCGUGAAAAUGUGCAAAAAAUUUCAAUUAUUAUGACACCUUAUUAUUCUAUUGGUUCAAAAAAUAUAUAUUUUUCACUAUAUAUAUCCUUUUACUAUUACUAUACUAUAGUCGUGUGUGUGAAUAAGUUACACGACUACUAACGUGUACGUAUAAACUUACAUACUAUAAUUGUUAAUAAGUUACACGACUACUAUGAACCUUAUAUACUUGUUAUUUUUUGUUGUUUUAAUUUUUUUAAUAUCUUUCAUAUUUAGUGAUAAAUUUUUACCUUUUUGUUUCGCAGAUGAAUAAACAUGUUUGUGUGACUUUCUAAGAACAAGUAUUGAAGGGAGGCGACCAGAGACUUAUAAAAUAUGGACUGAGUGUUUGGGUUGAAUAUGCCAAAAAUUUAUGAUGAAUGUUAAAUAACUUCUAUUAUAUUACGACUUAUUUACGAUUUCAAUAAUUAUUGGAUUUGUGUUAUUUGAUAGGCAAUCGAACUAUAGUUAGUUUCAUUUAUUUGAAGUUUGAUAUGUUUAAAAUCUAUAUUGAUUGUGUCAUCAAUAUAAUGAAUGAUUGAAAAGAAUUUUUAUUCUGUGCACAUACCCGAGUACAAUCGUGUAUUUUGGCUGUUACAAAACUAGUCAUGUUUAUUUCUAAAUACUCGACUACAGUCGUGUAUCUGUGCAAAUACUCGAUUAUCACAGAGAGUUUGUCAUAUUUAUUUCUAAAUACUCGACCAUAGUCGUGUAUCUAUGCAAAUACUCGACUACAGUCAAGUAUUUUGUCACAGAGAGCUUGUUAUUUUUAUUUGUAAAUACCCGACUACAGUCGUGUAUAUGUGCAAAUACCCAACUGCAGUCGAGUAUUUUGUCACAGAGCUUAUUAUGUUUAUUUCCAAAUACCCGACCGCAGUCGUGUAUCUGUGUAAAUACUCGACUGCAGUCGAGUAUUUUGUCACAGCUUAUUAUGUUUAUUUUUAAAUACCCGACCACAGUCGUGUAUCUGUGCAAAUACCCGACUACAGUCGAGUAUUUUGUCACAGAGCGUAUUAUGUUUAUUUCCAAAUACCCGACCGCAGUCGUGUAUUUGUGCAAAUACCUGACUGCAGUCAUGUAUUCUCUUACAGUGUAUUCCUUGUGUAUAUAUUGUGCAAACUAUCUUAUCUAUCAUUAAUAUAAAUAACAAAGAAAUAAAAUAUAUUAAUGCUGUCAAUUGUCUUUAAUGACAUCAAAUAUCAAUAACAUCCUCAUUACAACUAUUACAUCUCAUAAUCUAAAAAAUGACACUACAAAGUUUUUUUCCAUGACCUAUGCCCAAAUAAUUUUACAACCAAGGCUUGUCGAAAUUAUGUAACAUGAUUUUGUUGGCAUUAUGAAUUGACAUCAAGUCCAUGGACUAGGACCUCCAAGUACCGCAACAAAAAUGCUCCACAUUCACCACUAAAAAAAUUCAUAUAAAUCAAUUGUUAAAAAUCAUCAUUCUUAUUAUUAUGUUCAAAACACAUUAUAUAUAUAGUACAUACCCUGAUUUUUGUUGCGGGAUGUCACGCACUCGCACGAUGGGCCAAGGAAUUUUCGAAAUAACCUCACUACAGUCUGGAUGUGUUUCGUGAUAUGCUAUCUUCUGAAGUACUAGAGGUAUCAUGUCUGCAACAGGCAGCAAUUGUCUCACCAAAACUGAAUCCUUUGUUAAGUCUAUCAUGGAGUCAUAAAUAGAAAUCUUGCCCCCAAGUAUAUCGACCACACCGAGAACCCAAUGAUCAUUCAUGAAUAUUGGCAAAUACACCUACGAAAUACAGACAAUAUUCUUAACAAGUAACGGCAAAUAUAUCUACGAAAUGCUGUAACUGUUUUUAUCUACUUGCAGUUGAUUUAUUAAUAGUAUACUAUCAAUAGUUUUAUGCUAAAACAAAUAGCAAAUUGUUAAUAAAUUAGAAUUGUAAAAUAAAGGUUCUACAACAAAUAAUAGAGAAAACCCAGAUUGUAGCAUAAUGAAUGCAUACGCAGUUGAAGAAAAUUGAUAUAUAAUUCCCAUGGAUGAAGUUCAACUACAAACAAUAAGUAAAAUUAUAUAAAGAUCUAAUGCAUAAACUAGUGUAGCCAUAACCGAAAAUUCAUAAGGAUAAUAUUUAAUUAGGAACUCCCACAACCAUUAUUAAAGAGCUAUUAAUUCACUCUCUUCAAUUUCAAAUUCACAAGUUAAAGAAGCUUCAUUACAUUACCAACAAGAAAGAUUAUCAGUAAAUAAGCAAGAUAAUGACCAAAAUCAUGUGGGUAAUUUGUUUUUUAAAACCCUAUUGCAUAUAACCCUAACAAUUAUGCACCAUAAAUUCUCUUUAUAAAGUAAAAAAUAAGUGUAAAUGUGGUUAAUGACCUUUAGUUCGGUGAAUUUCCAGCCUUUAAUUCGGUGAUUUUGUAGCCUUUAAUGUGGUGGAUGAACUUGCAGCAGCAGGAGCAUGAACUUGCAGCAGCAGGAGCAUGAACUUGCAGCAGCAGGACAAGCGUUGUGUAUGGUAGCUCGUGAAUGCAGAUUUUGAAAUUUGAAGAAUUAAAUUGGGGUAAUUUUAUAAUUGCACAUUGAAAAAGGUAUAUAAAAAAAAUUUUGAAUUAUGGGGGUAUAGUUGGAUAAAUACCUAACCUUUAGGGUAUAGCGGGGACAAAUCCCUGGUAGUUUUCAUUAACCGACGUUGUACUGCUGGUAUGAAGUUGUUCAAAUGUUCAAAUCAGUCUCUCGCUUUCAGCUCAGUCAGAGUUUCCAGGUCCAGAGACUUCCCGCUGACUGAGAGCUUUUUUAGUAGCAGGUCUACAAAUAAAGGAAUAGAGCUGAUUUAAUGAUUAAUUUAUUUCCUUUUUCAAUUUCUUUUGAUUGCCAUUUAAUCUGGAUAAGUUAAACGUGAAUUAUUUAGUGCAGAUUAAAUGUUCGACGAAUUUCCCGCAAGAAUAUUAAGCUAAAGAGAAAAAAAGAAAACAAUUGAGCGUGAGCGGGAAUGGUGUUUGGCCAAGUGGUGAUUGGUCCGCUCGGCUCGGGAAAGACCACUUACUGCAAUGGCAUGUCUCAGUUUCUCCGCCUUGUUGGCAGGUAACUCCGUUUCUUGAUUUCAAGCAGCUUUAUCUUUGAUGGCCAAAAAAAUUGAUUUGGGCUUUGCCCAUUAAAUGAAUGUAAGAGCGGUAGGGAAUAACUGAGUUAUAGGAUUAGCUUUAAGUGAACAUUGAUGGUAACAUGCAUGUGAAUGUUGUAUGUGUUCAGCGGCAAGCUGUAUGCCAAUUUGGUCUAUAUGGUUGCUUCGGUGGUAACUUAUUAAUUUUUAUGCAGGAAGGUUGCAGUCAUCAAUUUCGAUCCUGCUAAUGAUAGUUUGCCAUAUCCUUUGUCGUUGAACUUUCUUACAAAUGCUGUGGUUUGUUGUAGUACAAUUAGUUCAAUCAGAAACUUCCUUGAUGUUAAUAUAGAUAUGAGUGUGCUGUGAAUAUUGAGGACUUCAUUAGACUAAGUGAUGUGAUGAUGGAGCAUUCACUUGGUCCCAAUGGAGGUUAGUCAGCCCAUUGUUGUUUACUCUUUCUUGCUUUAUCACGCAAUGAUAUUCCUUUGCUUUACAACAAAUUUCGUGAAAUUAACUUCAAUCAAGUGGCUAUGUUCAUACGCUGUUGAGAUUUUAUGGACAAAGAUUUGGUAGACUUUAUAUGCCGUCUUCUUUCUUUUUGCAGUGAUAUGUUUGUCUUCAAUGCACUUGUACUUGUUCUAUGGUUUCUAAAGUAGGUGUUUUUAUGAUAAACUAGGUCUUGUGUAUUGUAUGGACUAUCUAGAGAAGAAUAUUGACUGGUUGCAGUCGAAAUUGGAACCACUUUUGAAAGGUAAGAAGUGGCCAUUUUCCUUCAUUCUAAUGCCAAUAAUGCUGUCAUGAGACUCAUAAAAAUUGUUAAAAUGUUAAUGUUUUUGGUAUUUUGCAGAUCAUUAGCUUCUGUUUGAUUUUCCUGGCCAAGUUGAAUUAUUUUUUCUUCAUUCCAAUGCCAAGAAUUUUAUAAUGAGACUCAUAAAGAAGUUAAAUCUCAGUGUAUUGUUACAUCUUACGUCUAUGAAGGCACUCAAAGAGUUGAGAUGAAUUCAUCAUUGUUAUUUUGAUGCCAGAAUUGUGCAAUUCUCAGUUGCUUCCUUUCACAUGCAGUUGACUGCAGUGCAUCUAGUUGAUGCGCAUCUUGGCAGUGACCCCGGGAAGUAUGUUAGUGCUUUGCUUCUCUCAUUGUCUACGAUGCUCCAUCUGGAACUUCCCCAUGUCAAUGUCUUUUCUAAGAUCGACCUGAUUGAGAAUUAUGGAAAGCUAGGUGUGGUUUUAAGUGUAGCUCUCCUACUUGUUUGUUUAGUUUGAAAUAUCAGAUAUUGUCACAAGCUCCUAUCUGCUACGUUUCCUCACCAUUCAUUUACUUUGGGUAUGUUGCAGCUUUUAAUCUCGAGUACUAUAUGGAUGUGCAAGAUUUGUCAUAUUUACAGCAUGCCUUGGGUCAGGACCCUCGUUCUGCUAAGUACAGGUUUGAAUUCUAGCUGAAUCAAUGAUGCAAAUUAUGUCCAUUGCUAUUUCUGACUAUUGUUUCUAUCAUUUUCAAUUGUUACCUCCCCUUUCCAUCUACUGCCACACUACAAUGCCCACACAAAUAUCAUGAAAUUUUUCAAUGGAAAUGCCUUUCUGUUUGUCCAGAGACAGCUCUUAGAUGCAAGUGACCAAUUUUUGGCUUUGGCCAUGUUACAGCCUUAGAUUUCAAUUUGCCAUAUCUUGUCUCGGAAGUCAAAAGAAAGCAUAUUUGUUAGCCAAAUUUUAUUUGAAUUUCUUGUGUAACAAUGAAUGGGGGAAAAAAAAAAGUUCCUCUUUUGUUUUGAUCAGACUCAAUGAAUAAGUGGUUAAAAUGUGCCUGUACUAGAAAUAUAGAUGUGAGGUUUCAUAAAAUUUUCUUAAUCUUAAGAAAGAGUUAUCUUGAAAAGAAGAUAACAUGGAGAAUUCAACAACUAUACAGUCAUAUUGAUGUCUGUCAACUUGGGUCAUAUGGUGUUGUUUGGAUGGAGAUGUUAGGUCCCAGAUGGUAUACUUGUUAUCAAAUUCCAGUCUACUUCAUUCAUGCUUUGAUGACAUAUGCGGUGCAGCUUCUUAUCUAAGACCUGCAUAUGUUACAGUCAACAUUCUGUUCUGUAACUCAACCUCAGGAAUCUGCUUGUAUGGUGUUCUUCUAAUUUCAAAUGGAGAUAAGUAAUAUCUGUUGUUCAAAUAUAUUUUAUUUACAAGCUGUUAAUAAGUCUGCUUGCAGAAAGCUUACAAAGGAGCUGUGUGAUGUAAUAGAAGUCUACAGUCUGGUCAAUUUUUCAACCUUAGAUAUUCAGGUCAUCAGUUUCUCUUGAAUUCUUUCUUGAGUUUCUUUGAAUUAUUUGUGAAUAAGAUCUUAGUUGGCUGCUUCUCUUCAGGAUAAGGAAAGUGUGGCAAAACCUGUGAAGCUGAUAGGUAAAAGCAAUGGGUACAUCUUUGCUGGCAUGGAUGCCAGUGCAGUUGAAUUCAGCAAGAUUGCCAUUCGCGAUGUUGAUUGGGAUUAUUUCAGAUAUCCUUCUGUUCACUUAUUUUGAAUCUUGUUAUUCUCAUAUUCAUAAAACUUUUUGGUUAUUAUUAUGGUUCAUCAUAUGCAUCUACAUCUUCUAACUUGUUCGUUUGAGAAACUAAUUUUGCCGUUAGGUAGGCUUCAAGCUUGAUUCAUGCUUUUUUCAAAAAUGUACCAAAAUCAUGGAAACUUCUUUUUCCCAGAUAUUGUAUCCACACUUUUCCCAUAUAAUUGGGUCAGACAAGUUUUGCUUAACAAAGAUAUCUACAGUAGCCGAAGUGCUGGAGAAGUACAUUAAGGAUGAUGACGAUGUUAACUAAAAUGGGACGUGAAGAUAUGUGGUGUGCAAACCGUAAGCCUGCCUCUUAUUUUUGUGCAUGUUUACUUGCUUGUGAUUCACGUUUGUUAAUCUAUUUUGCUCUCUUGCAGGAGUUAUAAAGUUUUCAAUCAAUCAAACAUUUUAACUUAAGUCCUUAGCUCUUCACGGCUUGAAUGGGUCAGAUAGGACAAGCGCCGAAGAGGUGGUUUUAAUCAAACCCCUCCUAAUUAUGAUGUAUGGCCCGAAUCUCGGACUUUUUUUACAAUAUCAAGCGAUUUUUUUUAGUUGAAUCGGCUAGUGUACACAAAUGUCGAUUAUUGAUUUUUCUUUAGUAUUGUUUGUAAUUACAAGAAACGAAGUAAUGAAAUUUAUCAGUGCGUUCAUAGUUACGCUUAAGCUCAAAGAUUACCGUCAAGAUCAUCAACCUGCUGAUGAUCUGAAGCUUCCAUAGAAAAAGGAACCGGACAAAACCCAAGAGAGAGAACAAAAAUAAAUUAAUUAAAAAAAAAGAAGAAAAAUUGCCAAAGCUACUGGUCAGUUGACAUCAAUCUUUUGCACGUGGGAUGGAAAUGGAACACUGGGCACUUUGGAUGACUCAUAACUCACAAGAGAGCAUCGAAUUUAGGCCGAAUCAUAUAAAGUACGCUAAGCCUUAGUGCGUGCGCUGUUGCGUUGCUGUGUCUGCCGGUGAGAAUAAUUUUUCGUUUUUAAGGUAAUUUUCAUUUAUUUAUUUAUUUUUUUGGUGCAUAUGGUCGAACACUUGGUGGGCACCUCAGUUUUUGGAAUGUUCUCUUCAAUGAAUACAGGGAAAAAGGGACAAAAAUUAAGAACUUUAUUUUGUUCGCGUGGAAUCGAUAUCUGGAUUGGGAUUGUAUGUCGUGUUUAAUUUGAAUUGGUUGAUUCCUCUAAUGAAUUAUUUGAUAAAUUUAGUAGCAGUAUUUGGUGGCAAAAGUAUCAUUAAUUUUUGGAAAUAUGAUUAUAUUAUUAAUUAUUUUAGCAUUCUAAAAAGUCAAUGGUUAUGUUGGAAAUACUCUAAGGUAGACUAGAGUACAAAUCACAAUCACACAUAAAAAGUGAUAAAUAAUAAAAAAUAUAUUAUAUUUUUGAUCAUAUGAUUAUGAAGAUGUAUUUUACCUUAAAGAAGUUAUAAUAAGCGAAUUCUUUUAAAAAAGAAUAAAAUUUCUUUUUUAUCAUACUCAACCGCUUCAAACUUCUAAGAAGUAGAUAUACAAUGAGUGGAAUACUGAAUUGAGUGCGAGCUGCGGAUAACAUAUAAAAUUGGGAUACAAGCUUCAAAGAAAGUGUAUUGCUAUUCAAAUGUAGAUUUCAAAUUAAGAAGAUAUGCCAGCAAAUUGUAUAAAAAUGUAUAAAUUGAUCAGUAACAUUAAUUCCAAAUGAUGAAAUGAGUUAUCUUGAUCAAAAGGUCAAGAACCUACCUUACUUCUCUUAGAGAUAACUUGCAUCAACCGUUGUGGUAUUGAUACUUGUCUUCAGCUAGUAAAAGUGAAAGUUUCACAAUUGAAAUAAAGCUAAGGGAAGAUGCUAUGCUCCAUUUAUUAUUAUUAUUAUUGACGUGGUCGAGAAGUAAAGCCGUGCAUAUGAUGAAGUAUAAAUAAGAAUGCAAUAGCCCGGAAUUCAUUUACACAAACACUUCAAUAUCCUUUUGAUCACUUUUGCAAACAUCAAUUUGUCUCCUCUUGUAUUCACCAUGGUUGAUGCCAUCGUUUCCACUGUCUUGGAGCAGCUGAUUUCCUUCGCUGCUAAAGAGAUAAAGCAACAGGUGAUCGAAGUUACACCCGCAUAUUAUAAACACUUCUAAUGAUUUUAGUUGGUUUCCUUUUUAUCGAAAACAUUAUUUUUGCUUUAUUUUAUUUAUUUGGCAAUUUUAAAUUUGGAAAUUUGAAUUGAAUUUAAUUAAAAUGUGAUGUAGUUAGUAACCACUUAUUUUUAUUUUAUUUCAUUUAUAUUCUCAAUAACUACUCAUAUUUUGGUAACUUACUAUAACUUCCAUAUCUAAGAAAUUAUCAAAACCCACAAUUUUAACUCAGCACGAAUAUUCAAUGGUGAUCUAAGCUUUUGCAGAACACUCAAGUUUGUCAAACAUUCAUUAAUUCAAUGUUUAGUGAAAAAAACUCUUCUCAGCACAGAAUUCCAUGUCCAUUACUUAGGCUCUCUGAAAAAUUUCAUAAUUUUCAUACAUUCUUUGAGUUUGGUAAGUGAUUUCAUAUAAUUUCUUUUCAAGUUAAAUUUUAAUUUGGCUUCUGAUAUAGUCUCUUUGUUGAAUUUGUAUCUCUUAUGAUUCUUAGAUUUUGGGCUCCAACUUUUGAGGAUAUGAUAGUCACAUUUUAUGCUAUGCUCAGAUUGAUUUUUAUGAUUUUUUGUUCCCGUUAAGUGACUUAGAAUUUGACAAAAGUUUGAUAGGAAAUCUGUUUCACGAUUUUGUUUUAAUUGACCUUUUAGUGGAAAUAAGAUGCUUAUAACUUAAUGUGGAUGGUUUGUAAAAUCAUGAAAUUUGGAUAAUAUAAAUUUGUACGAGACUCUCCAUAAUAUUUCAUGAUUUUUCAUUAGCUCUGGGGUGUUACAGGUGCUACUUGUGACUGGUGUCAAAAAAGAAGUGAAAAAAAUUACCAACCACCUUCAAGCCAUUCAAGCUGUGCUCGAGGAUGCAGAGGAAAAGCAAGUGACGGAAACAGCUGUCAGACUUUGGCUGGGUAGGCUCAAGUCCGCAUCCUACGACAUUGAAGAUGUGUUGGAUGAGUGGAUCACAGCAAGAGGCAAAUUGCAAAUUAAGGGCAGCGUUUAUGACAAUGCUCUUGUUGCUCCUAAUCAGAAGAAGAAGGUAUGUUCCUGCUUUCCUGCCUCUUGCUUUGGUUUCAAACAAGUCAUUUUGCAUCGUGACGUAGCUGUCAAGAUCAAAGAAAUCAAUGAAGAGCUGGACGAUAUUGCCACUCAAAAAGACAUGUUUAAAUUUGUUGGGAGUGUCAGUAAAAGUAGUGAAAGACCAAGACGUGUGCAGAGUACCUCCUUGAUUGAUGAGGAAGAGAUUUGUGGUAGAGUUGGUGAGAGGGAUGCACUCUUAAGCAUGCUGUUGUGUGAGAGCAGUGAGCAACAAAAAGGCCUUCAUAUCAUCUCAAUUGUUGGUAUGGGAGGCAUCGGGAAAACUACUCUUGCACAACUAGCUUGUAAUCAUGACAAGGUGAAGAGUCAGUUCGACAAAAUUUUAUGGGUGUGUGUAUCAGAAACUUUUGAUGAGUUUAGGAUUGCCAAAGCGAUGCUUGAAGCUUUGACUGGUUCAACUUCUAAUUUAGAUGCAUUGCAAUCUCUUCUUAUAAGUAUUGACGAAUCUAUUGCGGGAAAGAGGUUUCUUCUUGUCUUAGAUGAUGUGUGGGACGGAGAUUACAUUAAAUGGGAACCAUUCUACCGUUGCCUAAAGAAAGGUCUCCAUGGAAGUAAAAUUGUAAUUACCACACGUAAUGAGUCAAUUGCCAGCAUGAUGAGAUCCGCAGAUAUUAUCUCUAUCAAGGAAUUGGCUGAAGAAGAAUGUUGGGCAUUGUUUAAGCAGUUAGCAUUUUUCGGUCGAUCCACUGAGGAGUGUGAAAAAUUGGAACAAAUUGGUCAAAGAAUUGCAAGAAAGUGUAAAGGUUUACCUCUUGCUGCAAAGACAAUGGGAAGUCUCAUGAGCUCUAAAAAAACUGAAGAAGAGUGGAAAAGAAUUUUAAAUAGUGAUUUAUGGAAGGUAGAAGAGAUUGAGAAAGGUGUUCUAACCCCUUUGUGGUUGAGUUAUAACGAUUUGCCAUCUAGAGUAAAAAGAUGUUUCUCGUAUUGUGCUGUCUUUCCAAAAGACUACAAUAUAGAAAAAGACAAACUAAUUACUUUGUGGAUGGCUCAAGGUUAUCUUAGUGCAGAAGCAGCAGAACAAGAUGAGGAGUUGGAGACUAUAGGUGAAGAGUAUUUUGGCAUCUUAGCUUCUCGCUCUUUCUUUCAAGAGUUUGAGAAACGUUAUGAUAAUCGUAUUAUAGCGUGCAAGAUGCAUGAUAUGGUACAUGAUUUUGCCCAAUUUGUUAGUCAAAAUGAAUGUUUUUCGUUGGAAGUUAAUGGUAGUGAGGAACUAAACGUCACAAACUCUACAAACUCUCUUGAUGAGAAGGUCCGUCAUUUAAUGUUAAUCUUUAGUAAAGGGACUUCAUUACCUGUUUCCACUCGUAGAGUUAAAAGAAUGCGUACCCUCUUAAUUAACGAUAGUAGAUCUGAUCAUUCAUUAUUAAAUGGUGAGAUCCUAGAAGAAUUAUUUAGGGAAUUGACAAGUUUAAGGGCAUUAGAUUUUGGCAAAUCGUAUAACUCAAGUUGGUCUUCGACUGUGGAGAUUCCGAGAACCAUAGAAAAGCUGGUACAUUUAAGGUACCUGAAUUUGUUUUAUCAGGGAAUAAAGAAACUACCGGAGACAUUAUGCGAGUUGUAUAAUCUAGAAAAGUUAGAUAUUAGUAUAUGUUUUAAUCUUAAAGAAUUACCUGAAGGGAUUGGGAAGUUAAUAAACAUGAAGCAUUUACGAAAUAGAGGUACUAGUUCUUUAAGGUACAUGCCAGUAGGGAUUGGGAGAUUAACGGGUCUCAGGACCUUGGAUGAGUUCCACGUGAGUGGAGGAGGAGGUGUUGAUUGUAGGAAAGCAUGUAGGCUUGAAUCUCUCAAAAACUUGGAAAACCUUCGAGUGUGUGGUAUACGUAGACUGGGUGAUGUAUCAGAUGUGGGCGAGGCUAAGCGAUUAGAACUUGACAAAAAGAAAUACCUCUCUUGUUUGAGACUUCGGUUUGAUAAGAAGGAGGAAGAAGAAGGAGAAAGAAGGAAGAACGAGGACGAUCAACUUCUUCUUGAAGCCCUACAACCACCUCUCAAUUUAAAGGAAUUAGAGAUAGAGUACUACCGAGGCAACACUGUUUUCCCCAGCUGGAUGACGUCAUUAACCAACUUAAAGAGUUUAGAUCUCUCUUCCUGCGAAAAUUGCGAGCAGCUGCCUCCUUUGGGAAAAUUGCCAUCCCUUGAAGCACUCAGCCUAUGGGACAUGAAGUGUGUGGAAAGAGUGGGUGAUGAAUUUUUGGGGAUAGAAAGUGAUCAUCAUGGCUCAUCUUCAUCGGUUAUUAUUGCCUUCCCCAAAUUGAAAUCACUUUCAAUUGAGUUUCUGCGCGAAUUGGAGGAGUGGGAUUAUGGGAUUACAAGAACGGGAAACACCGUCAUCAACAUCAUGCCACGUCUUUCUUCCUUGACAAUUGCUCAUUGCCCCAAAUUAAUGGCACUGCCCGACCACUUUCAUCAAACAACAACAUUGAAGGAAUUGCACAUUUGGGAGUGCAGGCUUCUGGAAGAACGUUACCGCAAAGGGGAAGGAGAAGACUGGCCUAAGAUAUCACACAUUCCCAACCUCCGUAUUGGGCUUUGACAAGUAAUUUCUUCUCUUACUCUGAUUUGCUUUGUUGUUGUUUUUAAUCUAAUUAAGAAGCGUAAAUAGCAUUUUGAAUCAAACUCUAUAUCAGAAAUCUGCAAUACUUACUUUCUAAUAUUCUGAUUUUCAUAUCCUAUGAAUAUACAAUUUUUAAUUUGUGAGAUGGGUAACGUUACUGUAAAAGAUUAUUAAUGCAAUAUGAGUAAUUCUUUUGCAGGACAAGUGACCUACAUUUAGUUUGGCUUUGGAGUUGAAUAAUAACCUUUCGAGGUCCCGACAACCAAAAAACGAAGCUUAAUUUGCCACAGAUUGCACGUAUUGCCAUUAUUGACAAUUUUCUGCACAAGCUUAGGUUGAUUUCAAAAGAGGUAAAUUAUUGGCAUGCCUGACUAUUUUGACCAUUACAUGAUUCAUAAGUUUACAUUAAUUUUGAUUUUGAGUUGAGUGAUUAGUUUUUAUACCCGGAAUAUGCAAAAGUUUCUAAUAUUUUAUUUCCAUCUGUUACAAGAUCAAACUGAAGUAGAACUCAAACAAAAGUAUGCUACUUCUUGCGGAAAUCUUGCCUUUGUUCAGAUUAUGAAACCAUUUCCAUGCAGCAAAUUCAUCCAAAAGUUUGAAUAAGUUUCAUGGUUGGACACUGUUGGCUUCUUUUUCUUCUGGGGUGCAUUUAGGUGCUAUCAAGUGACAGCUAAGUAUGAUUGCACUAAGCUGCCGCUGGGAAAUUUGAGGUUUUGAUGGCUGCCCAUGUUAUUUUCAAGAAACUAUUGAUGUAAGAAGCUGUGGUUCUUUUCAUCAGCUUGAACCUGAAACUGUCGCUAUGGAUAACUCAGGUUUUUGUUAUCAACUAUGUUGAUGCGAGAUUCCGGUUCUCCUCGUUCUACGACCAGGAUCUCUGCUCGAUCAACUUCACCACGACCAGGAGGUCUCCUAGUAAUGCUUCUUCUCCAGAUGUCCCUGCACACACAGACAAGUCAGAGUACGCCGGUUGUUCUCCCGGCGCAAACCCUCCGACGCUCAAGUCAGAUAUGAAGGUUCGGGGAACGCUUGCCACAGGUCUUAUGGCUUUUUCGUGGUUUUCUCUUUUAUCUCAAAAAUGCUAACCCUUUUACCUUCGUUGGCUACCUUUUUAUAGGCUUCCUCUGAAUCCCAGUUUUCCGCUUUUUUCGAGACGGUCUGGGGCUCUGACUGCUGCGUUAUGGGCAAACGUGGGAUCUUGCGUGUUACGCCACGGUUCAGGGGAAAGCGUGGCUGUCGUGGUUCUGUGAGAUCUUGUGUGUUACGCCACGGUUCAGGGGAAAGCGUGGCUGUCGUGGUUCUGUGAGAUCUUGCGUGUUACGCCACGGUUCAGGGGAAAGCGUGGCUGUCGUGGUUCUGUGAGAUCUUGCGUGUUACGCCACGGUUCAGGGGAAAGCGUGGCUGUCGUGCCUAGAUUCUUGGGCUGGAGAGUAUGUCUUGCCAACUGCCGUCGACCGGGUCUCCUCGCCUCUCGACCUCUAGCCGGAAUGGCCUUAUGCCUCUUAUAGGAAAUUGGCCUAGCGGAUGACAACAUCGUGGACGAGCAGGAUACUUCUGCUCCUGUUCUGAUGGCUGCCCAUGUUAUUAACACACCGGUUCACAGAACUCCGCUGUGGUUCUUUUCAUCAGCCUGGUCUCGUCGACGUAUUUAUGGAUAACUCAGGUUUUUGUUACAAACUAUAUCAUCUUUUUCACUAUUUUGAAACUCUUAAGAUUAAACUUUAGUAAAGUUGUUUCAGCUAUUCAAAUGAAAAACUCAUUGAUUUGAGACUUCCUUCAUUAUUGUUUCUAAUUACAGUGCUAACGAUCCAGAUAAAAUAAUAUUUAAUCGGCGAAGGUGUCCCUUGGAAGUACAUCCUUCUUUUUCUUUUAUUAUAUAAAUUCUUGCAAUGAGCUUAGUGAAGCUGUUGUGCUAAUCAUGCCACUGCAUAACUUGGCCCCUAAUGUGGGUACUCUGUUACAUUGUUCUGCAAAUUCUCCAGAAGUUAAAAUCAAUAAAUUUUCUAUUAGCUCUAGUGCUUUGACCUAAAUGCUAUUCUAUAUUCUGAUUACAAUGUUUUAACCUUUAAAUUAACUACCCCUAGAUGUUGGAUUUUCUAGAACUUCAAAAUGAUUAAUGGAGAAAGAUCCCAUUAUCGUUAUUGCUAUAAGAAAUUGAUUUAUGCAUCCAAAGAUACAUUAUAUAUUUCUGUGUCUCUAUUUAUGGAUGACAUUUAAUCAUCCAUAAACUGUCAGACAGAGGAAGGGGGUUCAGUGCAAAGAUUCUGUUGACCUAGGGUUGACUGCAUAUGUCACUUGUUCGCAAUCUAUUAUUUAUUUUAUAUUUUGAAGAAUUUAAUGGGUAAUCCUAAUUGUUUGUUUUGGCAGGUUUGUGUUGUUAUCUCCUUCUAUCUUACAGUCGUACCUAAAUAGCAUAGUUUCAUCUGUGUUACCAUGUGAUGUACAUAAUUUCACAUUUGCCUCAGAUUAAGCUUAAUUUCCCACAGAAUAGAGCUGUCGCGACUGGACUUAGGUUGAUGUCCAAAGAGGUAAAUUAUUGGCAUGCCUAGAUAAUUUGGCCAUUUCCUAAUUCAUAAGUCUACAUUAAUUUUGAUUUUGAGUUGACUGAUUUCUUUUCAAGGUCUGCUUCCUUAACGGAGUGACCAAUGUUUUUCAACUAAAUUUAUCAUAUGAUGCAGGAAGCAGGGCAGGAUAUGAAAUGAGAAGCUCAUUGGUGGAAGUAUUUCCAGUAGCAGAACCCAAUGAAAAUGAAACUAUUUCAAGGCAGCAGUUGGCAGUUGCAAGUGAAUGGAGGCCCUGACAAAAUUCUCAAGCGGUUGCAAUGCAAUUACGAUCAUCCUCAGCCUCAGGUAAUUUCUUCUCCUGCUCUGUUUUUAUCUGUUAUCUAAUUAAAAAGCAUAAAGUAUCUUGAAUCACUUUCUGUAUCUGGAAUAUAUGCAGCAGUUUCUAAAAUCUUCAUAUGAGUGUAAUGAUGGUAAUUUCUGUUUUUUGUCUGUCUUUGAAUGUUAGACAACUUUCAGUGAGACUCUUGAACCGAGACAU
This 177428-nucleotide long non-coding RNA is filed under the name Citrus x clementina. Its description in RNAcentral is "Citrus clementina (C. clementina) long non-coding RNA (CCLE_LNC002338)". Lineage: Eukaryota; Viridiplantae; Streptophyta; Magnoliopsida; Sapindales; Rutaceae. The record is from RNAcentral.